CUCGAACUCCAAUCCAGCCGAGUGUUGAGGGAGAGUUUCGUCAGCACGACGGCGUGGUGACGAGAGGAAAAGGAGAAGGAAGGGUUACAUGCAUUGGUGAAUUCUCUACUAAUCCCUGCCUGCAGCGAUUCAUCAAAACUAAGGAAAUUAUGAUAGACUCUUUAAAUUGUAUAAGGGAGAUGAUAUGUUUCCAUCCCCACCAUACAAGCCCCCACGUUUAGCGACCUAGUAAAAUCCACAUGGCUGGGUGGCCCUCUAGCUCUAUAAACCCGGAUUGAAUGCUAGCAAAUCAACAAGGAAAACAAUAUGUGAUCAUGCCUUAUUGCAAAUGUCGUAGCAACCCGACCAAGAUGCAAUGAUCUUCCAUAGCUAUACAAUCAUCAAAGCUAAGGAGAACAUAAGCAACAAGUAAAACACAUGUCUCACGCCACACAAUCGCAAAGUCUUGACAGCUACGGAGGAAAGGUUCAUAUCUUCGCAUAACUGUUGUUUUCUCUCUCUCAUGGUAUGCUCUAGUCUUUUUUCCUCCGCAUGUCCCUUAAGAAUUCGUUAUCACCGUAGAGGUAACUUCUAACUGUGAAUGUCAAAUCUUUGUUUGGGACCAAAUAAAACAAUCUGGCUUUAAAGCAGCGCUCUCUAUACUUCAUAAUCGCACCGUCUAUGGUGCAUGACAGAUUUUUAAUGAUUUCACCACUUUUCAUAUAAACCGGCUAUGAGUUGAUCUUCCCCAACCUAACCAUCAUUAUAAGCCGCCAUCUUCCCGUACAAAGCUCUAUUUCGUGGCGCAGUGCCGUUGAUUUAAGUACAGCUGCAGGUUUAGCCAAUGCCCUCAUGCCAUACUCGUCACGAAGACAUAGCCUGAACAUCUUCUUUGGUCUGAUGAUCUUGUGAUCUUUUUCAAAAAGUACAGACCCAACCUUCUGCUUGAAAAUAAAUAAGAACGUCUUCGUCGGAAUCUUGGGUUGGCAUUUGAUCAUGAGUAUGACAUGAGCAUCCUAUGUUAGGUUGAUCUCUCCACCAAUGGGCCCAAUGGCUCAUUGGGCCCUUGAUCCACGCCCUGAUCGGGGGCGUCCAGCCCAAGCGAGGCUGGUGGGCCCCUAUCGCGUAGUGCUAUAAAGAGGAGGUGGGGACCAGGGGCACAGGGUACGAGGUUCGUCACCGUCACUGUUCCCCACUCCUAACCCUAUCCGAUCCAGAGGGAGGCACUGAAGCGAUGGGAAGCUCCGCCGCCGCCACUGCCCAUACAUCGCCGCCAUAUCCACCUCACCUCUCUCUGCUAUCACCACCAUCACCCUCUCCAUGAUGGCCUCCAGCUCGAGUUCAUCAAUCACUGGAGAAGGUAGGUUUACCGGAAAUCCUACCCUACUUGAUCCCACAGAUCUAUCAAUGGUAUCAGCCAAGGUUUGGUUCAGGAUUUUCAGUAGAAAAGAACACAAAAGAAAAUCUUUCCCCAUCCCGAAGAACCCUAGACAGGGCAAAGACAAAUUCCUCUACGGAGAAAGUAGCGCCGCCAUCAUGGCCGCGCCGUUCCUGUCGAUCCGGAUGGGCAUCGGCAUGCCGAGCCAUUCGGAAGAAGAACACAGGUAGUGGGGGCACCACGCCCUUGCCACUGCCAAAAGAACAGACCCCGUCGAGGCAAAGGGCAACGCAGCCAAGCCAUUCGACAUCGGCGCUCUUACCGCAAGGGAAACACGCUACUGGCGAAGGGGCAGACCACGGCGCCGCCGUAGGGUGGUCCACCAUCGUCAUAUUCAAGGGAGCAGAGGAGGGCUAGACCUCACGUCUCUCUCUACCACUUGCUCGCGGUGGAUGGGGAGAACAGGAUGGAAAAGGAGAAAGAGAAAGCACGCGCCGCCGUGGCCGUCGCCGCCGGCACCGGCGACAGGAGCAUGACGCGGUGGACGGUCGGCCAGAGAGAAGCAGCGUGCAGAUGGAGAGAUAGAUGAGAGAGGAAGGGAGCGACGCAGGGGGACUGGAACAGCUCCGCGUAGCGCAGGGGCGUCGGCCGCCAUCGCCGGCUCGCCCACGGCGCGUCGGACCGCUAGAAGCAACCGCGCCGGCGAGAGCGGAGAGAACGAGGCGAGCGGCGCGCGGGGGGAGGAAAUGAACUAGGGUUCCCCCCACUGCGAACUGGUCUGUUUUGACCAUGCGAGAAGCCCGCUCGGGCGUCAGAUCCGGCCUACCCACAUCGGGCGGCUGGAGUGAGCUCUGGCUCCUCACAGGCCGUGGCUAGGCCGAGGGGGGUGGGCCGGCUGGACCGGCGCCCCAGGCCAGGAGCUGCGAAGGAAAAGGCCAUUUUUCGGCCUAGAGAACUCCAACAUUUUUUUUGUUUUUUUGUUCUGUUUUUAGGCAAAAAACAAUAUGUAGUCUUGAUUCCUUCUUUCUAUGCAAUUUUUUCCAACGAAAUUUUUUGCUUAGAAAAUAGAAAAGUAAACAGAAAAAGUUUUUGAAAAUGAAAAUAGAAAAUUUUCAGAAAAACAAAUGUUCAUGAAUUUUAUAAAGAAAAUAAUAAAGUUCAUGAACAUUAUUUACUCAAAGAAAAAUUUCUGUAAAAAAAAGUUCAUGAAUGUUUUAUUCAUGUUUUUCCGCUGCAAAUAAAAAUAAAAGUGCUUUUUUAAAAGUGAAUAGAACUAAAGUAAAAGAUUAAAUUGUUGUUUCUCCAAUGCAUUUUUGAACCAAUCGGUUGAAAUUGCUCAGAGAGUAAAAGAGUAUAGAACUGUUUCUGAAUAGAUUCAGAAAGUUUCCGCUGCAAAGAAAAAGUAUUAUCCUCCAAUUAAAUUGGAACCAACGGGAAAAUUUAAUUGGAUGAACAGUUUUGGAGAGAAGUUUUUUCACUUGUGGGUGAAAUCAGAUUCAGAUAGCUUCUGCUAUGACAGUAGAAAGAUAUUUGAUUAAAGUUUAAUUAUGGUAUUGUUAUUUUUUGACCAACGUUGAUGAUGACAAUAUUAUAAUUCAAUGAGUCUUAUAGUUAAAAGUUCAAAUCUCUGAUAAUUUUUGUAUCAAAGUGGCCAAUUUUCAUAGCAUUUGAUAAAGAUUGAGAAAUGUAUAUUAAAAGUUUUCCGCUGCAAUAAAGUUGAUAAUGAUGAUUAUUUUCUUAGCAAAGUCGCUUAAUAGAAAUUUUAUCAUCACAAUAUUUACGAGUUAUAUGCAUUAUUUCCAUUUCCGCCCAACAGUGAUAUGGAAUUAAUGUAGAAGAAUGAGCUUUAUUCUAAUUCUACCAGAAAGACUUAUAGUAUAAAAAGGAAGUUUUGCAAAAGUUUAAUGUGCAUAUUUUUUAACCAGACCAACGUAGGGUUAUUUUUAUGCUCAUUAUUGUUGAUUAUUGGCUAAGUUUUCUCAGACUAAAAGUUUUUCAUGCUUUCAUUCGUGAAAGCGAAUGGCUGGGUACUUAUGACCUGAAAGAUGACCAGGAAAGGUCAUAACGUGAGGGAGUAUGUUCUCUCUAAAGAAUGGCUUCAAAAGAAAAGAAUUCUUGGAUAUUGAUCCAAGAGAAGAAAACAGAUAGAUCAUUGAGAGUCUUGGUUGACGAAUAUCUUUCAUGUACUCUCUAUGAUUUGAGAUAAAACAAGCAACAUGCGUGUUUAAUUUGACCAACAUCGGAUCAAGCAUGUGUGUCAAAGAGCAUUCGGAUUUAUUUAUAAAUUUGAUGAUUGAAUAUGUAGUCAAAAGAGCCAAUUCUGGCAUUUAUGUCCCUUGCAGGGAAUUGCCCGCAUGGCGGGAAAAGAUGAUUAUGAUAAAACCCGCAUGGCAGGAUAAGUCUGGGAAAAUCCCUGCGUAACCUGUAUGGCGGCAGAAAUUUUCUCAUACUUAUCCUGUAUGACAGGACAAAGACAUGAUGACUCAUGUGCUUUUAAUGUGUCCCACUCUGGGAGAAAAGUAUGGAGUAGCUAUUAUGCUUUCCUAGUAUCAACCGUACAUCUUAUGUGUAACGGUCAUUAAGCACUCAAUAAAUCCAAAGAGAAUAAAAGUUACAGACAAACCUAAAGAUAAGAAUGAUAUGCAAGUGUGACUUGCAAAAGGACUAAUGAUAAAGAACUAUGUUGAGUUUCUGAAAUGGAAUGAGGAAAAAGUACUCCAGAUAAAUGAAGUAGAUAAUCGAAGUUUCCUCAUUCACAAGAGUUAUGAAUGGUUUUUCGAAAUUGUGGCAGAAAAGUUCUUGCCACAUUUCGAGGGGGAGAAAAGAUAUAUGAGAUAAAUUAAGAAUGUUGAAAAUCCCCUAUACUUUAGAUAAUGUGAUGAAGAAUGUGAUCAUCUAGGGGAGUAUGACGGUCAUAUUAAUACCCCUAAAGAAAAGAAAUAGUUGUAUUUCUAGAUCUUUUACAGUUCCGAAAGCAGAGUAAGGAAUACUAAGACGGUGCUUAAAGUGCCAUAAAGAAGAAAGUUUUAACAGAAUAAACCCAAAUUAUAAAGUUUAAAGAUACGCUAUUUUUUAGUGAAGAUAGUAAUCUGGGGGAACAUGUUGUAUGACCUAUACAACACCUGAUGUUAGCUCUAUAAAGGAUGAAUGAGUACACUUGGAUCUUGUGACACAGGUCCUUGUAAAAUUUGCUGCCUCUUGGAAAUGAAAGACUAUAUAAUUAAUUUGCCUCUUGGCAAUGACAGAGCAACAACAUCCCCAUAUGAAAGAAGUGCCAGUACCUAAGACAGUGAUGGUCUUAUGGAAUGAGAAAAUCAGAUACUUCUGAUUACUAUAAAGUCUAUGUUAGUGAAAUUCAAAUGGAGGUUGAUCCCACCUCAUUUAAAGUGCUCAUUCGAGUUUUGAGAAGUGUCUGCUUAUCUAAAUGAUAAGAGACUAUGUGAGAUGAAAUGAAAUUGGUGAAUCCCGACGAUGUUUGGGACUGAUGAGUAAUUUCCAAUGGAGCCAAAACAGUCAGCUGUAAAGAGUCUACAAGGACAAUGUGACUCCAAAGGAAAUAUGUAAAGGUGUAAAACACGACUUAAAUCGAAAGGUUUUUGCGCGUUUUGCACUGAAUAGAUUACAAUGAGUGUUGGUAGCACAUCAUGAUCUGAGUUACAUCAGAUGAAAAUAAAGAACACAGGGGAUACUACCUAAAGAAGUCUUUUAUGGACUAAAGCAAUCAAAUGUUGUUUUGGGUUAAAGAAAAUGAGAGGACAAUUGUAUUCGUGCAAAGUUAUAGAAUGGGAAAUUCAUUUCCUAAUCCUGUGCAUGUGGAUGACAUCCUACUUGCUAGUGGUGAUGUCAACCUACGGCGGGAGGAGAAAAGAAGUUCUUGUCUUCAAAGUUCAAAAGAAUGUUCUCGGUAGAGUGUCUCUCAUUAUAAUUAUCGAUAUUCACCAAGAAAAGAAUAAAAUGGGUAUUAGGAAUGUCACAUGGACAUGCUAAGAAAUGUCUCUAAAGUAUGCAUGCGACAAAACCUAUGCAUGUUCUUAUAGUCAAGGGUAAUAGAACUGGAAACUAUGGUGUUCCAAAAGUUGAUGAGAAAAGAUUGAAAACGGAUAUGGUACCAUAUGCUUCAGCUGUUAGAAGCUCAAUAUAUUGCCCUGACACAGUUCACAUAUCCGAGUUGUUUUGGCAAUGUCCAGUCCAUAUAUAGAUCACUUGAAUGGAGUCAAAGAUAUCGGCCUCAUGCUGAAAGAAAUAAGUGCUCUAAAAAGUUUGUGAGUACAAAGACAAGACUUGUGAAAUGUAUAGCGAAAUCCACAAUUGUCGCUAACUUUCACACUUGGAGAUUUUUGUGUGGAAAAGCUCCAAAGAAUGAAACAAUUAUCAUCAAUGUGAUGCAAAGAUAUUUCAUAGCUUGAUAUGAGGCUGAGGGACAGGCAAAAUGGUUAAGGAGACCUGUACCCCGAGUUGAUAAUGGUUGACAACAGCGAUAUCUAUUUUAAGUCUUUCUCUCCUAUGACAACGAGUCAAGUGUUGAUGCCAAACACAUUGACACAAAGUUAUACGUUGUUAAAGAGAAAGUCCGGAAAUUAUGUUGAAAUGCUUGGAGCAUGAAAGCAACAGACAAGUAUUUGCAGAUUUGCUUAUUAAAGGCUUACCACCCAGUGUGUUCGGAGAACACACAGUCGACAUGGGUUUUAUGGUAUAGUCUAACAUUUCCGGACAAUAAAAGGGCCCAAGGUUAAAGAGUCUGUUUCAAAACAGAGGAGUGUGUUGUAGGAGUUGAUUUUAUCGGGAAUGAACCGUGAUGAUGAGACAUUCUCUACAUGCAAAUCUGUGAUGGAACGAGUACUUUGAAAAGAGUUAUUUCAAAGUAUAAAAGUUAAAAGUAUAUGAUGAGAUCAAGGGGGAGAAUGUUAGGUUGAUCUCUCCACCAAUGGGCCCAACGGCUCAUUGGGCCCUUGAUCCACGCCCUGAUCGGGGGCGUCCAGCCCAAGCGAGGCUGGUGGGCCCCUAUCGCGCAGUGCUAUAAAGAGGAUGUGGGGACCAGGGGCACAGGGUACAAGGUUCGUCACCGCCAUUGUUCCCCACUCCUAACCCUAUCCGAUCCAGAGGGAGGCACUGAAGCGAUGGGAAGCUCCGCCGUUGCCACUGCCCAUACAUCGCCGCCGUAUCCACCUCACCUCUCUCUGCUAUCACCACCAUCACCCUCUCCACGAUGGCCUCCGGCUCGAGUUCAUCAAUCGCUGGAGAAGGUAGGUUUACCGGAAAUCCUACCCUACUCGAUCCCACAGAUCUAUCAUCCUAAAUUAGCAUCCCAUUAUUUUUCAGAGAAAAGAAAACCCCUACGAGCUAGCAGUACAUAGGCAAGUAAGAAAAAAGGUGUACUGGAGUAUACUGCAUGAACAUCUCAAAAUAACAUAUAGAAGCAGAAAUAAACAACCCUCGUUCGUAUGUACCUGCAGCUGCCAUCGGAGGUAGUAGUCUUCAUCUGCAUCAUGCAAAGAACCCAGCGAAUCGAUGGAGGGCUAUAUUUCUUUCGUGGGAGAUUAGAGGACUGAUUAGGAAGCCCGUACGUGUUAUGACACGUCUGUCUUGUCUUUGCCUCGAAUAUUUCUUUCCACCUACCUACCUACAUGUCCUGUAUCAUUUUCUAUCGCUCCUACUCUAUCAUAUUGGACGUGUUUAGGUCAACUCCACCACGCGACUCUAUCCUGUCCGCCCCCAUCCGUUUGGAGUAAAAGGGACAAACGAGACGGCCCAACCGCAACGUACUUUUGUCCGCUUUGUGUCCGCUUUCGACCCACCCCUGGUCCAAGUUUGCGCCGGUUUUGGGGUGAAACGGACAGCGCGCGGACAGGCGGGACGCGCGCGCUUGUCCUCCCCUGGCCCGCCUGUCGGUGGGAGAAACCAAACCCCCCACGCCCAUUUGGUGUCAUUUCCCCCAAAAACUCACAUGACCCUCCCGCCGCCCCCUCUCUCUCCCCCGUCCAUGGCCGAUGCACCGCCGAGUUCUGGCGGCCUGACCGUCGACCCGCCCGCAAAGAAGAAGAAGAAGGCGCCAAGGAAGCCGCGGUCGGAGUGCACGCCGGCGAAGAUCGCGAAGUUCGAGGCAGAAUCGGCGAAGAGGAGGGAAUGGAGAGUGGUCGUCAAGGUCAAUGCCGCCGCGGCCAAGAUCGCCGCCCAACGUGAUGAGCUGGAGGCCGCGCGGCGCAAGGCCGCGGCCGACGAGCAGGAGGACCUCGUCAACAAAGCGCACGCCAUCCUCAUGCUUGGCAUGGGCCAUCCGGCCGGGUUCCCUGGAGCGGCCGUCGGCCCAGCGAGCAUAAGCUCAUCGGUCGCCCAGCCUACGCACUGCCAUUCUCCGACCUCGCGCACCACGCCCAUGUUGCCUGGCUUUCCUCUGCAAAGGCACGACGACCAGAGCCGUUUCUCGGGGUCGCCGGACGUGGGCUUGUUCGCGCCGUUGACACCACACCCCGCGGCCGUCAUCGACCUCAACGUCACACCUGGGUCCAGCAGCGGCGGUCGUCCAUCCGUUGAGAUGCAAAGAAAGCAGGCACGGGCACCAUGUCGGCCCCCCGCGUCUUGUUUGACGGAAUGUCAACCCCAACGCCAAUGGUCGACGACCCCUUCUACAACCAGUACAUGGAGGACGUGAUCUUCGAGGGUGGGCAUGGCCGUCCCUACGACCCCAAGGAGACCCAAAGUUAGGAUGGCCGUGCCCAGUACGUGCCCGAUGAAGAGGCCAACGGCCGUGCUGAGUACGACCAUGGUGACUCGUGGCAUGAAGACGAUGACAUCUAUGUCGAAGGUGAUGGUGAUGAAGAAGAAGGCAAUGACGUUGAUAUUAGUGGUGAGCCAUUGUUCAUCAAAGAGCUCACCCAAAGAGCAGAUGCACAAAAGAAGAAGAAGAGCAUUCGCACGGGUUCAUACACACAAGAUGAGGACAAGUUGAUUUGCCAAGCUUGGAUGGAGAUUAGCCAAGAUCCGAGGACCGGCGCGUAACAAUAGGGCAUUGUUUUUUGGACGAGAGUCCACAAAACAUUCAAUGAAAGGAAGAUGUUCGAGCCCUACCAAAUUACAAGCAAUCGUGGCAUCGGCUUGAUUCAAAAGAGAUGUUUGUUCAUCCAACAAGAGUGCAACAAGUAUCAAGCGGCAUUUGAGAGCGUUCAAGCACGACCCGUGAGCGAUCAUGAGUGUGGACUUGUCGAAGAUGAGCGAAAAGACGAGGGUCUGGUUCGAGGCCAAGCAGAAGGAGAUGCUCAACGGCGAAGGCCUGAACUAGGUCGUCCGAUCGGCCGUGGCCGUUCUUUUUGGAGGCUGGCAUGGGUGCCGCCCGCCCGCUGGGCCGCUGGCUGUGUGCUGGCGAGAAAACAUUCAUUUUGGUGGUCGGCUAUGUUGCCGGCGAGGACAACUAUUCAUUUUGGAGGCUGACUGUGUUGCCGGCCGCUGGCUGAUGCCGACGAUGGACGUGUAGGCCGCUGGCUCUGUUACCGGCGUGAUGAACCGGGACCGCUGGCCUGAAAUAGGGCUUGGCAUUUGAAACGUUGCUUCUGGUUUUUAAAUAGACACGGACAGGAUGGGGCAAAUGGAUGUGGCCAUGCGCCCAGCCGCAUCCCAGGACACGCCCAGACACGACCCCAAAUCGCUGCCCGAACGAACAGAAUCCGGACAAAAUGGACGUCCAUUUGGGGUCGCACGGUGGAAAUGGCCUUACGAACAGGAAAUCGGACACCAGAAAAUCAACGCACACGCAUAACCGUGGAGGAUCCAAACAAGACACCAGAAGUCCAGAACUAAAAAGCACAUGUACGGUGUUCAAAAUAAAAAGCACAUGUACAGCCGUGGCAACAGGUAAAACCGGAACGGCCCACGAGCAAGAAAAAACACCCAUGCGAGCAGACAUGAUCUCCUGUGACUGCUGUUCCUCGUCGAGGCGCCUCCGCCAUCCCCGCGCCACCCCUGCCAAUGAUGCAUCACACGGCUGCGGGCUGCCCUCAAUAUUGUGCAAGUCAUGGUAGCCGCCGAACGCCUGCACGCUGAAGCACCUGCGGUCGCAGUAGCUACACGAGAAGUCGACAAGGCCGCAUUCUGGACGGUGCCGUCGGCCAGCAGAGACGCUCGGUGGCGCCGUGCGUCGUCCCGGGUCUCAGGCCGAGACUGUUGAUGGUACACUGCACCUUGCCCUCUGUUGAGUAUGUAUAUUGUACUGCAGGUGUAUUGGAGUUGUGACCCACCUCCUAGUCUUGUAUAGUUGAGAUAGAGGUCUUUUCUUGUAUUAUAUAUGCAUGCACCAACACCCCAAUCAACACAUCGUAUUGCAAAUCAUCUGUCUACAUGAUAUCAUUUUUUCCGGUCUAACCCUAGGAUAGCUGCCGCCGUCGCCGCCGCACCCCACCUCUGCACCUGCCGCCGCUGCGCCCCUCCACCUCAUGCCUCCACGCGCCACCGCCACUGUGCCUCGCUUCCGCCCUCCCACGCGCGCGCCUCGUCCUGCUGCUACGCUAGCCAACGACCUCAUUGACCGCCUGGCUAGCUAGCUUCACUAGCCAGCCGCCAGCCGCGCCCGUGCUCCGCGCCGCUCUGCUUUUUAUCCCGCGCCGUGCUCCACCAGCCGCCGCACCUUCUCCCACUGCAGUCGCGUCCCGCCGCUGCGGCCAUCUCCUAUCCCAACCCUAACCCUAGCCGCUACCCCGCACACCGCCAUGUCGUGGCCCUCCUCCCCCGGCUCCUCCUCCACCCACUCGUCCAAUCCGUUCGCUGGUUCCGAGCCCUCUGUCGCUGCCAUCCGUGACCUCAAUAUUGAGGCCCGGGUCUCCAUCCGUCUCGAAAGCUCCAGCACGUCAUACUAUGCGUGGAAGACCUACUUCAACCUUGUAUUUCGCGAGUACUAUCUCACCGAGCAUAUCGACGGUUCCGUGGACAGCGCGUACAUGCGCGGUGACCCGGAGUGGUCCGCCAUCGAGGCCACGCUCAUCCGUUGGUUCUACCAGACGGUCUCGAAGGACAUCUUCCACACGGUCAUCAUCGAGGACGAUGACGCAUGCAUCGUGUGGGCCAAGAUCAACAUGCUCUUCACCGACAACAAACUCCAGUGCCUUGUUUUCUUGCAGCAGGAGUUCUUCGGCUGUCACCAGGAUAACUCCACCAUCGACGAGUAUUGCAUGAGGCUCAAGAUGCUCGCCGACGAGCUUCGCGACAUCGGCGCUAAGGUCUCUGACGACCUCAUGCCGAGCACCCUCAUCGCCGGACUUAAUGAGGACUUCGACAAUGCGGCGUCCAACCUCACUCUGCUGCCGCAACCCACCAGGAUGACGAAGCUGAAGCAGUGGGUCCAGCACACCGCUCUCGCGGCCGGUACCACCCGCGGUGGCCCAGCUCCUCAGCCCCCCCNNNNNNNNNNNNNNNNNNNNNNNNNNNNNNNNNNNNNNNNNNNNNNNNNNNNNNNNNNNNNNNNNNNNNNNNNNNNNNNNNNNNNNNNNNNNNNNNNNNNNNNNNNNNNNNNNNNNNNNNNNNNNNNNNNNNNNNNNNNNNNNNNNNNNNNNNNNNNNNNNNNNNNNNNNNNNNNNNNNNNNNNNNNNNNNNNNNNNNNNNNNNNNNNNNNNNNNNNNNNNNNNNNNNNNNNNNNNNNNNNNNNNNNNNNNNNNNNNNNNNNNNNNNNNNNNNNNNNNNNNNNNNNNNNNNNNAAGGUGGUGGGGGCCGGCGCAACCAGCAGGGUGGUGGGGGCCGUCGUCAGUAGCAGCCGCCACAGCAGCAGGUGCAGGGCGCAGGGGGGCGCCCCACUUCCAGCAGCCGCCUUCUCCGUGGGCCGUCGGGCAGAACCCGUGGACGGGCGUCGUCCAUGCCUAUCAUAUGCCCGUCCCGCAAGCUCCUGCACCGGGUCUCCUUGGCCCCCGUCCAGCGGGCCACCAGCCGUUCGUCGACGCCCCCUACCAGCCCUACGGUGCCCCGCUCGCGCCGCCACUCCUCGGUGGCUACGGCGUGCCAGCCCAGGCACCGCCCUAUGAAGGCCAGCCGCUGGCACCUGGACCAUGGGACCCAGCCCUCCUGGCCGCCCUACACUCGGCGCCGUAGCCGAGCAACUAUGGCGGUGGAGGCGACUGGUACAUGGACUCGGGUGCUACUGCGCACAUGACAGUUCAUCUCAGUAACCUUUCCUCCGCCACUCCCGUUCACACUCCCACUCGCAUCACCGUUGGCAAUGGUUCCUGUUUACCCAUCACCCAUGUCGGUAGCACUAGUUUUCCUUCCAGUUCCACACCUAUCACUAUGUCUAACGUUCUUGUUUCACCAGACUUAGUCACUAGCUUAGUCUCUGUUCGUCGUCUUACUCGUGAGAAUCCUCUUACUGUUGAAUUUGAUGGUGUUGGUUUUUCUGUGAAGGACGUCCGUACCCGGAUGGUGCUUCACCGAUGUGAUAGCCUUGAUGAGCUUUAUCUCGUGCACGCCGGCGCCUCCACUUCCACACCCAUCGCUCUCUCUGCCGGCGUCGACCUUUGGCAUGCUCACUUGGGCCACCCCAACCCCGCCGUUUUGCAUCAGAUUCUUAGGAUUUUUUCUUUCUCAUGUAAUAAGCUCGAUGAUCAUACUUGUGAGGCUUGUCGUUUGGGCAAGCACGCGCGUCUUUCCUUUAGUGCGUCUACUUCAGUUUCCACUUUUCCAUUUCAGUUGAUUCAUAGUGAUGUUUGGACGUCUCCCGUUGCAAGUAAGACGGGCUAUCUAUACUAUUUUGUGAUUUUAGAUGAUUAUUCUCAUUAUGUGUGGACUUUUCCUCUUCAUUGUAAAUCCGAUGGCUUAGCCACACUCACCACCUUUUAUUCAUACGUCACCACUCAGUUCGGUCGCCCCAUACUUGCACUCCAAACUUAUAACGGAAAAGAGUUUGACAACGUUGCUCUUCGCUCCCUUCUCGCCUCUCACGGCACCACCUUACGUCUGACUUGCCCCUACACUUCACAGCAGAACGGCCGCGCCAAGCGCAUUCUCCGCACUCUUAAUGACUGCGUUUGCACGUUGCUCUUCCAUGCUAACGUGCCCACUCGGUUCUGGCCCGAUGCCCUCGACACCGCCUCUCUCUUAGUCAACAUUCGUCCGUGUCGUCCCCGGUGGAACUACGCCCCUCACCACCUUCUUUUCGGUACACCACCGCCCGAUGAUGGUCUUCGCAUAUUUGGGUGUCUCUGUUAUCCUAGCACCCCGUCCACCAUGCCACACAAGCUUGCACCCGCUCCGUCCCAUGCAUCUUCCUUAGCUACCCUCCCAACACCAAAGGUUACCGGUGAUAUCAUCAUGUCACCCAUCGUGUGUACACCUCGAGGCAUGUGUACUUCGUCGAGACGCUGUUCCCUUUUUUUCAGGUUCCUCCGGCCGCGGCUCCUUCGGCUCCGGCCCCCGCGCCCCUACCUGGUGCGAUGCGCGGCGGCACACCCCGGCGCCCCCCAACCCGGCGCCUCCUGCCGCCCCUCACGGGUUCUCGACUCCCUCACUCGAGGUUGAGUCCGCCAAGCCCCCGGGUCCCUGGCUCCCUCGAACAAGGUCGAGCCUGCGGGCACCCCACCUGCCACCCUGGCCUGCACCGCCACUCCUGCGAUGGGCUCGACCUCGACCUCGCCCAUCGCCUCCUCCGUGCCUGGCUCGGCUGUCACUGUCGUGGGUCCUGAUGCUGUAGGCCUCGCCCCUGACGCCGCGCCCCCCGCCGCCGCAGGCGCCCGUGUUGUGGCCGUGGCUGUCGGUGUCAAAACCGGUGGAUAUCAGGUAGGGGGUCCUGAACUGUGUGUAUAAGGUCGAUGGUAACAGGAGACAGGGGACACGAUGUUUACCCAGGUUCGGGCCCUCUCUAUGGAGCUAAUACCCUACAUCAUGCUUGAUUGAUCUUGAUGAAUAUGAGUAUUACAAGAGUUGAUCUACCACGAGAUCGUAAUGACUAAACCCUAAAAGUCUAGUCUGGCUAUGAUAAUGAUUGUCCUCCCUCCGGACUAAGUCCUCCAGUUUAUAUAGACAACGGGGGGACCUAGGGUUACAUAAGGUCGGUUACAAAGAAAGGAAUCUACUUAUUUGAUCGCCAAGCUUGCCUUCCACGCCUAGAAGAGUCCCGUCCGGACACGGGUGCGGUCUUCGGUCUUCAUAUCUUCAUAGCCCAUCAGCCCGGCCCAUGGCUAACAAGUCGGACGCCCGAGGACCCCUUAGUCCAGGACUCCCUCAGUAUCCCCCGAACCAGUCUUCAAUGACAAGGUGUUCGGCGCACAGAUUGUCUUCGGCAUUGCAAGGCGGGUUCCCCCACUGAUGACUUCCAAGUAGUGUGUUCGGCCUUCCAUUUAAUGUUGUACCCCUCGGCUUCUGCGCAUCGACAACUUCAGUUUCCACAUGUUGAUCGAAUGCGAGAGGUCAGGGUAUUUUUGCAUAUACCACCUUGACCGUACCAGAAAGGUGCCUAUUUAAAGAGAACAGAUCUCAGAUCCCCUCCAAAUCUCAUGGAAGAAACCCUCAGAGCUUGUGGAGCAGAACCACCCCAACAUGGCUAGCGCUCCCAGCUCUUCCUCUCGUCCCCACAACUCUGAAAAGGGGAAUUGGGAGAGAUGUUCAGUUUCUCACAGUCAGNNNNNNNNNNNNNNNNNNNNNNNNNNNNNNNNNNNNNNNNNNNNNNNNNNNNNNNNNNNNNNNNNNNNNNNNNNNNNNNNNNNNNNNNNNNNNNNNNNNNNNNNNNNNNNNNNNNNNNNNNNNNNNNNNNNNNNNNNNNNNNNNNNNNNNNNNNNNNNNNNNNNNNNNNNNNNNNNNNNNNNNNNNNNNNNNNNNNNNNNNNNNNNNNNNNNNNNNNNNNNNNNNNNNNNNNNNNNNNNNNNNNNNNNNNNNNNNNNNNNNNNNNNNNNNNNNNNNNNNNNNNNNNNNNNNUGGUCCCCGUAUGAUCAGGGAUGACGUCCUUCAAGGGCGGGGCUCAAGCGGAGAACUUCCCCAAUCUGACCAGGGGAGAACGAGUACGCUUCGUCCCCUUCUUGUUAAGAGGUGUCAGAUUUCCGAUCCAUCCCUUCCUCCGAGGUCUGCUGGAGUAUUACGGUCUCCAACUGCACAGUCUCACUCCCGCCUCUAUCCUUCAUAUUGUGGGUUAUGUCGCUCUAUGCGAGCUAUUCCUGAGCUGCGAGGCCCAUUUUGAUUUAUGGAGAAGAUUGUUCUGCCUCGUCCCUCGUAAUCAAGCUGGGUCAAUUUUUGAAGUGGGAGGAGCCGAAGUGUGGCGCAUCGCCGGGACCGGAUACCUGUCCGGCACGCCGAAGAAAGCUUCCAAAGAGUGGCCUUCCGAAUGGUUCUACAUCAACGACGUCGCUCUUCCUGACCCUGUCCGUAUGGGCCUUCUCGAGUUUUCAAGUGCUCCGUUGAAGAAACACCAUAGCUGGCGUCCUCGGACCCUCAAGGAAUAGGAUAGUGCAGAUAUCAGCAUACUCCUGGGCCAUAUUAAGAUGCUUGCCCAGUCCGGAUUGUCAAUAGUCGAGGUAAUGGCGAUCUCCAGAACAUGGGGGGUCUAGCCACUCCAAUACAGAGGGCUGCCCAUGUGGCAUUAUAAGAGGGAAGACGACGCCUCACGCUACGGUCGAAAGGGCCCAAAGACCCCCGCUGCUCUGGCCAAAAUAUUGGCCGAACUGUAUAAAGGGGAGAAGGAGGAGUUCACCCGUCUCCUAUAUCGAGACGGAUUUUCCAUGUAUAAUCUUCCUAGCUAGGUAACCUCUAACUCCACUAUUUUACUCCUGUCCCUGAAUCAUUCUUGACAGGCAAUAUCUUAUCCGCUUAUAAGUUAUAAUAGGAAUGGCGAAAGGCUGACGAGGGGAUCCACGACCCUGCCCCUCAGCCGGAGAAUCGCAACCGGGACCUUGACCCUGGAUAUGAGGAAGAUCCGCACAUAUUUGUGGAGCUCGACGAUGGAAUAUUCUAUCAGACGAGCUAUGAUGGUACAGAUGUACCCAUCAUCACCGAUUACCCUGGUCUCCUUCCUGCUUCGCAUGUAAGUAAUCUGGCGAUACCUUGUCCAAGAGAGUUUUCUCAUUCCUCCUCACCCACCGCACUGUCCUGUGCUCAAAAGGGGAGGUGCUCGGUGCACCAUGCUGCCCCGGGGGCAUCUCCGAAGAGAGUGCCCCCCACCCAAGGCAAGCCUUUGAAGCGAAAGGCAAACGAAGAUACAGCCAAGCCUUCAUGAAAUAGGUAUGGAUUUGCAAAUAUGCACCUUGGCAGUCACAUCCAACUGUGACCUUUCCGUUUACCCUGUAUCAUGAAAAAGGUGUGCUGGACUAUAUCCGGGGGUCCGGCUGGUCAUACUUCCUGCAGCCAGGAUCCAGAUCCUGCCGUAAAGACGGGGGCUGAUGCGGGGGUGACGCCAGACUGUCCUCCAGCCGAGGAUUCAGAUGAUGUAUCCUCACCAACUCAGAAGUGGAGAGCGCCAUGAAUCGUUGGCGUUGCAGGGCCAUUUUACAAGACCCCGGUUUUUUAGAAGAGGCAUUUAACGCCUUUAGCUCGGCCGAUACAUAUAUCUAAGCUGCUCGAGAUGGGCUUAACAGAGCCACAAAGCAGCAUUUAAAAGAUGUGCAGGUAAGUUUACUUUGUCCGAAUAUGAUAACCACAUGCCAGUAGCCCCCGAGACUUGAAGUAGUUGGUACAAAUGAUUUAAGGAUCAUUGUAUAACCAGGUUCUUACAAAGAAGAACGACCUGCUAGCCCAAGAGCUGGAAAAGUGUCAGACACACCUAACCGCUACUACUGCCGAACUAGAAAAGCUCAAGAAGGCAUCCUCUGGUAAUAUUUCCCUCCAUCGAGAAACAAUGAUUAUAUGCGAGCUGUGCUGAUACUGCUGCUUGUCUCAUAACAGGGUCGUCAGACCAACUGGAAGAGAAACUAAAGGCUGCUCAAACAGACGAGGAAGAGGCAAAAAGAACGCACGCCACAGGCGAGCGCGUUCUGACCCAAGUCAGAGAGGAGAAAAACAAACUCCAGGAUUCCAACAUCCAGCUGGGCGAGGAACUGAAAGAUGUGCGGGCCCAACUGGUCGACUCUGUGAAGGAGAAUAAAAGGCUCUGAGGCGGUAUAUUCAGUAUGUGGCCGAACUUACCUUAUAAUAGUUCGAAGAUGAAAGGUACUGAUAAAGUUAUGUUUGCAGGUAUGCUGACAUGCCAUCCCGAAGAGGAGGUGUCCGGAUCGUCGGAUGAUCUGCUGCAGGGGCUAUCGCAAAUGCACGAGCAAGCUCGGCUGGCAAUGCAGAGUGUUGCUAAGGCCUUAUGGCCAUCCACCUCCCCUCCAGGAAGUAUGGAGAAGCUUGUAGAGCUAUUCAAGGGAGCGUGGCGACGUAUCCGAUUAUGGAAAAUAUCGGCCUGCCAGGAGGGUGCACGAGAGGCUUGGGCCAUGGUGAAAACACGGUAUACCAAGCUUGAUCCGAAUCACAUGGCCCGGGUCAGACCUUUAGGGUCAGAUGGGAAAGAAGUGCCCGUUAAUUUGGUAUAUGACCAAGUAGCAGUAGCUGCCAAAUAUUUCCAACAGGAUUGUAAGCUAGAUAGCAUGUUGGAUGGUAUAGAGGGGAAACUUUAUGAGUCUAAGUGACUAUGUACUUUCCUUGACAUAUGUAAAUUCUAGCUGAAUUGUAAAACGAUUGUCAUGGCAGACCUUCUCGCUUCAACCUCGGGACCCGAAGGUGCGGAGUCUUUCCGAAUACCCUGCAGCCGAAUAGACCAGGGAAUGCGUGGAACCCAGGCGUAGGGGUCAUAGUUGCUUGAACAGACAAGUUGUAUUCGGCUAGUUAUGUUAUAUUACAUUAAAAUUGUAAGAAACAUCUUCCAAAGAGAAUAGUUCCAUUAAGGGUUCCUUUCCCUGGGUGUGCAUGCGUUACAGUGCAUGUCUGAACUGUGAUUAAAAAAAUCGCAGUAUAUACAUGUAUAUAUAUAUAUAUAUAUAUAUAUAUAUAUAUAUAUAUAUAUAUAUAUAUAUAUAUAUAUCUUCUGGGGGUUCGCAAUGGAGCGAAUGCAAAAAACAUCUUUAAUCCACCGACCGAAUAUUCCCUUAAGAAUGCUAGCUUUCGGCUUCACCCAGUCUGAGGUACACAUCCAUAUGACCCGGCAGUAACAAUCGUAGAGGUGCUCCCUUUAUGCCCUAGCCGAACUAACGGGAAUGUAGGGCAUAAGCAUAGGAGCCAGGCAACCUAGCUUCGCCCAAACUUAAGUCAUAUCGAUGCAUAUAAUGGCGAAGAAAAGGUACAUAUGGGAAAAACAUAUGUGGUGUAACACCCAUGAUGCGGCUAUAUCUCCCACGUGUCGGAGCACGACUUAGAGGCAUAGCCGCAUAGUAGGCAUGUCGCAAGAGGGGUAAUCUUUACACAUCCCAUGUACUGAAUAAGAAAGGGAUAAGAGUUGGAUUACAAUCGCCACUUCACACAAUACAUAAAUAUAGCAUUACAUCAUCUAGAAUACAAUCAAGGUCCGACUACGGAACCAAAUAAAGAAAGACAACCCCUAAUGCUAGAUCCCCGAUCGCCCCGACUGGGCUCCACUACUGAUCAACUGGAAAUGAAACAACACAACGAACACGAUCCUCAUCGAGCUCCUCCUUGAGCUCGGUUGCGUCACCUGCAUGGUUAUCAUCGACACCUGCAACUGUUUGGAAGUAACUAUGAGUCACGAGGACUCAACAAUCUCAGACCUUCGCAAUCAAGACUAUUUAAGCUUAUGGGUAGGAAAAGGUAGUGAGGUGGAGCUGCAGCAAGCACUAGCAUAUAUGGUGGCUAACUUACGCAAAUGAGAGCGAGAAGAGAAGCAAAGCAUGGUCGAGAAACUAUAAUGAUCAAGAAGUGAUCCCAAAACUACUUACGUUCAAGCAUAACACAAGAACCAUGUUCACUUCCCGGACUCCGCCGGAAAGAGACCAUCACGGCUACACACGUGGUUGAUUCAUUUUAAUUAAGUUAAGUGGCAAGUUCUCUACAACCAAAUAUUAAAAAAUUCCCAUCUACCCAUAACCGCGGGCAUAGCUUUCAAAAGUUCAAAACCCUGCAGGGGUGUCCCAACUUAGCCCAUCACAAGCUCUCACGGUCAACGAAGGAUAUUCCUUCUCCUAGGAAGACCUGAUCAGACUCGGAAUCCCGGUUACAAGACAUUUCGACAAUGGUAUAACAAGACCAGCAAAGCCGCCCGAUGUGCCAACAAAUCCCGAUAGGAGUUGCACAUAUCUCGUUCUCAGGGCACACCAUAUGAACACUACGUACAACUAAAACCAACCCUCAAGUUUCCCCGAGGUGGCGCUGCAAGUGGCUCUGUUUUGGACCAACACUGGCCCGGGGGCUUUAAAAUAAAGACGACCCUUGAGUCUGCAGAACCUAAGGGAAAAAAGGCUUAGGUGGCAAAUGGUAAAACCAAGGUUGGGCCUUGCUGGAGGAGUUUUAUUCAAAUCGAACUGUCAAGGGGUUCCCAUAACACCCAACUACGUAAGGAAUGCAAAAUCAAGGAACAUAACACUGGUAUGACGGAAACUAGGGCGGCAAGAGUGGAACAAAACACCAGGCACAAGGCCGACCCUUCCACCCUUUACCAAGUAUAUAGAUGCAUUAAAGUAAGCAAGAUAUAAUAAUGAUAUCCCAAAAUAUCCAUGUUCCAACAUGGAACAAGCUUCAUCUUCACCUGCAGCUAGCAACGCUAUAAGAGGGGCUGAGCAAAGCGGUAACGUAGCCAAACAACGGUUUGCUAGGAAAGGUGCAUGCUACCUCUUGAGCACUGCGUUGGUUUUCCCCGAAGAGGAAGGGAUGAUGCAGCAAAGUAUUUCCCUUAGUUUUUGAGAACCAAGGUAUUAAUCCAGCAGGAGGCUACGCGCGAGUCCCUCGUACCUGCGCAAAACAAAUAAAUUGUCAGGACCCCGACUCAAUGCCACAUCGAUCUAGCAUGUAACACCUCAUAUCACUUUGCGGCCUCACGCACGGUAUUCCCACGGGUGUCUCCUUACCUUUGCCCGGGACCGUUUGCGCCUUUUGGCACACGUAUAUGACAGUGUCGCUAGCAUCCAUAUGAUAAGGAGCCCGGGCUGACAUAGCUAGUCGUAAACCCAAAGUGGCACAGACUUACAGGGACAGGCAUCCAUGACCCAGCAUCGAACGUGUCGGUCAUCAGCGAGUGAAUCCAGGCUGUAGCACUGGGCUAGCAGGACUCCGGUGAACCGGGCUGUAGCGGGCUGACAGGACUCCGGUAUUCAUCGCGUGACAUUUCCCCGAAGGGACAGACACAGGAACGAAGAAGGACACAUGCCGGCCAGCCUAAGUGUUCCGGAGCAGCUGCAAGCUACCAUGGCUCAGUGGAAACACUAGGAGACAUUUCCCGGUAAGAGAGGCUACUAAGGAUAAACAACUAGAUAGCCAGAUCCCACACAUACCAAGCAUUUCAAUAACAUACACACAAUAUGCUCGAUAUGUGCAAAUACAACAUGGCAUCACAACAUGACUCUACGACACAAGUAAAUAUUCAAUAGGAUCCGAGGAGUGAGAUAUUACAAACAUGGGUCUCAUGACCCAACAAUCAGAGCAUACAAGUCAAAGCACAAGCGGAAGCUAUCAUGUCUAAGUACAGACAUCUAGAAAUGAAAAAGGCUGAGAAGCCUGACUAUCUACCAGAUCCUGCCGAGGGCACAAGAUCGUAGCUGAGGUAACAAGCUAAACGUCGAAGUCCACGCGAAACUAUUUGUGAGACCGAAGUCUCUCUGCAAAAACAUAAAAUAGGCAAACGUGAGUACAAAUGUACCCAGCAAGACUUACAUCAGAACUAACUACAUAUGCAUCAUUAUCAACAAGGGAUGGUGGGGUUUAACUGCAGCAAGCCAGCUUUGACUCGGUGGCUAUCCUAAACUACGACUGCAAGUAACUCUUUUGAGGUGGCGCACACGAGUCCACAAAUUCACCAUAUCAAUACACCACUAUGGAUCCGCUCCCGUCUCCCUACGAGAACGCCAUCCAUAGCACUCACGCUUAUCUUGCGUAUUAUAGAGUAUCCACUUUCACUUGUCUAUGAACUGAUAUAAGCAACCCAGAAGUCCUUUUCCGCGGACACGGCUAUUCGAAUAGAUGAUGUUAACCCUGCAGGGGUGUACUUCUUCAUACAUGUUUCCACCACUUAGCGUCUGCACACGACAUGUGCUCGGCAGACUUCAAGCGAAAGCCGACGUGGGUGUAGACCACGACCUACCUAAACACUCAAGUCUCUAGUCCAGGUUUAUCGCCUAUUCGGGUUCCAUCCAUGAGGAGAUCCGGCCGGAGUUUCGCUCACAGCCCCAAACGAUGUGAACAGGGUUCCCGAGAUACCAAACGGGCAUCCGGUACACCGUGCCACGUACCUACCGCAUCACAGCCCACCCCUACGGUCAGCGCUAUCCACGGCCUCCAGUAAGCUACAAACAUCAGAAACUACUUGCAACUCCUGGACAGAGGACUAGGGUGAAUAAGAAGUCGAGCGGGGUCAUAUUUCAGGGCCCAAUGUAUGGUAGUAGCUGAAUCAUGGAUCACAAACACAGAACUCAGUUCCUGAGGACGGCUGCAAUGAGAUAACCCACCAUGCACUCCUACAUGGCCUCUCACCGCUACCUUUACCAAAUCGUGUUCACACACUUAGCUCACACACAGUAGGACAUGUUCACACGCCUCUGAUUCAUCCCCGAUGAAUCAGACCUGACUCAACUCUAAGCAGUAGCAGGCAUGACAAACAAACAUGAAUGAGUAGGCACAUCAGGGCUCAAACAACUCCUACUCAUGCUAGUGGGUUUCAUCUAUUUACUAUGGCAAUGACAGGUCAUGCAGAGGAUAAAGGGGUUCAACUACCGCAGCAUGUAACAAUUGAAUCGGUGUUGUCCUAAUGCAGUAAAAGAGAGCAGGAGCGAGAGAGUAGGAUUGUAUUGGAAUGAACAAGGGGGUUUUUGCUUGCCUGGCACUUCUGAAGAUAACAUUGAGUCUUCAUCAGUGUCAACGAUCACAUCAUCGGUAUCACGUCUAUCGAGAGGGGACAAAUACCGGCAACACAGAAGGGAACACAAUCAAUGCAAUGCACAAUAUGAUGCAUGAUCAUGACAUGGCAAAAUGAAUGUGUUUUGGCUAAUGCAACUAGAAACAGAUUAAAUGAAGUUGGUUUGAAUAUAAAAUUCAAAUUCAAACUCCAUAUGUGAUUAAAUAAAUGCCCUUUAAUUGAUUUGUGCUAAACAGCAGCUAUAAGUUGUUCUAACAUGCAUGAAAAUGGUACAGAUGGAUUCCUUGAAUUUUUCUGAUAAUUUUUCAUAUAUAAAUUAUUUAAUUUGGAGUUACGGUUAAUUUUCUAUGAUUUAUUGAAGUUUAGAAUAUAUUCUGGAAUUAUUAAAUCAUUUCCUAAUUUAUUUUAAUUCCAGAAACAAAUACUGCGUCAGCAUGACGUAUUGGUGACGUCAGCAGGUCAAAGGUGUCGACCAGGUCAAACCUGACCAGUGGGGUCCACUGGUCAGUGACCCAGUCAACUAACCAGGUUAGUUAGCCCUAACUAACUUAGUUAGCCGGGCGGGGCCCGCAUGUCAAUGGCCUAUCUAAUUAGCUAGGUUAAUUAGCGCUAACUAAUCUAACACUAAUCUAGCAGGCGCCUGGGCCCACACGUCAGGGGGUCAAACCCCGGGUCAAACCCGCCGGAGUUGACCCGCGGCUUGUCGCCGGCGGAGCCAGAGACGGCGGAGGGGGUCGGAAAUCCUCCUCCGGCGACCAAAACAGCGACAGCGAUCAUCUACGCGUAGCUGGCGCUCAGCCGCAUCCAUCUAGGCAAGCGGGAGGGGCUGAGGUCGAACGGGCUCGGCGGAAUCGAGCUCGCGGCGGCGGCCGGAGCUCGGGGUUGGUGCGGGUUGGCGCUAGGGGGCACGGCAGGUCGCACGGGUGGGCGCGCUCGGCUCCUGGAAGGGUACUGAGCACGUUGCCGUGCUCGGGAGUUAGCUACGGUGGCUCUAGCACCGUCUGCGACAUUGCCGGCGGCGAGGAACUGUCGGCUCCGACAGUCGGGGCGGUUAGAAGGCACGGACGGGCACGGGGAGAGAGGGGAAAUGGACAGGGGCUCACGAGGGGUCGGGAGAGAAGCUCGGUGGGCUCGGGGAAGCCUCUGCAACGGCGAAUUGACGACGGCGAUCUCCGGGCACCGGAGAUGAAGACGACGACGCUCCGGUCGACUGCGGCCUCCUCUGGUCGCGUGCGUCGCGUGUGUAGCUCCACGGGGUCAGGGCGGAGCUCAGGGAUGUAUAGUGGGAGCGAGGGGGUGGCUGUGGCCCCGGUAAACGGCGUCGGCGGCGAUGGGCUCCGCUCGGGCGCGUGAGGGAGAGAGAGCAGAGGAGAGGGAGGAGCGAGGGAGAGCUACGGGAGAGUGAGAGAGGUCGUGGGGAACGAGGGGGGGGAGUGCGUGGCUCCCUCGGGUGCCUCCAGCGGCGAGCAGGUAAGCAGGAGGUGGCCGGAGCUCUUCGGGCGCGCGCCACGCCUCGCCUCUACCUACUGGCAGAGGAAGAAGAGGACAAGGGGGGGAGGAGGUGGGCUGGGCCGGCCAGAUGGAGCUGGGCCAGCUCUGGUGGGCUGCACGGGUAAGGCCAGGUAACUUUCUGCUCUGUUUUAUUUAAUUCUGUUCCGUUUUCUUUUAUUUAAUUCUUUUGCCACUGUUUGAAUUUUAAAAUAAUUCAAACAAUGCCAAAAACUCCUCUGAAUAUUUUUAUUUUGCUAGAUGGACUUUUCCAAAAGCUUAUAAAAUAUUUCAGGGGUAUUUGAAAUUAUAUUCUAAUUAUAUGAAUAUAAUUCAAAUUCAAAUAGCUAAUGAUUUAAAUUCAAAGUCCCAAAAUAAAUCCUUUUAAAAUGUUCAUUAUUUUUGGUUUGGAUCAAAGCCCUUGCCAAAAAUAUUAAACAUCUGAGAAGAGCAUUUUGGAGCAAUGAAUGAGAUUUCUAGGGUUUUUGCCCUUCUUUUAUUUAAGUUUUUGAGGCUUCCAAAAUUCCUCAGUUCAAGUUUCGAAAAUAUAGACAUGAUGCACACAUGAAGCUAGCCUAGAGCACUACCAGCAGCUAGGGAUGUGACAACUCACCCCCACUAAACAAGAAUCUCGUCUCGAGAUUCAAGCGUAGGGUAAGGUGAAGGGUAAACGCAACUAGUAUAAUCUUCACGAUUCAGGUUGCACUUCAUAGGAACGUUGAUUCGAUCACCAUCAUUGUCUUGAAGUCUUGCUCUGAGAAAUCCUGUCAACAUGACAUGGAGGGAAGAAGGAGACUCUAGAAGGGUCGAUCUUCUCGAAGAUCGAACAACUCACGGAAUGAGACAUAGGACCAUCUCUCGGGUUGAGACACGAGAUACACAUCAAGAGGGGUGGAAAGAAACGGAUGACGAAGGUUCACUAGGUAGACAACGAUUCCACACCUAAGAAGGUGGUAAACGAUUUUCCACGUAGCGAGGAGUUGAGUUGCCAUGAUACCACAACGAGGCACCUUAGGGAAGGUGACUCGUAGAGAUAUUUCCUUAAGUGGCAAAAAGAAUUACUUUUGAUUCAGAGAUCAUUGAAACUCUUUAAACCAGCCUAAGACAAUUCUCGAGCGAUCGUUUGGAGGGGGUCGGUAGAAUGGCAUACUCGGACUUGGAUGAUGUGGAUUACCUUGUUGAAGACAACGUAAUGGAUGAAUUUGCUUAUCACCGGAAAUGUAAGAGACCCAUGGUAGAAUGGCACAUUGGCGGUGCAAGCUGGGAACAAAAUGCAAAUACUGGGAAUGAUUCUGGUAACUGGGGAAGAACCCAACAACAGAGAGUGCAUUCACUGUUUGGAUAGGUCAUAGCAUUUCCGAGGAAACUGAGAGCAAACCCAGUUAGUGCCGAUGAUAACACAUAGCGCUUGUGCGUGCUCUCAAGAACUUGAGCAUUUCCACAUUCAUCAAGGUUUUACCAACAUCCGUUUCAAGGGUCUGGUAACACAACUUACUACCAUGAUGAAUGGUGAUGGAGGAUGCAGAUGCAAAGGAGGAUAACACUUCUCAGAUUUCAUCUUAGCGAGGCCAAGGAAAUAAAAUCUGGAUGAUCGACCGAGAGACAUUUAGCACUCCGCUUCUAAUGUUCUUCUUGAUGUGCUAGUGUAACCCAUUCAUAGAUAUGGUUUGAUAUCUAGAACAUCAAGUAAAGGUCGGACUUCGGGAGCACAAGAAUCCAUAAGGAACAACUAGGGAGGUAAAUCCUACGAAAUCCUUAUGGGGAGGUGGCCAACUUCCUCAAUCAAGAUACUACAAUAAUAGGUCUUCCGGCUGGGUGUGUUGGCCACGACAUCCACUUUACCGGUUAUCGAGGGACCAAUAUUAUAGUUCUUGGGAAAUGUUCCAAACCAUCAUAUCUGCCUGAGAUUCAGAUCUGGUUGGUGUCAGGAUAUUCCAGACUCAUCGAGUCUAGGAAGAAAAUGAAAGUUUGCAACACAAAUCGACGAGAUGACGUUGCGAGAUUCUCGGGGAAUGAACUACGAUAGUAAGCUCCAAAACAUGAGCUGAUUCUGCUACAACAUGUGAACACGAUGUCCAAGACAAGCAUGACCACAAAGUAGUCUUAUAAUAAAACACUACCGAGUUCAGGAGGGGGAACCAUCAUUAAUGACAUCGAAGUCUCCACGCGUGGAAGUCCAAAGAGUUCACCUUGGACAGACUCCUUUAUCCUUGAACAACUCAAUCAGUGGCUUGGUGUGCUAGGAUAUACAUAUAGAAUGGAGGUUGCAAAUCUCCAGACCACAGAAUACUUCGCACGUAUGCAUGACUGACUUGGGAUGAUUCCAGAGGAAGCAAAACUAACUUUCUCAAAUUCACGGCGGCAACUUUCACCAAAUGCACGUGUAUAAGAGGAAGUCACUCCUUUCAUCAAACAAAUACUUCAUGAGCUAGCAUGAAGAAAAUGCUUUUAAAAGUUUCCAACACUAGCUUAAUGUUCAACAAAAUCAUGGAGGAGAUAAGGAUGUUGUCAAUGGGCUCAACAACAAUUCAUCUAGGUUUCCUUUUUAAAGGAAUUACAUAGUUAAGUGAACACGGUGAUAGCAUUGGUCAGACCAAAGAUGUAAUGGUGUAUGCUCGAGGGAUCAACCACGAAUAAGACAACAUUACGAGCAUCAUUGGUACUGAUUUGAUUUGAUGAUAGCCCACUCUCAAAUCAAAGGAUUGAUAAGACAAUAGGUCCAGCAACUGAUAACAGGGAUCAAUCGAUGAAGAUAUCAUCUUUCUCCAACACACACACAUACACAGAAAGAUAUCCCUUAACAUGAACUAAGUCAGACAGGCUUUUAUCUUCCAACUCUCCAAGUUGUUGUCUAGCUUAACCAACUAGCUCAGGGAUAUCAAACACAGAUUCUUGGAGAAGGGUGGUUCACAAGAAACCAACUUGAUCACGAGCUCAACACAGCGGUCAGGUGACAACCUGGUAAUACUUCCGAGAAGAUCUUCGGAAAAUCACGAAGCACCGAUAUGUUACUAGGCUCGAGAACAAUCUUGCCUUUGAGGCAAGACGAUAUGAUCAAUAGAGCGAAGAUUUGAAAUAAUCCUAACUCAUCGAUCGAGGAGUGCACCGAGAACAAGGACUAGGUAGCACGAUCAGUCUUAGAAGGAUGAUUCAAAAACCAACACGCUAAGAAUGAAAUUAUUAUCCAUUAACUACCACGCAACAAGGUUGCUAGGAGUAUUGAAUUCACACGCCAUGAUUCAUUUGUCGGCAUUCCCGUUACAAUAACACAGGAACCGAGGAAUGAACAAUGAUGGCAAGAAGUAUCACUGUACCAAGAGUGCAUAGGAUGGUGCGCAAUUCCUAUAACAAUCUCGAUAUAAAAUAUGUAAUACUCCAAGGUAGAACAGAGCAAAAGCUGGGUUAGCAAUUUGUUCUGCGGAGCACAACUUCUUUGACCCAAUCCUGGAUAUGGAAGAGGUACUGGAGUUUGUUUCUCCUAGUCAUUCCGCGAUAGAAUGGCUUGACGGACCACAAGAGUAAUAGGCAUCGAUAAACGAACGCACACAUACUCUUGACUAUCAAUUGAUAGACGAGGGUCAGUAGACAACUAAAGAGGGACAACUCAAAGGAACAUAUAACUUUCUGAGUUGUGGAUGCAUAGAUUAGUAUGUCGAUCCAAGUUCAACAUAAUUCUUCCGGAUAACCCAUGCAGAAAGGUAGAACUGGCAGAGCCACAAUAUAUAAUGGAGAACUCAUCAAGAAUAAUCCUGUUGUGAUAUUUCAGUUCAACGAGGAACUUCUGCCAUAAGCAGUUCAUGGUAUUUGGAAGAAGAAGAUACCACGAACUUCAAGGACUAUCGCAAAGGUUACUAAUAUCCUAAAGGCACUAGCAAUUACUAUCAACAUGAAGUAGGUAGAGUGAAUCUCGGGUUCAAGAACCCAGGAACAGAAUACCUAUUACUAAGUAGCAUCACGGGAUGCUUUCGAGAAUAAAAGCCAGAAUCAUCACACUGGGAUCACAAAACAUUGCUAGAUUACUAGGUGACUCCCUAAACACCUAGGGCCAUAAUAGUAACUCCAACAUAAUGUCAAGGCAAUAGAAUACCUCAACUCAACAAUUAGUGUGAUUGAGCUGGCAUAAAGGAGCAUCGAAACCAGAGGAAAAGGAUUUUGCAAAUGCAUCAGACUAUUUAGAAACCUGGAAUGACUCGGACAGCAUAACGGCUGUAAAUGCUCAGAAGAGAUUUGAGACAUUCACAAAAAUGGUGGCAUAACCACUCAGAAGCACAAUAUCAAGGUUUCGAGAUCAACAAUUAACAUACGGGAGUAGUAGGAACUGAACUGAGACUUAAAUCCAACAAUCUUAUAAGUCCACUGAUUAGUAACACGUGAUCCUGAUAGAAAGAAGAGAUAGCCUAGUUCUUAAUCCCCGUAGGAAAGAUAAGAUGACUCAGAUCAGAAGACAUAAGGUAUAAGGAGUAAAAGAGCCUGACGUUCCAUCCCACAAUCAAUUCCCUUAUAUAACUAAAGAAUUUCUAGACUCAACUUCGACCAGUUUGGCUGGGUAAUCCUACACGCAGUCAAGCUCUGAUACCAACACUGUCAGGACCCCGACUCAAUGCCACAUCAAUCUAGCAUGUAACACCUCAUAUCACUUUGCGGCCUCACGCACGGUAUUCCCACGGGUGUCGCCUUACCUUUGCCCGGGACCGUUUGCGCCUUUUGGCACACGUAUAUGACAGUGUCGCUAGCAUCCAUAUGAUAAGGAGCCCGGGCUGACAUAGCUAGUCGUAAACCCAAAGUGGCACAGACUUACAGGGACAGGCAUCCAUGACCCAGCAUCGAACGUGUCGGUCAUCAGCGAGUGAAUCCAGGCUGUAGCACUGGGCUAGCAGGACUCCGGUGAACCGGGCUGUAGCGGGCUGACAGGACUCCGGUAUUCAUCGCGUGACAUUUCCCCGAAGGGACAGACACAGGAACGAAGAAGGACACAUGCCGGCCAGCCUAAGUGUUCCGGAGCAGCAGCAAGCUACCAUGGCUCAGUGGAAACACUAGGAGACAUUUCCCGGUAAGAGAGGCUACUAAGGAUAAACAACUAGAUAGCCAGAUCCCACACAUACCAAGCAUUUCAAUAACAUACACACAAUAUGCUCGAUAUGUGCAAAUACAACAUGGCAUCACAACAUGACUCUACGACACAAGUAAAUAUUCAAUAGGCUCCGAGGAGUGAGAUAUUACAAACAUGGGUCUCAUGACCCAACAAUCAGAGCAUACAAGUCAAAGCACAAGCGGAAGCUAUCAUGUCUGAGUACAGACAUCUAGAAAUGAAAAAGGCUGAGAAGCCUGACUAUCUACCAGAUCCUGCCGAGGGCACAAGAUCGUAGCUGAGGUAACAAGCUAAACGUCGAAGUCCACGCGAAACUAUUUGUGAGACCGAAGUCUCUCUGCAAAAACAUAAAAUAGGCAAACGUGAGUACAAAUGUACCCAGCAAGACUUACAUCAGAACUAACUACAUAUGCAUCAUUAUCAACAAGGGAUGGUGGGGUUUAACUGCAGCAAGCCAGCUUUGACUCGGUGGCUAUCCUAAACUACGACUGCAAGUAACUCUUUUGAGGUGGCGCACACGAGUCCACAAAUUCACCAUAUCAAUACACCACUAUGGAUCCGCUCCCGUCUCCCUACGAGAACGCCAUCCAUAGCACUCACGCUUAUCUUGCGUAUUAUAGAGUAUCCACUUUCACUUGUCUAUGAACUGAUAUAAGCAACCCAGAAGUCCUUUUCCGCGGACACGGCUAUUCGAAUAGAUGAUGUUAACCCUGCAGGGGUGUACUUCUUCAUACAUGUUUCCACCACUUAGCGUCUGCACACGACAUGUGCUCGGCAGACUUCAAGCGAAAGCCGACGUGGGUGUAGACCACGACCUACCUAAACACUCAAGUCUCUAGUCCAGGUUUAUCGCCUAUUCGGGUUCCAUCCAUGAGGAGAUCCGGCCGGAGUUUCGCUCACAGCCCCAAACGAUGUGAACAGGGUUCCCGAGAUACCAAACGGGCAUCCGGUACACCGUGCCACGUACCUACCGCAUCACAGCCCACCCCUACGGUCAGCGCUAUCCACGGCCUCCAGUAAGCUACAAACACCAGAAACUACUUGCAACUCCUGGACAGAGGACUAGGGUGAAUAAGAAGUCGAGCGGGGUCAUAUUUCAGGGCCCAAUGUAUGGUAGUAGCUGAAUCAUGGAUCACAAACAUAGAACUCAGUUCCUGAGGACGGCUGCAAUGAGAUAACCCACCAUGCACUCCUACAUGGCCUCUCACCGCUACCUUUACCAAAUCGUGUUCACACACUUAGCUCACACACAGUAGGACAUGUUCACACGCCUCUGAUUCAUCCCCGAUGAAUCAGACCUGACUCAACUCUAAGCAGUAGCAGGCAUGACAAACAAACAUGAAUGAGUAGGCACAUCAGGGCUCAAACAACUCCUACUCAUGCUAGUGGGUUUCAUCUAUUUACUAUGGCAAUGACAGGUCAUGCAGAGGAUAAAGGGGUUCAACUACCGCAGCAUGUAACAGUUGAAUCGGUGUUGUCCUAAUGCAGUAAAAGAGAGCAGGAGCGAGAGAGUAGGAUUGUAUCGGAAUGAACAAGGGGGUUUUUGCUUGCCUGGCACUUCUGAAGAUAACAUUGAGUCUUCAUCAGUGUCAACGAUCACAUCAUCGGUAUCACGUCUAUCGAGAGGGGACAAAUACCGGCAACACAGAAGGGAACACAAUCAAUGCAAUGCACAAUAUGAUGCAUGAUCAUGACAUGGCAAAAUGAAUGUGUUUUGGCUAAUGCAACUAGCAACAGAUUAAAUGAAGUUGGUUUGAAUAUAAAAUUCAAAUUCAAACUCCAUAUGUGAUUAAAUAAAUGCCCUUUAAUUGAUUUGUGCUAAACAGCAGCUAUAAGUUGUUCUAACAUGCAUGAAAAUGGUACAGAUGGAUUCCUUGAAUUUUUCUGAUAAUUUUUCAUAUAUAAAUUAUUUAAUUUGGAGUUACGGUUAAUUUUCUAUGAUUUAUUGAAGUUUAGAAUAUAUUCUGGAAUUAUUAAAUCAUUUCCUAAUUUAUUUUAAUUCCAGAAACAAAUACUGCGUCAGCAUGACGUAUUGGUGACGUCAGCAGGUCAAAGGCGUCGACCAGGUCAAACCUGACCAGUGGGGUCCACUGGUCAGUGACCCAGUCAACUAACCAGGUUAGUUAGCUCUAACUAACUUAGUUAGCCGGGCGGGGCCCGCAUGUCAGUGGCCUAUCUAAUUAGCUAGGUUAAUUAGCGCUAACUAAUCUAACACUAAUCUAGCAGGCGCCUGGGCCCACACGUCAGGGGGUCAAACCCCGGGUCAAACCUGCCGGAGUUGACCCGCGGCUUGUCGCCGGCGGAGCCAGAGACGGCGGAGGGGGUCGGAAAUCCUCCUCCGGUGACCAAAACAGCGGCAGCGAUCAUCUACGCGUAGCUGGCGCUCAGCCGCAUCCAUCUAGGCAAGCGGAAGGGGCUGAGGUCGAACGGGCUCGCCGGAAUCGAGCUCGCGGCGGCGGCCGGAGCUCGGGGUUGGUGCGGGUUGGCGCUAGGGGGCACGGCAGGUCGCACGGGUGGGCGCGCUCGGCUCCUGGAAGGGUACUGAGCACGUUGCCGUGCUCGGGAGUUAGCUACGGUGGCUCUAGCACCGUCUGCGACAUUGCCGGCGGCGAGGAACUGUCGGCUCCGACAGUCGGGGCGGUUAGAAGGCACGGACGGGCACGGGGAGAGAGGGGAAAUGGACAGGGGCUCACGAGGGGUCGGGAGAGAAGCUCGGUGGGCUCGGGGAAGCCUCUGCAACGGCGAAUUGAUGACGGCGAUCUCCGGGCACCGGAGAUGAAGACGACGACGCUCCGGUCGACUGCGGCCUCCUCUGGUCGCGUGCGUCGCGUGUGUAGCUCCACGGGGUCAGGGCGGAGCUCAGGGAUGUAUAGUGGGAGCGAGGGGGUGGCUGUGGCCCCGGUAAACGGCGUCGGCGGCGAUGGGCUCCGCUCGGGCGCGUGAGGGAGAGAGAGCAGAGGAGAGGGAGGAGCGAGGGAGAGCUACGGGAGAGUGAGAGAGGUCGUGGGGAACGAGGGGGGGAGUGCGUGGCUCCCUCGGGUGCCUCCAGCGGCGAGCAGGUAAGCAGGAGGUGGUCGGAGCUCUUCGGGCGCGCGCCACGCCUCGCCUCUGCCUACUGGCAGAGGAAGAAGAGGACAAGGGGGGGAGGAGGUGGGCUGGGCCGGUCAGAUGGAGCUGGGCCAGCUCUGGUGGGAUGCACGGGUAAGGCCAGGUAACUUUCUGCUCUGUUUUAUUUAAUUCUGUUCCGUUUUCUUUUAUUUAAUUCUUUUGCCACUGUUUGAAUUUUAAAAUAAUUCAAACAAUGCCAAAAACUCCUCUGAAUAUUUUUAUUUUGCUAGAUGGACUUUUCCAAAAGCUUAUAAAAUAUUUCAGGGGUAUUUGAAAUUAUAUUCUAAUUAUAUGAAUAUAAUUCAAAUUCAAAUAGCUAAUGAUUUAAAUUCAAAGUCCCAAAAUAAAUCCUUUUAAAAUGUUCAUUAUUUUUGGUUUGGAUCAAAGCCCUUGCCAAAAAUAUUAAACAUCUGAGAAGAGCAUUUUGGAGCAAUGAAUGAGAUUUCUAGGGUUUUUGCCCCUCUUUUAUUUAAGUUUUUGAGGCUUCCAAAAUUCCUCAGUUCAAGUUUCGAAAAUAUAGACAUGAUGCACACAUGAAGCUAGCCUAGAGCACUACCAGCAGCUAGGGAUGUGACAUAAAUCCUCGCAACCAACACAAAUAGGGGUUGUCAAUCCCUAUAAGGCCACUUACGAGAGUGAGAUCUGAUAGAUAUGAUAAAGAUAAUAUUUUUGGUAUUUUUAUGAUAAAGACGCAAAGUAAAAUAAAGGCAAAGCAAAUAGCAAAGUAGUAGGAGAUCAAUAUGAUAAAGAUAGGCCCAGGGGCCAUAGGUUUCACUAGUGGCUUCUCUCGAGAGCAUAAGUAUUCUACGGUGGGUGAACAAAUUACUGUUGAGCAAUUGACAGAAUUGAGCAUAAUUAUGAGAAUAUCUAGGCAUGAUCAUGUAUAUAGGCAUCAUGUCCGAGACAAGUAGACCGACUCCUGCCUGCAUCUACUACUAUUACUCCACUCAUCGACCGCUAUCCAACAUGCAUCUAGAGUAUUAGGUUAAAAACAGAGUAACGCCUUAAGCAAGAUGACAUGAUGUAGAGGGAUAGACUCAUGCAAUAUGAAGAAAACCCCAUCUUGUUAUCCUUGAUGGCAACAAUACAAUGCGUGCCUUGCUGCCCUUACUGUCACCGGGAAAGGACACCGCAAGAUUGAACCCAAAGCUAAGCACUUCUCCGAUUGCUAGAAAGAUCAAUCUAGUAGGCCAAACCAAACUGAUAAUUUGAAGAGACUUGCAAAGAUAACCAAUCAUAGAUAAAAUAAUUCAGAGAGGAUUCAAAUAUUAUUCAUAGAUAGACUUGAUCAUAAACCCACAAUUCAUCGGUCUAAACAAACACACCACAAAAAGAAGAUUACAUCGAAUAGAUCUCCACAAGAGAGGGGGAGAACAUUGUAUUGAGAUCCAAAAGAGAGAAGAACCAUCUAGCUACUAACUAUGGACCCGUAGGUCUGAGGUAAACUACUCACACUUCAUCGGAGGGGCUAUGAUGUUGAUGUAGAAGCCCUCCGUGAUCGAUGCCCCCUCCGGCCGAGCUCCAGAACAGGCCCCAAGAUGGGAUCUCGUGGAUACAGAAAGUUACGGCGGUGGAAUUAGGGUUUUGGCUCUGUCUCUGAUCAUUUGGGGGUACGUGGAUAUAUAUAGGAGGAAGGAGUAUGUCGGUGGAGCAACAAGGGGCCCAGGAGGGUGGAGACGCAGCUGCAUGACAUUCUUUGGGCCGUCCAUGACGGAAAAAACCGUGGUAGAAGCGAGGGGGAGGAAAAUUUCGGGGAAUUCCCGGUUACGGUGGGAGGUCGGGGGCCGAGCAAUGCGUGUUUCUCUCGUACAUGUACGCGUGUGUGUGUGAGGCGUUGGCUCUAAGUGAACCCGAGCGAGGAGUUGGGCUCUAACUAAACCUGAGCGAUUGCACUGCAGGCUACGCGUUACUGAACCCAAGCGAUCGAUCGAUGGCUGUUAACUGAACCUGAUCGAGCGAUUCCUUCGCUACUGCUGCUAACUGAAGCCGAUCGAUGGGAUGAACAGUGAGUGUNNNNNNNNNNNNNNNNNNNNNNNNNNNNNNNNNNNNNNNNNNNNNNNNNNNNNNNNNNNNNNNNNNNNNNNNNNNNNNNNNNNNNNNNNNNNNNNNNNNNNNNNNNNNNNNNNNNNNNNNNNNNNNNNNNNNNNNNNNNNNNNNNNNNNNNNNNNNNNNNNNNNNNNNNNNNNNNNNNNNNNNNNNNNNNNNNNNNNNNNNNNNNNNNNNNNNNNNNNNNNNNNNNNNNNNNNNNNNNNNNNNNNNNNNNNNNNNNNNNNNNNNNNNNNNNNNNNNNNNNNNNNNNNNNNNNNNNNNNNNNNNNNNNNNNNNNNNNNNNNNNNNNNNNNNNNNNNNNNNNNNNNNNNNNNNNNNNNNNNNNNNNNNNNNNNNNNNNNNNNNNNNNNNNNNNNNNNNNNNNNNNNNNNNNNNNNNNNNNNNNNNNNNNNNNNNNNNNNNNNNNNNNNNNNNNNNNNNNNNNNNNNNNNNNNNNNNNNNNNNNNNNNNNNNNNNNNNNNNNNNNNNNNNNNNNNNNNNNNNNNNNNNNNNNNNNNNNNNNNNNNNNNNNNNNNNNNNNNNNNNNNNNNNNNNNNNNNNNNNNNNNNNNNNNNNNNNNNNNNNNNNNNNNNNNNNNNNNNNNNNNNNNNNNNNNNNNNNNNNNNNNNNNNNNNNNNNNNNNNNNNNNNNNNNNNNNNNNNNNNNNNNNNNNNNNNNNNNNNNUGGAGGCUGGAUGAACACGAGCCCGUGGAGGCUGGAUGAACAGGAACCCGUGGACGCUGGAGGAGGUCGACGGUGGAUGAACAGUAGCUCGUGGAGGCUGGAGGGGGUCGACAGUGGAGAUGAACAGUAUCCCGUGUAGUCUCGUUUUGCGGUACGCCACACCCCUCCCAAUGACAGGACCCCCGUUUCGACUGUAGCGCUCCAACACAAGUCCGUUUCCUCCGUUUUGCGGUACGCCACACCCCUCCCGAUAACAGGACCCCCGUUUCGACCGUAGGAGGUCUGUUUCCUCUGUUUUGCAGUAUGCCAGACCCCUCCCGAUGAACAGGAUCCUGUUUCAAACGUGGCCGGUCGAACACAAGGCCGUUUCCUCCUUUCUGCGGUACGCUAGGCCUGGUUUCCAUCGCAUGUUCCAUCCAAGCCCUCCCGAACACGACGCAUUAUGUUGCCUCCCCAUGAACAUGACGCAUUUCGUUUCCUCCGCAUGAACACGACGCAUUCCGUUGCCUCCCCAUGAACACGACGAUGACAUUGUUUCUCCGUUUCGACUCAGCCAUAUACACGAGCCCUCGCCGUACGUAUGCGCGAGUAGGCGUUCGAGACCCCGCUCGUAUGUACACAUACGUGGCCGUAUUUUCUUUCUUGCACCCUAGCCACUGUAUGUACGUGUACAUGCUACAUGCGCGCCUCUACUACGACACGUGCAUGCCUCUACUACGACACGUGCGCGCCUCUACAUCGACCAGUAUGUACGUACACGUUCAUGACCAGAAUGACAACGCUACGUACUCUUCGACCAGGUGGGUCCCAACUGUCAGGCACUUCCUUGCCUGCGAAGAUGUAGCUGGUCGGUCCCAGCUGUCAGGAGGCGAAUCGUUUCUUUUUUCCCGAAAGCACUUCCUUGUGUGUGAAGAUGUAGCUGGUGGGUCCCAGCAGUCGGGGGCCUGGUGGGUCCCAGCAGUCAGGGGGGUGAAUCUUUUUUUCGGAUGCACUUCCUUGCGUGCGAAGAUGUAGCUCGUGGGCCCCAACAGUUAGGGGGGCGAAUCAUUUUUUCGUGAAAUACGGUGGCCCGGCCGGUGGGUCCCUACUGUCAGGUGGAGGAAUAAUUAUUUUGCGCGUAAUAAGGAGGCACUUCCUUGCGGCUGCCGUGGACCCAGCUGUCAGCCUCUCCACGUACAGUACUCUUUCGAUGGAAGUCGAUCGUUGACCAUGUUGACCACACCGCGCCGAGAGCACCAGGACAGUGGUCUGGACGACGGCGAGGCCUAGGAAGGGGACGAUACGGAACCGGGGAAGACGCAGCAGUGGAAGCCCGCGCGGAGAGGAGUGCGAUGGUUCACUGGUUCGGCUGCGGUGUGAGGCUGCCGUCGCCGCAGACUAACAGGGGGUGUGAAUGAGUAGAGGGAUGGCCUGGCCAGCGGUGGGAGUAAUACGGGGCGGUGAGGCCUCCGCGUCAUCACAGCCGGCCAUGGGAGGCAGGAGCACGCGACACGACCGACGCUGCUUUGGGCGGCUGGAGCAAGAAGACCAGAGGUUGAAGAAGCACUACGGCCAUUGGAUGGACAUCGUACGAUCACUACAGCUAGAAUCAUUUAUAUUGACUAAGUUAACAAAGCCCUUGGUACACGUUAACUUAGUAGGCCCACGGCUCGGAUUUGGCAGAGAACAUAUAGCCCAUUUGCGAUUUGUAAGAAUGUACAUCCCAUUUUUUAAUUCUAAUGGAAUUUACUACGGCCCAUUUACAGUUUGUUAAAAGUACAACCCAACUUCUAGCUAGGACAACGAUUAAUAAUUUCAAGCAACCGUUCAAAACAGAAUUCAAAAAAAAUCCCCACUUUUUGAUGGGAUCCGAAAUAUUUGUAUCCGAAAUUUCUAGUCAGGUUAAAUAUAAUUUCAAAAUAAAGUUGUAUUACAUUAAAAUCCAACGAAAUAUUGCGCGCGCAACAAGUAAUGAAAUUAAAAAAUUUAAAUUCAAAAAAUAAUAUAUUUUUCAACUAAUUACAUGUUUGAUGCAUAGUAACUGUCCAGUUAUUCUAAUUACAUCCCAUUUAUUAUUUCAUAAAAUCCAUUUUCUUGUUAAGCCUAAUGCAUACCUCUUAGGAAAGUUUGCAGCCCAGCGGGGCGGAGAAUAACAAGUUAACCCAGAUAUUGUGUACAACUGUCGGCCCAGUUGCAUUGCUGAUGUCGAAAAAAUCUAUUUUUUAUACACACAUUAAAAAAAUUGUAUAGAUAAGGAACAUUUUUAUACACACAUUUAACAAUUUUUAAAUACAUGUUUAACACUUUUUAAAACAUAUUUUUUGUCAACAGUGGGCCCACAGCGAGCGGAGGAGGUCACAAUACACAUAUUUUUUAAAUACAUGAUUAACACUUUUGCAAAAAAAAUUAGCCCACAGCGAGCCAAUUAGCUCCAGUCGGCCCACAGUGGGCCGACAGGGGCCAGUCGGCCAGCUGUAGGCCGACUGGAAUCCAAUCGGCCUGCUAUGGGCCGACUAGGCCCAGUCGGCCUGCAGCGGGCGGACGGUGUAUUAUUUUUGAAAAAAAAUUACCCAGCGUAAUAUUUAUGAAAAUUAAUAAAAAUGUAUUAUUUAAGAAAAAAUAGCGAAAAAGGCCUGUGUAGUACAGUACAACCUAACAUGGUUACUUAGCCCACAUUCAGCGACGCUGGAAAGGCCCAAACAAGGCUUCUGUACAACUUUUUGAAGUCACUGAGCUCAAUUAAUAACUUAAGAAAAAAGUUAGAUUAAAGUGGAACCUAAUUAAAAGCUGUCACGAGCAAAUAAAUAAUUCAACGGGUCCCACUUGUGUGUGUGUGUGAGAGAGAGAGAGAGAGACCCAUCGGCCGAUGCUCUUAAAUACAUCUUUCAGCCAUAUGCAUUGCUGAUGCUCAGUAAAAACUUAUAUAGUUGACACAAUCAUAUAGAACAUCAUAGCACACUCAACUUGCAUACAAAAAUUUCACGUAGGCGUCACAAUCAGGAUGGAAGCAGUGGAUCGCUACGGGAAGGGCUAUGUUGAAACCAACAAAGUCAUACAUAACGUUUCAUCGUCUUUAUCAAUGACGGGGAAAUAUCUUGAAUGUUGUGCAAAGAAAACAGACAGACAACACAAUAAGUUCUCCUAGCACAUUAAGUUGACAUACAACCCUUUCUAAAAAAAGUUCAGGUACAAAAUUAGAACAGGUCACAAUCAAAUGUACUAGCAUAUCAGUGCUUCACACCCAUAGCUCGGAUUUAACUAGUAUCUGACAAGAUUCAGUUGUUACCUCAAAUUAGAGCACAUCCAGGCAGCCAACCCUGCCUCUUCUCCCAAAGAAGCAGUGGCCUCCGCCACGCGAUGGAGUAGGCCCUGUGCCAUCCAUCGUUCCGAGCAACAUGGGGAAAGUCUUACAUUGACUCCUGUAAUGGACAUCAUCGACGGACCCUGGCACCAGCAGCGGUGGUAGGACUUCGAUUGAUGGAUUGACCACUUCUUCGACAUGCACGAACACUCGAUACAGGUACAUCCCUAACAUGGUCCGCGGCGGCCUUGGUGGCGACGAAUAGUACAACCCCGGUUCCUGCACCGGUAUCUCAACACCAAUCACCUUCGGUAUGGUGGACGGCUUCUUCAUCCAUGCCAUAACCGUCAGAGCCCAGCUGUCUGGAGGAACAAACAUACUUACGAGCUCACCUCCAAGGUCGUUGAUAAGCUCGUUCAUGGACUCGCUGUUCCAAGCACGUCGAGGCAUGCUGUGGAAGGUAAGCUUUCUUAAAAACUCAAGCUCAGAGGGCACCGAGCCCCAUCCUGGGUGCCACCGAUCAAAGCUCACCAGCGUGCCAUCGCAGAACAAACGCUGGGAAGAUUCGAACACACGAAUGUAGUCGAAAGUUGUCCGGAACCUGAGGAAGAAAUCAGCUGGUGGCGGACAGACUUUGACGAGCAAGUCACUUAUUUGGAUGCCGUGCGCGAUGCCAAGAGCUUUGACAAGGUCAUCCGGCGAGACGGGAGGCCAGUCGCCAUUGAUGGUUACCAUCAGCACUUUGCCGGCAAACUGGUCAUCAAGUGCCGCCAUGCCACUGUUGAGUGACAACACGCAGCGACCGAAGGCAGGACGGACCUCAGGAUCUCCGGCUCGGAGAUCCGCAUUGACCGGCGACAUGAUAGUGCGCUUGAGUACAGGGAGUAUAGGAGGUGGAUUUGGGGGAACUGGAGUAGGAAUCGAGAUUCCAGAGGUGGGGGAGGUGGGAGAACUGGAGUAGGAAUUUCGAGCACGCGCGAAUAUGCUCUCGGCGCGCAAGCACACGAAAACACCGGUGGCGCCCACAUGUCGGCCUAAGAGUCCUUAUUCAUUCUUUUUUGGAGAGCCCGGCCUUUUUUUAAGGAUCUUUUGAGAGCCCGGCCUGAGAUUCAUAAUUGACAUGUUUGGCAUUGCGUUACUACUCGGCCCAUAUUCAACGACACCUCACUGGCCCAAACAAGUGUACAUCAUCGAAAAGACACUGAGCUCAAAUUAUAUAACUUGAAAAAAGCAGAUAUACUCUGAACACUGGAGAAUGGUGAUGCCCUCAUUUAGCCCACCAAUAGUUCGAGACAAUAAACAAUUCCAAACAACGAUAUAUACAACAUUCAAACACUGACUAGUGACUACUACUGACAUAAACAGCAAGACAUGAUAGUUCAUAAGAAGUCUUGCUACACCACCAAAACGCACCCAUCUGCAGCGCUCAGACUCUCGUGAUCCAGACGAGAAUGGCAUUCUAAACAGAAGCAACUAUUACAUAGUUAGAGUGACAUAAACGAGGAUGACCAAAUGACAAGGAAUAUGCAUAACAAAAGAAAGAACUACCCAUCCAGAACCAGCAACAAAGACAACAAAGUCAUUCGAAGAGAUGAUCCAACACCAUCAUAAUUUGCAGCCCCGCUUCAGCGACCAGUGAUCCGGAGACACCAGUACUCCACCCUUUCGAUGCAACAGCCCAAUUACCUAUCAACCUGAAGGCUCGAACCACAUCACUGCCUGUCGUAAUUGAGACAUCCAAGGAUCAAAGUUAAUCCGGAUGCCGUUGUCAUUCUCACCUUCUUUUGGCUGCAGGCUGUAUCGUUGACAAUCAGGGGAGUUUGCUCCUGAACUCCUAGGGCUCGCCGUGUAGACACAUUUUUUCAUAGCAAACAGAGCCUCUCUGCCAUCAAGGUCCUUGCCAACGGUGAUCUCCUGCUUAAUCGGAUAAUUGAGUCCGAGAAACAGAGAGUGUGAACCAAGGCUGUUUACCCGCCUCCAACUAAAAAAUCCUAAAGGCCCCAACAAGCUGGUAUCCUGCUCAUAGACGUAACAGCCACUGUCCGGAUACUCACGUAUUACACGGUGCUUGUAUACAGUGGGGUUUUUUGCAAUAUAACUUUUCCGGCUCAUGUGUCUGAAUGAUCAUCAGUCUUUUGCCGUCGUCUGAUCGAGCGAGGAACCAGUUGUGCUUCCCUGUUUUUGGCAAAGGUGGUGUGAUUACAAAGGGCAGUAACUAUAGGGACACUGCAUCAUAUCAAAAAGGACAGACAUUGUUAAUGUAAGAUCAGCAUUGUUCAGAGUAUGAGUAGGAUAAUGCAAGAAACAACAUUGAUAUGUCCCUGUUGGAACUGGGAGGAAAAUACAAGGAAAUGUAUACUGGGUUCAAAAAUAUAGAAGUGCCAUGCAUGGUUAUACUCAUGUUACCUCGCAAUUGAUUCUUCAUAGGAAACUACCAUGUCAUGCAUGUUAUGUAAUCAUGUUCUGUCCUCACAAACAAAUUCUUCAAGGUAACUAACAGACCAUGCAUUGUUAUAUACUCGUGUUCUGUGGGAAAUUUUUUUGUGAGGAUAUUAUUCUAGCCAUUGAUUGCUAAAGGGCGAAUAUAGGUAUGUACACAUAGUAAGCAUUGCAGGAUUUCACUACUUCCAAAUAUAGAGUUCUCCAUAUGCACAUUUACUUCCCUAAUGUAUGGUUAGAUGAAACCAACAGUGUGGUGCAUGUUUCUACAUCAUGAAAAUGAGGAAACUAACAUGGCCAUUGAUACACACUCAUAUUUAGUAGUAGUAUAUAGAUUACUGUAAAAUAAGGAUAAUAUCCAUAUAUUCCUAACCGUUUGAUUGUUCAGGGUACAAAUUGGUUGUAAUGACAUGGUCACAAUCACAUGAAUUAACUCAUUCCAAAUAUAGCUGAUUUACGGCGUCUCUAAUACAUUGCCAUAGUUCUACUCAAAUUCUGCUCAAACAGAGAUAUGCCAAUCAUCACAAAAAGUUCAAACAGUGUCAUGGCGUCAUCAUUAACAUGAGAGGAAACAACUUACACGCGCCGUCCUAGCAAUACGUGGUGCCAUCUGCUUUCUCGAUCGCGUAGAUGAUGCCAUUGUGUUCAAUAGCAUCAUAGAAGUGUGUAUCAGCUUUGAUGAUGAUCCACUGCGAGCCGAGUUGUCUCCAGCUAAAGAAGGCACCAGCGUAAAGAUAGGCGAGUCCGCGGUCGAACAAGGCAAUUAGCUUGAAGUCUGCGUAAUUCGCAUGUUGUGUGGGCACUUGGCAGAUUACAAUCUUCUGCAAAACAAGGUCCGUCCAACUGACAUAGUAAUCUAGAUGACUUGGACCGCGAUGGUAAUACUCUAUAUAAUCCAACGGAGGAAGGAUAAUCUCAUGGGAGGUCUGGAAAUUCACGAGCACCAACUUUUUACAGUCUUCUCUGAAGGCAGCCAUCCAGUGGGAGUUCAUGCCGACCCAGUACAUACCUGCCAAGAAGUUUCAGGCGAUGGUGAUCGGAUCGAUGUCGAGGGAAAUGAUGUACGACGACCCACUACAUACCUGCAAAGAAGUUUUGGCUAAUGGAGAUCGGAUUGAAGUCGAGGGGCAUCAUGCACGCCUCUGUAUCAUGGUGAGCCAAUCUCGCAAGACCAGAUAGCAGCAAGCAGGGUGUCUUGAAAAGCUUAGGCCUCGCUUCGACGAUGGCCGUGUGCAUGUCCCUCGAGCAUGCAGCCAGCCGCAGGGUGCUCAACAUAUCCAUACACGAACAACAGAGGUCAAGGAUGCCACUGGGGAGAUUGCUCCAAUCGCGGCUCAUAUGGAUGCAGCGCGGUUCGCGUUCGGCCAUGGUGGAGUUUGGAAGGGGGCUUGAUUUACGGGGGAGAAGGAUGUCGGUGCUGGAGCGGCUAGCAAGGGAAUAGUGGUACUGGGGGAGGCGAGUGAGGCGACGGUACAUGGGGGCACAGUGAGAUGGAGACGGAGAGGGAGAUGGAGAUGGAGUGGUGCUAUGGGAGCGGAGAGGGAGAUGAGGCGAGGCGCCAAUGUGAUGUACAGUGGCGGUGACCGACUGCACUGUGCGCAGGGUGAGGCUGACUUUGGUAACCCGAACACGCCUCUUGGACUAGUGUCAGGCGCAGGGUGUUGUCACUUCACUGUGAGGACCGGAUGAAUAGUAUUUAGACCAUCAAGUGUACCACAGUUGUACUACUACUACUACCAGUAGGUACAUGAGUACUCCAGUAUUGUAUAGCGUAAAUAGGUCUCCCGUGCUAGCAUGCAUGUUCACUUCAUCGUUCAGGUAUCAUCCAUAUUGCGAGCAGAACCAAAUUCUUGUGCAUGCCCAAUCAACGCUCUAUCGUGAUGCAUGCAGUGGUCGUUAUGGUGCAUCAAGGAUGGCAUGCAGAUCGUUCCACACUUGAGAAGAGGAAAAAUGGAAAGGUAGAACGCGACAGCAGAGGAAGAGAACGCUGGCUAACGAGGCUGGGAGGGGACCGAGCAGGAAGUUAAUGCUCCACGCCUAAAGGUUUUGGGAAAACCUGAUUUUCAUAAGGUGACUUAUACUCACCUAAACGGAGGGAGUAUUCCUUAACCAGAGAAUGUUGUGUCUCCCACUCACGCGCUCAAAAAAAACUACGACACAUUUUUUUAUCUGUUUUCAUAGGUCCCAGGAUGGGCACGUACACGAACAGGUACGACUCAUCAGUCUACCUGCAUAGCCUUUUCGUUUAGUCUACCUAGCCGUCUAAUCAACUGCCUGCACGCCACUUCUCCCAUAUACUUCUCCAUCGGGAACCGAUUCUCCUCGGCUUGUUCACCUCCCCUUCGUCUUCAUUUGCAUCCAAACCCCACUGUGUUCACAUUGUUUUAACCUCUUUAAAUAAUCAUCUACUACUUCAGUUAGACUAGCCAUCUAAUCCUAAUUCUCCAAACGAUAGCCCUCCGUUCUAGCGGUUCCAAAUGGAGAUAGAGAUCGAGAUGCAGGUUUUUAGCGUCCAACAUGUCCUCGUGGAAGUCUCGAUGCGCAUAGUUUCCACCAUCACCGUCCACCCAAGGGUUGUUCGGCAGUGGAUCAACAAUGUAUCCAACUCCCUCGAAAAGGUAGAGACGGGGGUCAUCGAUCUCGACGCAGAGUACAUGGAGCGUGCCCCUGGGAAGAUCCAGCACGCCGCUGUCCUUCAGCUGUGCUUCGAAGAUGAUGUUUUGGUGUACCACAUCAUGCACUUGCCCUCCAUACCAGGUGAGCUUCACGAUUUCUUGUCUCGGGAGGACGUAUACUUCUGUGGGGCAGCCAUCGAAGGGGACAAACAGAAGCUGGAGCCGUACAAGCUUGAUUUGAAUAUCAUCGCUGACCUACAAACCAGAAUCAAAAUUCCUGUAGAAGUUUGUGAUAAACAGACACCAUCCCUAUUCGACGUAGCAAAUUUUGUGCUCGGUACAAAUCUUCAGAAGGGUGACGAGACAGUGGCAUUAAGGUUGUCUGGAUGGGAGAAUUAUCCCUUGACGUACGAGCGGAUAAAAUAUGCUGCCCUCGAUGCCCGUGUGAGUUUCGAGAUAGCUGCAAGGUCCAAAGAGCUUGUUGCAAAGCCGUCUCCCAUAGAGAAUGAGAACAAGAAGAAGAAGAAGAAGAAUAAGAAGAAGAAGAAGAAGAAGAAGAAGAUUAAUAAGAAGAAGAAGAAGAAGAAGAAGAAAAUGUUGCACCAGCAGGAGGGCAUUAUGGAUGGAUUAACUAUUUCCUCUCUUGUAAAAAAAUUAUUCCCUCUCGGUGUAUAUUGAUAUAGAUGGACUAUUUCGAUGGUGUGCAUGUCUUUGGAACAGAGUAGUAGCGUGGGUCCUCUUGACUAUAAGGAACUAUUUAUCUGCAUAUAUAGCUUCCUCUGCUACUCCUUCUAGUGAUCGAUAUGCAGUGCAUGUGUCCGUAGACAUGACAGCUUGUCCAUGGAAGUUCAACUACGGCGACCAUCAUGUUUCAUCUCGCGAUUCCCAUGACGCCUCUCCAACCCACGGCACCACGCCCCCCGACGUGCGCCUCACCCCUCUCGGCCGCACCGCCCCUCUGCCUUUGUGUGCAUGACAUGUGGGCCACCUAAAAUGCGACGAGCAUCAAGUUUCUACCACAGCCUCCCGCGAUUCCCAUGACGCCGCUCGAACCCAUGAAACCACACGUCCCCCGACCUGCGGCUCACCCCUCUUGGCCCCACUGCCCCUCUGCCUACGGGAGCAUUACAUGUGGACCAGUCACAUAUCGGGUCCACAUGUUAUUGACUCAAAGGUAGGUGUAGUAAGGCGCUGAAGCUCAGUCCCGACGGCCCUGAGAGGGAAAUGUAACUCCUGCGCCAGGGCUUGUGGUGCUCCCGCAGCACGAACUCGUGCCAAACUCGAGAUUUGUUUCUUUACUAUACAUGCACACAACGAUUUAAUGGACAUUGUAAUCUCAACAUGUGAUGGGGAGCUCUAAAUUUGAAUUUGAAACUUAUAAAACGAAAAGAUUCAAAACAAAUAAGCUAGGAGAGAGGGAGUAUAUCAUAGGAUGUGUCCCAUACAAAAUAAGUCCCCUGGUUUGUCACCGUGCAGAUGCGGUUAGAAAGGAGCACAUCGUCUUCCUACUCGUACAGCAAAAAAUCGGCCGCAGACAGCAUGGUCCGCCUUUGACUGCCAUGUGCAAGGUUCAUGCUAUCUUAUUCAAUCCCACCGUGGUUCCAUCGUACCAAUUCAUGCGGUAGCCUGUUGCAUGGCUGAUCCCACUGUUGGACAAAGGUUCUAUGGGAACGGUUUCACCAUUGUAAAUGUUGUGCAAAUUGAUGUUGGUACCCUCCCGUACAUAUGCAAGCCAAUCUCCACUCGCACCGAGCCAAACCUGUGAAACAGUGGGCAGGGGGAGAAUUAGGAAAUGGACACGGAAGUAGUCUUUAGAAUGCAUUUACUACAUGAUCAAACUCAUCUUACCUGCUCAUCGGAGGAAAUCCGAGUGCCCCUCAACGUCGGCAUCUCAAGGGGCGUCAACUUGCAACUACGACCACGCCGCGCUGGAGAGACCCCCAAGGAAACAUCCUCGUGCGUUACACGGAACAUCAAGAUGCAUUUGUAUGAGUAGGUUAUCUUGUGAGAGAAAAGGAUGAAUGAGGGAAGGCCUCUAGAGAUAGAGAUGGACACUACUACUACCAAUGUGCUGGCCCAUGCGUUGCAAUGGAUCCAAAGUAGUAGAAUAAUACUUGUUCACGUGCUUAAAAUAUAAACACUCUAGUUUUGAUAUACAUGUGUCAGCAGACAUGACAGCUUGUCCAUGGAAGUUGAACCACGGCGACCAUCACAUUUCUUGUUUCUACCACUAAGCCACUGAAGUUCGGUCCUGUGGGCCCCGAGAGGGAAAUGUAACUCCUGUGGCAGGCCUUGUGGUGCUCCCGCAGUACGAGCUCGUGACAAAACUGGAAUUUGUUUCUUACUACUACCAACUAGUACUAGUAAGGUACACGUGCAUUGCACGCAUGAGAUUCUGGUGGUUUGUGCAUUAUGCUUCUACAUGUGGAGCUUUCUGGAUUCUAACAUGUGGCAAAAUCUGGCGGAAUGUAAGGUUAGGCAAGUUUGAUUAACUUAGGCGAGUGUUUGAUUCAAGCCACACCUUAGGCAAGCACACAAAAAAUGUGGCAAGAUUCCCUUAGGCUUGCCGACUUGUUUCUCUCGUUUUGAAGAACUAAUAACUUUGCCUAAGCUUAGUUGUGGCAAAGUUAGGGUCUGUUUGAUUCAAAGGAUUUUCAUAGGAUCUUUGAAGGAUUAUAAUCCUUAGGAAUUUUUCCUACGUUGGUCGUUUGAUUCGUAGGAUUGAAUCAUGUAGAAUAUUUUCCUAAGGAUUCAUUUGUACUACGUUUCACAGGAAUUCUAACAUGCACUCCAACCUCUUGAAAGAAAUCCUUCAUUUUUCAUGUGACACAAUCAAACAAACUCAAAUCCUAUAGGGAUCCAAUGGACAUGCCAUUCCAAUCCUACUUUUUUCCUAUUCUUGUGUUUCUGCAAUCCUAUGAAUCAAAGAGGCCCUUAGUCAUGAAUUAAGUUCAACCAUGGAGUCUUCUAGAUUAUACAUGUGGCAGAAUCUGGUGGAUGUUAUCCAACGACCAGUAGUGCUCGGAUUUGCCAUCUUUGUACCCUCGGAUUGGCUUCAUCCAAUGACCAACUUCCAAAGUUUUUCACACACUAUAUAGGGGGUAUAGAUAUAGAUGUGCCGGUCCAUUGCAAUGGAUCCAAAGUAUAUAUAUCUAUUUAGUGGAGUGCACUCUAAACACAUUAUCUAUUUAUUUUUCUCUAACCUUCUGUAGCCAUGCAACCAAGCCACAUAAGCUUUAUGGGUGCCCCCCACAUCAUAUUAUUCAUACUACGUUGAUUGAAAAAUAGAUAAAUCACCCAAAACAAGAUCUUCCCAUUUUUUGUUCCUACGAUGUUGUGCCGUGCACGUACCUACUAGUUGUAUAGUGGUAGUACUAGUAAUAUAGUUUUAGGAGUACAAACUUGGUACUAGUAGGAGUAGUACUAGUACGGAAUGCUCCUACUCUAUCAACGAUCCCCGUCUGACACAAAAUUUCUUGGCUUCCGUGCUACAGCUAGAUCUUCCCCUCGUUUCUUUUUUCCAACCCGACAGCGGGCGGGGUGUCGGUUUGCUCAACGGUGGUCCCACAUGAAAGUGAAAAUGCUAGGCAACACGCCAUCCCUAAGCCAUGUGUCAUGUCGGAUGGUCCAUGUUGUACUCCCGAUUCCCGGGCGUGUGAGGGUGCGACGCGAACGCGGCAGGCCUUUUUCUUUUACUAGCAAUGUGCUCGUCCGUUGCGACGGAUCCAAAGUAGUAGAAUAGUAGUAUUUGUUCACAAAUUUGGAAGAAAUCACUAUUGUUUCGAUAUACUCCUAAUAUAUUACUCCCUCCGUACCUAAAUAUUUGUCUUUUUUGAGAUUUCAAAUGGACUAUCACAUAUGGAUUAUAUAGACAUAUUCUAGUGUUUCUAGCAAGAUGCCCGCGCGUUGCACGAAGUUGAUGGAAAAGGUAAGCACAAAUUAUAAAUUGACGGAUGGAGUACUAGUUACAGUGAUGCAUAUAAUUAAGCAAAGGGAUCACACAUGUCGGUAUUGACUGGAACGAGAAUGCAACAGCACAGAAUUAAGGCCACGAUGAUGCGAUCGCAGUGGUGCUUACAGAAGGCAAGAAGAAAGAUGGAUCCACGAACGUACGACCUCCUCCUCCUCCUCAACUUAGUGCGUUGGGCCACCGACCGGCGGCUAAGGAGCGGCGGCUUUUGUGGCGAGGUCGAGGUGCUUCUCAGCAAAGGCAUCCAUGGCUUCCAGCCGGUUGAGGAAGGCCAACGUCGUAGCGUCCUCACUGGCCUUGUAGAUACCUAUGUACACGAUUUCCUCGUACAUGUGGAUGUGUAGGUCGACGAAUUCUUGCAGGGCGAGGCACCUUGCGGUGAGCGCGACCUCCAGGUGGACAUUCUUCAUAGCGUCGGCGAGCAGUCACAGGGCCACCAGUGCUUGAAAGAGGUUCCGGCCAUGGAGGCCGAUUAGGGUGGCAGGCAAUGAGGAGCCCGGGCAUGCGGGUUGGAGGAGUACGGUGAUGUCGUCCGCGAGCUUCUUGAGGACGGUGAACUUGUUGCUGGUGGCAACGAUCAUAUGGUCCAACUGAGAGUCGUAGUUGGCCUCGAAGGCGGCCAUCCACCAGCCGGUCUCCAACACCAUCUGGAGAUGAUCCUCGGCGCCAUGCUGCAGGCCGGCAUCGUGGACCAUCUGGCGCAGCCGCUGGCCGCUCACGAGCAUCGCCGCCAUGGGUCUGGAGUGAGCUCUUUUGCGCUUAGUGUAGGUGCUUAGGCAAAUGCUUAGGUGUGUACAAUGUGGUAGAUGCAUUGGAAUGGAGGGGCGCCUUUAUAUGAGGGCAAACUGCGUUGCAUUCACAUCCUGCAGCCUCUUUUCCCGGACCUCCUCCCAUUACUUCCCUCAUGCAUUAAUUGAAGGAGGAUGCAUUGGCCGUUCAACAUAUCGGGAACCGCUACUCCCUCACUCGUCUACAUUAAAGCCAUAUCGGGAACUGCGCCGCCCACUGUCAAAUCGAAUACUCCCUCCAUCUAGGCGAGUAUUAAGUCAUCUUACGAAAACCAAAUAGUAAACACAUAGGCGUGGUGCAUUAACUCUCACGUUGUUUCUUAUUUUUUGAUAUAAAUAGAGGAAUCAACCAAGAAAAUAUGUGGGGCUUGUAUGCUUUUAAUGACUUGAGACUAUCAAACAUGACAUGCAGUGGUCAGUUCGUUGCACAAGAACAAAUACAACCCACGUCAGCACACACGCAUCUUAUAUAGCAUCACAUCCAAUGGCUAUAAAAGAUGAAUGAGACCAAAUUAUAUCUCAUCUAGAUGAGUUCUAGCAAAACUGUAUUAAUAAUACUUAGUACUCCCACUCCAUGUAUCAUAUAUUAGUAUCAUGUAGUACUUUGUUUAUUUAUGAGGUAUCCAGAUGGCACUGCACCGCCAAGAAAAGAGGGUAACAUCAAAAUUAUGGACUACUUUUUUGAGUAUGUUGGUAAGGUCCGUUCAUAGUCACUUGUUGAAAUCUCUAAAAAGACAAAUACUCCCUCCAUCCGGAAAUACUUGUCAUCAAAAUGGAUAAAAGGAAAUGUAUCUAGACGUAUUUUAGUUUUAGAUACAUCUCUUUUUAUCCAUUUUGAUGACAAGUAUUUUCGGACGGAGGGAGUAGAAAACAGAGUUGGUGAUGAUGGUGUGCGUGCCAUCCUGCAAUAUAGGCCGUCGGAUUUAUAUCUAACGGAUAGGAAAGAAACUAUGGAAAUUUUGCAAAAAUAUACCCACACGUCUCUCCACGUUCGCAAAUAAGGCCUUCCCUCGUUCAACCUUUUCUCUCACAAGAUAAACUACUCAUAGAAAUGCAUCUUGAUGUUCCGUGCAACGCACGGGCAGCUAGCUUAUUUCUUUUAAAAUAGUUGCUGCGAUAAUUGGGUUGAAGUGAUAUAUUUUAUGUCUGCCCCGAAUGAUUUCAGAUUCACUGGUAGUAACAAAGAAAAGGUUGCCUUGUUAAUUAACAGAAAACAGGCUGGAAACUAUCACAUGAGGCCGGUAAAAACAAGGCACACUGGGUUCAGCGUCAUCGUCACUACAGCUGUGCGCGCGCGAGAAGUGUACAUAUCGAGGGGGCUAUCGAGCAAGGCACCGAGACACAAUAUUUGACAGAGAAACCAAUUGACAGAUUAUGAUCAAAUCGAGUUGUCACCCUUCUGUUGUCAUUGUUGGGGGGGAGGGAGAGAAAGACAUAUCGAGAAUGUGCGUGGUAGGCACAGAGGCACAACUAGCGAGUGUGUGUGUCUGUGUGUGUGUGUGUGUUUGAAAGAGGAGUAGAUAGAUUAUUAUCAAGAUCGAUGUGCCACCCUACUAGCUCCUUCGGUGCCGGGGUAGUGUGUGUGUGUGUAUGUUUGAGAGAGAAGCCAGUCGAUAGAUUAGUAUCAAGAUCGAGGUGUCACCCUACUCCUUCAGUGUUGGGAAGUGUGGGUGUGUGGGGAGGGGGGCAGUGACACUCACAUAUCUCUACUAUUAUAAAAAACAGAGUUGAUGAUGAUGGUGUUCCUGCCAUCCUGCAAUAUAGGCCAUCCAGUUUAUAUCCAACGGACAAGAAGGAAACUAUGGCAAUUUUGCAAAAAGAAACCCACACCCCUCUCCGCAUUUGCAAAUAAGGCAUUCCCUCGUUCAUCCUUUUCUCCCAUAAGAUAAACUUCUCAUGCAAAUGCAUUUUGAUGUUCCGUGCAACGCAUGGGCAUCUUGUUAGUAGGGAGAAGAAGUUUGUGUGACACAUAUCUAGCUAUAUUAAGGGAUAGGUAGAUAGCAUAUGUGUGAGAGACAUUAGUGGCUGUGGGUGGGCGGAAUUAAAGGGGUGGGCGUGUUAGACAUAGAGAGCGUGUGUGUUUCUGUGUGAGAGACUUGUAGGACGGGGUAGAAAGAUGAAUUUAACCCUGACGGAGGGAGAGAAAUACAUGAAGUGCGCGUGUGUGAUUCCGAUGCCCACAGGGAAAUGAGAUAUGUAUGCGUGUGAGAGAGAUUGCACAAUUCAUUCACAUAUCACUAUCUAGCGAUCGUGGACGUGCAUCGCUUGAACAUAAGUCAAUAUCUACUUCGUAUCGUGGCCAAAGGUACAAUAUCGAUUCAACGCUAUAAAGAUUGGACACUCACAUGUCACAUUUUUUUCUAUUUAAAUAAGCCGUUUUAGUUGUGCAUGCCAAAGUUACAGUGAUGUUUCUUCAAACAACCAAUGUAGCUAUCAUGAACAUGCACCAUUGUUACUCUUGCAUUCAAAUUCAUUAGUAUUGGAUGAUUUAAGUUUCUAUUUUGAAGUAAUAUAUCUAAUAUUCAUAUAUGAAUUCAAUGGGUAUGCAAUUUAUGAAAUGGAGGCUAUGUAAUCAUAUGAGGUAACACUUUUAAGUAGCUGACUACAAUAUCCAUUUCUUUUUGUGCGUCUCCACACUAACACGUCAAUGCAUUAUGUUUAAAGUAAAUAACCAAUGGCUCUAAAUUAUCUAUUUACACGAGAAAUACAUAGGCUGAGCGUUUGAUCCCUUUUUUUGUGAACGCGCCACUACACCCGUACGAUUGGCCGCGCCCGUGUGAACGUCCAAGUUAUCAGCGCAUCAUCCCGAGUUAUUGUCUUUUUUUUGGGGUGGACUUCACACUAGUUAUUAACUGCUGACGAGUGCCCCGUGUACACAGUCUAGCAUGACCUUCCCGCUAGCACGGUCCAAAAUUAGUUGAAACUGGAUACGAACGAUCUCGCGGGCGGCAAAAUCUCCCGCCUCCUUCUAAAAUUUCCGCCACCUUAGUCUUUAGCAUGCGAAAUCCCCCUUUUCUCCUUGGUGCAUGGAGACCAAUAGUUACAAUACCACCCUCAUCUACAUGAUAGGUCGGGGCUGCUUUGGUAACUUCCAGUUCCCCCAAUACACGGCACCCCCAUUUCCUCUCCCCCUCCCACAAAAACGACUAACUCCACACUCCACAGCACCAGAGCAUCUUACAUCACGCCGUCCGUACUUCAUCGCCCUUUCUCCCCUCCCCUCUCGAAACCCUAGACUGCUCAUCCACCGGCGUACCAUAGCCCAUUCACUGCCAGCGGCGUCCACCUCGCCGGAUCUGCUUCUGCGGUAGCAUCUACCCCUCCCACCUCCCCUAGAAACAAGUAGACUACUCAUCCACCACUAUACCAUAGCCCAUUCAGUGAUGGCCUUGUCCACGGCACCGGAUCUGCUUCGCUGGUACUCUCGUCAACCGCCACGCAUCUGCAGCGGCUCAUUCGUACUCCCCACCGGAGACGCUUCGUCCACACCCCCUGGAGCCGCCCCACCGACGCCCCCGUGGACGGUCUCUGAUCCUCUUCGCCGACACCUUCCUCAACCCUACCGGAGCCUCUUUGCCGACACCUUCCUCAACCCUACUGGAGUAGCUUCGCCUAUAUCAUUCUCAACAAUACCGGGGCCGCUUUGCCAACUCACAAGUCCACGGCCUAAGAUCCGCUUCCUCGCACCCUCAUCCAACCUACCAGAGCAGCUUCUGACGCCCCAUCCACGGCCGCAGAUCCGCAUCGUCGACACCACCCUUAACCCAACCACCGGAGCAGCUUCACCUACGCCCUCGUCCAUGGGCAUAGAUCCGCUUCGCCCACACUGUAGUCCACCCUACCGGAGCCGCUCCACAAACACCCUACUCGACGGUUCUAGAUCUCCUUACCGGACCCCGACAGCCAGCGCAGCGUCAUCACCCUCGAUGUUUCUAACCUGAUUCCCAUAGUCUGGAGAGAUGCCAAGCACCCGCCACGGCCUAGGUACUUGUCACCUUUAAACCCGUCCAGCAUCACCUGCCCGAUGUACUUCAAAUAUACUAACCGGUCGCUGUUACCUGUUAUGCAGCUGGCAAAAACUACAAGGACGAUGUUUCUUCUGGAUCUAACAGCUUGGCCAACUAAGAUCCUGGACUGAGGCAUUGCUAUGAUCUUGUAAGCGUGUCUCUCUCUCUUGUAUUGUUCUGUGCCUGCCAGCGUGCUUUGCUAGGAUUUUCGACCAGUAAUCCCUUUGUGCAGACAAUGAUUUCUACUACUGGCUGCUAAAUUAGAUAUGUAGAUGUCAUACAGGAUACUACCUCGUACCUCCGUUCCUAAAUAUAAGUCUUUCUAGAGAUUCCACUAUAGGCUACAUACGGAGCAAAAUGAGUGAAUCUACACUCGAAAAUGCAUCUAUAUACAUCUGUAUGUGGUCCAUACUGGAAUUUCUACAAAGACAUAUAUUUAGGAACAGGGGUAGUACAUUACACAAAAUCGUAGGUGGCAUGUAGGAAUUCCAGUGCACUACAUUAGGCUCCCUUAGAGUGCCUGCUAGUCCAGCAUACAGAGUCAUGGCUAGUUUAUGGUACGCACACAAUCGUUAAUUGGUGGUUUAAAUAUGCGCAAGGGAUAUACAAUGUAGUAUCAUGUAGAGAUGUCUAAAAUUAGCCGUGUCAACUUGCAGAUAGGGUUACACAAUGAAAAAGUACAAGAUGUAUGUGGCAAUUUCAUGGAACAUCGCAAAAAAGGAGAGGCAGCGGUGAGCCUAUACAGUGUGCCAUGGUACGUCACUCCUCCAUUGCAAUCAUCGUGACAUGUUAUUUGUAUGCCAGUUCUAUUAGCCAAGUUUCUUAGCGACAGUUAUUACGAGUUAUCCUAAGAAAAUAAGCACAUGUGAAUAUAAGCUCCAUGUAAUAAGCCAACCAGUUAUUUCCAUUGCGUUUUUAGCUUAUCUUUGGUAUGAUCAGUGGAAAGUCUAGAUUGCAUUAUAUUUUUUUCAUUUUGCUGCCCAUAUGGAAAUUAAUUUGACUUGCAAACAUCACAAAUUGAACCCAGUGCAGUAAUUAAUAUGAUAGGAAAACAAACCAUCACUAUUUGCUCAAAACGCAAAUACAAAGAUACCAUCUACUUGGCACAAUCUACUUUGGUCAAUGUUUUCCAUAGAGAUCCCAUUGCCUAAUUUAAACGAAGAACGCAUGACCCACAUUUAAAUGAAGAACACUUAUUUAUUGAAAUUCGAUAGUCCAAGUGGCUGGUUAUUAUCAUAUAGCAGCACCACCUGAAAGCAUCAUAUAGCAGCAACAGCAGCUCAUAGCAACUCAUCAUACAGCAGCAGCAGCAGUCUGCAAUUCAUCAUAUACCAGCAGCAGCUCAUAGCAAUUCAUCAUAUAGCAGCAGCAGCAGCUCAUAGCAAUUCAUCAUAUAGCAGCAGGAGGAGCAGCUCAUAGCAAUUCAUCAUAUAGCAGCAACAAGAGCAGCUNNNNNNNNNNNNNNNNNNNNNNNNNNNNNNNNNNNNNNNNNNNNNNNNNNNNNNNNNNNNNNNNNNNNNNNNNNNNNNNNNNNNNNNNNNNNNNNNNNNNNNNNNNNNNNNNNNNNNNNNNNNNNNNNNNNNNNNNNNNNNNNNNNNNNNNNNNNNNNNNNNNNNNNNNNNNNNNNNNNNNNNNNNNNNNNNNNNNNNNNNNNNNNNNNNNNNNNNNNNNNNNNNNNNNNNNNNNNNNNNNNNNCUUGUAGCAACUCAUCAUAUAGCAGCAGCAGGAGCAGCUUGUAGCAACUCAUCAUAUAGCAGCAGCAGGAGCAGCUUGUAGCAACUCAUCAUAUAGCAGCAGCAGCAGCUCAUAGCAAUUCAUCAUAUAGCAGCAGCAGCUCAUAGCAACUCAUCAUACAGCAGUAGCAGCUCAUAGCAAUUCAUCAUAUAGCAGUAGCAGGAGCAGCUCAUAGCAAUGCAUCAUAUAGCAGCAGCAGAAGCAGCUCAUAGCAAUUCAUCGUAUAGUGGAAAGGGGAGAGGAGAUGCAAGCGGGCAGGGCAAUGAAUGCUUGCGUGUUUGUUUUUACUUGAGGGUCAGGUGUGACACGGGCGUCAGUAGUUGCAUUUUGAGUGUAAUAUAGGCAGACAACAGAGUCAUUUCACUAUUCCUCUUCCCUUCAAUUUUUAGUGAGGUUCUACCUGAAACACCCCCCUUGAAAGCGAAAUUAGUUAAGCCCAAGCCCAUAACUCAAAAAUGACUUCUUUACAUCUUUUAUGGCUUAUUUUGACAAUAUGCCCUGAAAAGGCAGAAUCGGACUGGCCCUUAACCUACAAUUCAAUUGUGCGUGAAAUGAUGAAUCACUCCUGCCUGCUAUCUGUACAUUUAGGCAUCAUCAUACAUGGCAUAACCUAAUACAUGUGCAUUCCAUUGUAGAAUCUGGAAAUAUGCAAUGUUUAUGUUAGUUCAUACGUUUCACAUGAUGUUUAAAUGCCCCUUAAAUCUGGUCAGUCAAGUGAUGGUCUUUAAGCCUCCUUCUUUGCUUCUUUUCUUGAUAUGUAAGAUUUGCUCACACAUCUAUUCAAUUGCUUGUUUGCAUCAGCCAGCCAUACUAGGACUGUUUGCUUUGAUUACUUGUUGUUCUUGACAUAACACUCUAACAGAGCUUGUCAACGAUUUAAACACUAAGGGCUGCUGUAGUGGGGCCUUGUCUAACUCAUAGGUGACAUAAAGGUUUGGUUGUACACUACACUAGGCUCUCCAAGAGUACCUGGAGAUCCAGUUCGAAGGUAUGCCUAGUUUUUACAUAGUGCAAACAUAGUAAAUGCUCAUUUCAUUGUGUGCAAGUGCAAGAGAUGCGGCAUGUUUCAUUAUGUGGUGUUGUUUUGUUAUAAUAUCAUUCUUUUGUGUUCACAGACUAGAAAGUAUGCAUAUUUAUCUUCCAAGGAGACGAGUAACUAGUUUGUGUCACCUUGUAGAGGGGGUGCAAUGAAGAUAAGAUUGAGGAUUUCCAAGUACAAGAUGUUAGGAAGGAUCCUUGCAAGAGAAGUAGGAGCUGCGCUGAGCCUCUUCAACCUGCUAAGGUAAGUCACUAUAUGCAACUCAACAGUUCAAUUCCUUGUUUGUUUCAGGCAUAGUUAAUUUUCUCUUUUCAAUUGCUUUAUUUGUCCUCAGUUAAUGAGAUGCCCAAAUAACCAUGCCUGAUGUUCGGUACUUGUAUCACUAUUAGUUGACAUAAGUAAAGGCCUUACCAUUUAAUUAUUCUGCCGAAGUGUGCCUGAAGCUUUGAAGUCUAUAAACCAACUAUUAUUGCAUGAGGCUCACAAUCUAGUUUAUACAACGCUAAUGAUUGCAUAGUUUUGCCUGCUAUAGUAUGUUUGUAUGAAACCCUCUGCUGUUCAUUAUGAUCCCUAAGACUUUAAUUGAGGCACAGAAUGGCCAACUGCUUGCUUACUUAUACGCAACAUGUUGUCUAAAUUUGUAACUUGUCUGUGUUUUCGAUUGGGCCCCAACAUCAUGCUCCUCUGGUGAGCUAAGAGGGGUUUCUGUAUGCAGGCUGCACAGACUAUCUUUUUUAUAAUUUUUAAAAUAUCACCUGCUUAUGCUUCAUGACGUGUAACAUUUUUUUUAAAGUGACGUGUAACAUUAUUGUUAGUCCUGUUUUGCCAUGUAGUACAAAAUAGUGUCUUGUUCGCUUCACUGUUGUAACUAUAUUUUUGCCCUAGUCAUGUGUACUUACAGAAACAUUUCAGAAUGAAGUGACAUCAACACAAAGAUCUGCGAGCAGUGCGGCAUGGCCGUUACCGAAUGAUUAUGGAUUGGAAUUGGAAUGUGCUGAUGUUAUCGAGCAUCAACUAGAGGUGGCAAGACAACGUGUACAUGAUUGUCAACGUAUAAUCAACAAGUUGAGACUGGACAUGCAGGUAUUAGAUGCAGGAGUAAAAAAAUGAAACAAGACACUGAGGUAACCAUGAAAGAAUUGGAGAUUUUGCAGACUGAAAUUUGUGCUAUCUGAAUCCGGCCAAUCCUAUUUUCUGAAGAGAUUGUAGUUCAAUUGGAGUUAAGUUGAUGCGCGUCCAUGAUGUAUGAGCUGUAUUUGCCCAGUGUAUGUAAUUUGUUGUUUGUGUAUGCUUUAUUAUCACCUAUGCCGAACCAUAAUGCCCGUGGGUAUAAUCGGCUGUAAUUUCUUUAUUGUAUAGUGUAGGAUUAUUCUACCUUUCUAUGCCUUGAUCUCUUUGUUGUAAUAGUGUAGGCUUUUUAGAGGUGAUAGUAUUGAGUAGGAUAAUUCUUUGAAUAUGCUAUAUCGUUCAAACGGGGGCCCAUUCGCCCGACCAUGGCCCUUCACGGGCCGUCGGAUCCAUGGGCCUUCUACGUCUCGUAGGAUCCAUGGGCCUUCGACGUCUCGUAGGAUCCAUGGGCCGCCGGCUCAUUUAUGGGUCUUGUACGGGCCUUUAAUGGGCCGUAGAUGGGCCUUUAAUGGAAAUCGUACGUUUUAUGGGCUGACCAUAACGGGCCGUUAAUAGGCCGUAUUUGGUGAUGCUAUGAAAAUGGCCCAACAGACUAACGGUCCGCAAACGGGACGACUAUAACGACGGGCUGAAUUUGGCCCACAAACAGAAAAUGACAGUAACAGGCCGUAAGUAACCGAAUGCUGCAAAUGAGCCCAAUAAUAAAUGGGCCCUCAGAAGGCCGAAAGUUAACUUGGGCUGGAAACGGCCCAACGGAAUAACAGGCCGUUAAUGGGUAUAAAGUGAUACACUGUUCAUUACGGGCCAGUUUCACCACGGGCCAUUAAUGGGUGUAAAGUAAUACACUGUUCAUUACGGUCCAGUUUCAGCACGGGCCGAUAAUGGGCCAAGAGUUACAAAGGGCCUCAUAUGGGCCGAAAGACGUCAUGGGCUAUACAUGGGCCAGAAGUGAAAACGGGCUGGAAUCAUAUUGGACGGCCCAGAUGACGCUACUGGGACUAAUUCGGAUAGGGCGUAACAGGCCUUGGAUUAGCGGGCUGUAAAUGCGCUAUAUGCGAACAGGCCGUUAACAGGCUUUCCAUGGGCCGGCCCGCCAGCUUUUGACCAAGUCAAAUGGGUCGGCCUUUUCACAGGAAUGGGCCACUGUUGGUCCGUGCCACGUGUUGACGUAUCAUAGGCGCCUUCUGUCCAGUGAGUGGAUGACAUCUGUCCCAACGAUGAGCCGGCACGUGUUUCCUCUAGCUAAUGAUGAUUUUACACGUGGAAAAUCCCCAUUGGUCGGGGCUGUUAACGGGUUAUCAGAUCCAAAACCCGACCCGAUAGCUUAACGGCGUUCCGUUACGGUGGAUGCCACGUGUCGGUCACCCCUUCUGUGACGCGCGAUUUAUCGUCAUGGAAGUGGACACUUCUGUGAUGAUAAUUUUGGUAAUGUCAUGGAACACUUCUACGACAGCACAGGUAUGACUAUCUUGAUUCUUUCAUAAAUUUGUCAUGGAUGUACAUGCAUGAAAAAAAAAGCGACCUACUGUGACAAACACGUAUCAUCACGGAAGUGUAUUUUUUUGUAGUGCUAUCAGUGGGUUAGAGGCUUGACAUGGCAAUAUGGGAGGCAUGAUAUAGCAAGUGGUAGGUAUCGCGGCAUAGCAAAAGAGCGAGCAACUAGCAAGCAAAGAUAGAAGUGAUUUUGAGGGUAUGGUCAUCUUGCCUGAGAUCUCGCAAGGAAGAAGAACGGGUCCAUGAAGAAGACAAACGGAUGUAGUCGAACGGAUGCUCACAACUCCGGAACGAAACCGAAGCUAACGAGAGAAGCAACCCGGAAAGAAGCAAGCAACAUGGUAAACAACCAUCACAUAACAUAGCAUGAUGCGCAAACAAUUAUGAUGCAUGUCCGGUUCAAAGAGGCAUGGCAUGGCAAAGUGCACAAACAACCCUACAAAUUAAGUGGAGCUCAAUAUGCAACUCCGUUGCAUAUUGACGAAACACCACGUGACUUAUUUAGUUUGAUCUUUUUUAUGUACCCAACAAUAUUAAAUGUUGUUAAACAUGGCAAGAGGGUGAAGCAUAUGGAAAACUACCUAUUUAGGCAAGUUUAAAUGAGGCCAGAAAUAACAAACAACAAUUCCGGAAAAUCCUCAUAUGCAUAUAUUAGGUUUGGUAUUGUUCUGCCCUAAACCAUAUUUUAGAUUUGUUAAACAUGCAAGAUGAGUGCACCAUGUUAAACUAGGAAUUUUUCUACCCCAUUUACAUAUAAAGUUUGUUAAGUUUGGAGCUAUGGUUAUUUAGUUAUGAAAUAAAUCAUUUUAACAAGUUAUUUAAGCAAAUUUAAUCAAACAAUAGUUUAAACAUCUUUAACAUAGAUGAAAGUUGCAAAUUAUUAACCUACACAAAAUUCUAAGCAAGUUUCAUAUAUGAAGUUUUAACAUGUGAUGCAGAGUUUGUGAGAUAUUAAAUGUAUGAACAUGAGGGUCUUUUCUGUAAAACAGCGUUCUCUGGAAUAUUAGUAAAAUUGCCUAGAGGAAAAAAACAUAACACGGGCCAAAUCUGGACAGCAAGCCCAAUAGAGGAAAAAAGGGGGCGCUGGGGUGGCCUCACCCAGUGGGCCUGACCCAGUUGAAGGAGAGGCCUGGCAGGCCAUCCGCGCUGCUGGGCUGUGCGGGGAAAGGGCGCUGGCGACGCGGUGGCCCAGGCGCUGGUGACGCGGUCAACGGGAGCGGGGCGGCGCUGCGAGCGGGUGACCUGGUGCUGCUCGUACCAACACAAGCAGUAGCAGGUCAUGGCGAUAUGGAAGACAGGCAGAGGCGCGAUGUGGAGGCAGGGGACCCGCGGGCGCGGCGGAUCCGGGUAGUCUGAGGGUCGAGGAGGCGGUUCCCGGCAACAGGAUCUUCAGCGGUGGCAUUGCUCGAUGGAGCAAAGCAGGCAGCAGCAGGAUCGUGCGGGCGAAGCAGAGGACGGCGGCGGACUUGGCGCGGCUCCUGGAUCCGGGCGCGAGCGAGGCUGGCGACGCAACGAAGGAGGCAGCGAAGACGGACCCGGGUGUGGGAUGGCACUAGGAGACCAGGACGGGGCACCGGCGAGGAUCCAUGGAGGCAGAGCUCCAUCCAGCGGCCAUGGGGGUCUCCCUGUCCAACAAGCAAGGAUAGAGAGACAACAUGAGAGAGAGGGAGACCGAGGAGGAAAAGGAAUAAGAAGGAGAAGGGGAGGUUUGUGUUGCUACUGCUAUCACCGGCGGCAAGCUCCAGCGCGGGCGGAGGCCAUCGGGCACGGGAGUGGCUUGGGGCUGUGCUCGUGGAGGGGGAACAUGGGGCUGCAGGAAGAGAAGUUGUGGAUCUCGUAGAUCAAGGAGAGGAGGCUGGUUCAGUGGAUCGGGUAGGGGAGAUCCCAAGGGGGGUUUGGUCAGGUGGCGGCGGCGAUGGGACAAACUCCUAGGUUUUAGGGUUUGAUCUAAUAUAUAUAUAUAUAUAACAAGUGGAUUUUUGGAUAGGGGCAUUUGGUCCCUCCGAUCUUAAUCGUACGGUCCCGGAUAAAUAGGUUAGGGAGCCCAAUUAAGAAAACGGAGACAUUUUGUAGAUGUUUGGGGAUGAUCUGGACCCAACGGUGAUGACUGAGCGGUACGGGUUCGGGGCAGUUUCGGACACGCACGAGAGGUCUAUGCACGGCACAAAGAGGGGUAGGCAUGGGCCUAGGUGGACUAUGGAGAGCGGGUUGGUUUGAGAGAAGAGGGGAGAGAUGCAGCCCGGCACGGUUUUCGAAGACCGAAAACGUCCAAUGAAAAGACCAGGUAUACUGCCGCUAUAGUUAUCCGUUGGGCCGUCAAACAGACUCUGAAUGUGAUGAAAUUUGGCAAGAGGCCUACUAACAACAAAACAACACCGCAUGCCAACUUUCAUCCCAAUCCGAGAACAUUUACUGGCCACUUAUAAAAUACUAUUUCAGACAUGCCGCAGGCGCGUGCAAGUGUGUCUGGGCUCAGAACUGACAACGGAGAGUACUAGGGAACCCGGACGAAUGCAAGUUUUGAAAACAUGAUGAUGCAAUGCACAUGAUGACAUGAUGAAAUGCAACACGCAAGCAAAAGACAUGUCAACGUCGGCGAAUAACAAGAAGACACCUGGCGCAUCCGCCUCGGGGCAUCACAACACUCCACCACUACGAGAGGAUCUCGUCCCGAGAUCUGGGAUGGCACCGGAGAGAAGCGCAAAAGGAAGAGGUAAAACAAAGUUGCUUCUUUGACAAACGAGUGAAACCAAAGAACCUUGAUAGGUUAAACCAUUUUGAGAAAAGAAAACAAUGAAGAUGAUCGAAGUUGAAAACACUACGUUAGAAAAGAGGAACAAGGAAGAACAAAUUCGGACAGCACUCUAGUUGAAAAGAGAUGUAUAAGGAACGAUAAGAAUCAAUUACGACAACACUCCGGUUAACAAGAUAGAGAAGAAAUAAGAAUGAUAUAAUUUGGAAAGCACUCCGACUGUAAAUGGAAGGAAUCGAACAUGAUCUUAACAAGAUGAGGAUACUUGAUGAGAUCAACAACACACUAGCUCCGGAACUAUUGAAAUAAUGGCACAAUGGGUAAAAAGAUUUCAAACGGCACUUCGGUUGAAAAGGGAGGCAAAACUUGAUAAGAUGAGAGAAAUUGAAAAAAGGGCACGAUACUCCGCUUAAAUGGACAAGCACAAAAAGAACAUGAUAUUUGACAAAACGAGAUGAUGGGUGAAUAUAGCAACAAUACAAAGCCUCCGGAAUGAAUGUAAGGAUGGAAUCAAAAGAACGGAGGAGAAAACCACAACUUCUGCCUCAAAUGAACUUGAAAAAGCAUAUUUAGGAGAAGAGUCGAACGGAGUUGUUGGAAAACCAACAAAGAAAAGAGUAAGCUUACAGUGGGCUUAUGGGAAACAUCUCAAAACUAUGAGGUGAAAUUCUGCCACUAUGGAAACAAAAGAUUGGAUUGAUAGCUAGAAAAGAAUAGGAAGCUUCUUCCACCAAGGUGAUAAGAAAACUUGGAUCAUAGGUAAUCACCACAAGGAGCAACAUUCCCAAUGGAAGGUUUUAGGUCAAAUUUAUACCAAGAUAACUCCAUGGAAGAAAAUGAUGGGUUUAAAUACCUCAUUCUUGUGAAUGAAGAAUGAUAUAUUACCACCUCAAAAGAUAAGGGAGAACAAUUGCACUCCGGAUUGCAAGAUGAAGAAUGCUUGGACUCCUCUGAGAAGAAUCUUGAAGAACGCUUCAAGAGUGAAUUAAAUCCUUGAUGAGCCAUCAUGUAGAGCCUCCAUGAAGAUCUUCGGUAAUAAAAGAAUAAUGAAGGAAAGAGAAGUUGAAAACACAAGGUGAAGCCUUGCGAUGAUUUAGAUGGAUCUUCGUGAUGAGAUAAUGCAAAAAAAACUUGGAACUCCAGAAAAGAAAGAUGAACAAAAGAAAUCAAGAAUUUUGAUGAACCUCUGGAAUAAGUAAUUAAUCACUUGGAUGAAAACAAUAAUAAGAAUUAUGUUAUGCGCAUCCUUCACCAAUUUAGAUUGAUGGCAAGCAACAAAUUUGGCAUACUACUUAUUCUCGUUGAAAGGGAUUAAGAUAGAUAUAGAGUCACUUGGGAAGGUCUUCAACAAACCACCGGUAGGAUUUGGAAACAACGAAUGAAUUGAUAUGGUAAUAAGAGGAAAGUAAUCUUGAACGAACCACCAUAAGAAUUGAAAAUGAAUGAAGAAAAGAUAAAGAAACACCGGGAAGAGAUAUAAAAAGAACAAAGGUACUUGAGAGAAUUUAGAUACAAAUGAACGAAGAGAUCAUGAAUUGAUUAGAGGAUAUUUGAAUGAUGCAUUGGUAAGAUUGGAGAACGAGAGCUGAAAGCUUGAAUGAAUAAUUCUGAGAUGAUGGGCUCUGGGGAAUCAAACUGAAAAGACUCCUGAAUUGCUCUGGAUGGGUGAAAAGAAUUCUCACAAGCAAAUAUAAUUAUGAGAGGGUGCCAACAAGCUAGAAUCAUGAAUCUUCAUGAGAACGGAGCAAGUUUUGGAGGAAAAACUCUUCUUCGGUCUUCAAAAUUCGAGAAUGGCGACAAGAAACACCACCAAGAAUUAUUGAGAUACUCCGGGAGAAUGAAAAGUGAAGAGGUUGAGCCAGCAAUGAAAAGAAUUUGAAAGAUCUUGGAGAAAGACAUAUGGCUGAUGAUAAUUCAUUCUUACGUCAAACUUGGAGAAGAAUUUGAGAAUAACUCCAGAAAAUUAGAAGAGUCAGGUAAGAUCCUGGGAAAAGACCUGUGGGUUAGGGCACACUCAAAAGAUACACCAUUGAAUGAUUACUUGAAAGGGAGAUUGCACCGGUUGAAUUAAACGGUUUGAAUGAGAUAACAUCCUCAAAAGAACUUGAACGAAUUGAGAAUGAACAGUAGCAUCUUCUGAGAUAUCUUCAGCACUCCGGAACAGAUGAAUAGGGAGAGGUGAGCAGUUAAGAAGUGCACCGGCAUGAGAAAACAUUUAAACGAGGAAAGGAUAUGAUCAACAAAGCUUGAAUUUAAUCCACCGGAGAAGAAAAAUAACGAAUAAUGAUGAACUUGAGGCUCCGUUAGUAUCUUUCUGAGAAUCACCGGAUAAGAAGAUUGAAGGGAAAGAAUGAAGAGACUUCGUGUGAAUAAAAUGGAUAGUUAUUUUGAAUAUCUCUGAGUCCUUGAAGAAAAAGGGUGGGAGGGCGGGAAAACAAAGGCAGCUUGGAAUAGAUAAAAAUGAGCACCGUUGAGAAGAACUGAUAAUUGAUCUUGCGGAUCGUGAAAUGAUCGGAUCCACUUGAAGAGAAACACGCCGGUUGAAAAAGAAUUGACAUGACAAACUCGAUUAUCAAGAAGGAUUGGUAUUCACAUAGAAAUAUGGGAACACCGCUUAGGAAAGGUAUGGAAUCAACAUUUGACUUAGAAGCAACUCGAUUACCACAAGCCAAAACAAAACAAGGAUUUGGCUUGCAAAAUAAGCCGGAAACAAACAUAUGAUAGAUCCCAUAUCGUAUCAUGUGUCUGUUGGAAAGAAUUCCUACAUGAUACUUGAAUUCCCACUUAUAAACUCCCGAAACUUUCUGGUUAUGCAAUCGGGUGUUGGGGAUAGAGGGGAAGCAUAAUAUCUCACCCAAAACUCAAAUCCUACAUCCAGCUGUAUCCAUCCUUCAACACAUAACCAAGAAACCUUUGGAAAUCAUUUAACUCAACCUUCGAAAAGCAUCCGUUAUACGAGUUAUGGCAAUACUCCCGAACUCCAGCCCCAGUACUGGGUGGCAUCGAGGUUAUCUCACCAACAACUGCAUAAAAGAGAUUUUCGAUGUCGGCGAACUCAGGUAUUCCAGAACUGCAACGAUAAAAUUGUGACGACAACACCUCGGAGCUCAACUCCCCGGGACACUGCCACAACCCCUAAAUGUCAAGAGGCACCAAGAAGAAUGUUCUCGUCACAAAACCAUCGGAACGAUUCCAAGACACCCGUGUGAUCCUAAAAAAAAUUCGUGAAAUUUGAGAAGACAAGAGUCAAAACUCUAUGUCAGGAUGCCUCACCAAAGCGACGAAGGGACUGAGGAGUCAAAAGAAUCCUACUCUCCGAUAUAUAUAAUCCUAUAAGACCCAAAACAUUUUUUCUAGACUCAUAAACGUCAACGAUUCGAUCAAGCAGGGGGCUCCUAAGUCGGGGAAGGCUCUGAUUACCAACUUGUAGCACCCACGAUGCGGCUAUAUCUCCCACGUGUCAGAGCAUGACUUAGAGGCAUAGCCACAUAGUAGGCAUGUCACAAGAGGGGUAAUCUUUACACAUCCCAUGUACUAAAUAAGAAAGGGAUAAGAGUUGGCUUACAAUCGCCACUUCACACAAUACAUAAAUAUAGCAUUACAUCAUCCAGAAUACAAUCAAUGUCCGACUAUGAAAUCAAAUAAAGAAAGAAAACCCCUAAUGCUAGAUACCUGAUCGCCCUGACUGGGCUCCACUACUGAUCAACUGGAAAUGAAACAACACAAUGAACACGAUCCUCAUCGAGCUCCUCCUUGAGCUCGGUUGCGUCACUUGCACGGUUAUCAUCGACACCUGCAACUGUUUGGAAGUAACUGUGAGUCACGAGGACUCAGCAAUCUCACACCCUCGCGAUCAAGACUAUUUAAGCUUAUGGCUAGGAAAAGGUAGUGAGGUGGAGCUGGAGCAAGCACUAGCAUAUAUGGUGGCUAACUUACGCAAAUGAGAGCGAGAAGAGAAGCAAAGCACGGUCGAGAAACUAUAAUGAUCAAGAAGUGAUCCUGAAACUAAUUACGUUCAAGCAUAACACAAGAACCGUGUUCACUUCCCGGACUCUGCCGGAAAGAGACCAUCAAGGCUACACACGCGGUUGAUUCAUUUUAAUUAAGUUAAGUGACAAGUUCUCUACAACCGGAUAUUAAAAAUUCCCAUCUGCCCAUAACCGCGGGCACGGCUUUCGAAAGUUCAAAACCCUGCAAGGGUGUCCCAACUUAGCCCAUCAUAGGCUUUCACGGUCAACGAAGGAUAUUCCUUCUCCCAGGAAGACCUCAUCAGACUCGGAAUCCUGGUUACAAGAUAUUUUGACAAUGGUAAAACAAGACCAGCAAAGCCACCCGAUGUGCCAACAAAUCCUGAUAGGAGCUGCACAUAUCUCAUUCUUAGGGCACACCGGAUGAACACUAUGUACAACUAAAACCAACCCUCAAGUUUCCCCGAGGUGGCGCUGCAAGUGGCUCUAUUUUGGACCAACACUCAGAGGAGCACUGGCCCGGGGGGGUUUAAAAUAAAGAUGACCCUUGAGUCUGCAGAACCCAAGGGAAAAAGGCUUAUGUGGCAAAUGGUAAAACCAAGGUUGGGCCUUGCUGGAGGAGUUUUAUUCAAAGCAAACUGUGAAGGGGUUCCCAUAACACCCUACCACGUAAGGAACGCAAAAUCAAGGAACAUAACACUGGUAUGACGGAAACUAGGGCGGCAAGAGUGGAACAAAACACCAGGCAUAAGGCCGAGCCUUCCACCCUUUACCAAGUAUAUAGAUGCAUUAAAGUAAGCAAGAUAUAAUAAUGAUAUCCCCAAAUAUCCAUGUUCCAACAUGGAACAAGCUUCAUCUUCACCUGCAGCUAACAACACUAUAAGAGGGGCUGAGCAAAGCGAUAACAUAGCCAAACAACGGUUUGCUAGGAAAGGCGGGUUAGAGGCUUGACAUGGCAAUAUGGGAGGCAUGAUAUAGCAAGUGGUAGGUAUCGCGGCAUAGGAAAAGAGCGAGCAACUAGCAAGCAAAGAUAGAGGUGAUUUCGAGGGUAUGGUCAUCUUGCCUGAGAUCCCACAAGGAAGAAGAACGGGUCCAUGAAGCAGACAAACGGAUGUAGUCGAACGGAUCCUCACAACUCCAGAACAAAACCGAAGCUAAUGAGAGAAGCAACCCGGAAAGAAGCAGGCAACAUGGUAAACAACCAUCACAUAACAUGGCAUGAUGCGCAAACAAUUAUGAUGCAUGUCCGGUUUAAAGAGGCAUGGCAUGGCAAAGUGCACAAACAACCCUACAAAUUAAGUGGAGCUCAAUAUGCAACUCCGUUGCAUAUUGACGAAACACCACGUGACUUAUUUAGUUCGAUCUUGUUUAUGUACCUAACAAUAUUAAAUCUUGUUAAACAUGGCAAGAGGGUGAAGCAUAUGAAAAACUACCUAUUUAGACAAGUUUAAAUGAGGUCGGAAAUAAAAAACAACAAUUCCGAAAAAUCCUCAUUUGCAUAUAUUAGGUUUGUACUGUUCUGCCCUAAACCAUAUUUUAGAGUUGUUAAACAUGCAAGAUGAGUGCACCAUGUUAAACUAAGAAUUUUUCUACCCCAUUUACAUAUAAAGUUUGUUAAGUUUGGAGCUAUGGUUAUUUAGUUAUGAAAUAAAUCAUUUUAACAAGUUAUUUAAGCAAAUUUAAUCAAACAACAGUUUAAACAUCUUUAACAUAGAUGAAAGUUGCAAAUUAUUAACCUACACAAAAUUCUAAGCAAGUUUCAUAUAUAAAGUUUUAACAUGUGAUGCAUAGUUUGUGAGAUAUUAAAUGUAUGAACAUGAGGGUCUUUUCUGUAAAACAAUGUUCUCUGGAAUAUUAGCAAAAUCGCCUAGAGGAAAAAAAUGUAACACGGGCCAAAUCUGGACAGCAAGCCCAACAGAGGAAAAAAGGGGGCGCUGGGGUGGCCUCACCCAGUGGCCCUGGCCCAGUUGAAGGAGAGGCCUGGAAGGCCAUUCGCGCUACUGGGUUGUACGGGGAAAGGGCGCUGGCGACGCGGUGGCCCAGGCGCUGGCGACGCGGUCAACGGGAGCGGGGCGGCGCUACGAGCGGGCGACCUGGUGCUGCUCGUACCAACAGAAGCAGCAGCAGGUCAUGGCGAUAUGGAAGACGGGCAGAGGCGUGAUACGUCCAUUUUGCAUCAUGCUUUUAUAUUGAUAUUUAUUGCAUUAUGGGCUGUUAUUUCACAUUAUGUCACAAUACUUAUGGCUAUUCUCUCUUAUUUUACAAGGUUUACAUAAGGAGGGAGAAUGCCAACAGCUGGAAUUCUGGGCUGGAAAAGGAGCAAAUACUAGAGACCUAUUCUACACAACUCCAAAAGUCCUAAAACUCCACGGAAUACCUUAUAAUAAAUAAUGAAAAAUCCUCGCCAAAGAUGAAGACCAGGGGACCCACACCCUGUCCACGAGGGUGGGGGCGCCCCCAGCCCCCCUAGGGCGCGCCCCCCUACCUCGUGGGCCCCCUGGUGGCUCUCUGAUGACCAUCUUCUGCUAUAUGAAGUCUUUCAUCGAGAAAAAAACAAGAAGCAACCUUUCGGGACGAAACUCCGCCGCCAUGAGGCGGAACCAAUCUAGGGCUCCAGUAGAGCUGUUCUGCCGGGGAAACUUCCCUCCCGGAGGGGGAAAUCAUCACCAUCGUCAUCACCAACGCUCAUCUCAUCGGGAGAGGGCAAUCUCCAUCAACAUCUUCAUCAACACCAUCUCAUCUCAAAACCCUAGUUCAUCUCUUGUAUCCAAUUCUUGUCUCCAAGUCCGGGAUUGGUAUCAAGGCUUGAUAAAAGAUUAUCUGGUAUUGCAAAUCUGAUGACAUAUUCUGGUAGAUUAACUCAUUGGAAAUCAGUGGUUUUUGCUCUUCCAAUUUAUGCAAUGGGUUGCAUCAUAGUGCCUUUCACUAUCUUAGAUCACUUUGAAAAUUCUGGCAGAAGUUUUCUUUGGUAUGGUAACAAGAUCAAUAAACAGGGUAAUUGUCUGGUUAAAUGGGAUACUGUCUGUCUCCCCAAAGAAGCAGGAGGAUUGGGAGUACUUGAUUUAAGAACUCAAAACAGAGCUCUUCUAAUUAAAUUUCUCUAUAAGUUUUUUAAUAAAUAGGAUAUUCUGUGGGUGGAAUUAAUAUGGAAUAAUUAUUAUUCUGAUGGCUCUAUACCCUCAUAUCCCACAAUGUUGGGAUCCUUUUGGUGGAGAGAUUGCUGCUCUAUCCUUCAGGAUUUUAAAAAUAUGACUACAUGUAUCCCCUCCACUGGCAACACCAUCUCACUCUGGCAUGAUAAGUGGAAUGAGGGCACUCUCCAGAGCAGAUUUUCUCAAUUAUACUCAUUUGCUAAAGAUACAGGCUAUAUAAUUGCCUCGGCUAUUGUUUCCUCAACCAGCAACUUUUAUGAGAUGUUUCAUUUACCCAUGUCAUCUAUGGAUGUUCAACAAAGCAAUGAGAUGUUGGAAAUCAUAAGUAACAUCCACCAGGAAAAUGACAAUAAAGAUUGCUGGCAAUUUCUCUGGAAAGGAAACAAAUACUCCAACAGAAAGAUUUAUCUGGAACUUAUUGGAAACCCACCAAAGGCAGCACCACCAUUUCAAUGGAUUUGGAAAUCAUGCAACCUGCCCAAACAAAAAAAUUUCUUCUGGUUGCUACUGCUUGAUAGAUUAAAUACUAGAGAUCUACUAAUCAGGAAGAAUUUUCAAAUACAAAACAGAAGAUGUGUUCUAUGUGAUGAUGAACCCAAUGAAUACCUACAACAGCUCUUUUUUGUAUGUGACUUCAGCACAAAUUUCUGGGCUGCAAUAGGUAUGGAAUGGAAUACAGAUCUUAAUACUAUUGAAAUGCUAAUGGAGGGCAAAAGCAGAGAUAAUGGCCAAGGAUUUAAGGAAAAGAUGAUAGCAGGGUGUUGGAGCAUACGGAAGCACAGGAAUGGCAUUAUCUUUGACAACAAUAACAGAAGUAUGACUCACUGCUUAUCAAGUUUCAAAGAGCAUUUUAGCACCAUUAUCAAGAAAGCAAGACCUAGUUUAAAGGAUGGGAUGCAAUCCUGGUUGGAUACAUUGUAAUUUGUUAAUCUUUUUGUACCAUGUACCUCUUCUGUACAGACCCAUGUAACACCACCCAUUAUUACUAGAAAAUAGAGUUACAGUGGGGAGCCUUUCCCCACUGUGUUUGCUCAAAAAAAAAUCCGGGAUUGGUGCUAGUAGGUUGCUAGUAGUGUUAAUUACUCCUUGUAGUUGAUGCUAGUUGGUUUAAUUGGUGGAAGAUCAUAUGUUCAGAUCCUUUAUGCAUAUUAUUACCCCUCUGAUUAUGAACAUGAAUAUGCUUUGUGAGUAGUUACGUUUGUUCCUAAGGACAAGGGAGAAGUUUUGCUAUUAGUAGUCAUGUGAAUUUGGUAUUCGUUCGAUAUUUUGAUGAGAUGUAUGUUGUCUAGCCUCUAGUGGUGUUAUGUGAACGUCGACUACAUAACACUUCACCAUUAUUUGGGCUUAGAGGAAGGCAUUGGGAAGUAAUAAGGAGAUGAUGGGUUUCUAGAGUGAUAGAAGCUUAAACCCUAGUUUAUGUGUUGCUUUGUAAGGGGCUGAUUUGGAUCCAUAUGUUUCAUGCUAUGGUUAGGUUUACCUUAAUGAUUUUGUUGUAGUUGCGGAUGCUUGCAAUAGAGGUUAAUCAUAAGUGGUAUGCUUGUUCAAGUAAGAACAUCACCCAAGCACCGGUCCACCCACAUGUCAAAUUAUCAAAGUACCGAACGCGAAUCAUAUGAACGUGAUGAAAACUAGCUUGACGAUAUUCCCAUGUGUCCUAGGGAGCGCUUUUCCUUAUAUAAGAGUUUGUCCUUUACUACAAAAGGAUUGGGCCACCUUGUUGCACUAUAUUUACUUUUGUUACUUGUUGCUCGUUACAAAUUAUCUUAUUACAAAACUAUAUGUUACCACUUAUUUCAGUACUUGCAGAGAAUACCUUGCUGAAAACUGCUUAUUAUUUCCUUCUGCUCCUCGUUGGGUUCGACACUCUUAUUUAUCGAAAGGACUACGAUAGAUCCUCUAUACUUGUGGGUCAUCAAGACUCUUUUCUAGCGCCGUUGCCGGGGAGUGAAGCGCCUUUGGUAGGUGGAAUUUGGUAAGGAAAAAAAUUAUAUAGUGUGCUAAAUUUACUGUCACUUGUUACUAUAGAAAGUAAUCCUCUGAGGGGCUUGUUCGGGGUAUCUUCACCCCGACCAGUAGAGCAAAGAGUUGCUCCUCAACCUACUGAACCUAUUGAAAAUGAAAUUCCCUAUGAGUAUCCUUCGGGUAUGAUAGAAAAACUGCUAGCUAAUCCUUUUACAGGAGAUGGAACAAAGCAUCCUUAUGAACACCUAAUAUAUGAGGAUGAAGUUUGUGGAUUAUUUAAGCUUGUAGGUAUACCCGAUGAUGUUGCUAAGAAGAAGGUCUUCCCUUUAUCUUUGAAGGGAGAUGCAUUGACAUGGUAUAGGCUAUGUGAUGAUACGAGAUCAUGGAACUAUAGAAAAUUGAAAUUGGAAUUUCAUCAAAAGUAUUACCCUAUGCAUCUUGUUCAUCGUGAUCGCAAUUAUAUAUAUAAUUUUUGGCCUCGCAAAGGAGAAAGCAUCGCUCAAGCUUGGGGGAGGCUUAAAUCAAUGUUAUAUUCAUGCCCCAAUCAUGAGCUCCCAAGAGAAACAAUUCUUCAAAAAAUUUAUGCUCGGCUUUCUGAAAAUAAUCGCACCAUGCUCGAUACUUCUUGUGCUGGCUCUUUUAUGAUGAAUACUAUUGGAUUUAGAUGGGAUUUAUUGGAUAGAAUUAAACGCAACUCUGAAGAUUGGGAUCUCGACAAAGGUAAGGAGUCAGGUAUGACACCUAAGUUUGAUUGUGUUAAAUCCUUUAUGGAUACCGAUAUUUUCCGUAAGUUUAGCACUAAAUAUGGACUUGAUUCUGAGAUAGUAGCUUCUUUCUAUGAAUCUUUUUCUAGUUAUGUUGAUCUCCCUAAGGAGAAGUGGUUUAAAUAUCAUCCUCCCAUAGAAGUAAAAGUAGUUGCACCAAUUAAAGUUGAAGAAAAUACUGUCACUUAUAAUGAUCCUAUUGCUCCUACUUGUUACGUUGAGAAACCACCUUUCCCUGUUAGGAUAAAGGAUCAUGCUAAAGCUUCAACUGUGGUUCGUAAAAGCAAUAUUAAAACAUAUACACCUCCUGAGCAAGUUAAAGUAGAACCUAAUAUUGCUAUUGUUAAAGAUCUCUUGUCUGAUAAUAUUGAUGGGCAUGUUAUUCAGUUCUGCGGUGAAACUACCAGAAUUGCUAAACCUUGUGCUAAAGAUAAAAAUAGACAUGUGGUAGGCGUGCCUGUUAUUUCUGUUAAAAUAGGAGAACAUUGUUAUCAUGGCUUAUAUGUGAUAUGGGUGCUAGUUCUAGUGCAAUACCUAUUGACUUAUACAGAGAAAUUAUGCAUGACAUUGCACCUGUUGAGUUAGAAGAAAUUGAUGUCACUAUUAAACUUGCUAAUAGAGAUACUAUUUCACCAAUGGGAAUUGUUAGAGAUGUUGAAGUCUUGUGUGGGAAAACUAAAUAUCCUGCUGAUUUUCUUGUUCUUGGUUCCCCACAAGAUAGCUUUUUCCCCAUUAUAUUUGGUAGACCCUUCUUGAAUAAUGUUAAUGCUACCAUAGAUUGCACAAGGGAUGUUGUUAUUGUCAGUUUAGAUGAUAUGACUCAUGAGUUUAAUUUCUCUAAAUUUAGUAAACAACACCAUGAAGAAGAAUUGCCUAGUAAGGAUGAAAUUAUUGGUCUUGCUUCUAUUGCCGUACCUCCUGGUGAUCCUUUAGAACAAUAUUUGCUAGACCAUGAGAAUGAUAUGUUUAUGAAUGAAAGAAGGGAAAUAGAUGAAGUAUUCUUUAAACAGGAACCAAUUCUGAAACACAAUUUGCCUAUUGAAAUCCUAGGGGAUCCCCCCCUCCACCUAAGGGUGAUCCCGUGUUUGAGCUUAAACCGUUGCCUGAUAAUCUUAAAUAUGCUUAUCUUGAUGAAAAGAAGAUAUAUCCUAUUAUUAUUAGUGCUAACCUUUCAGAGCAUGAAGAAGAAAGAUUAUUGAAAACUCUGAAGAAGCACCAUGCUACUAUUGGAUAUACUCGUGAUGAUCAUAAGGGCAUUAGUCCCACUCUAUGUUAACAUAAAAUAAAUUUGGAAGCAGAUGCCAAACCAGUUUGUGAUCCUCAACGAUGUCUGAAUCCUAAAAUGAAAGAAGUGGUAAGAAAAUAAAUACUAAAGCUUCUGGAGGCAGGUAUAAUUUAUCCCGUAGCUGAUAGUCAGUGGGUAAGUCCUGUUCAUUGUGUCCCUAAGAAGGGAGGAAUUACUGUUGUUCCUAAUGAUAAAGAUGAAUUGAUUCCACAAAGAAUUAUUGCAGGUUAUAGGAUGGUAAUUGAUUUCCGAAAAUUAAAUAAGGCUACUAAGAAAGGUUAUUACCCCUUACCUUUUAUCGAUCAAAUGCUAGAAAGAUUAUGCAAGCAUACACAUUACUGCUUUCUAGAUGGUUAUUCUGGUUUCUCUCAAAUACCUGUAUCGGCUAAAGAACAAUCAAAGACUACUUUUACAUGCCCUUUUGGUACUUUUGCUUAUAGAUGUAUGCCUUUUGGUUUAUGUAAUGCACCUGCUACCUUUCAAAGAUGCAUGAUGGCUAUAUUCUUCGACUUUUGUGAAAAGAUUUGUGAGGUUUUCAUGGACGACUUUUCCGUCUAUGGAUCCUCUUUUGAUGAUUGCUUGAGCAAUCUUGAUCGAGUUUUGCAGAGAUGUGAAGAAACUAGUCUUGUCUUGAAUUGGGAAAAGUGCCACUUUAUGGUUAAUGAGGGUAUUGUCUUGGGGCAUAAAGUUUCUGAAAGAGGUAUUGUACUUGAUAAAGCCAAGGUUGAUGCUACUGAAAAGAUGCCAUGUCCCAAGGACAUUAAAGGUAUAAGAAGUUUCCUUGGUCAUGCCGGAUUUUAUAGGAGGUUCAUUAAGGACUUCUCAAAAAUUUCUCGGCCUUUGACUAAUUUAUUACAAAAAGAUAUACCAUUUGUCUUCGAUGAGAAUUGUGUAGAAGCAUUUGAAAUACUUAAAAAAGCAUUAGUCUCUGCACCUAUUAUUCGGCCACCUGAUUGGAAUUUACCCUUUGAAAUUAUGUGUGAUGCUAGUGAUUAUGAUGUAGGUGAUGUUCUAGGGCAAAGAGUUGAUAAUAAAUUAAAUGUUAUCCAUUAUGCUAGUAAGACUCUAGACAAUGCUCAAAGAAAUUAUGCUACUACUAAAAAAGAACUUUUAGCAGUUGUAUUUGCUUGUGAUAAGUUCAGACCUUAUAUUGUUGAUUCUAAAGUAACUAUCCACACUGAUCAUGCUGCUAUUAAAUAUCUUAUGGAGAAGAAAGAUGCUAAACCUAGACUUAUUAGAUGGGUUCUCUUGCUGCAAGAAUUUGAUUUGCAUAUUGUUGAUAGAAAAGGAGCUGAGAACCCCGUUGUAGACAACUUAUCUAGGUUAGAGAAUGUUCUUGAUGACCCACUACCUAUUGAUGAUAGCUUUCCUGAUGAACAAUUAAAUGCCAUAAGUACUUCUCGUAGUACCCCUUGGUAUGCUGAUUAUGCUAAUUACAUAGUUGCUAAAUUUAUACCACCUAGCUUCACAUACCAACAAAAGAAAAAGUUCUUCUAUGAUUUGAGACAUUACUUUUGGGAUGACGCACAUCUUUAUAAAGAAGGAGUAGAUGGUGUUAUUAGACGUUGUGUACCUGAGCAUGAACAGGAACAGAUCCUAUGCAAGUGCCACUCCGAAACUUAUGCAGGAUACCACGCGGGAGAUAGAACUACACAUAAGGUAUUGCAAUCCGGUUUUUAUUGGCCUACUCUCUUCAAGGAUGCCCGUAAGUUUGUCCUAUCUUGUGAUGAAUGUCAAAUAAUUGGUAAUAUUAGUAGAUGUCAAGAAAUUCCUAUGAAUUAUUCACUUGUUAUUGAACCAUUUGAUGUUUGGGGCUUUGAUUAUAUGGGAUCUUUUCCUGCCUCUAAUGAAUAUACACAUAUUUUAGUUGUUGUUGAUUACGUUACUAAGUGGGUAGAAGCUAUUCCAACUAGUAGUGCUGAUCAUAACACUUCUAUUAAAAUGCUUAAAGAAGUUAUUUUUCCGAGGUUUGGAGUCCCUAGAUAUUUAAUGACUGAUGGUGGUUCACAUUUUAUUCAUGGUACUUUCCGUAAAAUGCUUGCUAAAUAUGACGUCAAUCAUAGAAUUGCAUCUCUGUAUCACCCACAGUCUAGUGGUCAAGUAGAAUUGAGUAAUAGAGAACUCAAAUUAAUUUUGCAAAAGACUAUCAAUAGGUCUAGAAAGAAUUGGUCCAAGAAACUUGAUGAUGCAUUAUGGGCCUAUAGAACUGAAUAUAAAAAUCCUAUGGGUAUGUCUCUGUAUAAAAUGGUAUAUGGAAAAGCAUGUCACUUACCUCUCGAACGAGAACAUAAGGCAUAUUGGGCUAUUAAAGAGCUCAAUUAUGAUUUCAAACUUGCCGGUGAAAAGAGGUUAUUUGAUAUUAGCUCACUUGAUGAAUGGAGAACCCAAGCUUAUGAAAAUGCCAAGUUGUUUAAAGAAAAGGUUAAAAGAUGGCAUGACAAAAGGAUACAAAAGCGUGAGUUUAAUGUAGGUGAUUAUGUAUUGCUAUACAACUUUUGUUUAACAUUUUUUGCAGGGAAACUUCUCUCUAAAUGGGAAGGCCCCUAUGUUAUCGAGGAGGUCUAUCGUUCCGGUGCCAUAAAAAUCAACAACUUCGAAGGCACAAAUCCGAAGGUGGUAAACGGUCAAAGAAUCAAACAUUAUAUCUUAGGUAAUCCCAUAAAUGUUGAAACCAAUAUUAUUGAAACCGUAACCCCGGAGGAAUACAUAAGGGACACUUUCCAGAAUGUUUUAGACUCCGAAAAGGAAUAGGUAUGUGGUACGGUAAGUAAACCGACUCCAAAACAAUUUUGAAGGCAAUAUUUCUCCGUUUUAGAAUAUUUAGAAAUAUAGAAAAUUAAGUAGCAGUCCGGGAAUGACACGAGGGCCCCACAAGGGUGGAGGGUGCGCCCUACCCCCCUGGGCGCGCCCCCUACCUCGUGAGCACCUCGUGUGCCUUUCGGACUCCGUUUUCUUGCACGAUAUGUAUUUUGGUCGGUAAAAAAUCAUUAUAUAUUCUCCCGAAGGUUUUGACUCCUAUAUUACACAAUUAUCCUCUAUUUUUGUUUCGAGUUGUCCCGCUGCAGAUUAGAUCAACAUGUCUUCCUAGGAUUCGCAAGGAGAAAUCUAUGUGGAUGAUUACUUAGCUAAUCCUAAGGUCUAUGGAGAUGUGGAGCACGAUGGUUGGACCACGGAGGAAGAAGAGGACUAUGAACCCAAUGGGAAGGAGGAGACGAGCUCAUAUGAAGACGAAUCCCCAUUACCUCAACCUGGGGAUAUGCACGUGGAGUUCAAAAAGUCAAGUCUCCCUGAUAGGGUAAAGAAACCAAAAUUCCAGUUUAUCCCUUUUCGUCUCUUGCAGGAAAAUAAGCAGGACCUAUGCAAAAAGAUAUUAACCUUGGAGUGGGAGAUUGAUGAUCUGAGGGAUCAAAAUGCCGUCCUCAAGCGUAAAUUAAGGGAGAAGUCUAUGCCAUCAACUAAGUCAGCAACACCUCCACCUUCUUCACCAACCAAGGAGAUAUAAUCACAUGGGUAUGGGCACUCCCCUUGGCAACCGCCAAGCUUGGGGGAGGUGCCCCGGUAUCGUAUCACAAUCGCAACUCCUAUCUUUACUGUUUUCCUUAGUUUGAUCCUAUUAGUAGUAUUUUGAUCUAGUAGAAUAAAGUUUAUGGCAUGAUCUAGUUUUCAGUUCUGCCUUAUGAUCUCUCUUUGUAAUCGAGUCCGUGAGCUAUAUAAUAAAGAUUAAUGUUGAGUCGAGGGCUUGAUUUUCUUGUUAUGAUCUUGGGUGAAUAAAAGAAAAGAGAAAAAGAAUAAGAAGAAACAAAAGUUCAUAUUGAUCUUAUUGAUAGUAAUGACUUCACAUAGAAAGAGUGUGACGAUUAAAAGUUGUUGGGAGUUGGCAGACAUAGCUUUGGUCAUCAUUGCAAUUAAUAGGAAGUAAUAAGGAAAGAGAGGUUUCACACAUAAAUAUACUAUUAUUGACAUCUUUUAUGAUUGGGAUCACUCAUCAAAAUAUGACAUGCUAAAGAGUUGAUGUUGGACAAGGAAGACAACAUAAUGUGUUAUGUUUUCUUAUAUUUGAGAUAAAGUAUGUUGUCAUGGAUCAUCCAACAUGUUGACCUUGCCUUUUUCCCCUUCAUGCUAGCCAAAUUCUCAGCACCAAGUAGAGAUACUACUUGCGCUUCCAAAUACCCUUAAACUAGUUUUGCCAUGAGAGUCCACCAUAUCUACCUAUGGGUUGAAUAAGAUCCUUCAAGUAAGUUGUCAUCGGUGCAAAGCAAUAAAAAUUGCUCUAAAUAUGUACGAUUAGUGUGGGAGAAAUAAGCUUUAUACGAUCUUGUGAUGUGGAAGUAAUAGAAGGGACAGACUACAUAAUAAAGGUUCAUAUCACAAAGGGCGAUAUAAAGUGACGCUCUUUCGCAUUAAGAUUUUGUGCAUCCAACUAUAAAAGCGCAUGGCAACCUCUGCUUCCCUCGGCGAAGGGCCUAUCUUUUAUUAUUAUCUUCUACCUUAUGCAAGAGUCAUGGUGAUUGUCGGUGUCAAAACCGGCGGAUCUCGGGUAGGGGGUCCUGAACUGUGUGUCUAGGCCGGAUGGUAACAGGAGGCAAGGGACACGAAGUUUUACCCAGUUUCGGGCCCUCUCGAUGGAGGUAAAACCGUACGCCCUGCUUGAUUAAUAUUGAUGAUAUGGGUAGUACAAGAGUAGAUCUACCACGAGAUCAGAGAGGCUAAACCCUAGAAGCUAGCCUAUGGUAUGAUUGUUGAUGUGUAUGUUGUCCUACGGACUAAAACCCUCCGGUUUAUAUAGACACUGGAUAGGGUUAGGGUUACAUAGAGUCGGUUACAAUGGUAGGAGAUCUUCAUAUCCGUAUCGCCAACCUUUCCUUCCACACCAAGGAAAGUCCCUUCCGGACAUGGGAUGGAGUCUUCAAUCUUGUAUCUUCAUAGUCCAGGAGUCCGGCUGAAGGUAUAGUUCGGCUAUCCGAACACCCCCUAAUCCAGGACUCCCUCAGUAGCCCCUGAAUCAGGCUUCAAUGACGACGAGUCCGGCGCGCAGUUUGUCUUCGGCAUUGCAAGGCGGGUUCCUCCUCCAAGUACUUCAUAGAAGAUUUUGAACACAAAGAUAGUGUCUGGCUCUGCAAAAUAAGUUUCCACAUAUUGCCAUAGAGAGAAUAAUAUUUACACAAAUCUAAUCCACUGACGUAUUCCGUUGCGUGACACACCACGGCCAAGCCUUUAUCCGAGUCGUUUCAGUAUCCCACCUCAGCGCGUUAUGCGAGGCGGUUUCCUUGGCACGUCUUGUCAAAGCAGAGAUCGUGUCCCCUUAUUCCGGGAUUCUCAUCAAUACGGGCGUGGGUAACCCAACCGCACCUUUGAUUACGGCGCUUGGAGAUAAGCGAGUUUUACCAGGCUGGUGGGGACAUGUAGUUGCGUCCACCCAUAUAAGGGGAUAAGGAUCCAUCUUUUCACCCACGCCUUCUUCCUCCUUUGCCUAUCCAUUCUUGCGCACUCGAGCUCCAGCGCCCAAGUCCGCACUACCACCUCAACCUUCUCCAGUCAUGUCCGGAGCGGGAGGCAAGUGGAUGGUCUCCUCCGUCAUGGAGGGACACAUCAAAAAGCUGAGGAAGGCCGGAUAUCUGGCUAGCGACAUCGCGCACCGGCUUCCUGAAAAGGGGCAGCUCAUCCCCACUCCUAGGCCCCAUGAGAGGGUGGUAUUCCUCCCCCAUUUCCUCCGCGGACUGGGCUUCCCUCUGCAUCCAUUUGUCCGGGGGCUCAUGUUCUACUACGGCCUGGAUUUCCACAAUCUGGCCCCGAACUUCGUCCUCAACAUCUCGGCGUUUAUCGUCGUGUGCGAGGCGUUCCUCCGCAUCCGCCCCCAUUUCGGCCUAUGGCUUAAGACUUUCAACGUCAAGCCAAAGGUGGUGCGCGGUAGCCAGGCGAAGUGCGGCGGUGCCAUGGUUGGCAAGACGGCCAACGUCCUGUGGCUCGAGGGCUUGAAGGGGUGGCAAUCAGGUUGGUUUUACGUCACCGAGCCACGCAACGCCGAAUGGGUCGCACCCCCUGAGUUUCGAUCCGGCCCCCCUACGCGGCUCACCUCCUGGAAGGAGACAUGCCUAUCUUGGGGUAAAAAAGGAGAGCUGACCGGACUCCAAACAUGCAUCCCAACCCUGGUGGACAAGAAGCUCAAGCUUGUCAAUGUAGUCCAGGUUAUGCUCAUCCGCUUGAUCCUCCCGUGUCAACGACGGGCCUUCAACCUGUGGGAGUUCGACCCGGCGCAGCAUCGAACUCUAAACAGGCUCUUCGACACGAUGUACGAAGAUGCCUGGAGGAUGCUUUUCAAGGGCGCCGAGGCUCCCGCAUCCGCUGCUGAGGAUCGCGGAUUCAGUACUCAGCAUCACGCUCAUGCGGUAAGCUGUCUUUGUCCUUUUACAGGGUAUCGGUUUUUCAUAGUUUGACUCUAUGCGGGAUCUGAGUUCCCUUAUCUUUGAUAGGAUUGGCAGGUGACAUCCGGACAGAUCAACUGUCCGGCUCCUUUGCCCGAAGGCCCAGCGGACGCUCUCUUGGCGAAGCUGCUGGUUCUGGUGCCCUAUGUGGUGCUGGAGAAGAAGGCCACGAAAAGGGCCACGGGGACUCGAAAGAGUGCCCGGCACCAGGAGGUAUCGAAUUCUUCAUCCGACAGUCCCGAAGCGCAUUCCUCUCAUGAAGACGAGGAGGAAGAAGAAGAGACCUCUCCCCCUUCAGCGGGAGGAGAGAAGAAAAGGAAGGCCGCCCUCUCUGAGGAGGCCGGAGGGUCCAAGAAGGGGAAAACCCUUCCUCCGGACUACUCCAACGACGCCGACAACGGAGAAGAGGAGUGGCAGCCCAGGGCCAAGCCCCGGGCAAAAUCAUAAGUAUCCGGAUACCGGAGUAAUUCAUAGUAUUCAUUUAUUGCACAGCUUUCCCUUAUGUCGAAUAUGCUUAUGCAGCCCACCCAAAGACCGGCUCGACGCGUCGUCGAAUGGCUCACUGGACUCGUCGGAGGUGAACUCGCUUCCGACUGCUUCCUCCCCCCGCCCUAUAGACGACACCGAGGUGUUGUACCAACAGGUUCCAAGCAGGGAGGAGGUGGUCCUGGAGGCGCCGCAAGGCGACCUCCCGGACUCCAGGAGUAAAGGGGAUGAAACCCCCCAGGGCUCCAAGUCCGGCUCUAGGCCGGACACCACUCCGGAACCUUCUUCCAAGAGGAGCAAGUCCACCGUACCGGCGAGCCCCGUCAACCCGGAGGCGCCGUACAAUAUGUUGGAGGCGCUCCAAGGCGCCUCCAUCGAUGAGGAGCACCGCGCUAUUAUGAGUGCGGUGGUCCAGAAGGUUCAGUUCACCAAGAGCUGACUGACUGAAGCUUGUACUAGCCUUUUGACAGGCUUUGAGGUAAGUAAAUAAUGUGUAAAUGAUAUUACCGCAUAGACAGUAGCCCCUGAUGCUCUGUUGGGCGUUCGGGAAGAAAAGCCGAAUAGAGGAUCAAAAAAUUCGCAGGAGUCUAACAAAAGGAGUCAAUAUGCGUGUGCAAGCUUCUCUGCUGGCGUCUGCCGUACUCACUGCAGAAGUGGACACGCUGAAGCAGAGCCUCAAGAAGUCCGAGCAAGAGCUCGGGCGUGCCAAGAAGCAGCUCGAGGAGAAGGAAGGUAAGAAAUACCUUGGUUGAAUAUGUAUAUAAAAAAGGUGCAAUUGCAAGAAAUGACAGGAUUAACAUGGCUAUUGUAGGGGCCACAUCUGAGGUGGCGACCCUUAAGCAAGUGCUGCUCGAGGCCGAGAAGAGUGCGGCUGCGGAGCACACCGAGCGGGAGAGGUAUGAGGCCAAGGUUGGCAAGGUGCGGCAAGAGCUCCAGGUUCUCAUGAAGAAACAUGAGAGUUUGGAGCUUGACUCGAAGACGCGAGCGUCCGAGCUCGCGGCGGCUAUUGAAAAUGCCAAGUCUGCCAAGGCCGAAUCCCAGAAAACCCUCCAGGAGUUGGAUGAGGUGAAGAAAAUAGCGGCGGGUAAGGCAUUCUCUAUGCAAAGUAAACACAUAAAUGUGUGUUACUUAAUACUUACCCGAAUCCGGAGCUCUCCAGGGGCAUUUGCAGAUCUUCCCCGGAGUGUAUCCGAUGCCGCCGCAUUCUACCGAGCCAAGGAGGGCAACUCGACAAAGAAGGUGUUCUGGUCUCAGUAUGCUGAGGCCGGACACCCCGUGCCCCUGAGCGACCAGGUGAAGCAACUGGUCGAGCUCCACAAGGCGGCCAAACAGGUCAUGAAGGGCCUCCUAGUUCGGCUGUGGCCUGGAGAGGCCCUACCUGGGAGCUAUUUCGGGCUGGUGCGGCGGCUGGUGGAGGCCUGUCCAAGGCUCAAAGUCAUCAAGCGCUCCGUCUGUAUUGAAGGUGCCCGUAGGGCCUUUGCCCGUGCUAAGGUGCACUGGGGCAGGCUGGAUGUGGAGAAGCUUGUGAAGGACGGGCCACCAACGGGGAAAGAGCAUCGCAAGCCCAAAAAUUACUAUAAGGAUGUUCUGAAGGGUGCCCGCCUUGUGGCGGAUGAAUGUACUAGGGAUGUAAUUUUUGAGUAAAACUCGCUCGUUUUUGUCCUGUGCGCUGAAAACUUGUUCAUAUGCGCCGAGCAAUGCUGCUUGAAUCUAAAAUAUUACCUUUUGUGCGGUUGUUUAUCAAUACUGAAAGAUGGCGAGUCGUCGGCUUCUGCCCCCUUGCCACUAGUGCUGGGGUGUUCGGGGAUAAAUCUAGGCGCUCUUUUUCCCAUGUUUGGGUCCUUCGAGGGAGGCGCUCAGCCCGACGAAUGAGGCAAUCGGACUAUAAUGCGUGAACACUCUCACAUAGCCAUAGAAUUCUAUAAUUUUAAAUUUUGGCGAAGCCCAUAGUAUUCGGAAGACCGAGUUUGGGGCGCUAUCCACGCCUUGGCCGGACAGAUCCGACUCGUCGCCCUAAGCGGCAUAAGUCUUUAGGGACUCGAAAAAACCUCUCGAAUAGCGACCAGCUCUCGCUUCAUCAUGACAGUCAAUUUUAGCUUUUCCACUGAGGUUCUUGGCCCAGCUCAACUGGGGCACAAUCGCAGUGGUUCUCCUAGUGCUACCUUAGCCGAUAUACCGGAACGUAAGGCACCAAAACAUAGGAGCCGGGCAAACACAACUAUUGACCCAAGACAUGAUUCGGAGCCGAUGCAUAUAAUGCUAUAAGUUCGGGUGCCGCACUUGUGAAAGUGUUCGGACUUCUCAUACCAUAUUGAGGGGUGCUAAAAGCCCCUGGCGUAUUUUGGCCAUACCAAGUUGUACGGGUGCAACAUGUCGUUAAGGAACAUUUAUUUAUAAAAAGAUAGUGCAAAAAUAGACAAAAGCUAUGCAUUGUUUAUUAGAAAUAGCUGCGAUCAAAGCAGAACGAUACAAGUAAUGCGAUAAACGAAAAGUUGGACUAUUUAACAUGUCUGCUCCAGGGGCAAACUGCGGAAUAGUAUGCGAAACAGGUAUACUGCUCGUGAUAGAGACCACCUGGGAUUUCCGUGAUGCGGCAUGGCUUGUCUGCUUCCCUGGUUCUUGCAUCGUUUGUGUGGCAAUUGAACUGCCGAACAGGCCUUCCGAAGAGUAGAGUCCUGGAGGUAAGAGAAAAGUAAAAAAAUCGGCAGCCCCUGGUGCGGUUUAAGCCGUGUUUUGGGCGUGCCGUGAUGGUGCCCCUCCCCCUAUGCCCAUGGUAUUUCUAGAGCGUAAUUAUGUAUGCGAAGUACUGGCGUCGCCUUUUUGCUAGGGUUGGGGUUGGGGCCGCAUUGCUACGCCUGCUCGGAACGUGCCAGGCGGUCUUGUUGUAGGUUACUCCGGGCGCGCUUGACGGUGUUCGGAUGUUUAAUGGCCGGACUGGAGAACUUCCUGGAGAGGCUGCUUUGUACUUCUGCUGCAAUGGCCGCCGUGUGCUCCUCCAUUCGGAGGGAGCGUUCGGUGUUUCCAUUGACCGUAAUUACUCCACGAGGGCCUGGCAUCUUGAGCUUAAGGUAUGCGUAGUGCGGUACCGCAUUGAAUUUGGCGAAUGCGGUGCGUCCGAGCAGUGCAUGAUAGCCACUGCAGAAUGGGACUAUGUCGAAGACCAAUUCCUCGCUUCGGAAAUUAUCCGGGGAUCCGAAGACCACUUCAAGUGUGACUGAGCCUGUACAGUUGGCCUCUACACCUGGUAUUACGCCUUUAAAGGUCGUUUUGGUGGGCUUAAUCCUCGAGGGAUCGAUGCCCAUUUUUCGCACUGUAUCCUGGUAAAGCAGGUUCAGGCUGCUGCCGCCGUCCAUGAGGACUCUAGUGAGAUGAAAUCCGUCAAUAAUUGGGUCUAGAACCAAUACGGCAAAUCCGCCAUGAUGGAUGCUAGUGGGAUGGUCUCUUCGAUCAAAGGUGAUCGGGCAGGAGGACCAUGGGUUGAACUUUGGGGCGAGUGGCUCUACCGCGUAUACGUCCCUUAACGCAUGCUUCCGCUCCCUUUUUGGGACGUGGGUGGCGUAUAUCAUGUUCACCAUCUGCACUUGUGGGGGGGAACCCUUUUGUCCAUUGUUGUUCAGCGGCCGGGGCUCCUCGUCGUCAUCGCUAUGCAGCCCCUUGUCUUCAUUGUCGGCGCUUAACUUGCCUACCUGCUUGAACACCCAACAAUCCCUGUUGGUGUGAUUGGCCGGCUUUUCGGGGGUGCCAUGUAUUUGGCACAAGCGGUCGAGUAUUCGGUCCAAGCUAGACGGGCCCCUAGGAUUCCUUUUGAAUGGCUUUUUCCGUUGACCGGAUUUAGAGCCUCUGAAUCCGGCAUUAACUGCCGUAUUCUCAGCAUUGUCGCUGUUAAUGCGGCGCUUCUGCUUGUUGCGACGCGACCUGCCACUAAUGUCCCUGGUGUCCGAACUACCAGGGUUCUUGGUCAUAUUGUUGCUACGAGCAAGCCAGCUGUCUUCUCCCGCGCAAAAGCGGGUCAUGAGUGUCGUGAGUGCUGCCAUAGAUUUCGGCUUUUCCUGUCCAAGGUGCCGGGCCAGCCACUCAUCACGGAUAUUGUGCUUGAAGGCUGCUAGCGCCUCAGCGUCCGGACAGUCGACUAUUUGAUUUUUCUUUGUUAGGAACCGUGUCCAAAAUUGCCUGGCCGAUUCCUCUGGCUGUUGAAUUACGUGACUCAGGUCAUCGGUGUCUGGGGGUCGCACAUAAGUGCCCUAGAAAUUGUCGAGGAAUGCGACUUCCAGGUCCUCCCAACAACUGAUUGAUCCUGUUGGCAAGCUGUUGAGCCAAUGCUGAGCUGGAGGUAUUUGAUGGCGUCAAAAUCGUCACCGCGGGCCAUGUGGAUAUGAAGGAGAUAAUCCUCGAUCCAUACCGCAGGGUCUGUUGUGCCAUCAUAUGAUUCGAUGUUUACAGGUUUGAAACCCUCGGGGAUUUGAUGAUCCAUUAUUUUGUCUGUAAAGCACAGUGGGUGUGCGGCGCCUUUUUACUGGGCGAUAUCAUGACGUAGCUCCAAUGAGUUUUGUCUAUUGUGUUCGGCCCUGCCGAAUUUGUGCCCGGCGUGACGGUUACCGUCUCGAGCCAUGGGGUGCCGACGCGAUCCGUAGAUCGAUCGUGUUUGCCUUGCCUUGUCCUCCAACAUGUCUCGUAAGUCCGGCGCAUAUUCCCGUGCCUUGGUACGGGGUGCGGCUUGAGUGGAGGGCCGGGAGGCCUCUCUAUCGUGGCCACGAGGUGGCCGUUCAGCCGCAUCAAGUGCUUCCUCCUCUAAUUGGGGUAGCAACCUGCGCUUUGGGUAACUCUUGGAGGGGCGUUCGAGUUUAUGCUCUUCGGCCGCAAGGACUUCGGUCCAUCUGUCAACCAGCAAAUCUUGAUCAGCUCGGAGCUGUUGCUGUUUUUUCUUGAGGCUUCUUGCCGUGGCCAUAAGCCUGCGUUGGAAACGCUUUUGCUCAACGGGAUCCUCUGGCACGACGAAUUCGUCGUCGUCGAGGCUUGCCUCGUCUUCGGAGGGAGGCAUAUAAUUAUCGUCCUCGACCUCUCUGUCUGUCACUCUCUCAUGAGGGCUGGUUUCUCGAUCCUCCUGUGCUAAACCUUGCUGGAGGGGGUUUUCUUCGGCACUCUCCGGAGUAUUAUUAUCUCCCGUGCUGGAAUCGUCGUUUUUGUGUUGGCGGGAUUUUGAGCGGCGCCGCUGACGCCGGCGCUUGGGCUGUUUCUUGGAGGGGUCAUCCUCCGCUGUUCCAUCGCCCUCUCCCUCUUUUGGGGUGUCCACCAUGUAUAUGUCAUAGGACGAGGUGGCUUUCCAGGGCCUGGUAGGCGCUGGUUCUUCAUCAUCUCCUUCAUCGGCGUCCAUACCGUCGAUGUCUUCGGAGUCGAAGUCGAGCAUGUCGGUUAGGUCAUCGACAGUGGCUACAAAGUGGGUGGUGGGUGGGUUUUGAAUUUCUUCAUCGUCCGUACCCCAACCUUGCUGACCGUAGUCUGGCCAGGGCUCUCCUGACAAAGAGAGAGACUUUAGUAACUUCAGGAUAUCGCCGAAAGGCGAGUGCUGAAAGACGUCCGCCGCUGUGAACUCCAUGAUCAGCGCCCAAUCGGAUUCGAUCGGCAGGGGCGCGGAGGGUUUAGAGUCCAGAGAAGAAUCCGGCUCCAUGGAGUCACGAGUUUCGCAGAGUACGGGGCUGGUGUUCGGCUCAACCGCCGUUGGGAUCACAGCCCCCGAGGUGGCAUCCAACCGCCCAUCCUUGAUCGGCGCGGUUGGCUCCGAACUAAGGGUCAGAGCCAAUGCGGGUGCGGCCUCCAGGGCACUGUUCGGCGGCAGAGCUAGAUCAUGCUCGUCGUGACAGUGCGGCGCGCUCGGCGGUGGUUCGAGUCCUUCGAAGAUCAAGUCCCCGCGGAUGUCAGCCGUGUAGUUUAAAUUUCCGAAUCUGACCUGACGGCCAGGGGCGUAGCUUUCGAUCUGCUCUAGAUGGCCAAGUGAAUUGGCCCGCAGUGCGAAGCCGCCAAAGACGAAGAUCUAUCCGGGGAGGAAGAUCUCACCCUGUACUGCAUCGCUAUUGAUGAUCGUAGGAGCCAUCAGGCCUGACGGCGACGUCACAGAGGAACUCUCAAUGAAAGCACCAAUGUCGGUGUCAAAACCGACGGAUCUCGGGUAGGGGGUCCCGAACUGUGCGUCUAGGCCGGAUGGUAACAAGAGGCAAGGGACACGAAGUUUUACCCAGGUUUGGGCCCUCUCGAUGGAGGUAAAACCCUACGUCCUGCUUGAUUAAUAUUGAUGAUAUGGGUAGUACAAGAGUAGAUCUACCACGAGAUUAGAGAGGCUAAACCCUAGAAGCUAGCCUAUGGUAUGAUUGUUGAUGUGUAUGUUGUCCUACGGACUAAAACCCUCCGGUUUAUAUAGACACCGGAUAGGGUUAUGGUUACAUAGAGUCGGUUACAAUGGUAGGAGAUCUUCAUAUCCGUAUCGCCAACCUUGCCUUCCACGCCAAGGAAAGUCCCUUCCGGACACGGGACGGAGUCUUCAAUCUUGUAUCUUCAUAGUCCAGGAGUCCGGCUGAAGGUAUAGUUCGGCUAUCCGAACACCCCCUAAUCCAGGACUCCCUCAGUGAUCUUCACCUUUCCUUUUUCAUUUUAUCCUUUGGCAAGCCCAGCAUGUUGGAAAGAACGUGAUAUAUAUAUAUAUAUAUAAUUGGAUGUAGGGGCAUGAGUUAUUAUUGUUGACAUUACCCUCGAGGUAAAAGGUUGUGGGGCGAAACUAUAAUCCCCUAUCUUUCUCUGUGUCCGAUUAAAACUCCGUAACCACAAGUAUUGCGUGACUAUUAGCAAUUAUGAAGGACUAGAUGAUAGUUGAGUAUGUGGACUUGCUUUUUAGCUCUGACAUAGACUCUUUCUGAUGUUAUGAUAAAUUGCAAUUGCUUCAAUGACUGAGGUUAUAGUUUGUUGGUACUCAAUAAGGUUUCUGAUUCAUACUUUUGCAUUGUGAAUAGAUCAUCACUUGAACAUAAGUAAUCAUAUGACAAUAUCUAUAUAUGUUGCUGUUAUGAGAAUAAUCAUGAUGCCUUCAUGUCCGUAUUUUAUUUUUAUCGACGCCUCUACCUCUAAACAUGGGGACAUAUUUAUUGUUAUCGUCUUUCGCUUGAGGACAAGCAAGGUCUAAGCAUGGGGAAGUUGAUACGUCCAUUUUGCAUCAUGCUUUUAUAUCGAUAUUUAUUGCAUUAUGGGUUGUUAUUUCACAUUAUGUCACAAUAAUUAUGGCUAUUCUCUCUUAUUUCACAAGGUUUACAUAAGGAGGGAGAAUGCCGGCAGCUGGAAUUUUGGGCUGGAAAAGGAGCAAAUAUUAGAGACCUAUUCUGCACAACUCCAAAAGUCCUGAAACUCCACGGAAUACCUUAUAAUAAAUAAUGAAAAAUCCUCGCCAAAGAUGAAGACCAGGGGGCCCACACCCUGUCCACGAGGGUGGGGGCGCCCCAACCCCCCCAGGGCGCGCCCCCUACCUCGUGGGCCCCCUGGUGGCUCUCCGAUGACCAUCUUCUGCUAUAUGAAGUCUUUCAUCGAGAAAAAAACAAGAAGCAACCUUUCGGGACGAAACUCCGCCGCCACGAGGCGGAACCUUGGCGGAACCAAUCUAGGGCUCCGGCAGAGCUGUUCUGCUGGGGAAACUUCCCUCCCGGAGGGGGAAAUCAUCGCCAUCGUCAUCACCAACGCUCCUCUCAUCGGGAGAGGGCAAUCUCCAUCAACAUCUUCAUCAGCACCAUCUCAUCUCAAAACCCUAGUUCAUCUCUUGUAUCCAAUUCUUCUCUCCAAGUCCGGGAUUGGUGCUAGUAGGUUGCUAGUAGUGUUAAUUACUCCUUGUAGUUGAUGCUAGUAGGUUUAAUUGGUGGAAGAUCAUAUGUUCAGAUCCUUUAUGCAUAUUAUUACCCCUCUGAUUAUGAACAUGAAUAUGCUUUGUGAGUAGUUACGUUUGUUCCUGAGGACAAGGGAGAAGUCUUGCUAUUAGUAGUCAUGUGAAUUUGGUAUUCGUUCGAUAUUUUGAUGAGAUGUAUGUUGUCUAGCCUCUAGUGGUGUUAUGUGAACGUCGACUACAUAACACUUCACCAUUAUUUGGGCCUAGAGGAAGGCAUUGGGAAGUAAUAAGUAGAUGAUGGGUUGCUAGAGUGACAGAAGCUUAAACCCUAGUUUAUGCGUUGCUUCGUAAGGGGCUGAUUUGGAUCCAUAUGUUUCAUGCUAUGGUUAGGUUUACCUUAAUACUUUUGUUGUAGUUGCAGAUGCUUGCAAUAGAGGUUAAUCAUAAGUGGGAUGCUUGUUCAAGUAAGAACAGCACCCAAGCACCGGUCCACCCACAUGUCAAAUUAUCAAAGUACCGAACGUGAAUCAUAUUAACGUGAUGAAAACUAGCUUGACGAUAUUCCCAUGUGUCCUCGGGAGCGCUUUUCCUUAUAUAAGAGUUUGUCCAGGCUUGUACUUUGCUACAAAAAGGAUUGGGCCACCUUUCUGCACUAUAUUUAUUUUUGUUACUUGUUGCUCGUUACAAAUUAUCUUAUUACAAAACUAUAUGUUACCACUUAUUUCAGUACUUGCAGAGAAUACCUUGCUGAAACCCGCUUAUUAUUUCCUUCUGCUCCUCGUUGGGUUCGACACUCUUACUUAUCGAAAGGACUACGAUAAAUCCUCUAUACUUGUGGGUCAUCAAGGCGCGAUGUAGAGGCAGGGGACCCGUGGGCGCGGCGGAUCCGGGCAGUCCGAGGGUUGAGGAGGCGGUUCCCGGCGUCGAGGAUCUUCGGCGGUGGCACUGCUCGAUGGAGCGAAGCAGGCAGCAGCAGGAUCGUGCGGGCGAAGCAGAGGACGGCAGCGGACUUGGCGCGGCUCGUGUAUCCGGGAGCGAGCGAGGCUGGCAACGCAACGACGGAGGCAGCGAAGACGGACCCGGGCGUGGGAUGGCACCAGGAGACCAGGACGGGGCACCGACGAGGAUCCAUGGAGGCAGAGCUCCAUCCAGCGGCCAUGGGGGUCUCCUUGUCCAACGAUCAAGGAGAGAGAGACAACAUGAGAGAGAGGGAGAUCGAGGAGGAAAAGGAAGAAGAAGGAGAAGGGGAGGUCGGUGUUGCUGCUGCUAUCGCCGGCAGCAAGCUUCGGCGCGGGCAGAGGCCAUCGGGCACGGGAGUGGCUCGGGGCUGUGCUCGUGGAGGGGGAACGUGGGGUUGUAGGUAGAGAAGUUGUGGAUCUCAUAGAUCGAGGAGAGGAGGUUGGUUCAGUGGAUCGGGCACGGGAGAUCCUGAGGGGGGAUUUGGUCAGGUGGCGGCGGCGAUGGGACAAACUCCUAGGUUUUAGGGUUUGAUCUGAUAUAUAUAUAUAUAUAUAUAUAUAUAUAUAUAUAUAUAUAUAUAACAAGUGGAUUUUUGGAUAGCGGCAUUUGGUCCCUCCGAUCUUAAUCGUAUGGUCUUGGAUAAAUAGGUUAGGGAGCCCAAUUAAGAAAACAGAGACAUUUUGUAGAUGUUUGGGGAUGAUCUGGACCCAACGGUGAUGACUGAGCGGUACGGGUUCGGGGCAGUUUCAAACGCGCACGAGAGGUCUAUGCACGGAACAAAGAGGGGUAGGCAUGGGCCUAGGUGGACUAUGGAGAGCGGGUUGGUCUGAGAGAAGAGGGGAGAGAUGCAGCCCGACACGGUUUUCGGAGACCGAAAACGUCCGACGAAAAGACCGGCUAUACUGCCGCUAUAGUUAUCCGUUGGGGCGUCAAACGGACUCCGAAUGUGAUGAAAUUUGGCAAGCGUCCUAUUGAUAACAAAACAACACCGCACGCCAACUUUCAUCCCAAUCCGAGAACAUUUUCCGCCCACUUAUAAAAUACUAUUUCGGACAUGCCGCGGGCGCGUGCAAGUGUGUCUGGGCUCAGAACGGACAACUGAGAGUACUAUGGAACCCGGACGAAUGCAAGUUUUGAAAACAUGACGAUGCAAUUCACAUGAUGACAUGAUGAAAUGCAACAUGCAGGCAAAAGACAUGUCAACGUCGGCAAAUAACUGGAAGACACCUGGCACAUCGGUCUCGGGGCGUCACAUGUGGUGAGCUUGAUGCUCGAAUAAUAAUAGCAAGCUUCUGUACAAGAAGCCCACAGGUAUAAUGGACGUACACAUUUGAAAGCAUAUGUGUGUGUCAGGGAUGCGCGGUCUAACCGCACGAAAGCUUUAAGGCUAAAGAGAAAAACGAAAAGAGAGAGAAAGACAAAAAAAUGUAUUAUGCGUAGAAUCUUCAGAGUCUGGCCGCGUUCCAGGGGUUCGGCUCGAGGCGAUUAUCUAACGCAUCACGCAGGCAGUAUGCUCCUCCAGUGAGAACUUCGUCGAUGAUGAAGGGACCCUCCCAUUUGGGCUUGAGUUUGUCCUUUUUCUUCUCCGGCAAGCGUAGAAUGAGUUCGCCAAUGUUAUAAUUCUUGGCCCGUACUUCUCUGCUUUGAUAUCUGCGAGCCUGUUGUUGAUAAAAUGUGGAAUGGGCUUUUGGAACAUCACGCUCCUCCCCCUAGGCGUCUAGGCUGUCCUGCCGAUCGAGCUCAGCCUCUCUCUCUUUAUACAUGCGCAGUCAUGUAUAAUGUCGCAGGGUAGCACAGCCUCUGCGCCGUACACCAUGAAAAGGGUGUGUAUCCGGUAGUGCGGUUGGGCGUGGUCCGCAGCCCCCAGAGUACGGAGUCAAGAUCCUCAACCCAGUGUGUGUCUGGUUCCUUCAAAUACCGCACUAGUCUAUGCUUGAUGCCGCUCAUAAUAAGAACAUUAGCUCGUACGACUUGACCGUUUUUCUGUGGAUGAUAGACAGAGGCGUAAUCGAGCUUGAUGCCUAGAUUAGCGCACCAGGUUUUCACUUCGUCGGCUGUAAAGUUGGAGCCGUUGUCAGUGAUGAUGCUAUGUGGAACACCAUAAUGGUGUAUGACGUCGGAUAUGAAUUCUAUCACUGGCCUGGACUCGGCCGUUUUAACUAGUUUGGCCUCUAUCCACUUAGUGAAUUUAUCCACCAUGACCAGCAAAUAUUUUUUCUUAUGGCUUCCUCCUUUAAGGGGUCCAACCAUAUCCAGUCCCCAGACCGCGAAAGGCCAAGUGAUGGGGAUUGUUUGUAGGGCAGUGGGGGCAUAUGGCUUUGGUUGGCGAAGAGUUGGCAUCCGACACAAUGUUGGACAAGGUCCUAUGCAUCUGCUCGGGCCGUCGGCCAAUAAAACCCUGUACGGAAGGCCUUGCUAACAAGGGCCCGAGCUACAACGUGGUGCCUGCCAAGACCGGCUUGAAUCUCAACCAGGAGCUCCCGCCCCUCCUCCUCGAAGAUACAUCUUUGAAGGACUCCGGUAGCCCUUUCUUAUAGAGUUCUCCGUCAUGAACCUUGUCGGCCUUCGAACGUCGGACAAUGCGGCGGGCCUGAUUCUGAUCCUCAUAAAGUUCUUUCCUAUUAAGGUAGGCCAAGAGGGGUUCGAUCCAUGGGGCAAUGACUGCCAUAAUGAGAUGGGCCGACAGUGUUAUUUCGAUGGCUGGGCCUCCGAUGAUAUCGGUGGGUUCGGAAUUUGGGGUUGUGUUCGGAUCCGGACUAGUAUUGCCGCUUUCCCCCUGCCACACCACGGAUGGCUUAAAAAGCCUUUCCAGAAAGAUAUUUUCUCAGUGAAGUGCUUAGAUUUGGGUUCAAUCUUGUGGUGUCCUUUCCCAGUGAUAGUAGGGGCAGCAAGGCACGUAUUGUAUUGUUCCCAUCGAGGAUAACAAGAUGGGUUUUUUAUCAUAUUGCAUGAAUUUAUCCCUCUACAUCAUGUCAUCUUGCUUAAAGUGUUACUCUGUUCUUAUGAACUUAAUACUCUAUAUGCAUGCUGGAUAGCGGUCGAUGUGUGGAGUAAUAGUAGUAGAUGCAGGCAGGAGUCGGUCUACUUGUCUUGGACGUGAUGCCUAUAUACAUGAUCAUACCUAGAUAUUCUCAUAAGUAUGCUCAAUUCUGUCAAUUUCUCAACAGUAAUUUGUUCACCCACCGUAAAAUACUUAUGCUCUUGAGAGAAGCCACUAGUGAAACCUAUGGCCCCCGGGUCUAUCUUCAUCAUAUUAAUCUUCCAACACUUAGUUAUUUUCCUUUGCUUUUAUUUUACUUUGCAUAUUUAUCAUAAAAAUACCAAAAAUAUUAUCUUAUCAUAUCUAUCAGAUCUCACUCUCGUAAGUGACCGUGUAGGGAUUGACAACCCCUUAUCACGUUGGUUGCGAGGAUUUAUUUGUUUUGUGCAGGUGCGAGGGACUCGCGCGUAGCCUCCUACUGGAUUGAUACCUUGGUUCUCAAAAACUGAGGGAAAUACUUAUGAUACUUUGCUGCAUUACCCUUUCCUCUUCAAGGGAAAACCAACGCAGUGCUCAAGAGAGCUAGCAAGAAGGAUUUCUGGCGCUGUUGCCGGGGAGGUCUACGCAAAAGUCAACAUACCAAGUACCCAUCACAAACCCUUAUUUCCCGCAUUACCUUAUUUGUCAUUUGACUCUCGUUUUCCUCUCCCCCACUUCACCCUUGCCGUUUUAUCCACCCUCUCUCUCUAUCCUCCCUCUCUUUCUCUAUUUGCCUCUUUUUUGCCCGUUCCCCGUUUGCUUGUCAUUAUGGCGAGUCCUCUAUCUACUCCGUUGUCUCCCGAGAAUGAAGUUCUAAAUUUUAAGCAAAGGGAGGGAGAAAAUCUAAAAGACUCCUGGUAUAGAAUUUGCAAUGCUCAAAAUAGAUCUACCAGGAAGCAAUCUACUUCCGUUCUUCUUCGCAAUUUUUAUGUAGGCGCUACUCAUUGGCAUAGAUAUAUCCUUAAUACCAUUACCGGAGGGAACUUCUUGGGUAGCCAUACUUUUUAUUCUUAUAAUGCUUUGAUAGAUUUGUUUGGCUCACCACCUCUUUUGGUUAAUGGAACUAUGUUAACUUUGGAGCAUGUAAUGCAAAAACUUGAAAUUAUUGAAAAUAAAGUUCCUACCGUUGAGUUAAUUGAAAAUUUUGAUAAAAAUAUCCACAACCAAAUUACCCAAUAUGGAUCUAAAUUGGGAGUAAUUUUGAAAAAUAUUAAAGAGAAGGAACCUAUAGUUAAUGAAAGAAUAAAUCAUGAUUCCACUAGAAUCGAUAAACUUGAGGGUAUCAUUACCAACUUGGGAAUUGUUUUUUCUUCCGUAAAGAAUACUCCAAGUCCUCCAACUAAAAUUUCCAAGCUUAUGUAUGUUCCUAAAAAUAAAGGUGAAUCCUCUAGCAAAGAAACCGCGGAUCUCAAAUCUCUAAGUAUUCAUCCUAAUCUUUUUGCCAUCAUUAAGGAACCAUUUGCUACUAAUUAUUUCUUCGAUCUUGUGCCUAAAAGUUUGAUAAUCAAUAAACAGAAAGCAACUCCUAAGUAUGGUAGAUGCCUCAUUGAAGAAUUACCUACCAAAGAUGGCAAUACCUAGAUCUAUCCUUGCUUUUUAUGCCUAGCUAGGGGCGUUAAACGAUAGCGCUUGUUGGGAGGCAACCCAAUUUUAUUUUUAUUCCUUUCUUUUUGAUCCUGUUUAGUAAUAAAUAAUUUAUCUAGCCUCUGUUUUGGUUGUGUUUUUUGUGUUUAAUUAGUGUUUGUGCCAAGUAGAACCGUUGGGAAGACUUGGGGAAAGUCUUUUUAAUCUUGCUGUAAAAAACAGAAACUUUAGCGCUCACGAGAACUGCUGCCUUUUUUAUUUGGAAAGUCAUAUUUAGUUAAUUAUUUUUGAAUAUGAUUAAUAGAUAAAUUACUCACGUCCAGAAAUUUAUUUUAGAAUUUUUAGGGUUCCAGAUCUUGCGCUAGGUACAGAUUACUACAGACUGUUCUGUUUUUGACAGAUUCUGUUUUUCGUGUGUUGUUUGCUUAUUUUGAUGAAUCUAUGAGUAGUAAAAUAGUUUAUAAACCAUAGAAAAGUUGUAAUACAGUAGGUUUAACACCAAUAUAAAUAAAGAAUGAUUUCAUUACAGUACCUUGAAGUGGUGUUUUAUUUUCUUUCGCUAACGGAGCUCACGAGAUUUUCUACUUUAAGUUUUGUAUUGUGAAGUUUUCAAAUUUUGAGUAAAGAUUUGAUGGAUUAUGGAACAAGGAGUGGAAAGAGCCUAAGCUUGGGGAUCCCCAUGGCACCUCCAAGAUAAUAUAAGGACACCAAAAAGCCAAAGCUUGCGGAUGCCCCGGAAGGCAUCCCCUCUUUCGUCUACUUCUAUCGGUAACUUUACUUGGAGCUAUAUUUUUAUUCACCACAUGAUAUGUGUUUUGCUUGGAGAGUCUUGUAUGAUUUGAGUCUUUGAUUCUUAGUUUACCACAAUCAUAUUUGCUGUACACACCUUUUGAGAGAGACACACAUGAUUCGGAAAUUAUUAGAAUAUUCUAUGUGCUUCACUUAUAUCUUGUGAGUUAUAUAGUUUUUGCUCCAGUGCUUCACUUAUAUCUUUUAGAGCGCGUCGGUGGAUUUGUUUUAUAGAAACUAUUGUUCUCAUGCUUCACUUAGAUUAUUUUGAGAGUCCUAAAAAACAGCAUGGUAAUUUUCUUUAAUUAUGUUAGGCAUUCAAGAUUAAUAAUAAAAAUUUCUUAUGAGUGUGUUGAAUACUAAGAGAAGUUUGAUACUUGAUAAUUGUUUUGAGAUACGGAGAUGGUGAUAUUAGAGUCAUGAUAGUUGACUAGUUGUGAAUUUGAGAAAUACUUGUGUUAAAGUUUGUGAUUCCCGUAGCACGCACGUAUGGUGAACCGUUAUGUGAUAAAGUCGGAGCAUGAUUUAUUUAUUGAUUGUCUUCCUUAUGAGUGGCGGUCGGGGACGAGCGAUGGUCUUUUCCUACCAAUCUAUCCCCCUAGGAGCAUGCGCGUAAUACUUUGCUUUGAUAACUUGUAGAUUUUUGCAAUAAGUAUAUGAGUUCUUUAUGACUAAUGUUGAGUCCAUGGAUCAUACGCACUUUUCUUCCUUCCACCAUUGCUAGCCUCUCUAAUACCGCGCACCUUUCACCGGUAUCAUACACCCACCAUAUACCUUCCUCAAAACAGUCACCAUACCUACCUAUCAUUGCAUUUCCAUAGCCAUUCCGAGAUAUAUUGCCAUGCAACUUUCCACCGUUCCGUUUACUAUGACACGCUCCAUCAUUGUCAUAUUGCUUUGCAUGAUCAUGUAGUUGACAUUGUAUUUGUGGCAAAGCCACCGUUCAUAUUUCUUUCAUACAUGUCACUCUUGAUUCAUUGCAUAUCCCGGUACACCGCCGGAGGCAUUCACAUAGAGUCAUAUUUUGUUCUAAGUAUUGAGUUGUAAUUGUUGAGUUGUAAGUAAAUAAAAGUGUGAUGAUCAUCAUUUUUAGAGCAUUGUCCCAAGUGAGGAAAGGAUGAUGGAGACUAUGAUUCCCCCACAAGUCGGGAUGAGACUCCAGACGAAAAAAAAGAUGCCAAAGAAGCCCAAAUAAAAAAGGCCAUAAAAAAGGGCCAAAUAAAAAAAUAUGAGAGAAAAGGAGAGAAGGACAAUGCUAUUAUCCUUUUACCACACUUGUGCUUCAUAGUAGCACAAUGAUCUUCAUAAUAGAGAGUCACCUAUGUUAUCACUUUCAUAUACUAGUGGGAAUUAUUCAUUAUAGAACUUGGCUUGUAUAUUCCAAUGAUGGGCUUCCUCAAAUUGCCCUACGUCUUCAUGAGCAAGCGAGUUGGAUGCACACCCACUUAGUUCCUUUUGUUGAGCUUUCAUAUACUUAUAGCUCUAGUGCAUCCGUUGCAUGGCAAUCCCUACUCACUCACAUUGAUAUCUAUUGAUGGGCAUCUCCAUAGCCCGUUAAUACGCCUAGUUGAUGUGAGACUAUCUUCCCAUUUUCGUCUCCUCCACAACCAUCAUUCUAUUCCACCUAAAGUGCUAUGUCCAUGGCUCACGCUCAUCUAUUGCGUGAAGAUUGAAAAAUUUUGAGAACACCAAAAGUAUGAAACAAUUGCUUGGCUUGUCAUCGGGGUUGUGCAUGAUUUAAAUACUUUGUGUGGUGAAGAUAGAGCAUAGCCAGACUAUAUGAUUUUGUAGGGAUAACUUUCUUUGGCCAUGUUAUUUUGAAGAGACAUAAUUGCUUAGUUAGUAUUCUUGAAGUAUUAUUAUUUCUAUGUCAACAUUGAACUUUUGUCUUGAAUCUUUUGGAUCUGAAUAUUCAUACCACAAUUAAGAAGAAUUACAUUGAAAAUAUGCCAAGCAGCAUUCCACAUCAAAAAUUUUGUUUUUAUCAUUUACCUACUUGAGGACGAGCAGGAAUUAAGCUUGGGGAUGCUUGAUACGUCUCCAACGUAUCUAUAAUUUUUGAUUGUUCCAUGCUAUAUUAUAUUCUAUUUUGGACAUUAUUGGGCUUUAUUAUACACUUUUAUAUUAUUUUGGAGACUAACCUACUAACCGGAGGCCCAGCCCAGAAUUGCUGUUUUUUUGCCUAUUUUAGGGUUUCGAAGAAAAGGAAUAUCAAACGGAUUCCAAACGGAAUGAAACCUUCGGGAACGUGAUUUUUGGAACGAACAAGAUCUAGGAGACUUGGACCCUACGUCAAGCAACCAACAAGGAAGCCACGAGGUAGGGGCGCGCCUAACCCCCCCCCCCCAAGGCGCGCCCUCCACCCUCGUGGGCCCCUGUUGCUCCACUGACGUACUCCUUCCUCCUAUAUAUACCUACAUACCCCCAGACGAUCAAAUACGGAGCCAAAACCCUAAUUCCACCGCCAUAACUUUCUGUAUCCAUGAGAUCCGAUCUUGGGGCCUGUUCCGGAGCACCGCCGGAAGGGGCAUCGAUCACGGAGGGCUUGUACAUCAACACGAUAGCCUCUCCAAUGAAGUGUGAGUAGUUUACCUCGGACCUACGGGUUCAUAGUUAUUAGCUACAUGGCUUCUUCUCUCUUUUUGGAUCUCAAUACAAAGUUCUCCCCCUCUCUUGUGGAGAUCUAUUCGAUGUAAUCUUCUUUUGCGGUGUGUUUGGUGAGACCGAUGAAUUGUGGGUUUAUGAUCAAGUUUAUCUAUGAACAAUAUUUGAAUCUUCUCUGAAUUCUUUUAUGUAUGAUUGGUUAUCUUUGCAAGUCUCUUCAAAUUAUCAGUUUGGUUUGGCCUACUAGAUUGAUCUUUCUUGCAAUGGGAGAAGUGCUUAGCUUUGGGUUCAAUCUUGCGGUGUCCUUUCCCACUGACAGUAGGGCAGCAAGGCAUGUAUUGUAUUGUUUCCAUCGAGGAUAACAAGAUGGUGUUUUUAUUAUAUUGCAUGAAUUUAUCCCUCUACAUCAUGUCAUCUUGCUUAAAGCGUUACUCUGUUCUUAUGAACUUAAUACUCUAGAUGCAUGCUGGAUAGCGGUCGAUGUGUGGAGUAAUAGUAGUAGAUGCAGGCAAGAGUCGGUCUACUUGUCUUGGACGUGAUCCAUAUAUACAUGAUCAUACCUAGAUAUUCUCAUAAGUAUGCUCAAUUCUGUCAAUUGCUCAACAGUAAUUUGUUCACCCACCGUAAAAUACUUAUGCUCUUGAGAGAAGCCACUAGUGAAACAUAUGGCCCCCGGGUCUAUCUUCAUCAUAUUAAUCUUCCAACAUUUAGUUAUUUUCCUUUGCUUUUAUUUUACUUUGCAUCUUUAUCAUUAAAAUACCAAAAAAAUUAUAUUAUCAUAUCUAUCAUAUCUCACUCUCGUAAGUGACCGUGUAGGGAUUGAAAACCCCUUAUCGCGUUGGUUGCAAGGAUUUAUUUGUUUUGUGUAGGUGCGAGAGACUCGCGCAUAGCCUCCUACUGGAUUGAUACCUUGGUUCUCAAAAACUGAGGGAAAUACUUACGCUACUUUGUUGCAUCACCCUUUCCUCUUCAAGGGAAAACCAACGCAUUGCUCAAGAGGUAGCACGCCGCAUCAAGCAUCCCCUCCUCCUACCUCCCUCCCCUCGCCGCUGCCUCGACGUACUGGCCGGGCUUUCCUUCCCUUGCUUGGUUCGGCGAGAACGGUCCUCGGGGUUGGGCGGCGGCGCCGUGUUUGCUCAGGGCGCAGCAGCAGGAGACAACGAUAGAGACGCGAGUUGUGGGCGGACGCAUGGAGGGGCUGCAACGACGGUGGUGUGCGGUGGGCGUCCGACGGUGACAGAUGGCCAGAUCUGGGCCUAGGCAGCGCGAGCUGCGGGCGCCCGCUCCUGCCGUGGUCGUGGCUGGUGGUGGUGGAGGCGCAUCGGCGGUGGUUGGUGGGCAUGUUGGUCGGGAUCCAGGCGUCCCACUGGCGGGACGAUGGCUGCAGUGCAGAUGGCUCCCCGGUGAGUUUCUUAGCGGUCGGCGGCGGUCCUUGGGGCCCCUCCUUGCCGGUGGUCGGGCCUACGAUGAUGGCUUUUCGCGGUUCUGCGUCGGCCGCUAAGAUGGGGCGACACAUGGGUGUGUCGGUGGGGAGGUUGGCUGGAGGGAUGGGCGGCGGCGACGUGCUCAGGCCACCCGUCACUGACACAUCGGUGUGUCGAUCCGGAUGUGUUCGCUCCCCCAUCUCCCCUUUUCCCUAGCCGCGUGCAGGCUAUCACAGCUCCUGAUGUUCAAGGCAGGUCUUAUGUCGCGGGUCAUCGGUCAGGGGCGUCCCUCUGGUACAAAGCUAGCCUCUUUGGAUGGUCUUGGGGUGCCUGGAUGAUGGGUGGCGGGAGGCGUGGAGUUCGAGGGCGGAACCUGCGUCUCAGGUGCGGGCGGGCAGCUAUGGCUUCGCAAGGGGCUUGACUGCGGGUAGUUGGCGGAGCGGGGGUGUGUCGGAGGGGUGUGAGCGUCGGGGUACAUCACUUGCCCAAUCCUUGUCGGGGCCGUGGUCGUCAUAUUUUUUUAAGGUUCCGUCGCGGUGCUCCCACUCCUUACAUGUGGCUCCGGAUGAAAACUUGAUCUUCGGAUCGGACAGUGGCGGCUAUCCGUGGUUGUACCCUUCUGGGAGGCACCGUCCUGGAUGCCCCAAAUAGUUUUUUUGGCUCAUCUCUAGUUUGUUUGGUUGUCGUCCGAGUGGUAUGACUGUGUCCGACACCUUUGUAUCUUGCCUUGAAUGUGUGUUGUGUGCCGUGGUGGCAUGUAUUUGUAUUGGUUCGCUUGGAUGUAUGUGAUGAUGAUUACUUUAUAAUAUAAAAUGGGAUAAACCAUUUUCGAUAAAAUUUAGGAAAGUGGUCAAAGUUUAUUUGGAAGUGUUUACAUAAAAGUUAACUGGUACUUGAAACUCAAAUUUUCCGUUGCAUCCCACUUAGUGUUACCUUCAAAUUUUUUGUUCCCUGGACUCAUUUUUUAACACUGUGCUCAACUAACCCAACCCUCCUCAAAUACUGUCUCUUAAAGCAACUCCAACAGGCCAACCCAAACGGACAGCGAUUUUGUCCGUUUUUUGUCCGCUCGAGUCGACCGUCCGCCCGAUGUCUGCUCUGUUUUAGAUUUGGGUCGGUAGUGCGUCCAACGCGCCGACCCAUAUGUGCCGGCAUGACUGGCUGGCCGUUCUUUUUCAACAAAUAGCUCAUUUUUGCAUUGCUUUUGCAUUCAAACAUAUAAAUAACAUAGUUUCAACCAAACAAAAUAGCAUAGUUUUACAAGCCAAAUAAAAAUAAAAAUGUCUCACAUAGUUUUGCAAGUCGAAUAAAGAAGAUAUAUCUAUUGGUUGCCAACAUGAGCCCACAUAUACUCAACCAAAUCAUUUUACAGUUGCACAUGAGUUUCCCAAUCACGCAUGUCAUGAUAAAAUUGGAUGAACUGUUCAAACCUUUCCACUCCUCCAUACUCAGGCACAAUAUUCUCACCCUGAAACUGAAACCCUUGAUCGUACAGAUGUUCCGGGCGCUCAUCUUCUACGAUCAUAUUAUACAUGAUUACACAAGCAGUUAUUACCUCCCAUAGUUUCUGCGUGCCCCAACUUAAAAAAAAACAGUAAACAUUUUUUUUGAAGGAUCUAUAUGAUGNNNNNNNNNNNNNNNNNNNNNNNNNNNNNNNNNNNNNNNNNNNNNNNNNNNNNNNNNNNNNNNNNNNNNNNNNNNNNNNNNNNNNNNNNNNNNNNNNNNNNNNNNNNNNNNNNNNNNNNNNNNNNNNNNNNNNNNNNNNNNNNNNNNNNNNNNNNNNNNNNNNNNNNNNNNNNNNNNNNNNNNNNNNNNNNNNNNNNNNNNNNNNNNNNNNNNNNNNNNNNNNNNNNNNNNNNNNNNNNNNNNNNNNNNNNNNNNNNNNNNNNNNNNNNNNNNNNNNNNNNNNNNNNNNNNNNNNNGUACAAUUUGCACGCUGGUGCAUCGGUUUGCAAGUGCAUUUGCACACGUAGGCUGGCAACUGUGCCAUCCACAAGUGUUUGGCCACGUAACUAUAGUCAACAUGUAGAGUGGGAAUAAAAGAAAGAAAUCAUAAAAAAAUCUAAAACAAUCAAACAUACUGAUCUGGCGCACCAGUGCCUAUUUAAGGCCAUCACCUUCUUGUUAAGGGUUUUCCUUACUAUAUUGGUCGGAGUGGGAAAAUUUCUUUGUACAAUGUUAGAUGCUUAGGGAGGUGAUUAAAAAAAUAAAGUGAAUUUUUCUGAAUCAUCAAUGCCUAUUUUUAUAGGAGAGACGCUUAGUUAAGCAUCUACCCUAUACAAAUAAGCAAAGGUGCUUAAGCAAAGCCUGAUUCAUUUAUCUAAGCACCACCACUAAGCAUCUUGCAUUGUAUAAGGUCUUAUGGUCCAGAGAUCAAGCAGCCCAACAAACGGAAAUCAACAGCUGGCAAGGCAUUUUAAAAAUCCCUACCAUCAGCCGGUUUACGGCUAGCAGUGGCCAUAUAGUAUUCACGGAGAUUGAUCAAAACCAAAAAAGAAAUGCUUCAAGUUCUAUAGAAAAACGUAGCAGUAGUACCGAGUACGCCCGAAUUAACACUCGUUUGCAUAUAUACUGUCUUUUUUGCGAAUAGUUUACAUAUAUACUAUUAUAAAUGCCAAGAAAAUUACAAGUAACAAGCAGAAUAUGUGCCUCAUGCUACACAAUUUUAGCGUCCCGACGACAAUGGCAGAAAGAUUUCCAUCACAUAGAUCAGAUCUCUGCGUACUUGCAUAACUGUCGCAUAGCUCCUGAUUAGUUUGUCUCAUCUUGUGCUCCAUUCUCUUCUUUCUUCAUAAAUCUUUGAAGAACUCAUUGUCAUCGUAGAGGUGACCGAACCGUAUAUGUAAAACCAGGAUUCCACUUUGCGGCCAAAUAAAAUAAUCCAGCCUGUAAACGGUGUUUGCCAUAUGUUCUAAUUGCACUGUUUAACAGAUGAGUCAGCCUUCCGAUGGUUUCGACAUUUCUCCUAAAAGCUUCCCAUGUACGAACCUGAUAUACAUGGUAAACACACAUGAUCUUCCACUUCUCCGUACGAAGUUUUAUUUCAUGUCGUAGUGAUGCUGAUUUUAGUAUAACUGUAGGUUUAGCCAUUGUUCUCAUGCCAAACUCAUCAAGAAUACAUAGCCUAAGCAUCUUCUUUGGUCCAAAAACUUUGUCUUCUCCGUGAACUAGACAUCCAACCUUCUGUUUGAAAGAAAGAAAAACUUCCUCGGAUCCUUCGGUUGCUUCAUCCUAGGUUAUGAGAUGAGCUUCAAAAAGUUAACUCCUGAGAGUGUCCAGUAAUAACACUACCACUAUGUUGAAUAAACCAAAAAGGGAUAACUAGAGUUAUACAUAUAGAUAUAACACAAUAACGCAUGCUGUUGAUGAUAACACACACACAACUAGAGUUAUACAUAUAACACAAUAACGCAUGUUGUUGAUGAUAACACACACACNNNNNNNNNNNNNNNNNNNNNNNNNNNNNNNNNNNNNNNNNNNNNNNNNNNNNNNNNNNNNNNNNNNNNNNNNNNNNNNNNNNNNNNNNNNNNNNNNNNNNNNNNNNNNNNNNNNNNNNNNNNNNNNNNNNNNNNNNNNNNNNNNNNNNNNNNNNNNNNNNNNNNNNNNNNNNNNNNNNNNNNNNNNNNNNNNNNNNNNNNNNNNNNNNNNNNNNNNNNNNNNNNNNNNNNNNNNNNNNNNNNNNNNNNNNNNNNNNNNNNNNNNNNNNNNNNNNNNNNNNNNNNNNNNNNNNNNNNNNNNNNNNNNNNNNNNNNNNNNNNNNNNNNNNNNNNNNNNNNNNNNNNNNNNNNNNNNNNNNNNNNNNNNNNNNNNNNNNNNNNNNNNNNNNNNNNNNNNNNNNNNNNNNGCACGCACACACUCACACAUGGAUUUCACUAUAAAUCAGACGUAUGAUUCUUUAGCAUGUCAAAUCAAAUAUUUGAGAUGAUAGAUUAUGUUGUCUUGAGGAUGAUAUUUUUUUAGCAAGCAUGACAAGUCCUAGCAAAAGACUGAACAUGGCAAGGAUUGGUCAUGCUUGCUAAAAAAAAUUAUCACCCUCAUGAUAACAUAUUUUGACGUAAAAGUGUUUGAUUUGUCAUGCUUAAUCUGAUGUCAUAUUUUUACGACUCGGUCUCCAUCCUUUUUCCCUCCUCCAAGUAAAGGCGGCUAGGGUUUCUGCCUGUCGUCGGCGGCACCGCCGAUUUCCCAUGUCUCCUGUGGCAUUAGGGUGGGUGCGCGGUGGACCCCGGCCCUUGGCGACGGGAGGGCUUUGUUUUCAGGUGCUUCUUCAAGUUUUGUUAUGAUUUGUGUCAUGCUUAAAAAGACGAGACGGGGCGGCUUCUUGAAGAUGGAAUAAGGUUCUCCCCGCCUAGCCCCCGUCCCAAUGGUGUGUCUAGCGUCGUCGGAGGGCGUAUGAAGUUGUGUCUCUGGCAGAUCUCGCGGGAUUUGGUUGGUGUUUGUCUUUGGUGGAUCCGCUCGGAUCCGGUCUUUGUUUGUCUUUGUUCAUAUAUGUCUUUAGGUUGGAUCCUUCCGAUCAAAAAUUCUCUUCAUCGACGGCGGUUGUUGUUCUGGGGCAUUGGUCCUAUGAGACCUUAGCAAGUUUCCUGUAAAAAAAAAAUUUGAUGUCAUUUUUUAACAUUAGCACAAAAAAAUAUUCGCAAAAACUACAACUAUUAAGGACGUACUUACCUGCUGCCUUGCGAGAUAGCCAUGAUAUCCAUAGAGGUAAAAGCACUGGGAGUCCUAGAAUUUGUCCGAGAUGUGAUGGUUUAGUCCUACAAUUUGCAAAAUGUACCUAUCUAGUCCUACAACUUGCAUCCAAUGUGCAACUUUGGUCUUGGACCAAUCACAGAGCAACAACCGGACUGCUCGGGCCCGAGCCGGUCAGCACGUGCAUAUUUGCAAAAUCCCCCCUGCCUUUCCUUAUAAUGAACCCGCAGUACAGGAAACUGCAUAGAUAAAUCUAGAUAGUAAACCUACGGAGCUAGUGUGAGUAUGUGACCAGGAAACCGACCAGAAUUUUACAUUCGUCGGACCGUGUUCAUUAUAAAGCAGUACUAGCACACAGUCUGCAAGAGUGUGUGGAAUGGAUGAAUGCUCAGGCUUCUACCAUAUGCCUCCGUGUCGGCAGCCGCGGCACGAGAUCUGCCGGCCCCGCCUCGCCGGCCAACCAGGGCUGCCAGCGGCCACAAAGCAGAAGCAAAGCUGCUGCUCCGCCGGGGCCUCUGAAACUCUGGUGCUGCUGCCAAUGUUCUGUAAUAGUGCUAGUAACAACGAACUCCUAGAGCAUGGACAUGAGGCCCUCAAGGCUAUCGUAUCGGAGGUGCUUCUUCUUCAGCCGCCUGCGCCGCGUGUUGCUCGCCCUGCCAAAACCACAGCCCAGCUGCUUAGAAACACGGAGGUGGAUGGAUGCAGGAGAGCGAUGCUCUGUGCGUCAAGAUGGAUGCGUCACUGCUGUUUAUGCAACUGUGGGAGUGGUGCCGCGCUCACCAGUACUGGUUGUGGAACACCACGUUGUCCGUGGGCACGUGCUUCCCGUCGUCGUUCCGGUUCCACUGGUACGCGGCGUGCGUCCGGUUCAUCAGCUGCAGGGUCGAGUGGCCGAAGCUCACCUCCCUGAACGCAGAGUAGUCCGGCUGCGGAUCACUGAACCUGCAAACAUUCAGGAGGUGUUUGGUACAGCACAAGGUAACGGGACUGGUAAUGGAAUCAGGUAGCGGUGGGAUCGGGGUGAAACGGGAGCAUUUGCUUUUCUGUUUGUUUCAUGCAUGUAAAGCUAUCAAGUUACAAGACUGCGUUUGGAGGUGCUGUGUAAUCAGAUUACAUCACUGAAUCAAACUGGCACUAACUUUACACAUAAAAUCAGUGAACAGAAUUUCAAAACAUCUAUUUCGCAUAGAAUUUUAAAAAAACAUUUUACAUGAAUAAACACAAAUACAUCUCUACGGAUUCUUAAUCGGGAUUUAAACACACUUGAAAAUAAAACAAAAUGUUAGAAUUUUUUAGAACAAUAAAAUGUCAUAUUUGAAGGACACUUCGGAGUUCUAAAUGAGUAUAUCAAACCAUAGAUACAAAUUCGUAAUUAACACCAUUUUCAAAGUCAAGACCCUUGCAAACCAGCUUCAUCCUCAACCAUGGAAUGUUCCUUCAAUCUUACCGCACCACCGUCUUUGAAAAAAAAAGUGUUCUUUCUUAUCAACCCUGCCUAUUUCUCUCAUUUGCCAAUAAGCAUGGAUUGGAUAAAAAAUGAUUAGGAAAAGUACUAAUCAUACGAAUACACAGUAGCUAUAACAUUGUCGUUGUUGUCGACUAAAUAGAAAAAUAUAAAUCAGCACUUCUUAGGUGUAAUGCACGCAUAUGGAUUACUAUGCAAGAACAAAAUAAAGAAAAAAGAAAAGCACUCUCAUAUAUUGGGUUACUAACACAAACAUCAAUGUUGUAUACUGCAAGAACAUAUACUCUGAUAAAUAUUCAGGCCAUGAUAUAUAUUCGGACAUUAGCAUAGUUGUCGGCUGCAGCAGGCCCAACAAUAAAAGAACUGGCCAGCAGACCUUAGACCUCACAUCAAUGUUCAACAUCUAUAAAUUCUAAAGGAUAAAGGUCAUAUAGCUAAAGGAUAAAAGACAUAUUUUCUAUCCAACCCAAACACAACCCAAACAUAGGUUAUAUUUUCUAUCCUUCGUUGGGAGAUGUUGUAUAACUAAAAAGUCCAGAUGUGCACAUUUGCAAGCGGUAACUUUGUAAACAGGAAUUAAUAAUGAUGUUGAUACUGUGGGAGAGUGAAGAUAUGGGUCAUACUAGCAUAUGGUAUUAUUAUCUGGACCGUUGGAUGGGUGAAUCGGCAGGUGGGAAUCACAUUCAAUGCGAAUCGCGCGAGCCGCAGAAAUUGCUGUAUGUCGAGCGGCGAACGCAUGGUGCGUAUAGUACCCCGUAUGUACUGCGUGGGAGGCCCACGCCCUCGGCGGGAACGGCGUCGCGGGCUUGUUAAGGACCGCUGGUCCUGUUAAAACAUCAUACAUGGACCGUGCUCCAGAAUUUUUUGUGUUCCGUAGCUGUGUGCGUGCCCGUUGGCUAGGUAAAAAAAGCGUGUGCCCUGUCAGAGGCUGGUUGACGCCUCAGAAUGUUGUAUUCCGUGGCGGAGAGCGUGCAUGGCGGCGGCGGUGGCGGCGGCGAGGGGAGUAUGGAGAAUGCCCCUGCCUCAUCUGGGGAGUCGGACAGCCGGACCCGAGAUCGCCCAGCUGGAUUGAAAAGUACAGAGAGCGAUUUUUUUCUGAAUUAUUUUACACCCAGCACUGCAUUUACCUACAAUUUUCUUUUUCUGUUGGUCUACAUGUUGUGUAGUAGAUUAGUCUGCGAUUCUGAACUCGUGAUUCCUUUUUAGUGUCUAUUAAGACAAGAGAAAGAUCGACAUAGUAUAAGAUUAAUGAAUAAAAAAUGGACCCUGGGAUGGUGCCCCCAUGAAUUGCUGAUGUACUAGACAGUAGGAGAUUCCUUCCAUGUUUUGUGUUCACCCCCACGAUCCGAUCAAAAUAAUUCUGGUGUGGCACAAAAAAAGGGAUUACAUUUAGGUCGUUCACCAGGAUCGGCUUGAGUUGCUGGUGUGAAGGGUGGUGGGAGGGGGUUCGGUGGGUUGGGUGGGCUUAUGUAUGUUAGCUUCUUGGUCGGCUACUGGCGGAACCGUCAAAUUUAUUCCUUUUCCAUGUGUUGGAGUGCAUUAGAGCAAGUCCAGCAGUUCCCCUAAAAUUUCUCCCCUAUAUCUCAAAACGAGGGACUCCCUUAAAAAGAUUCUCCGCUAAAAAUUGCUCAACUCCAGCAGUUCCCCUAAACAUCUCCCUUAUUCUAUAUUUAAAGAAUAUUUCAUAACUACCAACGGCUAGUUUUCAACGGCUAGUUUUCCAACGGCUAGUUUCAGCCCUAUAAAUACAUGAUCACCCCUCAUAUCUAUCACAAUCCUGAUCGUGCCUCCUCUUCUACUUCUCUUUCGCCAUCUCUCUGCCAUCUCUCCACAACGAAAUGAGUCACCGUCGAAGUUUGGCCCGGCAGUUUUGCGAAGAUUCCUCCUCCGAAGAUGAGGAACUCAUGAUGGCUGCAAUUGUAGCAGAGCAAGAAGAAGCCCGGUUGGAUGCUCCACGACAUGGAGGUUCACAACCGGGACGUCAAUCUCUUCAGCGCGAUUUUGUGGAACGCUUUCAGAAUCUCCACAAGGACUAUUUUGCAGAGAACCCCACCUUCAAGGCAAGGAUGUUUCGCAAUAGGUAUGAAAUUGGUGCAUCUGUUUUGUUUCCACCAUAGUAGUCGCUCUUCAUGUCUCAUUUAAGUUUUUCUUCACAGGUAUAGAAUGCAUCGUCCUCUUUUUCUGCGCAUAGCAAGUGCUAUAGAGGCACAUGAUAGCUAUUUUCCCUGAGAAGAAAUAGUGCUGGUGUUCCUGGUUUACAUCCUUAUCAAAAUUGACCUCGGUAUUUCGAAUCCUAGCUUAUGGGAUAGCAGUUGAUCUUACUGAUGAGUAUUGUCGGCUAGCAAAGUCCACCGCUUUAGAAAAUCUUAGAAGAUUUGUGCGUGCUGUGAUCGAGGUCUUUGGGGGUCAAUACCUGAGAUCUCCAAAUGCUGAAGAUACUGCUAGAUUACUUGCAAUUGGAGAGCAAAGGGGGUUUCCGGGUAUGCUCGGAAGCAUCGACUGCAUGCAUUGGAAGUGGAAAAAUUGCCCUACUGCACACAAAGGGUUUUUUGUUGGCCAUAAACGCGUACCCACGGUCAUUCUUGAAGCCAUUGCUUCACAAGACCUUUGGAUUUGGCAUUCUUUCUUUGGUUUACCAGGAUCACCCGUUCACCCGUGUUUGCAAACCUAGUUGAAGGGCAUGCUCCAGAAGUGAAUUAUACCAUCAAUGGUCACAACUACAACACGGGGUAUUACCUUGCAGAUGGCAUAUAUCCGCAGUGGGCAACAUUUGUGAAGACAAUUCCAAAUCCAAAAGGUGAGAAGAACAAAGAUUUCUCCCGGUUUCAAGAAGCAUGUCGGAAGGAUGUCGAACGAGCCUUUGGUGUUCUGCAAGCUCGUUUUGCUAUUGUACGUGGACCGGCAAGGUAUUGGGAUCUGGAGACACUCGGAGAAGUGAUGACAGCUUGUAUCAUCCUGCAUAACAUGAUAAUAGAAGAUGAGCGUGGAAGUCGUGUAGACUACCGCUACGAUAACAUGGGAGAACUAGUGACACCUUCUCACCGAGAGGCGGCUACAUUGACUCAGUUUCUUCAAGCUCAGAGUGAUAUUCAAGACAAACAAGUUCACUGUCAGCGUCAAGUUGAUCUAGUUGAGCACCUGUGGCAGAUCCGUGGACUGAUGUAGCUUUCAAUAAUGUAGUCUAUGUCACCAUUUUAGCUUAUGCAAGUGUGUACUGUUUUUCAAUUAUAAUGGGAGUGUAAGCACUAUCUGUAUCAUUUUCUAAAUAAUGGAAGCAAUUAUCUAGCUAACAUAGUCAGCCAAAUGUUUCAGAGACAUAGUACAGAUUACUACACAUAGUUCAUCCAAAUGGUUCAAAGAUAAUAAUUAGUACAGAUUACAAGACACAUUUCAUCCAAAUGGUUCGAAGAUAAUAAGUAGUACAAAUUACAAGACACAUUUCAUCCAAAUGGUUCGAAGAUAAUAAGUAGUACAGAUUACAACACAUAGCUCAAGCCGACGAGUUACGCUGUCGGUUGAUGAUUUGACUCUUCCUUAAUUUGUAGAAUUCUUUUUCUUGCUCAUCCAUGCCACUAAGGUCCAUGCUCAUUAUUUUGCUUUCUUCAGCCCCCAUCAUGCGUUCUUCCGCCAUUCUCAUGAUUCGUAUCUUUUCUUCUUCUAAUUCCAUUUUUUUCUUGUAUUGCAAGUUUCUUUCUUUCUUCUACCAACCUAUCUUCUUCUCUCUGUUUGUCCAUUGCAAUCAUGAGCUCAAAUCGCUCUUGUCUUUUUGACUCCCUUGUCUCCAAGAUACCCUCAAAUGAUUCCAUGACACUACUAUUACCUGUACUGAAAGAACUUUGAGACCGCCAUGCUGCAUCUUUAGCCCUCUUGAUUCCAGGUGGCCUUUUCUUGGGAACAACUUUAGAGGGAGAUGUAGCUUCAUCCUCAAACAAACUAGCAGAUGAUGAAUUAGGAGUAUCCAAGGAGGAUGUCUUCUGUUUUUUCUGGGGCCGAGAUUUCCACUUCUCGGUGUCUUCCAACUUAUUAAAGCAAUGCAUCAAUCCAAAUGAUUUAUUUGCCUUGUCUCCAUUGGCAUAGAGAACAAUCGCUUGACAUAGCUACAUUAAUACAUAUGCAUCAGCAGAACAAAGAUAUGAACAAAACAGGAACCAUGCAAAGCAUAUUUGUUACCUUAUUUUCACGUGUCAUCCCACUUUGGUUCCUAUUCUGGACCUGAAUAUAACAUGCACAAAACCUAUUCACUUGUUCUUGAAUAAUAGCCCAACGAUGCUGAAGAGAACCUUGUGUGCGACCAUGGUCUUCAGAUUUAUUGGCAUGGAAGUAAGCAUCGAUUCUUUUCCAAUAACAAUCACGAGAUUGGUCUACUCCUAUGAUUGGAUCUUGAGUUAUCUCGAGGUACGCAUCCACCAAAGUUAAGUCUUCAGCCUUGCUGAAAUUCUUUUGCCUCUUCGAAGCGCUUGCUUUCGAAGCGCUUGCUUUCUUCGCCUUUGCUUUCGAAGACCUUGCUUUCACAGGGGUAGACUCUUCAGUCUCUUCGAGAUCAGUUUGUUGUUCUUCAAGCCCUUCGAGAUCAAUUUCUUGUUCUACAUGCCCUUCAAGAUCGACAUGUUGUUCUUCAGUCCAGUGCAAAUCAUUCAAUCCGGCAUCAUUAUGCAAUAGAUCAAAAUAACUCUGAUCGUCCAUUACCAAAAUCUGAAAUAGAAACAAGAAACAAUAAGCUUCAACACAAAUAAAUAGUAGUAGCAGUAGCAAAAAUUUCUAGCAAGCUAUCUCUAUGUUCUGUAUGUAAAAAUGUGCAGCAAUCUCUCUCUGCUUGCUGCUCUCUAUGUCACAUCUGUGUGCUAUUUGGUCCUGCACAUAUCUCUCUAUCUCACAUCUUUGUACUCUUUCUCAAAUAAAUAGCAAUAGUAGUAGCACUGAAGACGCACAAGCAAUCUGGAACAUCACCUUUGUCUAUCCAUAUUUGCACGCAUGCAACAACUCCACCAGCCAGCCCACACCGGCAUCCAACCCUGUCUCUCCUUCUCUGUUCUUCCUCUACAUGAAACAACAGCUCCUCCCUUCAAUCCCCUCCAGCAGCAGCUGCUGGCAGACCUUCUCCCGCUCUGCUCUCUACCCGAGCAGGAGCUCCUCCCUCCUCCCUUCAAUCCCCUCCAGCAGCAACUGCUAGCAGACCCCCUCCCGCUCUGCUCUCUACCCCGAGCAGGAGUUCCUCCCUUCGAGCCCAUCCUCACCUUCAGCCACGACGGCCAUGCCCGUCCCCCUGUAUCCAAUGCCCGAUGGCUCUUCAAGCAAGCCACAACGGCCGCGCCCCUGUAUCCACUGCCCGACGGCGACCUCUCUCCCUCCCUAGAUUUGCUACUUUGCUCGGAUCUGAGAGAAAAUCAGUGAAUGAACGAACCUGGGAUGCAGUGGCGGCGGCGGCGUGGUGGCGGGAGGGAGAUUUCCGGACGUAGCCGUUGCCUCCACCUGCGAGUCGGGGAGGGGAUCGGGGAGGUCGUCGUUCCCCUAGAUAGAGGGGAGAGAGAGGGCGAUUUGGGGGAGACCAGAAAAACGGGGAGGGGAUCGGGGAACUGCUGGAGGCGUUUUUUUGCUGUUCUCCCCUAAAAUAACGAUCGGGGAGGGUUUCGGGGCGCUGCUGGACUUGCUCUGAAGGAGCAUGUUUUCACAGAGAGAGAACAUGCAAAAUUAAAAACAAAAAAAGACUGAUCCCGCUGUCCAGUUUUGUGUGCUGCAUCGCUGAUGUACUAGAUGUGUUAUUUUUCAUGCAGAGUUCGUUUAGGCUCUAACCUGGCAGAGAGAACCCUCUGUCCUGUUAGGAUGGGGGCCCUCGAAAAAACAAUAAGAGGCUUUGCGGAACGAGAUGGAGAGGAGGUUGUUAAGCCAAAAUUACGCACGAAUUUUGACUUGUUGACUGAGGGUACGACUUCUACAACUUCAUGCAGUAGGAGUGAGAGUGCGAACCUUAUUUCAAGGAUGUUUUCUGUGAAAACUGACCAGCACCCAAACGAGCGAGAGUGUGAACCAUAUGCUCAAGAACUAUGUGCCACCCGGCUCUCCGAUGCAUAAGUUUGUCAGGCAGUACAUGCGGUUGUUGUUUGAUCUCCAAUAGGAGUAUAAUUAUGAAGAGAAGAGAAUUAAAAUUGUAAGUGGGGUUUCAUCGAGACAAAACCUUUCUAGCUAUGCCUGAGUUCUAACAUGAUGUUCUGUGCAGGCGUGUGUAGUCUUACGGAUAAAUUCUUUCAUUGAGAUGCACAUUAGCAAGGUGUACACCCGUGCAACGUUCUGAGCAGUUUGGGCUAGUCCUAUACGAGGCUGGGGGAUAUCAGGUAAGGAGGUGGAGAAGCAUGCAUUGUACAAGGCACAACCCACACACGUCCGGAGAGCCACGAAAAGUGGAGCAGGGUUGUUUUCCUAUAUGGCUGACAAUGGCUCAGAGUUUGAGUGCGAAUGUGGGCUGUUUGAGCACAUGGGCAUGUUGUGCUACCAUAUUCUGAAGGUUGUGCUACCAAGGAUGCUCGAGAAAUACUGCCGGAGCACCUGCAGCACUACCAGCGAGAUCAGCUUGGCUCUACAUUGCUGACUUUCCGGCAUAAUCGCAUGUAUGUGCAGGCGUUGGAGUUGGUCAGGUUGGAUGACGCCAGUGUCGAAGCUUAUGAUACACUAUGGGGCUCUUCAAUUAAGCAAUGACUUUCAUGGCUCCUUUCCACCAGGCGAGGUAUGGGCUUGGACUAGAGGAUCUUGCAAUUGGCAAGAAACAAGGCAAUGUAGAUGAAGGAUAUAGCAAAGCUGGGCAAGAUGAGGAUGUCAUGUUGUCAGGCCACAACAAUCCUUUGGUUGGCCUGGGAGUGCCAUCAAAUAAGAGAGGUGCAGGGAGGCCAACGAACGCGAGAGAUCGGCUACCUUAGGAAGGCAUGAGUAAGAGGGGUAGAUUCUGUAGCGUCUGCAAAAUUCAAGGCCACAGAAGAACAACCAGCCUGCAGAGAGAUGUCUCGAAAGUUCAGAGGAAGGAGGCCAAGUGCAGCAAGUGUGGUGUUGCUGGGCACAAGAAGAACAAGGCCAGCGGGUAAUGUUGCGCAGUGUCUUGCUGUAGGGGUUAGGGCCAAAGUGGAUGUAACUGCACGCUAAUGAACUAUUGUCAUGAUAAGUGUAGUAAACUGUACUGAGAGAUAACUGAAUUUUAUUUGUGUAUGUCUGAAUAAAUGCAUUAGCAGUACUAUGCGUGCAACUCUUCUGGUAGAUGUUGAUUUGAAAGGAAACCAUGCAUGUUGGAGGCGCACAGUGCCACGCGGCUGGCAUGCCCGUGCUGAGAGGGUCAGGUAGUUUGAACUUUUAUAUUUUGGACUUGUACAAGGUGUUUACGGUUGGGUGUGCUGAUGGUCCAAGAAAAAGAAUCACGGCCGAGAUCGUAGCGGAAGAAGGUAGGUCCUGGCCAUAAAGGAGAAAGGACACGCCGCGUGGGUACUGUUCUAUAAAUAACUCGCCGUAGCAAUACACCAUUGAAUACAGCUGUGCGCGUGGAUCCCAAGAUAGACCAACUGCUCAGAUAAUGCUACCAUAUGGUAGUAUGAGCCAUAUCGAAUUUUCGAUACUGUGGUCACAAAGUAAAUAGUCUAUAUGAUGAAAAAGAUUGACUCUGUAGCUAGCUCGAAUAUAGCCAUACCUUUUUUUUAUCAUUGAGAAGAUUGUCAGGAGAUCUUGUAUUUUCAGUUAAUGUGGUCACAAAAGAUUGAAGUUUGAAAAUUGAAAUUUGCUUGCUAAAAGAAAUUAAUUUCUAAUCAAGUGUAUGGUUAGCACUAGAUAUAUGAGUAGCAAUUUUUACUCUUUAUUGAUUAUUGUCGUAUUCGCAAGACACAAAUGUUAUAUCAAACAAAACAACUUAUAGAUCUUUCAUCGGAGAGGAAAAUCACUACAAGCUAAGUAAAAGAAAAUAAGUAAUAGCAAAAGCAUGGCCAACAACAUUCAGGAAGAGCUGACCACUGGGUGGGAGGAGAGUGGCGAGCGGGACACAACCGACGAAGUGCGCCGCUGCUGGGAGAAGGAAUAUUAAAGAGGUUGAUACUUCAGAUCCUGCACAAGAAAGCAACAGAAAAUAGAAGUAUCAUGAGAAAUCAAAGCUCAGAUCUCUUUGAGUAGAACAAACAGAAAUCAAACCUAUCGAGCCUGUACUGCGGGUUCAUUACAAGGAAAGGCAGGGGGAUUUUGCAAAUAUGCGCACGUUGACUGGCUCGGGCCCAUACAUGCAAAUAGGCUAAUAAACCUAAUUAUUGCGCGUAAUGUUGCUUCUAAUUAUUAUAAGGGCGACGGCGUUGGUAGGCUUUCUAUCGGAACUCGGGUGGGGUAACGUGAGUUCUAACCUAAAUCCUGCAAGAUUUAUGUGGGAACCUUCGUACCGGAAGACCGAUCUAGAUCCGUUGCGUACGGUGCAUCCAACACCGCCCCGUUUAUAUACACUACUGCGUGUCUAAAAAAAGAUAUAUACUCCCUUCAUUUCAAAUUACUCGUCGCAGAAAUGGAUAUAUCUACAACUAAAAUACAUCUAGAUAUAUCCAUAUUUGCGACAAGUAAUGAACGGAAGAAGUACUACUGUACGUAAGAAACUAUUGCACCUACGAUUAGUCCUUUUUCCGAUUAUUAUACGAUGCGAAAUACAGUGGUCGCUGCAUGAGUCCUACUCACGUGAGGUUCGAUCUCCUUCGUCGGACAAUAUUCGUAUACGAAAUAUCGUAUCCUGUGCGGCGGCACGCUACCACCAUUGGUGCGAGUCGAUCAAAGCAACUCCAACGCGGACCCAUUUCGUCCCUCCAUAUUUGUCAAUGCGCAUAAAAAUGAUGGUCCAACGAGCGAUUCAUUCUCAAAACGCGUCCGCUUCGUGUUUGCGCGGACCCAUUUCCAAUCCAAAUUUGGGCAUGAAAUGUGUCGGCGCGGACACGUGUGUGUCUGCUCGGUGUCUGCGCGUCAGCACACGGCGGCCGGUCAAUUACCUCUGACGUCUUUAUUAAUGACGACCAUAGACCGCGAGCACACACGUCAACGAGGGCGAGCGUCCUUUUUAAUUCGGGCGUGCGGAGGCGAGGGGGGGUGCAGCCUCAUCCUCUUCCAGCCUCCCGUCCCCAUCUAGCCACCCUGUUGCUCCCCCGCUGGCGACAACCCUACCCUAACACGCGCCACCAUGGGCUUUUUCGCCGGCAAGAACAAGGGCAAGGCGCUGACUCUUCGCGUACACUCGUGCUCCGCCAUCCUCCGCCGACGUCUGCCCGCUCGGCGAGGCAACGGCUCCACUCCCAGUGCACCAGGCGAGGUGGCACUGGGAGAACCGCACCCCCUCCCUUACCCGACGUGAGCCUGCCACAUGAAUGGCAUUUGGAUCCGGGUACGAUCCCAGUGCCGAAGGUGCUACGGUUGGCGCAGACGCAUGCGGAGGAGGUGCGGCGCCGGCGGGAGCAGAUGCCGCUGGAGCAGCGCCUCAACCCCUUCUAGGUAGCAAGCUCUCCCGAUUGGGAGGUCUUGUACACCCUCGAGCACAAGGAUUAGCGCCGGCGUGGCGUCCAGCACAUGCGGGCUAGCACCUCGUCGCCCCCCGUCAUGCGUGACAAGGACCUGGAGGAGGAGGCCUACCAGUUGGUGCUGGCGGCUGCCAUGUAGGAAAGCGCAGAGGAGGAGCAGCGCAAGGCGGCGGAGGAGGAGGCGGUGUAACAGGCACGCCUAUCGGAGGCCUGUUGGGAAAUGUAGAAAUAAUUCAAAAAAAUUCCUACGUGUCACCAAGAUCAAUCUAGGAGAUGCUAGCAACGAGAGAGAGGGAGUGCAUCUUCAUACCCUUGAAGAUUGCUAAGAGGAAGCGUUACAAGGAACACAGAUGAUGGAGUCGUACUCGCGGCGAUUCAAAUCGCAGAAGAUCCGAUCUAGCGUCGAACGGACGGCGCCUCCGCGUUCAACACACGUACAGCCCGGGGACGUCUCCUCCUUCUUGAUCCAGCAAGGGGAGAGGAGAAGUUGAGGGAGAGCUCCGGCGGCACGACGGCAUAGUGGUGGAGCUUGCAGUUCUCCGGCAGGGCUUCGCCAGGCACUACGGAGGGGGAGGAGGUGUUGGAGAGGGGAAGGGUUGCGCCGGGGAAGGGGGUGCGGCUUCCCUCUCUCUCCCUCACUAUAUAUAGGAGGAAGGGGGAGGAGGAGGCGCCCUAGGGUUUCCCUAGGGGAGGGGCGGUGGCCACAGGGGAAACCCUAUAUGGGUUUGGGCGCCUCGACCUGUAAGAAACUUACCCCCCAAGCCGGGAGGGGCGGCUGCCCUAGGGGAGGUGCCCCACCUCUCCAGGUUACGUGAGAGGGGGUGCGAGGGGCGCACAGCCCCUUAGUGGGCUGGUGUGCCCCCUCCCCUUGGCACAUAAGGCCCCCCAACGCUUGUGAGGGCCUCCGAAACACCUUUCGGUCACGCUGGUCGUCACUCGGUACUCCUAGAACAAUUCCAGACUCCAAUACCCUUCGUCCAAUAUAUCGAUCUUCACCUCCGGACCAUUCCAGAGUUCCUUGUCACGUCCAUGAUCUCAUCCGGGACUCCAAACAACCUUCGGUAACCACAUAAUAUUCCCAUUACAACUCUAGCGUCACAGAACCUUAAGUAUGUAGACCCUACGGGUUCGGCAACCAUGCAGACAUGACCGAGACAUCUUUCCGGCCAAUAACCAAGAACGGGAUCUAGAUACCCAUGUUGGCUCCCAUAUGUUCCAUGAUGAUCUCAUCGGAUGAACCACGAUAUCGAGGAUUCAAUCAAUCCUGUAUACAAUUCCCUUUGUCUAUCGGUAUAUUACUUGCCCGAGAUUCGAUCGUCAGUAUCUCUAUACCUUGUUCAAUCUCGUUACUGGCAAGUAUCUUUACUCGUUUCGUAACACAUGAUCCCAUGACUAACUCCUUAGUCACAUUGAGCCCAUUAUGAUGAUGCGUUACUGAGUGGGCCUAGAGCUACCUCUCCGUCACACGGAGUGACAAAUCCCAGUCUCAAUAUGUGCCAACCCAAUAGACACUUUCGGAGAUACCUGUAGUGCAUCUUUAUAGUCACCCAGUUACGUUGUGACGUUUGAUACACCCAAAGAACUCCUACGGUAUCCGGGAGUUACACAAUCUCAUGGUCUAAGGAAAUGAUACUUGAUAUUAGAAAAGCUCUAGCAAACAAACUACACGAUCUUGUGCUAUGCUUAGGAUUGGGUCUUGUCCAUCACAUCAUUCUCCUAAUGAUGUGAUCUCGUUAUCAACGACAUCCAAUGUCCAUGGUCAGGAAACCACAACCAUCUAUUGAUCAACGAACUAGUCAACUAGAGGCUCAAUAGGGACAUGUUGUGGUCUAUGUAUUCACACAUGUAUUAUGGUUCCCGGUUAAUACAAUUAUAGUAUGAAUAAUAGACAAUUAUCAUGAACAAGGAAAUAUAAUAAUAACCAUUUUAUUAUUGCCUCUAGGGCAUAUUUCCAAUAGUCUCUCACUUGCACUAGAGUCAAUAAUCUAGUUCACAUCACCAUGUGAUUAACACUCAUAGUUCACAUCGCCAUGUGACUAACACCCAAAGAGUUUACUAGAGUCAAUAAUCUAGUUCACAUCAACAUGUGAUUAACACCCAAGAGUUUACUAGAGUCAAUAAUCAAGUUCACAUCACCAUGUGAUUAACACUCAAUGAGUUCUAGGGUUUGAUCAUGUUAUGCUUAUGAGAGAGUUUUAGUCAACGGGUCUGCAACAUUCAGAUCCGUGUGUACUUCACAAAUCUCUAUUUCAUAUUGUAGAUGUUGCUACCAUGCUCCAAUUGGAGCUAUUCCAAAUGGUUGCUCCACUAUACGUAUCCAGUUUGCUACUCAGAUUCAUCCGCAUAGGUGUUAAAGCUUGCAUCGACGUAACCCUUUACGCCAAACUCUUUAUCACCUCCAUAACCGAGAAACAUUUCCUUAUUCCUAAGGACAAUAUUGAUCGCUGUCCAAUGAUCCACUCCUGGAUCACUCUUGUACCCCCUUGCCAGACACUGGCAAGGCACAUAUCAGGUGUGGUACAUAGCAUGGCAUAUUGUAUAGAGCCUAUGGCUAAGGCAUAGGGGACGACCUUUGUUCUUUCUCUUUCUUCUGCCGUAGUCGAGCAUCAAGUCUUAACUUCACACCUUACAACUCAGGCAAGAACUCCUUCUUUGACUGAUCCAUCUUGAACUCCUUCAAGAUCAUGUCAAGGUAUGUGCUCUGUGAAAGUCUUAUCAGGCGUCUUGAUCUAUCUCUAUAGAUCUUGAUACCCAGUAUGUAAGCAGUUUUACCAAGGUCUUCCUUUGAAAGACUCCAUUCAAACAACCCUUUAUGCUUUCCAGAAAUUUUACAUCAUUUCCGAUCAACAAUAUGUCAUCUACAUAUACUUCUCAGAAAUGUUGUAGUGCUCCCACUCACUUUCUUGUAAAUACAAGUUUCUUGCAAACUUCGCAUAAACUCAAAAGUUUUGAUCACCUCAUCAAAGCGUAUGAUCCAACUCCGAGAUGCUUGCUCCAGUCCAUAGAAGGAUCACCGGAGUUUGCAUACCUUUUAGCAUCCUUAGGAUUGACAAAACCUUCUAGUUGUAUCACAUACAGCCUUUCCUCGCGGAAACCGUCAAGGAAACUUUGUUUUGACAUCCAUCUGCUAGAUUUCCUAAAUGUAAAUGCAGCAACUGCUAACAUAAUUCUAACAGACUUUAGCAUCGCUAUGGUUAAGAAAGUCUCAUCACAGUCAACUCCUUGGACUUGUCGAAACUUCUUUUAGACAAGUCGAGCUUCAUAAAUGGUGACAUUACCAUCAGUGUCUAUCUUCUUCUUAAAGAUCCAUUUAUUCUCAAUGGCUUUCCGAUCAUCGGGCAAGUCCACCAAAGUCCAUACUUUGUUCUCAUACAUGGAUCCUAUCUCGGAUUUCAUGGCUCCUAGCCAUUUGUUGGAAUCCGGGCCCACCAUUGCUUCUCCAUAGCUCGUUGGUUCACUGUUGUCCAACAACAUGCCCUUUAAGACAGGGUUACUACUCAGAAGUUGGACGCACCCUUGUCGACCUACGAGGUUCGAUAGUAACUUGAUCUGAAGCUCCAUGAUCAUCAUCAUUAGAUUUCUCUUCAACUGACGUAGGUGCCACAGAAACAUCUUUCUAUGCUGCGCUACUCUCUGGUUGAAGUGAAGGUUCAACAACCUCAUCAAGUUCUAUCUUCCUCCCACUCAAUUCUUCCGAGAGAAAACUCUUUCUCGAGAAAGGACAUGUUUAUAGCGAUAAACACUUUUCCCUUAGAUCUGAGAUGGAAUGUAUACCCAAUCAUCUUCUUUGGGUAUUCUAUGAAGACACAAUUGUCCGCUUUGUGUUUGAGUUUUUCUGGCGGAAGCGUAUCGACAUAGGCAUCGCAGCCCCAAACCUUAAGAAACAACAACUUAGGUUUCUUGCCAAACCAUAGUUCAUACGGUGUCAUCUCCAUGGAAUUUAGAUGGUGCCCUAUUUAAAGUGAAUGUAGUUGUCUCUAAUGCAUAACCCCAAAAUGAUAGCGGUAGAUCCGUAAGAGACAUCAUAGAUCGCACCAUAUCCAAUAGGGUGUGAUUACGAUGUUCGGACACACCAUUACGCUAUGGUGUUCUAGGUGGCGUCAACUAUGAAACUAUUCCACCUUGUCUUAAGUGAUUGCCAAACUCAUAACUCAGAUACUCUCCCCUUGAUCAGAUCGUAGGAACUUGAUCUUCUUGUUACGAUGAUACUCAACUUCAUUCUGAAAUUGCUUGAACUUUUCAAAUGUUUCAGACUUAUGCUUCAUUAAGUAAAUGUACCCAUAUCUAGUCAAUUCAUUGGUGAAGGUGAGACAAUAACGAUAUCCACCGCACGCGUCAAUACUCAUCGGACCGCACACAUCAACAUGUAUGUUUUCCAACAAGUCACUUGCCCGUUCCAUUGUUCCAAAGAUCAUCUUGCCAACGAGGCAUGGUUCUCAUGUGUCAAGUGAUUCAAAAUCAAGUGACUUCAAAAGUCCAUUAGCAUGGAGGUUCUUCAUGCACUUUACACCAAUAUGACCUAAGCGGUAGUGCCACAAUAAAGUGGUGCUAUCAUUAUCAACUCUACACCUUUUGGCAUCAAUGUUAUGAACAUGUGUAUCACUACGAUCGAGAUUCAAUAAACCAUUCACAUUGGGUGCAUGACCAUAGAAGGUGUUAUUCAUGUAAACAGAAUAACCAUUAUUCUCUGACUUAAAUGAAUAACUGUAUUGCAGUAAACAUGAUCUAAUCAUGUUCAUGCUCAACGCAGACACCAAUGCAAACAACAUUUAUCUGGGUUCAACACUAAUCCCGAAGGUAGAGGGAGCGUGCGAUGGUGAUCACAUCAACCUUGGAACCACUUCCAACACACAUCGUCACCUCGCCCUUAGCUAGUCUCCAUUUAUUCCGUAGCUUUUGUUUCGAGUUACCAAUAUUAGCAACUGAACCGGUAUCUAAUACCCAUGUGCUACUAGGAGUACUAGUAAGGUACACAUAUAUCAAAUAUACUUUUCUUGAAGUUGCCAACCUUCUUAUCUACCAGUGACCGUUCCCCUAAUAGAAGCACUUCAUCUCAGGUUCCGCUACCAGUGACCGUCCCCUAAUAGAAGCACUUCGUCUCAGGUUCCGCUUUCUUGAAGUAUUUGAGGCAGUUCCGCUACCAGUGACCGUUCCCCUAAUAGAAGCACUUCGUCUCAGGUUUGGGUUCUUGGGUUUCUUCACUGGAGCGGCAACUGGCUUGCCGUUCAUGAACUUUCCCUUCUUGCCCUUGCCCUUCUUUGAAACCAGUGGUCUUGUUAACCAUCAACACUUGAUGCUCCUUCUUGAUUUCUACCUUCACGGUGUUAAGCACGACGAACUGCUCCGGGAUCAUCUUCCCUUGCAUGUUAUAGUUCAUCAUGAAACUCUAGUAGCUUGGUGAUAGUGAUUGGAGAACUUGUGUCAAUCACUCUCUUAUCUGGAAGAUUAACUCCCACUUGAUUCAAGCGAUUGAAGCACCCAGACAUUCCGAGCACAUGCUCACUAGCUGGGCUAUUCUCCUUCAUCUUGUAGGCAAAGGUCUUGUCAGAGGUCUCAACCUCUCAACAUGGGCAUGCGCCUGAAAUACCAAUUUCAGCUCUUGGAACAUCCCAUAUGUUCCAUGGUGUUCAAAACACUUUUGGAGCCCCGACUCUAAGCCGUAAAGCAUGGCGCACUAAACUAUCAGGUAGUCAUCGGAACAUGUCUGCCAGAUGUUCACAACAUCCACAAACGACGCCAGAGGGGUUGGCACACCGAGCGGUGCAUCAAGGAUAGAAGCCUUCUGUGUAGCAGUGAGGACAAUCCUCAGACUACGGCCCUAGUCCGCAAAAUUUCUUACAAUAUCUUUCAACUUAGUCUUUCUCUAGGAGUGUAUUAAAACAAGGAGAUAAAGCGCGAGCUAUUAAUCCACAACAUAAUUUGCAAAGACAAUUUAGACUAUGUUCAUGAUAAUUAAGUUCAUCUAAUCAAAUUAUUUAAUGAACUCCCACUUAGAUAGACAUCCCUCUAGUCAUCUAAGUGAUACAUGAUCCGAAUCGACUAGGCCGUGUCGAUCAUCACGUGAGACGGACUAGUCACCAACGGUGAACAUCUCCAUGUUGAUCGUAUCUACUAUACGACUCAUGUUCGACCUUUCGGUCUCUUGUGUUCCGAGGCCAUGUCUGUACAUGCUAGGCUCGUCAAGUCAACCUAAGUGUAUCACAUGUGUAAAUAUGGCUUACACCCCUUGUAUGCGAACGUUAGAAUCUAUCACACUCGAUCAUCACGUGGUGCUUCGAAACAACGAACCUUCACAAUGGUGCACAGUUAGGGGGAACACAUUUCUUUAAAUUUUUAGUGAGGGAUCAUCUUAUUUAUGCUACCGUCGUUCUAAGAAAAUAAGUUGUAACCAUGACAAACAUCACAUGCAAAUCAUAAAGUGACAUGAUAUGGACAAUAUGAUCUUGUGCCUUUGAUGUCCAUCUUCGUGGCACGACAUGAUCACCUUCAUCACCGACAUGACACCAUGAUAUCCAUCAUCAUGAUCUCCAUCAUUGUGUCUUCAUGAAGUUGUCUCGCCAACUAUUACUUGUACUACUAUGGCUAACGAUUAGCAAUGAAGUAAAGUAAUUACAUGGCGUUUUUCAUUGACACGCAGGUCAUACAAUAAAUUAAGGCAACUCCUAUGGCUCCUGCCGGUUGUCAUACUCAUCUACAUGCAAGUCGUGAUUCCUAUUACAAGAACAUGAUCAAUCUCAUACGUCACAUAUAUAUAAUUCAUCACAUCCUUUUGGCCAUAUCACAUCACAAAGCAUACCCUGCAAAAACAAGUUAGACGUCCUCUAAUUGUUGUUGCAUGUUUUACGUGGCUACUAUGGGUUUCUGGCAAGAACGUUUCUUACCUAUGCAAAAGCCACAACGGUGAUAUGCCAAUUGCUAUUUACCCUUCAUAAGGACCCUCUUCAUCGAAUCUGAUCCGACUAAAGUGGGAGAGACAGACACCCGCUAGCCACCUUAUGCAUCAAGUGCAUGUCUGUCGGCGGAACCAGUCUCAUGUAAGAGUACCUGUAAGGUUGGUCUGGGCCGCUUCAUGCCAUAAUGCCGCCGAAUCAAGAUAAGACUAGUAAUACUAAGCAAAUUGACCAAAUCAUCGCCCACAACUACUUUGUGUUCUACUCAUGCAUAGAAUCUACGCAUAGACCUAGUUCUGAUACCACUGUUGGGGAACGUAGCGAUAAUUCAAAAAAAUUCCUACGCGUCACCAAGAUCAAUCUAGGAGAUGCUAGCAACAAGAGAGAGGGAGUGCAUCUUCAUACCCUUGAAGAUCGAUAAGCGGAAGCGUUACAAGGAACGCGGAUGAUGGAGUCGUACUCACGGCGAUUCAAAUCGCGAAAGAUCCGAUCUAGCGCCGAAUGGACGGCGCCUCCGCAUUCAACACACGUACAGCCCGGGGAUGUCUCCUCCUUCUUGAACCAGCAAGGGGAGAGAAGAAGUUGAGGGAGAGCUCCGGCAGCAUGACGACGUGGUGGUGGAGCUUGCAGUUCUCCGACAGGGCUUCACCAAGCACGACGGAGGAGGAGGAGGUGUUGGAGAGGGGAAGGGCUGUGCCAAGGAAGGGAGUGCGGCUUCCCUCUCUCUCCCUCACUAUAUAUAGGGGAAGGGGAGGAGGCGCCCUAGGGGAGGGGCGGCGGCCAUAGGGGAAACCCUAUAUGGGUUUGGGCACCCCCACCCCUAGGAAACUUGCCCCCCAAGCCGGGAGGGGGGCUGCCCUAGGGGAGGCGCCCCUAGAUACAUCCAUUUUGCAUCAUGCUUUUACAUUGAUAUUUAUUGCAUGUCACAAUACUUAUGCCUAUUCUCUCUUAUUUUAUAAGGUUUGAACGAAGAGGGAGAAUGCCGGCAGCUGGAAUUCUGGGCUGGAAAAGGAGCAAAUAUUAGAGACCUAUUCUGCACAACUCCAAAAGUCCUGAAACUCUAUGGAAGUCAGCUUUGGAAUAUAUAAAAAAAUUGGGCGAAGAAAGCACCAGAGGGGGGCCACCCACCAUCCACGAGGGUGGGGGCGCGCCCCCUAUCUCAUGGGCCCCCUGGCAGGCCUCCGGUACCCAUCUUUGUCUAUAUGAAGUCUUUCACCCUGGAAAAAAAUCAUUAGCAAGUUUUCGGGACGAAACACCGCCGCCACGAGGUGGAACCUUGGCGGAACCAAUAUAGGGCUCCGGUGGAGCUGUUCUGCCGGGGAAACAUCCCUCCAGGAGGGGGAAAUCAUCACCAUCGAUCCUCUCAUCAGGAGGGGGUCAAUCUCCAUCAACAUCUUCACUAGCACCAUCUCUCAAUCCCUAGUUCAUCUUUUGUAUCCAAGCUUUGUCUCAAAACCUCAGAUUGGUACCUGUGGGUUGCUAGUAGUGUUGAUUACUCCUUGUAGUAGAUUGAUAACCCACAAGUAUAGGGGAUCGCAACAGUUUUCGAUAAGUAAGAGUGUCGAACCCAACGAGGAGCUAAAGGCAAAACAAAUAUUCCCUCAAGUUCUAUCGACCACCGAUACAACUCUACGCACGCUUGAUGUUCGCUUUACCUAGAACAAGUAUGAAACUAGAAGUACUUUGUAGGUGUUGUUGGAUAGGUUUGCAAGAUAAUAAAGAUAACGUAAAUAAAAAGUAGGGGCUGUUUAGGUAAAGACACAACUAAAUUAGUUUUAGUAGAGAGCUUUUUGUUACGAGAAAGUUAUUUGUCCCUAGGCAAUCGAUAACUAGACCGGUAAUCAUUAUUGCAAUUUUAUUUGAGGGAGAGGCAUAAGCUAACAUACUUUCUCUACUUGGAUCAUAUGCACUUAUGAUUGGAACUCUAGCAAGCAUCCGAAACUACUAAAGAUCAUUAAGGUAAAACCCAACCAUAGCAUUAAACCAAUCUUGAUCAUCAAAUAGCCCAUACGACAAAACAGAUCUACUCAAACAUCAUAGGAUAGCCAUACAUCAUUGGGAAAUAAUAUAUAGCAUUGAGCACCAUGUUUAAGUAGAGAUUACAGUGGAUAAGAGAGAGGUUACACCACUGCAUAUAGGGGGGAAGAGUUGGUGAUGAUGGCGGUGAAGUUGUUGGUGAAGAUUGCGGUGAUGAUGAUGGCCCCCGGUGGCACUCCGGCGCCACCGGAAGCGAGGGGGAGAGAGCCCCCCUCCUUCUUCUUCUUCCUUGACCUCCUCCCUAGCUGGGAGAAGGGUUUCCCCUCUGGUCCUUGGUCUCCAUGGCAUGGGAGGGGCGAGAGCCCCUCUGAGAUUGGAUAUGUCUCUCUGUCUCUCUCUAUUUCUGUGUUAUCAGAUUCUGCCCUUUCACCGUUUCUUAUAUUCCCGGAGAUCUGUAACUCCAAUUGGGCUGAAAUUUUAACAGGAUCUCUAUCUGGAUAUUAUCUUUCUUGCGGCAAAAGAAGGGCAUCAACCGUCUUACGGGGUGGCCACGAGGGUCAGGGCGCGCCCCUGCCUCGUGGCCCCCUCGGCAUCGUCUCGCGUGGAUUUUUCUUCCCAAAAAUCUCAUAUAUUCCAAAAAAAAUCUCCGUCGGUUUUUAUCCCGUUUGGACUCCAUUUGAUAUGGAUUUACUACGAAACAAAAAACAUGCAACAAACAGAAACUGACACUGGGCACUGGAUCAACAUGUUAGUCCCAAAAAUAGUAUAAAAACUUGCCAAAAGUAUAUGAAAGUUGUAGAAUAUUGGCAUGGAACAAUCAAAAAUUAUAGACACGACGGAGAUGUAUCAGCAUCCCCAAGCUUAAUUCCUGCUCAUCCUCGAGUAGGUAAAUGAUAAAAAGAUAUUUUUGAUGUGGAAUGCUACCUAGCAUAAUCUUGAUCACAUAUCUAAUCAUGGCAUGAAUAUUAAGAUACAAGUGAUUCAAAGCAAUAGUCUAUCAUUUGACAUAAAAACAAUAAUACUUCAAGCCUACUAACAAAGCAAUCAUGUCUUUUCAAAAUAACAUGGCCAAAGAAAGUUAUCCCUACAAAAUCAUAUGGUCUGGCUAUGCUCCAUCUUCACCACACAAAAUAUUCAAAUCAUGCACAACCCCGAUGACAAGCCAAGCAAUUGUUUCAUACUUUUGACAUUCUCAAACCUUUUCAACUUGCAUGCAAUACAUGAGCGUGAGCCAUGGACAUAGCACUAUAGGUGGAAUAGAAUGGUUGUUGUGGAGAAUACAAAAAGGAGAAGAUAGUCUCACAUCAACUAGGCGUAUCAACGGGCUAUGGAGAUGCCCAUCAAUAGAUAUCAAUGUGAGUGAGUAGGGAUUGCCAUGCAACGGAUGCACUAAGAGCUAUAAGUGUAUGAAAGCUCAGACUGAAAACUAAGUGGGUGUGCAUCCAACUUUCUUGCUCAUGAAGACCUCGGGCGUUUGAGGAAGCCCAUCAUCGGAAUAUACAAGCCAAGUUCUAUAAUGAAAAUUCCCACUAGUUUAUGAAAGUGAUAACUCUAAGAGACUCUCUAUAUGAAGAACAUGGUGCUACUCUGAAGCACAAGUGUGGUAAAAGGAUAGUAACAUUGCCCCUUCUCUCUUUUUCUCUCAUUUUUUUAUUUUUUUCUUUAUUUUUUGGUGGCUUAUUUGGCCUCUUUUUUUAUUUGGGCUUCUUUGGCCUCUUUUAUUUUUUUUAAAGUCCAGAGUCUCAUCCCGACUUGUGGGGGAAUCAUAGUCUCCAUCAUCCUUUCCUCACUGGGGCAAUGCUCUAAUAAUAAUGAACAUCACACUUUUAUUUACUUACAACUCGAUACUAGAACAAAGAUAUGACUCUAUAUGAAUGCCUCCAGCGGUGUACCAGGAGGUGCGAUGAUCUAGCGUAGCAAUGACAUCAAAAAACGGACAAGCCAUGAAAACAUCAUGCUAGCUAUCUUACAAUCAUGCAAAACAAUAUGACAAUGAUGCUCAAGUCAUGUAUAUGAUGAUGAUGGAAGUUGCACGGCAAUAUAUCUCGGAAUGGCUAUGGAAAUGCCAUGAUAGGUAGGUAUGGUGGCUGUUUUGAGGAAGGUAUAUGGUGGGUUUAUGGUACCAGCGAAAGUUGCGCGAUACUAGAGAGGCUAGCAAUGAUGGAAGAGUGAGAGUGCGUAUAAUCCAUGGACUCAACAUUAGUCAUAAAGAACUCGCAUACUUAUUGCAAAAGUCUAUUAGCUAUCAAAAAAGUACUACGCACAUGCUCCUAGGGGGAUAGAUUGGUAGGAAAAGACCAUCGCUCGUCCCCGACCGCCACUCAUAAGGAAGACAAUCAAUAAAUAAAUCAUGCUCUGACUUCGUUACAUAACGGUUCACCAUACGUGCAUGCUACGGGAAUAACAAACCUCAACACAAGUAUUUCUACAAUCCACAACUACCCACUAGCAUGACUCUAAUAUCACCAUCUUUAUAUCGCAAAACUAUUGCAAGGAAUCAAACAUAUCAUAUUCAGUGAUCUACAAGUUUUAUGUAGGAUUUUAUGACUAACCAAGUGAAUGACCGAUUCCAGUCAUCUCUCUAAAUAGAUAUAAGUGAAGCAAGAGAGUUUAAUUCUUUCUACAAAAGAUAUGCCCAUGCUCUAACAAAUAUAAGUGAAGAAAAAGAGCAUUCUACAAAUGGCGGUUUUCUAUGUAAAGAGAAACAGGCAAUCCAAACUUCAAAUGAUAUAAGUGAAGCACAUGAAGCAUUCUAUAAAGCCAUACUCAAAAGAUAUAAGUGAAGUGCAUAGAGCAUUCUAUAAAUCAACCAAGGACUAUCUCAUACCAGCAUGGUGCAUAAAAUAAAAAUGAAAACUAAAUGCAAAAGACGCUCCAAGAUUGCACAUAUCGCAUGAACGAAACGAAUCCGAAAAUAUACCGAUACUUGUUAAAGAAAGAGGGGAUGCCUUCCGGGGCAUCCCCAAGCUUAGACGCUUGAGUCUCCUUGAAUAUUUACUUGGGGUGCCUCGGGCAUCCCCAAGCUUGAGCUCUUUCCUCUCUUCCUUCUUCUCACAUCGAGACCUUCUCGAUCAUCGAACACUUCAUCUGCGCAAAACUUCAACAGAAAACUCGGUAAGAUCCGUUAGUAUAAUAAAGCAAAUCACUACUCUAAGUACUAUUCCAAACCAAUUCAUAUUUUGUUUUCGCAUUGUUUCUACUGUAGUAUAAAUUUUUCAUGGCUUAAUCUACUGAUAUAAAUCGAUAGUUUCAUCAAAAUGAGCAAACUAUGCAUCAAAAACAGAAUCAGUCUAAAACAGAACAGUCUGUAAUAAUCUGAACAUUCACCAUACUUAUGAUACUUGAAAAAUUCUGCAAAAAUUAGGAAAAAUAAACAAUUUGCACAGAAAGACAGCGGAAAAGGAAUCAGAACCGUUUGACGUUCCAGUAAAAAAAUGUAAAAUCGCGCACUACAACCAUAGUUUCUGUCCUGCACCGUGCAAACCAACAAGCAUUGUAAACAUCCUAAAGGCAAACCUUGGCACAUUAUUUUUAUAAUACAAUGGAAUUGUACAAGGGGAUAAUUAUUUUUAUUGAAAAGUUUCUGUAAUCAAGAUUCACAAAUUUUUCGUGAGCAUGAACAAAGUUCAAGGCUAGCUCCCACUUCAACAAUACUCGUCUUUCUGCAUUUUCACUUUCCUUUUUGAAAAAGUUUUGGGUUCCCCUCUUUAUUUUUGUUGUUUUUAAACUAUAUGAAAGCACUCAACAGAAAUAAAUUACUCUCUAAAACUUCCGGGUUGUCUCCCUGGCAGCGCUUUCUUUAAAGCCAUUAAGCUAGGCAUAUAGUGCUCAAGUAGUGAAUCCACCCGGAUCCCAAGGUAUAUCAAAGCCAAUUUUAAUUAACAAUGAUUUAUUAUUUAGUAGUGAGCACAAAGCAAUAUAUAUCAUGUAACAAUGAAGUCUAACUCUCUUCCUAUGCAUCGGCAUGUCAUAAAAGAACAAUUCAUGCACACAUAGUAAAGGCCAAUGCAUAGUAUAAACAGUUUCUUGCAAUUUUAUCGUGUGGGAAACAUAGAGAGGUGGAGAUAUAGUUCCUCUCUCAUAAUAAUUGCAAGUAGGAGCAGCAAGCACAUGCAUAUUAUAUCUAUCAAAAUCAUCAUGUGUAGUAGUAAAAGGCAACCCAUCAAUGUAAUCCUUAAUAAGCACAAACUUCUCCGAUAUAGUGUAGUUUGGAGAAUUCAAAAAGAUAAUAGGACUAUCAUGUGUGGGUGCAAUAACAAAAAUUUAAUGUUUAACAUAAGGAACUAUAGCAAGUUCAUCUCCAUAAGCAUAAUUCAUAUUGGCAUCUUGGCCACAAGCAUAGCAAGCAUCAUCAAAAAGGGAUAUUUCAAAAGAAUCAACGGGAUCAUAGCAAUUAUCAUAGCAUUCAUCCUUUGGUAAGCAUGAAGGGAAAUUAAACAAUGUAUGAGUUGAGGAGUUACUCUCAUUAGAAGGCGGGCACGGGUAAUCAAUCCGCUCUUCCUCCUUUUGUUCUUCGCUCUCCUCCUCAUCUUUUUCAUCCAAUGAGCUCACACUUUCAUCAAUUUCUUCUUCCAUAGAUUCCUGCAAAAUAUUAGUCUCUUCUGGGACAGAGGAGACUUUCUCAAUAAAUGCAUCAAUAUCAGAAUUGUAUUCAUAAUUCUCAUAACAAUAUUGAAGGAUAGCUAAAUUUUCAGGUCUGUAGACAGCAUCAUAAAGAUUUUCAUAUUCAUUGAACAUAGAUUCAAUUUCAUAAGCACCCAUAAAAGCACCAAAUUCUUAUAUUUUUUCCACAUCAUAGUAGUCAUAUAUACCUCUAGCAUAAGAAGCCAAAUUUUCAUUAUCAUUAAAUUCACAUGAAAAGGGAAGGUGUGGAGCCUUCAUCCUAGAGCAAUAAGUAUAAUCAUAUCUCAAGCAUAGUUGCCUAGCAUACCAAUACAACAUAUAAAUUUGAUCCCAUAAUAGUUUCCCUUUUUUAGUCAAGCGAUAAUCCCUAAAGUAUUCAUGUUGAUCUAACGUGUCUCCCAUUACCAAAUUGAAUGGGGUUUUCUCUGCAUUAUCAAAGUAGUACAUAAUAUCUGUCACAUAACGAGCAUCGAGGGUUUUAGGAGGUUCCUCAUCUCCAUGAGCAACAAGUACACCUAAUUUUUUUGGUAUUUCGUCUUCCAUAUCCAUAACUAAAGAUAAAGGACAACUAAGAACAGCAAAUAAAAAUUACUUAGUGAUAAAGCAAACAAGCACACACGAGAAUAUUCACCCCAUGCUAUUGCUCCCCGGCAACGGCGCCAGAAAAAGGUCUUGAUAACUCACAAGUAUAGGGGAUCGCAACAGUUUUUGAUAAGUAAGAGUAUCGAACCCAACGAGGGGCUAAAGGCAAAAUAAAUAUUCCCUCAAGUUCUAUCAACCACCGAUACAACUCUACGCACGCUUGAUGUUCGCUUUACCUAGAACAAGUAUGAAACUAGAAGUACUUUGUAGGUGUUGUUGGAUAGGUUUGCAAGAUAAUAAAGAUCACGUAAAUAAAACGUAGGGGCUGUUUAGGUAAAGACACAACUAAAUUAGUUUUAGUAGAGAGCUUUUUGUUACGAGAAAUUUAUUUGUCCCUAGGCAAUCGAUAACUAGACCGGUAAUCAUUAUUGUAAUUUUAUUUGAGGGAGAGGCAUCAGCUAACAUACUUUCUCUACCUGGAUCAUAUGCACUUAUGAUUGGAACUCUAGCAAGCAUCCGCAACUACUAAAGAUCAUUAAGGUAAAACCCAACCAUAGCAUUAAAGCAUCGAGUCCUCUUUAUCCCAUAUGCAACAACCCCCUUACUCAGGUUUGUGUUUCAGUCACUCAUGCAACCCACUAUAAGAGAAUCAUGAACUAUUGCAACACCCUACAGCGGGGAUCCCUCACGCUUGCAUGACACAAAGAGCACCAUAGGACAGCACCAAUAAUAAAACAUGCAACUCAAACCAAUCUUGAUCAUCAAAUAGCCCAUAGGACAAAACAAAUCUACUCAAAUAUCAUAGGAUAGCCAUACAUCAUUGGGAAAUAAUAUAUAGCGUUGAGCACCAUGUUUGAGUAGAGAUUACAGCGGGUAAGAGAGAGGUUACACCACUGCAUAGAGGGGGGAAGAGUUGGUGAUGAUGGCGGUGAAGUUGUUGGUGAAGAUUGCGGUGAUGAUGAUGGCCCCCGGUGGCACUCCGGCGCCACCGGAAGCAAGGGGGAGAGAGCCCCCCUCCUUCUUCUUCUUCCUUGACCUCCUCCCUAGAUGGGAGAAGGGUUUGCCCUCUGGUCCUUGGUCUCCAUGGCAUGGGAGGGGCGAGAGCCCCUCCGAGAUUGGAUCUGUCUCUCCGUCUCUCUCUGUUUCUGCGUUCUCAGAUUUUGCCCUUUCACCGUUUCUUAUAUUCUCGGAGAUCCGUAACUCUGAUUGGGCUGAAAUUUUAACACGAUCUCUAUCCGGAUAUUAGCUCUCUUGCGGCGAAAGAAGGGCAUCAACCGCCUUAACGGGUGGCCACAAGAGUCAGGGGGCGCGCCCCCUGCCUCGUGCCCCCCUCAGGCAUCGUCUCGCGUGGAUUUUUCUUCCCCAAGAUCACAUAUAUUCCACAAAAAAUCUCCGUCAGUUUUUAUCCCAUUUGGACUCCGUUUGAUAUGGGUUUACUGCGAAACAAAAAAACAUGCAACAAACAGGAACUGACACUGGGCACUGGAUCAAUAUGGUAGUCCCAAAAAUAGUAUAAAAACUUGCCAAAAGUAUAUGAAAGUUGUAGAAUAUUGGCAUGGAACAAUCAAAAAUUAUCGAUACGACGGAGACGUAUCAUUGAUGCUAGUUGGUUUAUUUGGUGGAAGAUCAUAUGUUCAGAUUCUUUAUGCAUAUUAGUACCCCUCUGAUUAUGAACAUGAAUAUGAUUUGUGAGUAGUUACGUUUGUUCCUGAGGACAUGGGAGAAGUCUUGCUAUAAGUAGUCAUGUGAAUUUGGUAUUCGUUCGAUAUUUUGAUGAGAUGUAUGUUGUCUUUCCUCUAGUGGUGUCAUGUGAACGUCGACUACAUGACACUUCACCAUUGUUUGGGCCUAGGGGAAGGCAUUGGGAAGUAAUAAGUAGAUGAUGGGUUGCUAGAGUGACAGAAGCUUAAACCCUAGUUUAUGUGUUGCUUUGUAAGGGGCUGAUUUGGAUCCAUAUGUUUCAUGCUAUGGUUAGGUUUACCUUAAUACUUCUUUUGUAGUUGCGGAUGCUUGCAAGAGGGGUCAAUCAUAAGUGGGAUGCUUGUCCAAGUCAGGGCAGUACCCAAUCACCGGUCCACCCACAUAUCAAAUUAUCAAAGUACCAAACGUGAAUCAUAUGAACGCGAUGAAAACUAGCUUGACGAUAAUUCCCAUGUGUCCUCGGGAGCGCUUUCCUUUAUAUAAGAGUUGUCCAGGCUUGUCCUUUGCUACAAAAAGAAUUGGGCCAUCUUGCUGCACCUUAUUUACUUUUAUUACUUGUUACCUGUUACAAAUUACCUUAUCACAAAACUAUCGGUUACCGAUAAUUUCAGUGCUUGCAGAGAAUACUUUACUGAAAACUGCUUAUCAUUUCCUUCUGCUCCUCGUUGGGUUCGAUACUCUUAAUUAUCGAAAGGACUAUGAUAGAUCCCAUAUACUUGUGGGUCACCAAGACUCUUUUCUGGCUCCGUUGCCAGGGAGUGAAGCGCCUUUGGUAAGUGGAAUUUGGUAAGGAAAAAUUUAUAUAGUGUGCUGAAAUUUACUGUCACUUGUUACUAUGGAAAGUAAUCCUUUGAGUGUCUUGUUCGGGGUAUCUUCACCCCGACCAGUAGAGCAAAGAGUUGCUCCUCAACCUGCUGAACCUACUAAAAAUGUUUAUUUCGAAAUUUCUUCGGGUAUGGUAGAGAAAUUGGUAGCUAAUCCUUUUAUAGGAGAUGGAACACUACAUCCUGAUUUGCACCUAAUCUAUAUGGAUGAAGUUUGUGGAUUAUUUAAGCUUGCAGGUAUGCCCGAGGAUGUUAUCAAGAAGAAGGUCUUCCCUUUAUCUUUGAAGGGAAAGGCAUUGACAUGGUUUAGGCUAUGUGAUGAUAUUGGAUCAUGGAACUACAACCGAUUGAAAUUGGAAUUUCAUCAGAAGUUUUAUCCUAUGCAUCUGGUUCAUCGUGAUCGUAAGUAUAUAUAUAUAAUAUUUGGCCUCGCGAAGGAGAAAGCAUCACUCAAGCUUGGGGGAGGCUUAAGUCAAUGUUAUAUUCAUGCCCCAAUCACGAGCUCUCAAGAGAAAUUAUUAUUCAAAAAAAUUAUGCUCGGCUUUCUCUCAAUAAUCGAUCCAUGCUCGAUACUUCUUGUGCUGGAUCUAGGCCUGGGCGUUCGGUAGAAACCGAAAUCUCGGCUUCUACUAUUUGGUUUUUUCUGUGAAUUCGGUUAUCUAAAAUGAAAACAGAAAUAGACACCAAAAAUCAGCUAACCAAAGUUUUGGUUAACCAAUUUUUCGAUUCGGUUUUUGGUAUUAACUGAAUUUGGGACCAAGUACAGAAAAUAUUUUUCUACAGCAUGCACUCACCUAUUGUAACUGUAGAAACAAUAAACUCAAAACCACACUAUCGUUUCCUUGGGGCGAGUUAACUAUUGUGUGCGUUAUACCUAGUGUGCCUUACCUUCUUAAGUAGCCAAGCCCGCCAUCACAUCAUGUGUAGCUAGGCGAGGUGGGAUAAAUCCAUGUGAAGUUGCGUACUCUGCUGGCUGGGAGAAAUUACUAUGCAAAAGUAUGGGCCCUGGAGAGUUUCUUGUAUGUGGUAGGCCCAGGAGAGGUUCCCUGACUCGCACAUGCAGGCAGCCACGCGAAGUGCCUGGCAAGAUAGCGACCUGAGCGCUUAGGAUUCUGCAUGUUUGAUCAGGUUACUUCGGUCUAUGUUUCGGUAAACGGUAUAAAGCCAAACUGUCCGAAUUAAAUUCGGUUAGUAUAAUUGAAAACCAAAUUUUACUGUAGCAAUGAGAAAACCGAAAAUUCGGUUUUUUCGGUUCCGGUAUCGGUUCGGUCUUCGGUUCAUCGGUUUUUAUGCCCACCCCUAACUGGAUCUUUUAUGAUGAAGACUAUUGAAUUCAUAUGGGAUUUGUUGGAAAGAAUUAAACGCAACUCUGAAGAUUGGGAACUCGACGAGGGUAAGGAGUCAGAGCAGGAAGAAAUGAAAUUAUUGAAAACUCUGAAGAAGCACCGUGCUUCCACUGGAUAUACUCUUGAUGAUCUUAAGGGCAUUAGUCCCACUCUAUGCCAGCACAAAAUAAAAUUGGAGAAAGAUGCUAAACCGGUUGUUGAUCACCAAUGACGGUUACAUCCCAAGAUGAAAGAAGUGGCAAGAAAAGAAAUACUAAAGCUUCUGGAGGCAGGUAUAAUUUAUCCCGUUGCUGAUAGUCAGUGGGUAAGUGAUAACCCACAAGUAUAGGGGAUCACAACAGUUUUCGAGGGUAGAGUAUUCAACCCAAAUUUAUUGAUUUGACACAAGGGGAGCCAAAUAAUAUUCUCAAGUAUUAGCAGGUGAGUUGUCAAUUCAAUGGGUUACUUUAAUCUGGAAUAGUUACUAUGAUGAUGGACUUCCACAUGCUAUAGUUCCAGUUGGGUCAUUUUGGUGGGGGGAUAUACUCAAGCUCUCUGAUGCAUAUACUGCAAUCUCCUCAGUUCACAUCAAUAGGGGAGACUCUGCCCUUUUCUGGUCUGAUGCUUGGUUAAUUGGUGGCUCUUCAAGAACUCUAUGUUGGAGGUUACCUCGGCUUUUCUACUUUGUUAUUAAUGACAAACUCUCUGUGAAUGAAUUCCUCAUCUUUUAGGACCUAUACUCAAUGUUCUUCUUGCCUUUGUCACAUGAGGCUACUCUGGAGCUGCAAGUUUUGGAAGCUUGGAUCCUGGAUUUACAUAGAGACAUCACUCUGCCAGAUGUUUGGAUAUGGCCUGGAAAAUCUGGUGAAUACUCUGCCAAGAGCUUUUACACUCUUAUGCAUUCUCAUUUGCCAACCAUAUUGCCAUGUAAGUGGUUGUGGGAUAGCAAGUGCACCAUGAAGAUCAAAGUGUUUGGUUGGUUGUUGUUUUUUUUGAUAGACUCAAUACCAAGGACUUAUUAAUUCGUAGGCACUGGAGAUCACCUAUGCAUGACAAUCUCUCUGUUAUCUGCAAUGAGCUAGUCUAUGAGGAUAGGUUGCACUUGUUUUUUAACUGUAACUUCAGUCGCAGAGUAUGGAAUUAUAUUUCCAUUUAUUGGUCCAGGGGAUCUGAAAUUCAGCAAUUUAUUCAGCAUGCAAGAUGAAGGUUUAAGCAUCCCUUCUUCUUUGAAGUUAUGCUCACUGCAGCUUGGAAUAUAUGGAUCCUCAGGAAUGGCAGGACUUUCAGAGGAGAAAAUGCAACCUUUGCUGCUUGGAGAUGUAAUUUUGUACAUGAUCUUACUCUUCUAGCUCAUAGAAUGAGAGUAAAUAUUAGAGACAAGUUGUAUGCUUGGAUUAACUCUCUAACUUAGCUACAGGUAGGUAGGUAGUUAGACUCUUUUUUUCUUCCUUUUAUUCCUUGCUUUCUUCACUAGCUUGUACAGUUGCUACUUCUUUAUUUAAUAAAGGGCUGUGGAGCUUUGCUCUACAGUAAAUAUUCAAAAAAAAAUCAACCACACCUGAAAACUUAAUAUCUGCAGCAAGGUAUUUAGUAGCAAAGUAAUAUGAUAGUAGUGCUAACGGUAGCAAAAGUAAUAUUUUUGGUUUUAUAGUGAUUGUAACAGUAGCAACGGAAAAGUAAAUAAGCGAAGAACAAUAUUUGAAAAGCUUGUAGGCAUUGGAUUGGUGAUGGAGAAUUAUGUUGGAUGCGAUCGAUCAUGCAAUAGUUAUAACAUAGGGUGACACAGAACUAGCUCCAGUUCAUCAAUGUAAUGUAGGCAUGUAUUCCGAAUAUAGUCAUACGUGCUUAUGGAAAAGAACUUGCAUGACAUCUUUUGUCCUACCCUCCCGUGGCAGCGGGGUCCUAUUGGAAACUAAGGGAUAUUAAGGCAUCCUUUUAAUAGAGUACCGGACCAUAGCAUUAACACAUAGUGAAUACAUGAACUCCUCAAACUACGGUCAUCACCGGUAAUAGUCCCGAUUAUUGUCACUUCGGGGUUAACGGAUCAUAACACAUAAUAGGUGACUAUAGACUUGCAAGAUAGGAUCAAGAACUCACAUAUAUUCAUGAAAACAUAAUAGGUUCAGAUCUGAAAUCAUGGCACUCGGGCCCUAGUGACAAGCAUUAAGCAUAGCAAAGUCAUAGCAACAUCAAUCUCAGAACAUAGUGGAUACUAGGGAUCAAACCCUAACAAAACUAACUCGAUUACAUGAUAAAUCUCAUCCAACCCAUCACCGUCCAGCAAGCCUACGAUGGAAUUACUCACGCAAGGUGGUGAGCAUCAUGAAAUUGGUGAUGGAGGAAGGUUGAUGAUGAUGAUGGCGACGAAUUCCCCUCUCCGGUGCCCCGAAUGGACUCCAGAUCAGCCCUCUCGAGAGAGUUUAGGGCUUGGCGGCGGCUCCGUAUCGUAAAACGUGAUGAAUCCUUCUUCCUGAUUUUUUUCUCCCCGAACACGAAUGUAUGGAGUUGGAGUUGAGGUCGGUGGAGCGUCAGGGGGCCCACGAGGCAGGGGGGCGCGCCCCCCACCCUCAUGGACAGGGUGUGGGCUGAUACGUCUCCAACGCAUCUAUAAUUUUUGAUUGCUCCAUGCUAUUAUAUUAUCUAUUUUGGAUGUUAAUGGGCUUUAUUUUACACUUCUAUAUCAUUUUUGGGACUAACCUACUAAUCGGAGGCCCAACCCAAAUUGCUGUUUUUUGCCUAUUUUAGGGUUUCGAAGAAAAGGAAUAUCAAACGGAGUCCAAAAGGAAUGAAACCUUCGGGAACGUGAUUUUCUCAACAAACGUGAUCCAGGAGACUUGGAGUGGGCGUCAAGAAACAAACGAGGCGGCCACGAGGCAGGGGGCGCGCCUACCCCUGGGUGCGCCCUCCACCCUCGUGGGCCCCUCGUUGCUCCACCGACGUACUUAUUCCUCCUAUAUAUAUCCACGUACCCCCCAAACAUCCAGGAGCACCACGAAAACCUAAUUCCACCGCCGCAACCUUCUGUACCCGAGAGAUCCCAUCUUGGGGCCUUUUCUGGAGCUCCACCGGAGGGGGAAUUGAUCAUGGAGGGCCUCUACAUCAACUCCAUGGCCUCUCCGGUGAUGUGUGAGUAGUUUACUUCAGACCUUCGGGUCCAUAGUUAUUAGCUAGAUGGCUUCUUCUCUCUCUUUGGAUCUCAAUACAAAGUUCUCCUCGAUCUUCUUAGAGAUCUAUUCGAUGUAAUCUUCUUUUGCGGUGUGUUUGUCGAGAUCCGAUGAAUUGUGGGUUUAUGAUCCAGUUUUGUCUAUGAACAAUAUUUAAUUCUCCUCUAAAUUCUUUUAUGUAUGAUUGGUUUAUAUUUGCAAGUCUCUUUGAAUUAUCAGUUUGGUUUGGCCUACUAGAUUGAUCUUUCUUGCAAUGGGAUAAGUGCUUAGCUUUGGGUUCAAUCUUGUGGUGUUCGAUCCCAGUGACAGAAAGGGAACCGAUACAUAUUGUAUUGUUGCCAUCGAGGAUAAAAAGAUGGGGUUUAUAUCAUAUUGCAUGAGUUUAUCCCUCUACAUCAUGUCAUCUUCCUUAAAGCAUUACUCUGUUCUUAUGAACUUAAUACUCUAGAUGCAUGCUGGAUAGUGGUCGAUGUGUGGAGUAAUAGUAGUAGAUGCAGAAUCGUUUCGGUCUACUUGUCUCGGACAUGAUGCCUAUAUACAUGAUCAUACCUAGAUAUUCUCAUAACUAUGCUCAAUUCUAGCAAUUGCUCGACAGUAAUUCGUUUACCCACCAUAAUACUUAUGCUCUUGAGAGAAGCCACUAGUGAAACGUAUGGCCCCCGGGUCUAUCUUCCAUCAUAUUAAUCUUCCAAUACUUAGUUAUUUCCUUUGCCUUUUAUUUUAAUUUGCACCUUUAUUUCUCUUUAUCAUAAAAAUAAGAAAAAUAUUAUCUUAUCAUAUCUAUCAGAUCUCACUCUCUUAAGUGACCGUGAAGGGAUUGAUGACCCCUUUAUCGCGUUGGUUGCGAGGUUCUUAUUUGUUUGUGUAGGUGCGUGGGACUCAAGCGUGAUCUCCUACUGGAUUGAUACCUUGGUUCUCAAAAACUGAGGGAAAUACUUACGCUACUUGACUGCAUCACCCUUUCCUCUUCAAGGGAAAACCAACGCAGUGCUCAAGAGGUAGCAAGACGGAUUUCUGGCGCCGUUGCCGAGGAGAUUCGCACCAAGUCAAGUCAAGCACAAGUCAAGACAUACCAAGUACCCAUCACAAACUCUUAUCCCUCGCAUUACAUUAUUUGUCAUUUGCCUCUCGUUUUCCUCUCCCCUACUUCACCCUUGCCGUUUUAUUUCCCUCUCUUUUCCGCUCUCCUUUCUUUCGCCUUGUCGGAAUCAGAAAGGGUUGGGGGUUCUCUCCCGAGUUUUAGUACUUUUGACAAUCCUUAUGUUCUCUCUAAACUCAUAAAAAUGAUGAUAUGGAAAGACCUACCGAAGUUAUUGAUGAGAAUCAUAAUAAUUUUGAUGAAGAUGAUUCCAGAAUUUUUCGUUAUUUACUUGAUGAAUCUGUGAAAGAUGCUUGGGAUAGACUAUUAAGGAUCCGGGCCAGCUAUGUGCCCCAAUACCAAAUUGAAAUUUACUUAAAGAGCUUUUAUAUUGCCCUACCUUCUUAAUUUAAGCAUGUCCUAGAUUCUAUUUUUGAAGAAGGUUUUCUUGAAGGGGAUGCCAUAGAUACUUAUGAAAAGAUGAAAACCAUAUUUGGGCACCCCAUGAAUGAGAAACUUGAAACCACAUCUCUUUUGCUCUCCUACCAAAACGAAUCUAUCAAAGAGAUGAAAGCUAGCUUAGAUGCAAAUUUCCAUAAAAUGCUUAAUCUUUCUUCUACCAUUAACAACCAUGUGCUUUAUAAAAAUAGAAAGAUUAAUGCCAUAGAUAAUAAGUUUGCUCUUUUCUUCCCUAAAACCAAAGAUGGCAAUACCUAGAUCUAUCCUUGCUUUUAUGCCUAGCUAGGGGCGUUAAACGAUAGCGCUUGUUGGGAGGCAACCCAAUUUUAUUUUUAUUCCUUGAUUUUUGCUCCUGUUUAGUAAUAAAUAAUUUAUCUAGCCUCUGCUUUGGUUGUGUUUUUUGUGUUUAAUUAGUGUUUGUGCCAAGUAGAACCGUUGGGAAGACUUGGGGAAAGUCUUUUUGAUCUUGCUGUAAAAAACAGAAACUUUAGCGCUCACGAGAAUUGCUGCCAUAUUUAUUUGGAGAGUGAUAUUUAGUUAAUUAUUUUUUAGAUUAUUAAUAGAUAAAUUCCUGACGUCCAGCAAUUUAUUUUAGAAUUUUUGGGGUUCCAGAAGUUUGCGUUAGCUACAGAUUACUACAGACUAUUCUGUUUUUGACAGAUUCUGUUUUUCGUGUGUUGUUUGAUUUUUUUGAUGAAUCUAUGGCUAGUAAAAGAGUUUAUAAACCAUAGAGAAGUUGGAAUACAGUAGUUUUAACACCAAUAUAAAUCAAGAAUGAUUUCAUUACAGUACCUCGAAGUGGUGUUUUGUUUUCUUUCGCUAACGGAGCUCACGAGAUUUUCUAUUUAAGUUUUGUGUUGUGAAGUUUUGAAGUUUUGGGUAAAGAUUUGAUGGAUUAUGGAACAAGGAGUGGCAAGAGCUAAGCUUGGGGAUGCCCAUUGCACCCCAAGGUAAAAUUCAAGGACACCAAAAAGCCUAAGCUUGGGGAUGCCCCGGAAGGCAUCCCCUCUUUCGUCUUCGUCUAUCGGUAACUUUACUUGGAGCUAUAUUUUUAUUCACCACAUGGUAUGUGUUUUGCUUGGAGCGUCUUGUAUGAUUUGAGUCUUUGAUUUUUACUUUACCACAAUCAUCCUUUCUGUACACACCUUUUGAGAGAGACUCACAUGAUUGGAAAUUUAUUAGAAUACUCUAUGUGCUUCACUUAUAUCUUUUGAGCUAUAUAGUUUUUGCUCUAGUGCUUCACUUAUACCUUUUAGAGCAUGGCGGUGGUUUUAUUUUAUAGAAAUAAUUGAUCUCUCAUGCUUCACUUAUAUUAUUUUGAGAGUCCUUUAGAACAACAUGGCAAUAAUAAAAUCUUUCAUACAAGUGCAUUGAAUACUAUGAGAAGUUUGAUACUUCAUAAUUGUUUUGAGAUAUGGAGAUGGUGAUAUUAGAGUCAUGCUAGUUGAGUAGUUGUGAAUUUGAGAAAUACUUGUGUUAAAGUUUGUGAUUCCCGUAGUAUGCACAUAUGGUGCACUGUUAUGUGAUGAAGUCGGAGCAUGAUUUAUUUAUUGAUUGUCUUCCUUAUGAGUGGCGGUCGGGGACGAGCGAUGGUCUUUUCCCACCAAUCUAUCCCCCUAGGAGCAUGUGUGUAACACUUUGUUUCGAUAACUAAUAGAUUUUUUCAAUAAGUAUGUGAGUUAUUUAUGACUAAUGUUGAGUCCAUGGAUUAUACUCACUCUCACCCUUCCACCAUUGCUAGCCUCUCUAGUAUCGCACAACUUUCGCCGGUACCAUAAACCCACCAUAUACCUUCCUCAAAACUGUCACCAUACCUACCUAUUAUGGCAAUUUCCAUAGCCAUUCCGAGAUAUAUUUCCAUGCAACUUUCCACCGUUCCGUUAUUAUGACAUGCUUUAUCAUUGUCAUAUUGCUUUGCAUGAUCAUGUAGUUGACAUCGUAUUUGUGGCAAAGCCACCAUUCAUAAUUCUUUCAUACAUGUCACUCUUGAAUCAUUGCAUAUCCCGGUACACCGCCGAAGGCAUUCACAUAGAGUCAUAUUUUGUUCUAAGUAUCAAGUUGUAAUUCUUGAGUUGUAAGUAAAUAAAGUGUGAUGAUCAUCAUUAUUAGAGCAUUGUCCCAAGUGAGGAAAGGAUGAUGGAGACUAUGAUUCCCCCACAAGUCGGUAUGAGACUCCGGACGAAAAAAAGAAGAAGAGAAAGGCCAUAAAAAAGGAGAAGGCCCAAAAAAUGAGAGAAAAAGAGAUAAGGGACAAUGCUACUAUCCUUUUUCCACACUUGUGCUUCAAAGUAGCACCAUGAUCUUCAUGAUAGAGAGUCUCCUAUGAUAUCACUUUCAUAUACUAGUGGGAAAUUUUCAUUAUAGAACUUGGCUUGUAUAUUCGAAUGAUGGGAUUCCUCAAAAUUCCCUAGGUCUUCGUGAGCAAGCAAGUUGGAUGCACACCCACUUAGUUUCUUUUGUUGAGCUUUCAUACACUUAUAGCUCUAGUGCAUCCAUUGCAUGGCAAUCCCUACUCACUCACAUUGAUAUCUAUUGAUGGGCAUCUCCAUAGCCCGUUGAUACGCCUAGUUGAUGUGAGAAUAUCUUCUCCUUUUUGUCUUCUCCACAACCAACAUUCUAUUCCACCAUAUAGUGCUAUAUCCAUGGCUCACGCUCAAGUAUUGCAUGAAGAUUGAAAAAGUUUGAGAACAUCAAAAGUAUGAAACAAUUGCUUGGCUUGUCAUCCGGGUUGUGCAUGAUUUAAAUAUUCUAUGUGGUGAAGAUAGAGCAUAGCCAGACUAUAUGAUUUUGUAGGGAUAAUAGGGAUCAAACCCUAACAAAACUAACUCAAUUACAUGAUAAAACUCAUCCAACCCAUCACCGUCCAGCAAGCCUACGAUGGAAUUACUCACGCACGGCAGUGAGCAUCAUGAAAGUGGUGAUUGAGGAAGGUUGAUGAUGACGAUGGCGACGGAUUCCCCUCUCCGGAGCCCUGAACGGACUCCAGAUCAGCCCUCCCGAGAGUUUAGGGCUUGGCGGUGGCUCCGUAUCAUAAAACGCGAUGAAUCCUUCUCCCUAAUUUUUUCUCCCCGAACACGAAUAUAUGGAGUUGGAGUUGAAGUUGGUGGAGCGUCAGAGGGCCCUCGAGGCAGGGGGGCGCGCCCAGGGGGGUAGGCGCACCCCCCCACCCUCGUGGACAGGGUGUGGGCUGAUAUGUCUCCAACGUAUCUAUAAUUUUUGAUUGCUCCAUGCUAUUAUAUUAUCUAUUUUGGAUGUUAAUGGGCUUUAUUUUACACUUUUAUAUCAUUUUUGGGACUAACCUACUAACCGGAGGCCCAACCCAAAUUGUUGUCUUUUGCCUAUUUUAGGGUUUCGAAGAAAAGGAAUAUCAAACGGAGUCUAAACGGAGUGAAACCUUCGGGAACGUGAUUUUCUCAACAAACGUGAUCCAGGAGACUUGGAGUGGGCGUUAAGAAACAAACGAGGUAGCCACGAGGAAGGGGGCGCGCCUACCCCCUGGGCGUGCCCUCCACCCUCGUGGACCCCUCGUUGCUCCACUGACGUAAUUAUUCCUCCUAUAUAUAUCCACGUACCCCUAAACAUCCAGGAGCACCACGAAAACCUAAUUCCACCGCCGCAACCUUCUAUACCCGAGAGAUCCCAUCUCGGGGCCUUUUCCGGAGGUCCACCAGAGGGGGCAUUGAUCACCGAGGGCCUCUACAUCAACUCCAUGGCCUCUCCGGUGAUGUGUGAGUAGUUUACUUCAGACCUUCGGGUCCAUAGUUAUUAGCUAGAUGGCUUCUUCUCUCUCUUUGGAUCUCAAUACAAAGUUCUCCUCGAUCUUCUUGGAGAUCUAUUUGAUGUAAUCUUCUUUUGCGGUGUGUUUUUCGAGAUCCGAUGAAUUGUGGGUUUAUGAUCCAGUUUAUCUAUGAACAAUAUUUGAUUCUCCUCUGAAUUCUUUUAUGUAUGAUUGAUUUAUAUUUGCAAGUCUCUUCAAAUUAUUAGUUUGGUCUUGCCUACUAGAUUGAUCUUUCUUGCAAUGGGAGAAGUGCUUAGCUUUGGGUUCAAUCUUGCGGUGUUCAAUCCUAGUGACAGAAAGGGAACCGAUACGUAUUGUAUUGUUGCCAUCGAGGAUAAAAAGAUGGGGUUUAUAUCAUAUUCCAUGAGUUUAUCCCUCUACAUCAUGUCAUCUUCCUUAAAGCAUUACUCUGUUCUUAUGAACCUAAUACUCUAGAUGCAUGCUGGAUAGCGGUCGAUGUGUGGAGUAAUAGUAGUAGAUGCAGAAUCGUUUCGGUCUACUUGUCUCAAAACAAUCAUGAUAUGAUAUAGCAAGAUGGUAUCUCGCUAGCCCUUUCUGAGACCGCAAAACAUAAAUGCAGAGCACCUUUAAAGAUCAAGGACUGACUAGACAUUGUAAUUCAUGGUAAAAGAGAUCCAGUCACAGUCAUACUCAAUGUAAACUAACAGUAAUGGAUGCAAAUGAUAGCGGUGCUCUCCAACUGGUGGUUGUUAAUAAGAGGGUGAUGACUCAACAUAAAAGUAAAUGGAUAGGCCCUUCGCAGAGGGAAGCGGGGAUUUGUAGAGGUGCCAGAGCUCGAUUUUGAAAUAGAUAUGAAUGUUAUUUUGAGCAGUAUACUUUCAUUGUCAACAUAACAACCGAGAGAUCUCGAUAUCUUCCAUGCUACACACAUUAUAGGCGGUUCCCAAGUAGAAUGAUAAAGUUUAUACUCCCCCACCACCAACAAGCAUCAAUCCAUGGCUUGGCCGAAACAACGGGUGCCUCCAACUAGCAACAAUCCUGGGGGAGUUUUGUUUGCAAUUAUUUUGAUUUGAUUUGAGCAAGUGGCUGGGCAUCCCGGUGACCAGCCAUUUUCUCGUGAAUGAGGAGCGGAGUCCAAUCCUCUUGAGAAUAACCCGCCUAGCAUGGAGGAUACACACAGCCCUAGUUGAUACAUGAGCUAUUCGAGCAUAUAGAAUAGAAUGUUUAUUUGAAGGUUUAGAGUUUGGCACAUACAAAUUUACUUGCAACGACAGGUAGAUACCGUAUAUAGGCAGGUAUGGUGGACUCAUAUGGAAUAACUUUGGGGUUUAUGGUAUUGGAUGCACAAGCAGUAUUCCCGCUUAGUACAAGUGAAGGCUAGAAAAAGACUGGGAAGCGACCAGCUAGAGAGCGACAACAGUCAUGAACAUGCAUUAAAAUUAAUCAACACGGAAUGCAAGCAUGAGUAGGAUAUUCACCAUGAACAUAAAUAUCGUAGAGGCUAUGUUGAUUUUGUUUCAACUACAUGCGUGAACAUGUGCCAAGUCAAGCCACUCGAAUCGUUCAAAGGAGGAUGCCACCCUAUCAUACCACAUCACAACCAUUUUAAUAGCAUGUUGGCACGCAAGUUAAACCAUUAUAAACUCCUAGCUAAUUAAGCAUGGCAUAAGCAACUACAAUCUCUAAUUGUCAUUGCAAACAUGUUUCUUUCAUAAUAGGCUGAACCAGGAACGAUGAACUAAUCAUAUUUACAAAAACAAUAGAGGUCGAGUUCAUACCGGCUUUUCUCAUCUCAAUCAGUCCAUCAAAUAAUCAUCAUUAUUGCCUUUCACUUGCACGACCGAAUGGUGUGGAUAAUAAUAAUAGUGCACGUGCAUUGGACUAAGUUGGAAUCUGCAAGCAUUCAAUUCAAGAGAGGAGACAAGGUAAUAUGGGCUCUUUGUUAGAUCAACAAUAAUGCAUAUACAAGCCACUUAACAUUUUCAUUAUGGUCUUCUCCUCUCGACCCCCAAAGGAAAGAAAAGAAACGAAACUAUUUACACGAGAAAGCUCCCAACAAGCAAAAAAAGAACGAGAAAUCUUUUUGGGUUUUCUUUUUAAUUACAACUACUAUAGGCAUGGAAAGUAAACUAGCUAAAAGCUACAACUAUUUUUGUUGUUUUUCUUAAGGUUUUUCAAACACACAAGAAGGAAGCGUAAAAACAAAAUAAACUAGCAUGGAUGAUACAAUGAAAAAGUAUGGGCACCGACAAUUGGCAUGAGUGUGUGAACAUGAAUGUAAUGUCGGUGAGAGAUACGUACUCCCCCAAGCUUAUGCUUUUGGCCUAAGUUGGUCUAUGCCCAUGGAUCAAAGUUGUAGCUGUGGUCAUAUUGAGAUGCAGCGGCAAUUGCCUGAUGAGCUGCAGCUUGGAGGCAAGCUGCCUCCGCCCUCCUCUCGUACUCGGCCGCCUCCUCCCUGGUUAUAACAUAUCUCCCUUUUGCCUGAAAAUCAAAGAAAGUAGGAGCAGGGAGAGCGAUGUGAUAGGUGCAUCGUUUUUCGAAGAUUAGUCGGUACUGGAGGAAAUGAUUGUUCCUCUCAACAAACUGAUGAUGAACCAUGGCAUUAUAAUCUAAAUAAGCAUGAGGCAACUCAAUAUCAUCUCCACGUAUGGGUAUCUCAAGAGAAUCAGCUAAACGGGUUGCAUAAAUUCCACCAAAGAAAUCUCCAUCAAUACUAUUAUUAUACAACCUACGUGCAACAAUGGCCCCCAAGUUAUAUUGUAUAUCUCCUAAUACAGCACUCUUGAGAACACUAAGAUAGGGAACACACAUGUGACAUGCCUCAUCCUUACCGUUAAUGCAUCUACCUAUGAAGAGAGAAAAAUAAUGUAUUGCAGGAAAAUGAAUGCUCCCUAUGGUAGCUUGCGUGAUUUCCCUAGAUUCCCCCAUAGUUAUACUAGCAAGAAAGUCUUUAUAUUCAGAUUUGCGAGGUUCACUAACAUUACCCCACUGUGGGAGUUUAGAAGCAGUAUUAAAAUCUUCUAAGUCCAUGGUAUAAGAUUUAUCAUAAAGAUCAACUAGGACAGUUUGAGAAUUGUGUUAUGAUGUAAAUGUAAACCUUCUCACAAAUGAAUCAGUUAAAUAGAGGUACUGAUGGCACUUAUCUGCCACGAAGCUCUCAAGAUCGGCGUUACGCACAUAUGCUUCAAAUUCCUUCUUAAUCACUGCCCGAACCAUGAAGUCCUCUGACGACCAUUCACAAGGCCGCACUUGAGCAUCUCUUGGUAGUUCAUUGUCCGGCUCGCGUAUUGCAGGCCUUAGGCCUUGCUUCCUUGAGGAACCAUUUUGGUACAUUUUCCUAAACAUAUUUCUUCCUCUGAUUUUUUUUGAAAUUUUUAGUGACUUAAAAUAAAAGUGAACCAAACUCAGCAAAAUUGAUAGCAACUACUCCUACAAGUGUCUAGAGGCUAUAUCAUGUAUUAAAACAACUUCUGACCACAUAAAUUUGACAUGUGUAACGCCCCGAGACCGAUGUGCCAGGUGUCUUCCUGUUAUUUUUUGUUGUUGCCUUGUCAUUUGCUUGCGUGUUGCAUCUUGUCAUGUCAUCAUGUGCAUUGCAUCAUCAUGUUUUCAAAACCUGCAUCGUCCGGGUUUCUCCCCAUUCCUUAUGUUGUCCUUUCUGAGCCCAACCACACUUGCACGCGCCCACGGCAUGUCCGAAAUAAUAUUUUAUAAGUGGCCAAGAAAUGUUCUCGGAUUGGGCUGAAAGUUGGCAUGCCGUCUUACUAUAGUGUAGAUAGACCGCCUGUCAAAUUUCAUCGCAUUCGGAGUUCGUUUGACGCCCCAACGGAUAACUAUAGCGGUAGUAUAGCCGGUCUUUUCGUCAGACGUUUUCGGUCUCCGGAAAUAGAUGACGGGCCCUCUCUCUCUCUUCUCCCCCUCGCAGUCUCGCCACAGCCCACCUAGGCCAUCCUCCUUCCCCUCUUUGCUUCCGGAGUUGUCCGAUGCGACCGCACGGUCCGAAACCCUCUCUGCACAGUGUAUCGAACCCCUCACGUGCGCGUCCGAGUUGUCCCGAACCCAACCCGGGCAGUCAUCACCGUGGUGUCUGGAUCAUCCCCAAACAUCUACAAAAUGUCUCCAUUUUUCUUUUUGGGAUACCUAGCCUAUUUUUUCCCGUCCGUCCGAUUACGAUCGGAGGGACAUAACCGCCCUAAACCGAUUUCAUCUGCUAUAAAUAUAAGGUCUAACCCUAGAUCCUAGGGGUCUUGUCCCAACAAUCCCACCGCGCCGCCACUCCACCUGUUUUUCCUAGGGAUCCCUCCCGGACCAACCCGCAUCAAACCCCCGAUCCAAAAAAUAUCCUCUCGACCUCUCCCCACCAACCGAGGCCUCCCCUCGAUCCAACCCUCCUCUGCCUCCCUGCCCGUUCUGGAUCGAGCCCGAGCCAACGAGCGCUGCUGUUGUUUCCCUCAAUCUCGUGUCUCUCUCCAACACCAUCGCUCGAUCUGGACUAGGAGGGCCCCGAGCUCCUUGACCACCGCCUCCUCUGCCUCGUUCCCGAAGCCGUUGGCGCCAAGCUCCUCCUAUGGCCGCCGCCGCUAGCGUCCUCGACCACCAGGCUGUGCCUCUAAUCCCUCUCCCUGUUCCCUUUUCGCUGAAGCCCCCUCUCCCGUUCCCUCACGAUCUCUCUCUGUGUUCAAGGCAGCGCCGCCUUGGAGGCUUCCUGAAGGAUCAUGGCCGCCACCUCGCCAGAUCCGCCGGAUGCCGCCGGGCAUGGAGCCGCCUUGCCAGAUCUGCGCCUUGCCUUGUCCCUGGUCCGGCCAUCGUCCUCAUCCGGCAGAGGGCGCCGCCGUCCCCCUGUUCCAGCGUAGCCGCUGCCGGCCUCGCCUCUGUGCGAGUGAGACGAGCUUUUCCCUCUUCCACAGAGAUCCCGAGCUCUCACGACGACCCCUCUCCAUCCUGUCGCUGUGGGAGUACCACCUGCGUCCGCCUCGCCUGUUUGUGCUCCCGGCUUCGAGCGACAGGACGAGACGACGAGCGCCUCGCCCGCUCGCAUUGACCGCGCAAGUCCCGCGACCGACCGCAUGCACCUGGGCUGCCUCACCUUCGCCUGUGACUGCGUCGAACGAGCACGACGCCCCAGCGCCGCGCCUGGGCUGCCUCCCUUCCAGGCUCUCCAAGGCCCAGCACCCCCCCCUUUCGGCCUACCUCUCUACCGAUCUGGGCCAGGCCAACUGGGUGAGAGAACCCCCAGCCCCUCCUGUGCACUGAUGGGCCAACCAGAUCCGGCCCGUAUCCUGUUUUUUUUACAUAGUAUGUUUUCCUAUUUUUCCCAGAGAACGUCAGUUUUGUAGGAAAGACCCUCUUGUUCAUGCAUUUAAUAUCUCACAAACCGUGCAUCGGAUUAAAAUAAGUUAUAUAUGAAACUUGCUUAGAAUUUUGUGUACAUUAAUAAUUUGCCACUUUCAUCUAUGUUUAAAAUGCUGUUUGCAUAUAUUUUGCCUAUUAUCAUGUUAAGAUGAUUAUAUUCAUAACUUAACAACCGUAACUCAGAAUUUAAUAAACUUUAUAUGUAAAUGGGGUAGAAAAAUCCCUAGUUUAACAUGACGGCCUUACUUUGCAUGUUUAACAACCCUAAAAUUGUGUUUAGGGCAGAACAGGACCAAACCUAAUAUAUGCAUAUGAGGAGUUUUCAGACUUGUUGUUUUGUUGUUCCGGCCUCAUUUAAACUUGCCUAGAUUAGAUAGUUUCAUCAUGCUUCACCUCUUGCCAUGCUAACAACAUUUAAUCUUGUUGGGUACAUAAACAAGAGAGAACUAAAUAAGUCAUGUGGUGUUUUCUUCAAUAUGUAACUCCGUUGCAUAAUGUGCUCCACUUAAUUUGUAGUAUUGCUUGUGCGCUUUGCCAUGCCAUGCCUCAUUAAUCCGGACAUGCAUCAUAUUUGGUUGUGCCUCAUGUCAUGCUUAUGUGAUGAUUGUUUACUAUGUUGUUUGCUUUCUUUCCGGUGUACUUCUUCUCGGUAAUCCGGUAACGUCGCGUUUGUGAGGACCCGUUCAUCUACGUCCAUUUGUCUUCUUCAUGGACUCGUUCUUCUUCCUUGCGGGAUUUUAGGCAAGAUGACCAUACCCUCGAAAUCACUUCUAUCUUUGCUUGCUAGUUGCUCGCUCUUUUGCUAUGCCUAUGCUGCAAUACCUACCACUUGCUUAUCAUGCCACCCAUAUUGUUGAACCAAGCCUCUAACCCACCUUGUCCUAGCAAACCAUUGUUUGGCUAUGUUACCGCUUUGCUCAGCCCCUCUUAUAGCGUUCUUAGUUGCAGGUGAAGAUUGAAGUUUGUUCCUUGUUGGAACAUGGAGAUGUUGUUCCUUGUGGGAACAUGUUUACUUGUUGGGAUAUCACAAUACCUCUUAUUUAAUUAAUGCAUCUAUAUACUUGGUAAAGGGUGGAAGGCUCGGCCCUUUGCCUGGUGUUUUGUUCCACUCUUGCCGCCCUAGUUUCCGUCAUAUCGGUGUUAUGUUCCCGGAUUUUGCGUUCCUUACGUGGUUGGGCUAUUAUGGGAACCCCUUGACAGUUCGCCUUGAAUAAAACUCCUCCAGCAAUGCCCAACAUUGGUUUUACCAUUUGCCACCUAGCCUCUUUUUCCCUUGGGAGUCGCGCUCCUGAGGGUCAUCAUUAUUUUAACCCCCCCGGGCCAGUGCUCCUCUGAGUGUUGGUCCAAACUAGAGCCCCUUGCAGCGCCACCUCGGGGAAACUCGAGGGCUGGUUUUAGUUAUAUGGACUGCUCAACUAAGUGUGCCCUGAGAACGAGAUAUGUGCAGCUCCUAUCGGGAUUUUUCGGCACAUUCGGGCGGUGUUGCUGGACUUGUUUUACCAUUGUCGAAGUUGUCUUGUAGAACCGGGAUGCCGAGUCUGAUCGGAAUGUCUCGGGAGAAGGUUUAUCCUUCGUUGACCAUGAGAGCUUGUGAUGGGCUAAGUUGGGACACCCCUGCAGGGAUUUGAACUUUUGAAGCCGUGCCCGCGGUUAUGGGCAGAUGAGAAUUUGUUAAUGUCCGGUUGUAGAAAACCUGAAGUUGACCUUAAUUAAAAUACAUCAACCGCGUGUGUAACCAUGAUGGUCUCUUCUCGGUGGAGUCCGGGAAGUGAACACGGUGUUGGAGUUAUGUUUGACGUAGGUUGCUCUAGGAUCACUUCUUGAUCAUACUUUUAUCGACCGUGCUUUGCCUAAUCUUCUCGCUCUCAUUUGCGUAUGUUAGCCACCAUAUAUGCUAGUCGCUUGCUGCAGCUCCACCUCAUACUUUUACCUUACCCAUAAGCUUAAAUAGUCUUCAUCGCAAGGGUGCGAGAUUGCUGAGUCCCCGUGGCUCAAAGAUUACUUCCAAAACCAGUUUGCAGGUGCCGAUGAGUCCGUGCAGAUGACGCAACCAAGCUCAGGAGGAGCUCAAUGAAUAUCUUGUCCUUUGUGUUGUUUCGUUCUAGUUGAUUAUUACUGGAGCCCAGUUGAGGUCGAUCGGAGACCUUGUCGCAUUUGGGGUUCUUCUUUUAUCUUGGUUCUGUAGUCAGACCUUGAUUGUAUUUGGAUGUUGUAAUGCUUUAUUCAUGUAAGUGUGUGAAGUGGCGAUUGUAAGCCAACUAUGUACCUUUUUCCCUUAUGUAUUACAUGGGUUGUGUGAAGAUUACCUCACUUGCGACAUUGCUUUCAAUGCGGUUAUGCCUCUAAGUCGUGCUUCGACACGUGGGAGAUAUAGCCGCAUCGAGGGCGUUACAAGUUGGUAAUCAGAGCCUUCCUCGAACUUAGGAGCCCCCCUGUUUGAUCGAAUUAGCUGACGUCGUUGAGUCUAGAAAAAUGUUUUGAGUCAUUUAGGAAUUAUAUAUCGGAGAAUUUAGGAAUUCUUUUUACUCCCCAGUCCCUUCAUCGCUCUGGUAAGGCAUCCUGACAUAGAGUUUUGACUCUUCUCUUCUCGAAUUUCACUAAAAAAAAUUAGGAUCACGCGGGUAUCUUGGAAUCGUUCCGAUCGAUUUGUGACGAGAACAUUGUUCUUGGUGCCUCCUGACAUUUAGGGGUUGUGGCAGUGUCCCGGGGAGUUGAGCUCCGAGGUGUUAUCGUCACAAUUUAAUCGUUGCAGUUCUGGAAUACCUGAGUUUAGUUUUGCCGACAUCGAAAAUCUCUUUUAUGCAGUUGUUGGUGAGAUAACCUCGACGCCACCCAGUACUGGGGUGGGAGUUCGGGAGUAUUGCCAUAACUCGUAUAACGGAUGCUUUUCGAAGGUUGAGGUAGACGAUUUCCGAAGGUUUCUUGGUUAUGUGUUGAAGGAUGGAUACAGCUGGAUGUAGGAUUUGCUAGUUUGGGUGAGAUAUUAUGCUUCCCCUGUAUCCCCAACACCUGCAUAACCGGAAAGUUUCGGGAGUUUAUAAGUGGGAAUUCAAGUAGCUCUUAGGAUAUCUUUCCGACAGAUGUAUGAUAUGAAAUUGGAGUUCGACGUCUAGUGGUCCGCCUAUUCACGGCUGGUUUUACAGUGGUCUCGUUGUGUCUUAAAGAGUCCUUGGCUAUGCCGACUCGGGGACGCUUCGUAUGUCAUGUGCACUGCCUUGUACAUGAUGGUGCUGUAUGAUCGAGCCCGUGUAGGCCCCACCACAAAAACUUCGGACGAAAUCUCUAUCAUAUGUUUGUUCCGGCUUAUUCUGCAAGCCAAUCCUUUGUUUUUUUUGAGUUGUGGUAUUUGAGUUGCUUCGAAGUCAAAUGUUGAUUCCAUACCUUUUCCUAAGUGGUGUUCUCAUACUCCGAUGUGAAUACCAACCCUUUUGAUCAUCAAGAUUGUUUUUGUCAAUCCUUUUUAACCGGCUUGCUUCUCUUCAAGUGGAUCCGAUCAUUUCUACAUCCGAAAGAUCAAGCAUCAGGUUCUUCUGAACGGUGUUUAUUUCAUCCGUCCCCAAGUUGCCUUUGUUUUCCCACCCACCCACCCUUUUUCUUCAAGGAAUCCAAUGUUUUAAUCAAGUAUCAUUUAUAUUCUUGUGAAGUCUCUACAUUCUUUUCCUUCAUGUUCUUACCCGGUGAUGCUCUUGAAGAUUCUAACGGAGAUUCAAGUUCAGCAUUAUUCAUUCUUUUUCUUCUCCGGUGGAUUCAAUUCAAGCUUUGUCGAUAAUAUCUUUUCCUCGUUUCAAUGCUUUUCUUAUGCCGGUGCACCUCAUAAUAAUUCACUUCUCGCUAUUUAAUUGUUCCGGAGUGCUGGAGAUAGCUCGAAGAUUCGUGUUUCCACUCUACAUUCGUUCAAGCUCUUUCGAGGAUGUUAUCUCAUUCAAGUCAUUUAAUUCAACCGGUGCAUUCUCCUUUUCAAGUAAUCAUUCCAACGGUGUUUAUUUUGAGUGGGCCCUAACCCACAGGUUUUUCCCAGGAUCUUACCUGACUCUUCUUAUUUUCCCGGAGUUUUUCAAAUACAUUUCAAAGUUUGACGUAAGAAUGAAUUAUCAUUAGUCUAAUGCCUUUCUCCAAGAUCGGUUAAAUUCUUCUCAUCGUUGGCUCAACCUCUUCGCUUUUGAUUCUUCCGGAUUGUCUAAACAAUUCAUGGUGGUGUUUCUCAUCGUCAUUCUCAGAUUUGAAGACCGAAGAAGAGUUCCUCUAAAUCUUGCUCUUUUCUUUUCAAGAUUCAUGGUUCUAGCUUCAUGCCGUCCUCUCAUAAUUGUUUUCGACCGUGAGAAUUCUUCUUACCUAUCCGGAGCAUUUCAUGAGUUGUUAUCAUUUCUUUCCUCUGAAGGCCAUCUUUUCAAAUAUCACUCAUUCCCAGCUUUCAGCUCUCAUACUCUAAAUCAUACCGGUGCUUAAAUCAAGGAUUCUCUAAUCAGCUCGUAAUCUCUUCGUUCUCAUGGAUCUAAAUUCUCUCAAGCAUCUUCGUUUAUUUGCUAAUCCUUCCCGGUGUUUCUUCAUGUUUUAUUCGUUCUUUUUCAAUUCUUAUGGUGGUUCGUUCAAGAGUGCUUCUCUUUCGUUAUCAUACAAAUUCAUUCAUUGUUUCAAUCCUACCGGUGUUUCAUUGAAGACCUUCCCAAGUCUGAUGUUAUAUCUCUCUUAAUCUUUUCUACGAGAAUAAGUAAUAUGCCAAAUCCGUUGAUUGUCAUCAAUUUAAAUUGGUGAAGGAUAAGCAUAAUGUAAUUCUUAUUCUUGUUUCAUCCAAGUGAUUAAUUCCUUAUUCCGGAGGUCCAUCAAAUUCCUGAAUUCAAUUGUUUUAUCUUCUCUUUUUCCCGGAGUUCCAAGCUCUAAUUAUCACGGAGAUCCAUCUAAAUCAUUACAAGGUUUCACCUUGUGUUUUCAACUUCUCUUUCCUUCCGUUUGAUCAUUCUUUUGCUUAACGGAAUUCUUCAUGAAGGUUCUGCAUGAUGGUUCAUCAAGGAUUUAUAUUCCUUCUCGAAGUGUUCAUCGAGAUUCUUUUCUAAGGAGCUCAAGCAUUCUUCAUCUUGCAUCCGGAGUGCAAUUCUUUCUUCCGUAUCAUUGGAGGUGCUAUUAUGUCAUUCUUGAUAAUUUGAAUUCAUGUUUCAUGAUUCACAUGUUGUCAUGAAUGAGAUAUUUUAAAUCCAUCAAUCUCGUCAUUGGAGUUAUCUUGGGUUAUAUUUCACCUAAAGCUUUCCCUAAGGAUUUGUUAUUAUUUAUGGUGACUAUAAAUGAUCCAAGUUCUUCAUUUAUCCUCCCGGUGAAAUAAGUUUCUCGUCUCCUUAUUCAUAUCAAUCCAAUUCUUUUUCCCGUGAGUGGCAGGUUUUCAUCUCUUAAUUUGAGAUGUACUCCACAAGACCAUAUCAAGUUUAUUCUUUUCGUUGUUGGUUUUCCUACAACUCCGUUCUAGCAUUUGUUGUAAGCGUGCUCCCUCAAGAUCUUGUUUCCCUUUGUUCAUUCCAUUUCAUUCUUUUUUUCUGGAGGCCUUGUGAUGUUGCUCUUUUCAAUCAUCAUCUCGAAAUGUGAAGAUCAUGUUUUUCUCAUGCUUAUCCUAUUUAACCGGAGUGUUGUGACCUUUUUGCUCAAGUUCUUUUCGCCUUAUCAAGCCUUGCACCUCUUUUCAACUGGAGUGCCAUCUGAGAUCUUUCUUACCCUUGUUCCAUUCAUUCAAUAUUUCCGGGGGCAGUGUGUUGUUGAUUUCAUCAAGUAUCACCCAAUCUUCUCAACAUCAUGUUCGAUUCCUUCCAUUUAUAGUCAGAGUGCUGUCCAAAUUUAUAUCAGUCUUAUUCCUUCUCUAUCUUGUUUUAACCGAAGCGUUAUCGUAAGAGAUCCUUGUCGUUCUUUGUACAUCUCGUUUUUACCGGAGUGCUUGCAUAUACUUCUUGUCUAUUGUAACCCUUGUCUUAUGUCUUUCAACCUCGAGGUUUUUCGCAAUGUUCCUUGUUCCUCUUUUCUAACAGAGUGUUUCCAACUUUGUUCAUCUCUGUUGUAUUCUUUCUUUCAAGUUGUUCAACCUUUCAAGGUUCUUUGGUUUCACUCAUUUGUCAAAGAAGCAACUUAGUUUUACCUCUUCUCUUCCUUUUUCCGUUUCCUCCGGUGCCAUUCUAGAUCUCAAGACGAGAUCCUCUCGUAGUGGUGGAGUGUUCUAACGCCCCGAGACCGAUGUGCCAGGUGUCUUCCUGUUAUUCGCUGUUGUUGCCUUGUCAUUUGCUUGCAUGUUGCAUCUUGUCAUGUCAUCAUGUGCAUUGCAUCAUCAUGUUUUCAAAACCAGCAUCCGUCCGGGUUUCUCCCCAUUCCUUCUGUUGUCCUUUCUGAGCCCAACCACACUUGCACGCGCCCGCGGCAUGUCCGAAAUAAUAUUUUAUAAGUGGCCGAGAAAUGUACUCGGAUUGGGUUGAAAGUUGGCGUGCGGUCUUAUUAUAGUGUAGAUAGACCGCCUGUCAAAUUUCAUUGCAUUCAGAGUUCGUUUGACGCCCCAACGGAUAACUAUAGCGGCAGUACAGCCGGUCUUUUCGUCGGACGUUUUCGGUCUCCGAAAACAGAUGCCGGGCCCUCUCUCUCUCUUAUCCCCCUCGCAGUCUCGCCACAGCCCACCUAGGCCAUCCUCCUUCCCCUCUUCGCUUCCGGAGUUGUCCGAUGCGACCGCACGGUCCAAAACCCUCUCUGCAUAGUGCAUCGAACCCCUCACGUGCGCGUCCAAGUUGUCUCGAACCCAACCCGGGCCGUCAUCACCGUGGUGUCCGGAUCAUCCCCAAACAUCUACAAAACGUCUCCAUUUUUCUUUUUGGGAUACCUAGCCUAUUUUUUCCCGUCCGUCCGAUUAUGAUCGGAGGGACAUAACCGCCCUAAACCGAUUUCAUCUGCUAUAAAUAUAAGGUCCAACCCUAGAUCCUAGGGGUCUUGUCCCAACAAUCCCACCGCGCCGCCACUCCACCUGUUUUCCCUUGGGAUCCCUCCCGGACCAACCCGCAUCAAACCCUCGAUCCAAAAAAUAUCCUCUCGACCUCUCCCCACCAACCGAGGCCUCCCCUCGAUCCAACCCUCCUCUGCCUCCCUGCCCGUUCUGGAUCGAGCCCGAGCCAACGAGCGCUGCUCUUGUUUCCCUCGAUCUCGUGUCUCUCUCCAACACCAUCGCUCGAUCUGGACUAGGAGGGCCCCGAGCUCCUUGACCACCGCCUCCUCUGCCUCGUUCCCGAAGCCGUUGGCGCCAAGCUCCUCCUAUGGCCGCCGCCGCUAGCGUCCUCGACCACCAGGCCGUGCCUCUAAUCCCUCUCCCUGUUCCCUUUUCGCUGAAGCCCCCUCUCCCGUUCCCUCACAAUCUCUCUCUGUGUUCAACGCAGCGCCGCCUUGGAGGCUUCCUGAAGGAGCACGGCCGCCACCUCACCAGAUCCGCCGGAUGCCGCCGGGAAUGGAGCCGCCUUGCCGGAUCUACGACUUGCCUUGUCCCUGGUCUGGCCAUCGUCCUCAUCCGGCAGAGGGCGUCGCCGUCCCCCCCCCCCCGUUCCAGCGUAGCCGCUGCCGGCCUUGCCUCUGUGCGAGUGAGACGAGCUUUUCCCUCUUCGACAGAGAUCCCAAGCUCUCACGACGACCCCUCUCCAUCCUGUCGCUGCCGGAGUACCACCUGCGUCCACCUCGCCUGUUUGUGUUCCCGGCUUCGAGCGACAGGACGAGACGACGAGCGCCUCGCCCGCUCGCGUUAACCACGCAAGUCCCACGACCGACCGCACGCACCUGGGCGGCCUCACCUUCGCCUGUGACCGCGUCGAACGAGCAUGACGCCCCAGCGCCGCGCCUGGGCUGCGUUCCUUCCAGGCUCUCCAAGGCCCAAGGCCCAGCACCCCCCCUUUCGGCCUACCUCUCUACCGAUCUGGGCCAGGCCCACUGGGUGAGAGAACCCGCAGCCCCUCCUGUGCACUGAUGGGCCAACCAGAUCCGGCCCGUAUCCUGUUUCUUUUACAUAAUACGUUUUCCUAUUUUUCCCAGAGAACGUCAGUUUUGCAGAAAAGACCCUCUUGUUCAUGCAUUUAAUAUCUCACAAACCGUGCAUCGGAUUAAAAUAAGUUAUAUAUGAAACUUGCUUAGAAUUUUGUGUAGAUUAAUAAUUUGCCACUUUCAUCUAUGUUUAAAAUGUUUAAAAUGCUGUUUGAAUAUAUUUUGCCUAUUGCCAUGUUAAGAUGAUUAUAUUCAUAACUUAAUAACCGUAACUCGGAAUUUAAUAAACUUUAUAUGUAAAUGGGGUAGAAAAAUGCCUAGUUUAACAUGAUGGCCUUACUUUGCAUGUUAACAACCCUAAAAUUGUGUUUAGGGCAGAACAGGACCAAACCUAAUAUAUGCAUAUGAGGAGUUUCCAGACUUGUUGUUUUGUUGUUCCGGCCUCAUUUAAACUUGCCUAGAUUAGAUAGUUUCAUCAUGCUUCACCUCUUGCCAUGCUAACAACAUUUAAUAUUGUUGGGUACAUAAACGAGAGAGAACUAAAUAAGUCAUGUGGUGUUUUCUUCAAUAUGUAACUCCGUUGCAUAAUGUGCUCCACUUAAUUUGUAGUAUUGCUUGUGCGCUUUGCCAUGCCAUGCCUCAUUAAUCCGGACAUGCAUCAUAUUUGGUUGUGCAUCAUGUCAUGCUUAUGUGAUGAUUGUUUACUAUGUUGUUUUCUUUCUUUCCGGUGUACUUCUACUCGGUAAUCCGGUAACGUCGCAUUUGUGAGGACUCGUUCGUCUACGUCCAUUUGUCUUCUUCAUGGACACGUUCUUCUUCCUUGCACGAUUUCAGGCAAGAUGACCAUACCCUCGAAAUCACUUCUAUCUUUGCUUGCUAGUUGCUCGCUCUUUUGCUAUGCCUAUGCUGCGAUACCUACCACUUGCUUAUCAUGCCACCCAUAUUGUUGAACCAAGCCUCUAACCCACCUUGUCCUAGCAAACCGUAAUUUGGCUAUGUUACCGCUUUGCUCAGUCCCUCUUAUAGUGUUCUUAGUUGCAGGAGAAGAUUGAAGUUUGUUCCUGGUUGGAACAUGGAGAUUUUGUUCCUUGUGGGAACAUGUUUACUUGUUGGGAUAUCACAAUACCUCUUAUUUAAUUAAUGCAUCUAUAUACUUGGUAAAGGGUGGAAGGCUCGGCCUUUUGCCUCGUGUUUUGUUCCACUCUUGCCGCCCUAGUUUCCGUCAUAUCGGUGUUAUGUUCCUGGAUUUUGCGUUCCUUACGCGGUUGGGCUAUUAUGGGAACCCCUUGACAGUUCGCCUUGAAUAAAACUCCUCCAGCAAUGCCCAACAUUGGUUUUACCAUUUGCGACCUAGCCUCUUUUUCCCUUGGGAGUCGCGCUCCUGAGCAUCAUCAUUAUUUUAACCCCCCCGGGCUAGUGCUCCUCUGAGUGUUGGUCCAAACUAGAGCCCCUUGCAGCGCCACCUCGGGGAAACUCGAGGGCUGGUUUUAGUUGUACGGACUGCUCGUCUGAGUGUGCCCUAAGAAUGAGAUAUGUGCAGCUCCUACCGGGAUUUGUCGGCACAUUCGGGCGGUGUUGCUGGACUUGUUUUACCAUUGUCGAAGUUGUCUUGUAGAACCGGGAUGCCGAGUCUGAUCGGAAUGUCUCAGGAGAAGGUUUAUCCUUCGUUGACCGUGAGAGCUUGUGAUGGGCUAAGUUAGGACACCCCUGCAGGGAUUUGAACUUUCGAAAGCCGUGCCCGCAGUUAUGGGCAGAUGGGAAUUUGUUAAUGUCCGGUUGUAGAAAACCUGAAGUUGACCUUAAUUAAAAUACAUCAACCGUGUGUGUAACCGUGAUGAUCUCUUCUCGGUGGAGUCCAGGAAGUGAACACGGUGUUGGAGUUAUGUUUGACGUAUGUUGCUCUAGGAUCACUUCUUGAUCAUACUUUUAUCGACCGUGCUUUGCCUUCUCUUCUCGCUCUCAUUUGUGUAUGUUAGCCACCAUAUAUGCUAGUCGCUUGCUGCAGCUCCACCUCAUACUUUUACCUUACCCAUAAGCUUAAAUAGUCUUCAUCGCAAGGGUGCGAGAUUGCUGAGUCCCCGUGGCUCAAAGAUUACUUCCAAAACCAGUUUGCAGGUGCCGAUGAGUCUGUGCAGAUGACGCAACCAAGCUCAGGAGGAGCUCAAUGAAGAUCUUGUCCUUUGUGUUGUUUCGUUCUAGUUGAUCAGUAGUGGAGCCCAGUUGAGGUCGAUCGGAGACCUUGUCGCAUUUGGGGUUCUUCUUUUAUUUUGGUUCUGUAGUCAGACCUUGAUUGUAUUUGGAUGUUGUAAUGCUUUAUUCAUGUAAGUGUGUGAAGUGGUGAUUGUAAGCCAACUAUGUACCUUUUUCCCUUAUGUAUUACAUGGGUUGUGUGAAGAUUACCUCACUUGCGACAUUUCUUUCAAUGUGGUUAUGCCUCUAAGUCGUGCUUCGACACAUGGGAGAUAUAGCCGCAUCGAGGGCGUUACAACAUGCAAGCUCAAGAACAAGGGCACAUAAGCAGCAAAAAUUUGCAAUAAGUAAAGCACUAGAACAAAAACUAAUUGGACCAUUGGAGGAGUCACAUACCAAAGAACAAUUCCCCAAAGCAGUUUUGUGAAUGGAGCUUUGAGCAAGGAGAUCGAAAAUGGCAGCAAGAUGAGCAAGAACUCGGAUUUGAGCUAGCUAGUGAUUUUUUUGGGAGGAAGAAGGUGUUUGUGGUGGCUGGAAUAAGUGGAGGGGGCCCACGUGGGGUCCACAAGGCAGGGGGCGCGCCCAGGGGGGUGGGCGCGCCCUCCACCCUCGUGGGCACAUGGCUGCUCCCCCUGCUGUGUUCCCAGUGCCAGAUAUUCUCAAAUAUUCCAGAAAAAAUCAUAUUUAAAUUUCAGGGCAUUUGGAGAACUUUUAUUUUCGGGGUAUUUUUUAUUGCAUAGAUAAUUCACAAAACAGGCAUAAAAUACAAAAUUUUGUUUAUUUAAUAUAAAUAACAGAAAGUAAAAAGAGGGUACAGAGAGUUGUGCCUUCUAACUUCAUCCAUCUCAUGCUCAUCAAAAGGGAUCCACUAACAAGUUUGAUCAGGUCUUGUUAACAAACUCAUUUCGAAUAACAUGAAACCAGAUAAAUUUCGAAUAACACUAGGUUACCUCAACGGGGAUAUGCACAUCCCCAACAAUAAGAAUAUCAUAUUUCUUCUUGACCGUAGGAAGAGGAAAUUCAAAACCUCCAAUAGUGAUUGUUGAAAAGUGACAUUGCCUUUGUUGAAAUCAAUAACAGCCCCUGCAGUAUUCAAGAAGGGAAUACCAAGGAUAAUCGACAUACUAUCGUCCUCGGGAAUAUCAAGAAUAACAAAGUUCGUUAAAAUAGUAAUGUUUGCAACCACCACAGGCACAUCCUCACAAAUACCGACAGGUAUAGCAGUUGAUUUAUCAGCCAUUUACAAAGAUAUUUCAGUAGGUGUCAACUUAUUCAAAUCAAAUCUACGAUAUAAAGAGAGAGUCAUAACACUAACACCGGCUCCAAGAUCACAUAAAGCAGUUUUAACAUAGUUUCUUUUAAUGGAGCAUGGUAUAGUUGGUACUCCUGGAUCUCCAAGCUUCUUUGGUAUUCCACCCUUAAAAGUGUAAUUAGUAAGCAUGGUGGAAAUUUCAGCUUCCGGUAUCUUUCUCUUAUUUGUAACAAAUUCCUUCAUAUACUUAGCAUAAGGAUUCAUUUUAAGCAUAUCAGUCAAACACGUACGCAAAAAGAUAGGUCUAAUCAUUUCAGCAAAGCGCUCAAAAUCCUCAUCAUCCUUCUUCUUGGAUGGUUUAGGUGGAAAAGGCAUGGGUUUCUGAACCCAUGGUUCUCUUUCUUUACCGUGCUUCCUAGCAACGAAGUCUCUCUUAUCAUAACGUUGAUUCUUUGAUUGUGGGUUACCAAGAUCAACAGCAGGUUCAAUCUCUACAUCAUUAUCAUUUCUAGAUUGAGCAUCAAUAUGAACAUCAUCAUUAAAAUUAUCACUAGGUUCAUGUUCAUUACCAGAUUGUGUUUCAGCAUCAGAAAUAGAAAUAUCAUUGGGUGUAACACCCUCGAUGCGACUAUAGCUCCCACGUGUCGAGGCACGACUUAGAGACAUAAUCGCAUUGAAGGCAUAUGUCGCAAGUGAGGUAAUAUUCACACAACCCAUGUAAUACAUAAGGGAAAGAGAUACAUAGUUGGCUUACAAUCGCCACUUCACACAAUUACAUGAAUAAACAUUACAUCAAUCAAAUACACUCAUGGUCCGGCUACGGAACCAAAAUAAAAGAAGAACCCCAAAUGCAACAAGGUCCCCGAUCGACCCCAACUGGGCUCCACUACUGAUCGACUAGAACGGAACAACACAAAGGACAAGAUCUUCAUCGAACUCCUCCUGAGCUUGGUUGCGUCAUCUGCACAGACUCAUCGGCACCUGCAAGCUGGUUUUGGAAGUAUCUGUGAGCCACAGGGACUCAGCAAUCUCGCACCCUCGCGAUCAAGACUAUUUAAGCUUAUGGGUAAGGUAAAGGUAUGAGGUGGAGCUGCAGCAAGCGACUAGCAUAUAUGGUGGCUAACAUACGCAAAUGAGAGCGAGAAGAGAAGGCAAAGCACGGUCGAUAAAAGUAUGAUCAAGAAGUGAUCCUAAAACAACCUACGUCAAGCAUAACUCCAACACCGUGUUCACUUCCCGGACUCCUCCGGAAAGAGACCAUCACGGUUACACACGCGGUUGAUUCAUUUUAAUUAAGGUCAAGUUCAGGUUUUCUACAACCGGACAUUUACAAAUUCCCAUCUGCCCAUAACCACGGGCACGGCUUUCGAAAGUUCAAAUCCCUGCAGGGGUGUCCCAACUUAGCCCAUGACAAGCUCUCACGGUCAACGAAGGAAUAGACCUCCACCCGAGACAUUCCGAUCAGACUCGGUAUCCCGGUACAACAAGACAUUUCGACAGGGUAAAACUAAACCAGCAACACCGCCCGAAUGUCCCGACAAAUCCCGAUAGGAGCUGCACAUAUCUCUUUCUCAGGGCACACUCAGAUUGUCCUAGGUAUGGGUAGGCUAGCCCAGAGUUACCCCUGGUGGUCACCGGUAGCUGACAGUUGGACCAACACUCAAAGGAGCACUGGCCCGGGGGGGUUAAAAUAAUGAUGACCCUUGAGUCCACGAAACCCAAGGGAAAAAGAGGCUAGGUGGCGAAUGGUAAAACCAAUGUUGGGCAUUGCUGGAAGAGCUUUACUUAAGGCGAACUGUCAAGGGGUUCCCAUAAUAGCCCAACCGCGUAAGGGACGCAAGAUCCGGGAACAUAACACCGAUAUGAUGGAAACUAGGGCGACAAGAGUGGAACAAAACACCAGGCAUAAGGCCGAGCCUUCCACCCUUUACCAAGUAUAUAGAUGCAUUAAUUAAAUAAGAUAUAUAGUGAUAUCCCGACAAGUAAAUAAAAGAUGUUCCAACAAGGAACGGCCUCCAAUCUUCACCUGCAACUAGCAACACUAUAAGAGGGGCUGAGCAAAGCGGUAACAUAGCCAAUCAACGGUUUGCUAGGACAUGGUGGGUUAGAGGUUUGGCAUGGCAAUUUGGGAGGCUGACAAGCAAAAGGUAGGCAUCGUAGCAUUGGCAUAGCAAAGAGCGAGCAAACUAGCAUAGCAAAGAUAGUAGUGAUUUCGAGGGUAUGGUCAUCUUGCCUGAAAUCCCACAAGGAAGAAGAACGAGUCCAUGAAGAAGACAAACGGACGUAGUCGAACGAAUCCUCACAACUCGAUGUUAUCGGAACCAACCCGAAGAAGCAACACCGUAAAGAAGCAGACAAUAUAGUAAACAACCACAACAUGAACAUGGCAUGAUGCACAAUCAAGUAUGAUGCAUGUCCGGUUUAAUGAAACAUGGCAUGGCAAAAUGCACAAUCAACACUACAAGUUAAGGGGAGCUCAAUAUGCAACAAGUUGCAUAUUGACGGAACACCACAUGCCUUAUUUAGUUCUCUCUUGUUUAUGUACCCAACAAUAUUAAAUGUUGUUAAACAUGGCAAGCGGGUGAAGCAAAGUAAAUCUACCUAUCUAGUCAAGUUUAAAUGAGGCCGGAAGCAACGAACAACAUUUCCGGAAACUCAUAUGCAUAAUUUAAGGUUUGGUACUGUUCUGCCCUAAAUAUAUUUUAGAGUUGUUUAACAUGCAAAGUAAAGCCACCAUGUUAAACUAGACAUUUUUCUACCCCAUUUACAUAUAAAGUUUAUUAAAUUCGGAGUUACGGUUAUUUAGUUAUGAAAUAAAUCAUUUUAGCAUGGCAUAGGAGCAAAUUAAAGCAAACAACAUUUUUAAUAUCUUUAACAUGGAUGAAAGUUUCAUAUUAUUAAUGUACACAAAAUUCUGAGCAAGUUUCAUAUAUAAAACAUUUUAAUCCGAUGCAUGGUUAGUGAGUUAUUAAAUGCAUGAACUAGGGGGACUAAUCUAUAAAACAACAGUCUCAGGAUAAAUAGGAAAACCCCAGGCGCUGAAAAAAAGCAUGACAUGGGCCGAAAUGGACUAGCCCAACAGCAGGAAAAAAACAGGUGGCGCUGGGGGCGGCUCACCCAUGGGCUUCGGCCCGGACGGUGGAAGAGGCAGGCCGCGAAGGGGCUCGCUAGGCCGCGCGUGGGAGCUGGGCCAGGCUAGGGCGGCGCGGAUCUGGAGCUGGGCUUGGCGCUGCGCUGCGCUGGCCGGGGAAGAUGGGCCAGCCCAUGAAGGAGGAGGAGGCAGGCCGAGGCGGGGCGGCGCGCUGGGCCGGACUCAGGGCCCGCGAAGGAGUCAACGGGGGCGCUCGUCGUCUCCCGAUCGGAUCGGGGAGGCAGGGCGAGGCGGAGAUCCAUGGCGACGACACCGGCGAGGCUGGGCGACGAGCCAGCGAGGGAACGGCGCCGGGGAAGCGGGGACGGCGGAUCCCGGUCCGGCGGGGCCAGAUCCGGUGGAUCCCGACCGGGUUCGGGUGAAUAUGUGGCCGGCGGCGGCGAACUCCAUGCCGUCGGGUCCCUACUGCUGCGAGCUGGGGUUGACCGGCGAGCUGCUCCGGCGAGCCGGAUGAGGUGGCACAGAGGAAUGGCGACGAGGACCUGGAUCGGGCUCGCGCAAGUUUUGGACGACGGCGGCUCGGGCCAGCGCGGGCGUGCGAUGGGCCUGCAGGGCCGACGCGGUGGAGGGAGAGGAGAGAGAGGGUGGCGGCGCUGACGUGUCGCGCGCUGAGUGGGUGAGGGCGCUGGCGGCGGUGAGCUGGCGCUCUCCGGUUGGUCGGAGUGAGGUGGCUGAGGGCGGCGAACAUGUCCGGCGCGGACGAAAUUGUCCGGCGGCGCGAGGUGGACGAAGGUUAGGGUUUGGACUGCGUGAAAAUUCGGAGGGGAUCACAUAUUUAUAGGUAGAGGGAGCUAGGAGAGUCCAAAUGAGGUGCGGUUUUCGGCCACGCGAUCGUGAUCGAACGACCGAGAUGAUGGAGCAGAGUUAGGUGGGUUUUGGGCCAAAAUGGAAGGGUGUUGGGCUGCAACACACACGAGGCCUUCUCGGUCCCUCGGUUAACCGUUGGAGUAUCAAACGAAGUCCAAAUGGUACGAAACUUGACAGGCGGUCUACCGGUAGUAAACCAAGGCCGCUUGGCAAGUCUUGGUCCAAUCCGUAAAUGUUUAAUCUCCACACAUGAAAGAUGGGAAGAAAUGACCACCAGAGGAGAACGAAGCACCGGAAUGCAAAACGGACAACGGGGAAAAAGCUCGGGUGCAUGAGACGAACACGUAUGCAAAUGAAAUGUGCAUGAUGACAUGAUAUGCAAAGCAUGAUAUGCAAGCAAUGACAAGGCAACAACAGCGAAUAACUGAACGACACCUGGCACGUCGGUCUCGGGGCGUUACAACACUCCACCACUACGAGAGGAUCUCGUCCCGAGAUCUAGAAUGGCAUCGGAGGGACAACGGAAGAGAUAAGAGAAGAGGUAAAACAAAUUGCUUCUUUGACAAACGAGUGAAACCAAAGAACCUUGCGAGGUUGAGCAAAUUCGAGACAGAAAACAACGAGGUGAACAAGGUCAAAAACACUCCUUUAGAAAAGAGGAACAAAGAACAUUGCGGAAAACCUUGAGGUUGAAGGGCAAGAUAUAUAUUGAAAACAAUCCGAUUAAAGAAGGGGAUCAAGUAAGAACAAAAUUCGGGCAGCACUCCGGUUGAAAUGAAAAUAAUUGAAUAAGAACUUGAACAGAAGGGCACAACACUCGGUUAAAUGGAUAAACCGAGGAAAGAACACAGUCCUGACCAAACAAGAAGAUGGGUGAAAAGAACAACACCACAAUGCCUCCGGAACGAAAGAAUAGAAGUAUAGAUAAUUGAAAUAAAAGAAUGGAGAAGAAAAUGCCAACUUCUGCCACAAAAGAGCUUGAAAAGGCAUCCUCAGGAGAAAAGUCGAACGGAGUUGUUGCACCAACAAUGAAAAGAGUAAGCUUGUAGUGGGCUUAUGAAGAACAUCUCAAAACUACGAGGUGAAAUUCUGCCACUAACGAAAACGAUAAAUUGGAUUGAUAUGAACAAGGAGACGAGAAGAAUCUUUCACCGGGAGGAUUAAUGAAGAACUUGGAGCAUUUAUAAGCACCAUAGAUAGUAACAAUCCUUAGGGAAUGCUUUAGGUGAAAUAUAACCCAAGAUAACCCCAAUGACGAGAUUGAUGGACUUUAAAAAUACCUCAUCCUUGACCACAUCUGAAUCAUGAAACAUGAACUCAAAUAUCAAGAAUGACAUAAUACCACCUCCAAUGAUACGGAAGAAAGAAUUGCACUCCGGAUAGCAAGAAGAAGAAUGCUGGAGCUCCUCUGAAAAGAAUCUUGAUGAACACUUCGAGAAGGAAUUAAAUUCUUGAUGAACCAUCAUGUAGAACCUUCGUGAGAACUCCGGUAAAGAAAAGAAUGAUCAAACGGAAAGAAAGGGUAGUUGAAAACACAAGGUGGAGCCUUGUAAAGAUUUAGAUAGAUCUUCGUGAUUACAUAGUUGAAAGAGGUUGGAACCCCGGGAAAAGAUAAAAUGAAACAAAUGAAACCGAGAAUUUGAAGGGCCUCCAGAAUAGGGAAUUAACCACUUGGAUAAAACAAGAAUUAGAAUUAAAUUAUGCUUAUCCUUCACCAAUUAAAUUGAUGACAAUCAAUGGAUUCGACAUAUUACUUAUUCUCGUAGAAAGGAUUAAGAGAGAUAUCGCAUAAACUCGAGAAAAUCUUCAACGAACCACCGGUAGGAUUGAAAAGAACAAAAGAAUUGAUAUGAUAAGAAAGAAGAAAAUCUUGAACGAACCACCGUAAGAAAUGAAAACGAUUGAAGAAAAGAUAAAGAAAACACCAGGAAGAAUUAGCAAAUGCACGAAGAAGCUUGAGGGGAAUUAGAUACAUCAGAGCGAAGAGAUCAAGAACUGAUUAGAGGAUAUUUGAUUGAUGCACCGUCAAGAUAGGAGAAUGAUAACUGACAAUUGAGAAUGAAUAAAUCUGAAUUGAUGGACUCUGGAUAACAAACUGAGGAGACUCUUAAAUUGCUCCGGAAGGGUGAAAAGAAUUCUCACAACCAAAAACAAUUAAGAGAGAAUGGCAUAAAGCUAGCACCAUGAAUCUUGGAGAGAAUGGAGCAAGAUAUGAAGGAAAAAUUCUUCUUCGGUCUUCAAAAUCCGAGAAUGACGACGAGAAAUACCAUCCAAUUGUUGAGACACUCCGGAAUGAAGAAUGGAAAAGUUGAGCCAACGAAGAAAAGAUUUUGGCAGAUCUUGAGAAGACAUUUGACUGAUGAUAAAUCAUUCUUAUGUCAAACUUUGAAAAGAAUUUGAGAAUACCUCCGGGAGAAUAAGAAGAGUCAGGUAAGAUCCUGGGAAAAGACCUGUGGGUUAGGGCCCACUUAAAAGAAACACCGUUGAAUGAUUACUUGAAAAAAGAGAUUGCACCGGUUGAAUUAAAUGACUUGAAAGAGAUAACAUCCUCGAAAGAGCUUGAAUGAAAGCAGAGUGGAAACACGAUUCUUCUAGAUAUUAUGAGCACUCCAGAACAAUUGAAUAGCGAGAAAAGAAUGAACAUGAGGAGCACCGGUAUGAGAAGGCAUUGAAAUGAGGAAAGGGAUAUGAUCAACACCAAAUCUUAAUUUUAAUCCACCGGAGAAGAAAACAAGUGAAGAGUGACGAACUUGAAGCUCCGUUAGAAUCUUCCUGAUAAUCGCCGGAUAAGAAUAUUGAAAGAAAAGAAAGAAGAGACUUCACAUCAAUAAGAUGGAUACUUGAUUAAGAAAUCUGAGUCCUCCAAGAAAAAACAAGGGAGGGAGGGCGGGAAAAACAAAGGCAACUUGGAGAUGGAUGAAACAAACAACAUUGAGAAGAACUGAUAAUUGAUCUUGCGGUUCUUGAAAUGAUCGGAUCCACUUGAAGAGAAACACACCGGUUAAAAAGGAUUGACAUGACAAACUUGAUGAUCGAGAAGGACUAGUAUUCACAUAGGAAUAUGAGAACGCCAUUUUGGGAAGGUAUGGAAUCAACACUUAACAUUGAAGCAACUCGAAUACCACAACUCAAAACAAAACAAAGGAUUGGCUUGCAGAAUAAGCCGGAACAAACAUAUGAUAGAGUUUUCGUGGUGGGGCCUACACGGGCUCGGUCGUACAUCACCAUCAUGUACAAGGCAGUGCACAUGACAUACGAAGCGUCCCCGAGUCGGCAUAGCCAAGGACUCUUUAAGACACAACGAGACCACUGUAAAACCGACCGUGAAUAGGCGGACCACUAGACGUCGAACCCCAAUUUCAUAUCAUACAUCUGUCGGAAAGAUAUCCUAAGAGAUACUUGAAUUCCCACCUAUGAAACUCCCGAAAUGUUCCAAGUUAUGCAAUCAGGUGUUGGGGAUACAGAGGAAGCAUAAUAUCUCGCCCAAAUCUAGCAAAUCCUACAUCCAACUGUAUCCAUCCUUCAACACAUAACCAAGAAACCUUCGGAAAUCAUCUACCUCAACCUUCGAAAAGCAUCCGUUAUACAAGUUAUGGCGAUACUCCCGAACUCCCGCCCCAGUACUGGGUGGCGUCGAGGUUAUCUCACCAACGAACUGCAUAAAAGAGAUUUUCGAUGUCGGCGUACUAAACUCAGGUAUUCCAGAACUGCAACGAUAAAAUUAUGACGACAACACCUCAGAGCUCAACUCCCCGGGACACUUCCACAAAACCCCUGACAGGAGGCACCAAGACAAUGUUCUCAUCAUAAAACCAUCGAAACGAUUCCAAGAUACCCGCGUGAUCCUAAAAAAAAUUUAGUGAAAUUUGAGAAGAGAAGAGUCAAAACUCUACGUCGGGAUGCCUUACCAGAGCGAUGAGGAGACUGGGAAGUAAAAAGAAUUCCUAAACUCGAUAUAUAAUUCCUAAAGGACUCAAAACAUUUUUCUAGACACAACUUGGCUGCUAAAAACGAUCAAGCAAUGGGGCUCCUAAGGACGGGGAAGGCUCUGAUUACCAACUUGUAACACCCUUGAUGCGACUAUAGCUCCCACAUGUCAAGGCACGACUUAGAGACAUAAUCGCAUUGAAGGCAUAUGUCGCAAGUGAGGUAAUCUUCACACAACUCAUGUAAUACAUAAGGGAAAGAGAUACAUAGUUGGCUUACAAUCGCCACUUCACACAAUUACAUGAAUAAACAUUACAUCAAUCAAAUACACUCAUGGUCCGGCUACGGAACCAAAAUAAAAGAAGAACCCCAAAUGCGACAAGGUCCCCGAUCGACCCCAACUGGGCUCCACUACUGAUCGACUAGAACGGAACAACACAAAGGACAAGAUCUUCAUCGAACUCCUCCUGAGCUUGGUUGCGUCAUCUGCACGGACUCAUCGGCACCUGCAAGCUAGUUUUGGAAGUAUCUGUGAGCCACAGGGACUCAGCAAUCUCGCACCCUCGUGAUCAAGACUAUUUAAGCUUAUGGGUAAGGUAAAGGUAUGAGGUGGAGCUGCAGCAAGCGACUAGCAUAUAUGGUGGCUAACAUACGCAAAUGAGAGCGAGAAGAGAAGGCAAAGCACGGUCGAUAAAAGUAUGAUCAAGAAGUGAUCCUAAAACAACCUACGUCAAGCAUAACUCCAACACCGUGUUCACUUCCCGGACUCCGCCGGAAAGAGACCAUCACGGUUACACACGCGGUUGAUUCAUUUUAAUUAAGGUCAAGUUCAUGUUUUCUACAACCGGACAUUUACAAAUUCCCAUCUGCCCAUAACCACGGGCACGGCUUUCAAAAGUUCAAAUCCCUGUAGGGGUGUCCCAACUUAGCCCAUGACAAGCUCUCACGGUCAACGAAGGAAUAGACCUCCACCCGAGACAUUCCGAUCAGACUCGGUAUCCCGGUACAACAAGACAUUUCGACAGGGUAAAACUAAACCAGCAAUACCGCCCCGAAUGUGCCGACAAAUCCCGAUAGGAGCUGCACAUAUCUCUUUCUCAGGGCACACUCAGAUUGUCCUAGGUACGGGUAGGCCAGCCCAGAGUUGCCCCUGGUGGUCACCGGUAGCUGACAGUUGGACCAACACUCAGAGGAGCACUAGCCCGGGGGGAUAAAAUAAUGAUGACCCUUGAGUCCGCGAAACCCAAGGGAAAAAGAGGCUAGGUGGCGAAUGGUAAAACCAAUGUUGGGCAUUGCUGGAAGAGCUUUACUUAAGGCGAACUGUCAAGGGGUUCCCAUAAUAGCCCAACCGCGUAAGGGAUGAAAGAUCCGGGAACAUAACACCGAUAUGAUGGAAACUAGGGCGGCAAGAGUGGAACAAAACACCAGGCAUAAGGCCGAGCCUUCCACCCUUUACCAAGUAUAUAGAUGCAUUAAUUAAAUAAGAUAUAUAGUGAUAUCCCUACAAGUAAAUAAAAGAUGUUCCAACAAGGAACGGCCUCCAAUCUUCACCUGCAACUAGCAAUGCUAUAAGAGGGGCUGAGCAAAGCGGUAACAUAGCCAAUCAACGGUUUGCUAGGACAUGGUGGGUUAGAGGUUUGGCAUGGCAAUUUGGAAGGCUGACAAGCAAAAGGUAGGCAUCAUAGCAUUGGCAUAGCAAAGAGCGAGCAAACUAGCAUAUCAAAGAUAGUAGUGAUUUCGAGGGAAUGAUCAUCUUGCCUGAAAUCCCGCAAGGAAGAAGAACGAGUCCAUGAAGAAGACAAACGGACGUAGUCGAACGAAUCCUCACAACUCGAUGUUAUCGGAACCAACCCGAAGAAGCAACACUAGAAAGAAGCAGACAACAUAGUAAACAACCACGACAUGAACAUGGCAUGAUGCACAAUCAAGUAUGAUGCAUGUCCGGUUUAAUGAAACAUGGCAUGGCAAAAUGCACAAACAACACUACAAGUUAAGUGGAGCUCAAUAUGCAACGAGUUGCAUAUUGACGGAACACCACAUGCCUUAUUUAGUUCUCUCUCGUUUAUGUACCCAACAAUAUUAAAUGUUGUUAAACAUGGCAAGCGGGUGAAGCAAAGUAAAUCUACCUAUCUAGUCAAGUUUAAAUGAGGCCGGAAGCAACGAACAACAUUUCCGGAAACUCCUCAUAUGCAUAAUUUAAGGUUUGGUACUGUUCUGCCCUAAACAUAUUUUAGAGUUGUUUAACAUGCAAAGUAAAGCCACCAUGUUAAACUAGACAUUUUUCUACCCCAUUUACAUAUAAAGUUUAUUAAAUUCGGAGUUACGGUUAUUUAGUUACGAAAUAAAUCAUUUUAGCAUGGCAUAGGAGCAAAUUAAAGCAAACAACAUUUUUAAUAUCUUUAACAUGGAUGAAAGUUUCAUAUUAUUAAUCUACACAAAAUUCUGAGCAAGUUUCAUAUAUAAAACAUUUUAAUCCGAUGCACGGUUAGUGAGUUAUUAAAUGCAUGAACUAGGGGGACUAAUCUAUAAAACAGCAGUCUCAGGAUAAAUAGGAAAAACACAGGCGCUGAAAAAAAGCAUGACAUGGGUCGAAAUGGACUAGCCCAACAACAGGAAAAAAAACAGGUGGCGCUGGGGGCGGCUCACCCAUGGGCUUCGGCCCGGACGGUGGAAGAGGCAGGCCGCGAAGGGGCUCGCUAGGCCGCGCGUGGGAGCUGGGCCAGGCUAGGGCGGCGCGGAUCUGGAGCAGGGCUUGGUGCUGCGCUGCGCUGGCCGGGGAAGAUGGGCCAGCCCACGAAGGAGGAGGAGGCAGGCCGAGGCGGGGCGGCGCGCUGGGCCGGACUCAGGGCCCGCGAAGGAGUCAACGGGGGCGCUCGUCGUCUCCCGAUCGGAUCGGGGAGGCAGGGCGAGGCGGAGAUCCAUGGUGACGACGCCGGCGAGGCUGGGUGACGAGCCAGCGAGGGAACGGCGCCGGGGAAGCGGGGACGGCGGAUCCCGGUCCGGCGGGGCCAGAUCCGGUGGAUCCCGACCGGGUUCGGGUGAAUAUGUGGCCGGCGGCGGUGAACUCCAUGUCGUCGGGUCCCUACUGCUGCGAGCUGGGGUUCACCGGCGAGCUGCUCCGGUGAGCCGGACGAGGUGGCGCAGAGGAAUGGCGACGAGGACCUGGAUCGGGCUCGCGCAAGUUUUGGACGACGGCGGCUCGGGCCAGCGCGGGCGUGCGAUGGGCCUGCAGGGCCGACGCGGUGGAGGGAGAGGAGAGAGAGGGUGGCGGCGCUGACGUGUCGCGCGCUGAGUGGGUGAGGGCGCUGGCGGCGGUGAGCUGGUGCUCUCCGGUUGGUCGGAGUGAGGUGGCUGAGGGCGGCGAACAUGUCCGGCGCGGACGAAAUUGUCCGGCGGCACGAGGUGGACGAAGGUUAGGGUUUGGACUGUGCGAAAAUUCAUAGGGGAUCACAUAUUUAUAGGUAGAGGGAGCUAGGAGAGUCCAAAUGAGGUGCGGUUUUCGGCCACGCGAUCGUGAUCGAACGACCAAGAUGAUGGAGCAGAGUUAGGUGGGUUUUGGGCCAAAAUGGAAGGGUGUUGGGCUGCAACACACACGAGGCCUUCUCGGUCCCUCGGUUAACCGUUGGAGUAUCAAACGAAGUCCAAAUGGUACGAAACUUGACAGGCGGUCUACCGGUAGUAAACUAAGGCUGCUUGGCAAGUCUCGGUCCAAUCCGGAAAUGUUUAAUCCCCACACAUGAAAGAAGGGAAGAAAUGACCACCGGAGGAGAACGAAGCGCCGGAAUGCAAAACGGACAACGGGGAAAAAGCUCGGAUGCAUGAGACGAACACGUAUGCAAAUGAAAUGCGCAUGAUGACAUGAUAUGCAAAGCAUGACACGCAAGCAAUGACAAGGCAACAACAGCGAAUAACUGAACGACACCUGGCAUGUCGGUCUCGGGGCGUUACAUUGGGAUUCUCAGGUGUGUCAACAACAGGUUCACUAGAAGCAUGCAAAGUCCUAUCAUUUUUCUUUUUCUUACUCUUAGAAGGACUAGGUGCAUCAACAUUAGUUCUCUGAGAAUCUUGCUCAAUUCUCUUAGGAUGGCCCUCAAGAUACAAAGGUUCCUGAGUCAUUUUACCACCUCUAGUCAUAACUCUAACAGCAUUAUCAUUCUUCUUAUUAUUUAAUUCAUUGAGCAAAUCAUUCUGAGCUUUAAGUACUUGUUCUACUUGAGUGGUAACCAUAGAAGCAUGUUUACUAAUAAGUUUAAGUUCACCUUUAACACUAGCCAUAUAAUCACUCAAGUGUUCAAGCAUAUCAGCAUUGUGUUUCAAUUGUCUACCAACAUAAGCAUUGAAGCUUUCUUGUUUAACCAUAAAGUCAUCAAACUCAUCCAAGCAUUGGCUAGCAAACUUAGUAAAUGGAAUUUCACAUUUAUCAAAUCUAUAGAGAAAAUUUACCUUUACUACCUGUGUCGAGUUAUCAAGACCAUGUAUUUCUUCAAUAGGUGGUAAAUUCUUAACAUCUUCAGCUUUAAUACCUUUUUCUUUCAUAGAUUUCUUCGCCUCUUGCAUAUCUUCAGGACUGAGAAAUAGAAUACCCCUUUUCUUCGGAGUUGGCUUAGGAGUUGGUUCAGGAAGUGUCCAAUUAUUUUCAUUAGUCAACAUAUUAUUCAAUAGCAAUUCAGCUUGAUCAACAGUUCUUUUCUUGAAAACACAACCAGCACAACUAUCCAUGCGGUCUCUGGAAGUAUCAGUUAGUCCAUUAUAAAAGAUAUCAAGUAUUUCAUUUUUCUUGAGAGGAUGAUCAGGCAAAGCAUUAAGUAAUCGGAGAAGCCUCCCCCAAGCUUGUGGGAGACUCUCUUCUUCAAUUUGCACAAAAUUAUAUAUUUCCCUCAAGGAAGCUUGUUUCUUAUGAGCGGGGACAUAUUUAGUAGAGAAGUAAUAAAUCAUAUCCUGGGGACUCAGCACACAACCAGGAUCAAGAGAAUUAAACCAUGUUUUAGCAUCACCCUUUAAUGAGAACGGAAACAACUUAAGGAUAAAGUAAUAGCGAGUUUUCUCGUCAUGAGUAAACAAGGUGGCUAUAUCAUUUAAUUUAGAAGAUGUGUCACAACAGUUUCAGAUUCAUAGCCAUAAAAAGGAUCAGAUUCAACCAAAGUAAUUAACUCAGAAUCGACAGAGAAAUCAUAAUCCUUAUCAGUAAUAAAGAUAGGUGAAGUAGCAAAAGCAGGGUCAUAUUUCAUUCUAAUAUUCAAAGACUUUUCUUUAAGCUUAGCUAAUAAUUUAUUAAGAUCAGAUCUAUCAUUGCAAGCUAAGAAGUCUCUAGCAGUUUCUUCAUCCAUAACACAACCAUCAGGCACAACAUGCAAUUCAUAUCUAGGGGGAGAAUCUUCAUCAUCACUUUCAUCAAUAUUAUCACAUUCAAUAAUUUCAUUCUCUCUAGCCCUAGCAAGUUGUUCAUCAAGAAAUUCACCUAGUGGCACAGUAUUAUCAAGCAUAGAAGUAGUUUCAUCAUAAGUAUCAUGCAAAGCAGAAGUGGCAUAAUCAAUAACAUGCGACCUAUCAGAAUCAAUAGCAGCAGUAGGUGUCGCAAGUUUACUCAAAACAGAAGGUGAAUCAAGUGCAGGGCUAGAUGGCAGUUCCUUACCUCCCCUCGUAGUUGAGGGAAAAAUCUCGUUCUUUGAUCUUUCAAGUUCUUCAUAGUGAUAAGUAGAUAUAAAUCCCAAGUGACUCAAAGAAUAGAGCUAUGCUCCCCGGCAAUGGCGCCAAAAAAUAGUCUUGAUAACCCACAAGUAUAGGGGAUCACAACAGUUUUCGAGGGUAGAGUAUUCAACCCAAAUUUAUUGAUUCGACACAAGGGGAGCCAAAGAAUAUUCUCAAGUAUUAGCAGCUGAGUUGUCAAUUCAACCACACCUGGAAACUUAAUAUCUGCAGCAAGGUAUUUAGUAGCAAAGUAAUAUGAUAGUAGUGGUAACGGUAGCAAAAGUAAUAUUUUUGGUUUUAUAGCGAUUGCAACAGUAGCAACGGAAAAGUAAAUAAGCAAAGAACAAUAUAUGAAAAGCUCAUAGGCAUUGGAUCGGUGAUGGAGAAUUAUGUCGGAUGCGAUCGAUCAUGCAACAGUUAUAACAUAGGGUGACACAGAACUAGCUCCAGUUCAUCAAUGUAAUGUAGGCAUGUAUUCCGAAUAUAGUCAUACGUGCUUAUGGAAAAGAAUUUGCAUGACAUCUUUUGUCCUACCCUCCCGUGGCAGUGGGGUCCUAUUGGAAACUAAGGGAUAUUAAGGCCUCUUUUUAAUAGAGUACCGGACCAAAGCAUUAACACAUAGUGAAUACAUGAACUCCUCAAACUACGGUCGUCACCGGUAAUGGUCCCGAUUAUUGUCACUUCGGGGUUAAUGGAUCAUAACACAUAAUAGGUGACUAUAGAAUUGCAAGAUAGGAUCAAGAACUCACAUAUAUUCAUGAAAACAUAAUAGGUUCAAAUCUGAAAUCAUGGCACUCGGGCCCCAGUGACAAGCAUUAAGCAUAGCAAAGUCGUAGCAAUAUCAAUCUCAUAACAUAGUGGAUACUAGGGAUCAAACCCUAACAAAACUAACUCGAUUACACGAUAAAUCUCAUCCAACCCAUCACCGUCUAGCAAGCCUAUGAUGGAAUUACUCACGCACGGCGGUCAGCAUCAUGAAAUUAGUGAUGGAGGAAGGUUGAUGAUGACAAUGGCGACGGAUUCCCCUCUCUGGAGCCCCGAACGGACUCCAGAUCAGCCCUCCCGAGAGAGUUUAGGGCUUGGCGGCGGCUCCGUAUCGUAAAACGCGAUGAGGCCUUCUCCCUGAUUUUUUUCUCCCCGAACACGAAUAUAUGGAGUUGGAGUUGAGGUCGGUGGAGCAUCAGGGGGCCCACGAGGCAGGGGGCGCGCCCAGGGGGUAGGCGCACCCCCACCCUCGUGGAUAGGGUGUGGGCCCCAUGACGUGGAUUUUUCUUCCAGUAUUUUUUAUAUAUUCCAAAAAUAAUCUCCAUUGGUUUUCAGGUCAUUCCGAAACUUUUAUUUCUGCACAAAAAUAACACCAUGGCAAUUCUGUUGAAAACAGCGUCAGUCUGGGUUAGUUCCAUUCAAAUCAUGCAUGUUAGAGUCCAAAACAAGGGCAAAAGUGUUUGGAUAGGUAGAUACGAUGGAGACGUAUCAGUAAGUCUUGUCCAUUGUGUCCAUAAGAAAGGAGGUAUUGCUGUUGUUCCUAAUGAUAAGGAUGAAUUGAUCCCACAAAGAAUUGUUAUAUGUUAUAGAAUGGUAGUUGAUUUCCACAAACUAAAUAAAGCUACUAAAAAGGAUCAUUACCCUUUACCUUUUAUUGAUGAAAUGCUAGAAAGAUUAUCUAAGCAUACACAUUUUUGCUUUCUAGAUGGUUAUUCUGGUUUCUCUCAAAUACCCGUGUCAAAAGAGGAUCAAGAAAAGACCACUUUCACUUGCCCUUUUGGUACCUUUGCUUAUAGACGCAUGCCUUUUGGUUUAUGUAAUGCACGUGCUACCUUUCAAAGAUGUAUGACUGUGAUAUUCUCUGACUUUUGUGAAAAGAUUGUUGAGGUUUUCAUGGAUGAUUUCUCCGUUUAUGGAACUUCUUUUGAUGAUUGCUUAAGCAACCUUGAUCGAGUUUUGCAGAGAUGUGAAGAAACUAAUCUUGUCUUGAAUUGGGAGAAGUGCCACUUUAUGGUUAAUGAAGGUAUUGUGUUGGGGCAUAAAAUUUCUGAAAGAGGUAUUGAAGUUGAUAAAGCUAAAGUUGAUGCUAUUGAAAAGAUGUCGUGUCCAAAGGACAUUAAAGGUAUAAGAAGUUUCCUUGGUCAUGCCAGUUUUUAUAGGAGGUUCACUAAAGACUUCUCAAAAAUUUCCAAGCCUCUGACUAAUCUCUUAAAAAAAUGUUCCUUUUUUCUUUGAUGAUGAUUUUGUAGAAGCAUUUGAAAUACUUAAGAAAGCCUUGAUUUCUGCACCUAUUGUUCAGCCUCCUAAUUGGAAUUUACCCUUUGAAAUUAUGUGUGAUGCUAGUGAUUAUGCUGUAGGUGUUGUUCUAGGACAAAGAGUUGAUAAGAAAUUAAAUGUUAUUCAAUAUGCUAAUAAAACUCUAGACAGUGUCUAGAGAAAUUAUGCUACUACUAAAAAGGAAUUUUUAGCGGUUGUGUUUGCUUGUGAUAAGUUCAGACCUUAUAUUGUUGAUUCUAAAGUAACUAUUCACAUUGAUCAUGCUGCAAUUAAACAUCUUAUGGAAAAGAAAGAUGCUAAACCUAGACUUAUUAGAUGGGUUCUCCUACUACAAGAAUUUGAUUUGCAUAUUAUUGAUAGAAAGGGAGCUGAGAACCCCGUUGCAGACAACUUGUCUAGGUUAGAGAAUGUUCUUGAUGACCCACUACCUGUUGAUGAUAGCUUUCUUGAUGAACAAUUAGAAGUCAUAAAUGCUUCUUGUACUGCUCCAUGGUAUGCUGAUUAUGCCAAUUACAUUGUUGCUAAAUUUAUACCACCUAGUUUCACAUACCAGCAAAAGAAAAAGUUUUUCUAUGAUUUGAGACAUUACUUCUGGGAUGACCCACACCUUUAUAAAGAAGGAGUAGAUGGUGUUAUUAGACGUUGUGUACCUGAGCAUGAACAGGAACAGAUCCUAUGCAAGUGUCACUCCGAGGCUUAUGGAGGACACCAUGCUGGAGAUAGAACUGCACAUAAGGUAUUGCAAUCCGGUUUUUAUUGGCCUACUCUCUUCAAGGUUACCCGUAAGUUUGUCUUGUCUUGUGAUGAAUGUCAAAGAAUUGGUAACAUUAGUAGACGUCAAGAAAUGCCUAUAAAUUAUUCACUUUUUAUUGAACCAUUUGAUGUUUGGGGCUUUGAUUAUAUGGGACCGUUUCCUUCCCCUAAUGGGUAUACACAUAUUUUAGUUGCUGUUGAUUAUGUUACUAAGUGGGUAGAAGCUAUUCCAACUAGUAUGCUGAUCAUAACACCUCUAUUAAGAUGCUUAAAGAAGUUAUUUUUCCGAGGUUUGGAGUCCCUAGAUAUUUAAUGACUGAUUGUGGUUCACAUUUUAUUCAUGGUGCCUUUCGUAAAAUGCUUGCUAAGUAUGAUGUUAAUCAUAGAAUUGCAUCCCCAUAUCACCCAUAGUCUAGUGGUCAAGUAGAAUUGAGCAAUAGAGAGCUUAAAUUAAUUUUGCAAAAGACUGUUAAUAGAUCUAGAAAGAAUUGGUCAAAGAAACUUGAUGAUGCAUUAUGGGCCUAUAGAACUACGUAUAAAAAUCAUAUGGGUAUGUCUCCAUAUAAAAUGGUUCAUGGAAAGCAUGUCACUUACCUCUCGAACUAGAACAUAAGGCAUAUUGGGCCAUUAAAGAGCUCAACUAUGACUUCAAAGUUGCCGGUGAGAAGAGACUAUUUGACAUUAGCUCACUUGAUGAAUGGAGAACCCAGGCCUAUGAAAAUGCCAAACUAUUUAAAGAAAAAGUUAAAAGAUGGCAUGACAAAAGGAUACAAAAAUGUGAGUUUAAUGUAGGUGAUUAUGUAUUGUUGUACAACUCUCAUUUAAGAUUUUUUUUGCAGGAAAACUCCUCUCUAAAUGGGAAGGUCCUUACGUUAUCGAGGAGGUAUAUCGUUUCGGUGCCAUAAAAAAUCAACAACUUCGAAGGCACAAAUCCGAGGGUGGUAAACAGCCAAAGAAUCAAACAUUAUAUCUCAGGUAAUCCUAUAAAUGUUGAAACUAAUGUUAUUGAAACCGUAACCCCGGAGGAGUAUAUAAGGGACACCUUCCAGAAUGUUUCAGCCUUCGAAAAGGAAGAGGUAUGUGGUACGGUAAGUAACCCGACUCCAAAACAGUUCUAAUAGCAAUUUUUCUCUGUUUUGGAAUAUUUAAGAAAAUAGGAAAAUAAGAAGCAGUCCGGAAAGGACACGAGGCAUCCACGAGGGCGGAGGGCGCGCCCUACCCCUUGGGCGCGCCCCCUGCCUCGUGGGCACCUCGUGUGCCCUUCGGACUCCGUUUUCUUGCAUGAUACUUCUUUUGGUCGGUAAAAAUUCAUUAUAUAAUCUCCAGAAGGUUUUGACCACCAUACCACGCAAUUAUCCUUUGUUUUUGUUUUGAGCUGUUUUCUGCCAGAGUUGUCAAGGCCAGGCAUCAUGUCGUCCCCUUCCUCCAACAAUGAGGGCGACGAUGCUUGGCUAAUGAAGAUAGAGCUGAAGAGAGAAGAACACGGGGAGAUCAACAAGGAUGAUGGGAUCAAGAAGGCCAUGGAGGAUCAAGCUCCAGCAGAAGAAGAAGAAGAUAUCCUUCAACCUCAUUACAAUCUUCUUACCCCUAGUGAAAUUGAAGCUUUCAAGAUGAUUGAGAUAGUUCGAGUGCAGAACAAGUAUCUAACUCGUGAAAAUAUUAUGUUGCAAGAACAUAUCACCACACUCAAGGGCAUUAUUAUUAAGUUAGAGCACCUCCUAUGCUCGAUGUUGGACGAAAAGCCUACGUCAUCAACAAUCCCUUCAUCACCACCUCUGAGUAAAGAGACAUAAACACAUGGGUAUGGGCACUCCCCUUGGCAACUGCCAAGCUUGUGGGAGUGCCCCGGUAUCGUAUCACCAUGACACUUUUAUCUUUACCGUUUUUCUUAGUUCGAUCCUUUUGGUAAUAUCUUGAUCCAGUAGAAUAAAGUUUUAGUAUGAUCUAGUUUGGAGUUUUGCUUUAUGAUCCUUCUAUGUAAUCGAGUCCGUGAGCUAUAUAUAAUAAAUAUUAGUUGUGAGUUAAGGGCUUUGCUAUCUUGCUAUGAUCUUGAGGGAAUAAAAGUAAGAAUAAAAAGAAAUAAAGAGAUCAUAUUGAUCUUAUGGAGAGUAAUGACUUCACAUAUAAAGAUUAUGAUGAAUAAAAGUUGUUGGGAGUUGACAAACAUAGUUUUGGUCAUCGUUGCAAUUAAUAGGAAGUAAUAAAGAAAGAGAGGUUUUCACAUAUAAAUAUACUAUCUUGGACAUCUCUUAUGAUUGUGAGCACUCAUUAAAAUAUGACAUGCUAAAAAGUCGAUGUUGGACAAUGAAGAUAAGGUAAUGGGUUAUGUUUUCUUACAUCCGAAAUAAAUUAUAUUGUCAUGGAUCAUCCAACAUGUUGAGCUUGCCUUUCCUCUUCUUGCUAGCCAAAUUAUUUGCACCAAGUAGAGAUACUACUAGUGCUUCCAAAUAUCCUUAAACCCAGUUUUGCCAUGAGAGUCCACCAUAUCUACCUAUGGAUUGAGUAAGAUCCUUCAAGUAAGUUGUCAUUGUUGCAAGCAAUAAAAAUUGCUCUCUAAAUAUGUAUGAUUUAUUAGUGUGGAGAAAAUAAGCUUUAUACAAUCUUGUGAUGUGGAAGAAAUAAAAGCGACGGACUGCAUAAUAAAGGUCCAUAUCACAAGUGGCAAUAUAAAGUAACAUUCUUUUGCAUUAAGAUUUAGUGCAUCCAACCAUAAAAACAUAUGACAACCUCUGCUUCCCUCUGUGAAGGUCCUAUCUUUUAUUUUUGUCUUAUACUCUAUACAAGAGUCAUGGUGAUCUUCACCUUUCCUUUUUACAUUUUAUCCUUUGGCAAGCACUGUGUGUUGGAAAGAUCCUGAUAUAUAUAGCUAAUUGGAUGUGGGUUUUCAAAAACUAUUAUUGUUGACAUUACCCUUGAGGUAAAUGGUUGGUAGGAAAAACUAUAAGCCCCUAUCUUUCUCUAUGUCCGAUUAAAACUCCAUACCCAUAAGUAUUGCAUGAGUGUUAGCAAUUGUGAAAAACUAAAUGAUAGUUGAGUAUGUGGACUUGUUGAAAAGCUCUUAUAUUGACUCUUUCCGAUGUUAUGAUAAAUUGCUUGCUUCAAUGACUGAGAUUAUAGUUUGUUAGUUUUCAAUGAAGUUUCUGAUUCAUACUUUACAUUGUGAAUAAGAUUGUUACUUUAGCAUAAGAAAUCAUAUAACAAUAUAUGUAUAUUGCUGUUCUAAGAAUGAUCAUGAUGCCCUCAUGUCCAUAUUUUAUUUUAUCGACACCUCUAUCUCUAAACAUGUGGACAUAUUUUUCGUUAUCGGCUUCCGCUUCAGGACAAGCGAGGUCUAAGCUUGGGGGAGUUGAUACGUCCAUUUUGCAUCAUGCUUUUAUAUCGAUAUUUUUGCAUUAUGGGCUGUUAUUACACAUUAUGUCACAAUACUUAUGCCUAUUCUCUCUUAUUUUACAAGGUUUGAACGAAGAGGGAGAAUGCCGGCAGCUGGAAUUCUGGACCGGAAAAGGAGCAAAUAUUAGAGACCUAUUCUGCACAACUCCAAAAGUCCUGAAACUCCACGGAAGUCAGUUUUGGAAUAUAUAAAAAAUAUUGGGUGAAGAAAGGACCAGAGGGGGCCACCCACCAUCCACGAGGAUGGGGGCGCACCCCCUGUCUCGUGGCCCCCCUGGCAGGCCUCCGGUGCCCAUCUUUGGCUAUAUGAAGUCUUUCAUCCUGGAAAAAAUCAUAAGCAAGCAUUCAAGACGAAACACCCCCGCCACGAGGUGGAACCUUGGCGGAACCAAUCUAGGGCUCCGGCGGAGCUGUUCUGCCGGGGAAACAUCCCUCCGGGAGGGGCAAAUCAUCACCAUCGUUCCUCUCAUCGGGAGGGGGUCAAUCUCCAUCAACAUCUUCACUAGCACCAUCUCCUCUCAAUCCCUAGUUCAUCUCUUGUAUCCAAUAUUUGUCUCAAAACCUUACAUUGGUACCUGUGGGUUGCUAGUAGUGUUGAUUACUCCUUGUAGUUGAUGCUAGUUGGUUUAUUUGGUGGAAGAUCAUAUGUUCAGAUCCUUUAUGCAUAUUAAUACCCCUCUGAUUAUGAACAUGAAUAUGAUUUUUGAGUAGUUAUGUUUGUUCCUGAGGACAUUGGAGAAGUCUUGAUAUAAGUAGUCAUGUGAAUUUGGUAUUCGUUCGAUAUUUUGAUGAGAUGUAUGUUGUCUUUCCUCUAGUGGUGUCAUGUGAACGUCGACUCCAUGACACUUCACCAUUGUUUGGGCCUAGGGGAAGGCAUUGGGAAGUAAUAAGUAGAUGAUGGGUUGCUAGAGUGACAGAAGUUUAAACCCUAGUUUAUGUGUUGCUUCGUAAGGGGCUGAUUUGGAUCCAUAUGUUUCAUGCUAUGGUUAGGUUUACCUUAAUACUUCUUUUGUAGUUGCGGAUGCUUGCAAGAGGGGUUAAUCAUAAGUGGAUGCUUGUCUAAGUAAGGGCAGUACCAAAGCACCGGUCCACCCACAUAUCAAAUUAUCAAAGUACCGAACGCGAAUCAUAUGAACGUGAUGAACACAAGCUUGACGAUAAUUCCCAUGUGUCCUCGGGAGCGCUUUCCUUUAUAUAAGAGUUUGUCUAGGCUCGUCCUUUGCUACAAAAAGGAUUGGGCCAUCUUGCUGCACCUUAUUUACUUUUAUUACUUGUUACCCGUUACAAAUUACCUUAUCACAAAACUAUUUGUUACCGAUAAUUUCAGUGCUUGCAGAGAAUACCUUACUGAAAACUGCUUAUCAUUUCCUUCUGCUCCUCGUUGGGUUUGACACUCUUACUUAUCGAAAGGACUAUGAUAGAUCCCCUAGACUUGUGGGUCAUCAACCCCACCUCUCCAGGUUAUGUGAGAGGGGGUUGGAGGGGCACACAGCCCCUUAGUGGGCUGGUGUGCCCCCUCCCCUUGGCCGAUAAGGCCCCCAACGCUUGCCAGGGCCUCCGAAACACCUUUCGGUCACACUGGUCGUCACCCGGUACUCCCAGAACAAUUCUGAAAUCCAAUACCCUUCUUCCAAUAUAUUGAUCUUCACCUCCGGGCCAUUCCGGACUUCUUCGUCACAUCCGGGGUCUCAUCUGGGACUCCGAACAACCUUCGGUAACCUCAUAAUAUUCCCAUUACAACUCUAGCGUCACUGAACCUUAAGUGUGUAGACCCUACGGGUUCGGGAACCAUGCAGACAUGACCAAGACAUCUUUUCGGCCAAUAACCAGUAGCGGGAUCUGGAUACCCAUGUUGUCUCCCACAUGUUCCACGAUGAUCUCAUCGGAUGAACCACGAUGUCGAGGAUUCAAUCAAUCCCGUAUACAAUUCCCUUUGUCUAUCGGUAUGUUACUUGCCCGAAAUUCGAUCGUCGGUAUCUCUAUACCUCGUUCAAUCUCGUUAUUGGCAAGUCUCUUUACUCGUUUCGUAACACAUGAUCCUGUGACUAACUCCUUAGUCACAUUGAGCUCAUUAUGAUGAUGUGUUACCGAGUGGGCCCAGCUACCUCUCCAUCACACGGAGUGACAAAUCCUAGUCUCGACUUGUGCCAACCCAACAGACACUUUCGGAGAUACCUGUAGUGCACCUUUAUAGUAACCCGGUUACGUUGUGACGUUUGAUACACCCAAAGCACUCCUACGGUAUCUCGGAGUUACACAAUCUCAUGGUGUGACGCCCCGAAUCCAUUGCACCAGGUGUCUUCCAGUUAUUCGCCGACGUUGCCAUGUCUUUUGCUUGCAUGUUGCAUUUUGUCUUAUCAUCGUGUGCAUUGCAUCAUCAUGUUUUCAAAACCUGCAUACGUCCGGGUUCCCCCAGUUCCGUCCGUUGUCUGUUCUGACCCCAGACACACUUGCACGCGCCCGCGGCAUGUCCGAAAUAGUAUUUUAUAAGUGGCCGGAAAAUGUUCUCGGAUUGGGUUGAAAGUUGGCGUGUGGUCUUAUUAUAGUGUAGAUAGACCGCCUGUCAAGUUUCAUCGCAUUCGAAGUUUGUUUGUUAGCCCAACCGUUAAACUAUAGCGGCGUUAUAGCCGGGCACACGUUGGAUGUUUUCGGUCUCCGGAAACAAUCGUCGGGCCUCCCUCUCUUCGCUUCUCAUAGCUCGAGACCGUCUACACAGACCACUACCUACCGCCAGCUCCAACCUAAGCUCUCUCGUCAGCCUGCGGCCCUCCUCGCGCGCGCGUCCGAAAAUUGUCCUGGACCCGACCUGGACAAUCGUUACCGUUGUGUCCGGAUCAUCCCCAAACAUCCCUAAAUCAUCAUCGGUUUCUCUUUUGGACUCCCUAGCUAUUUUAUUCGCGACCGUCCGAUUACGAUCGAAGAGACCUAACCGCCCUAAGCUGAUCUGACUUACUAUUUAUAGUCCACCCUCAGUCAUUUUGGACAACCGUAAAAAUUCUCCACCUUGUGCCAUCCAUCCCAUUCCCCACGCCACCGCCACUUCCCUUGUAUUCAGCAUCGAUCCAACCAGCAACCCCCACCUCUCCCUCUCAGAUCGACCCCGCGCUCGAUCUCGAUUGGAUCUAGAGCCUCCUCCUCCCUCUUCGAUCCAGAGGAGUGGAGAUCCUCCUCGCUCUCCCGAAACCCCUGCCUCCUCUCUCGUCCACCGGGAACAGUGCCACCCCUCUCCUUCCCGUGCUUCCUCUCCUCUUGCUCGUCCCUGACCUCUCUCUUCCCCUUCACAGGUGCUCCACUCGCCAUGGCCCCGAGCUCUGCCGUACCAAGUCCAUCCCCACGUCGUCCCUACACCGGCGCCGUCCAAGCACGUUUUCCGGCCUCCCUCAUUUUUCCCGCAUCACUGGAUAUCGCGCCAAGUACAGCGCCGCCUUGUCCCUGCAUUGCAGCGAGCCACUGCCUGCGUUAACCCGCUGCUGCUCGUCUUCAUCGAGCUGGCCAAGCCCCAGGAAUGCCAUGGCCACCUCUCUUCUCCUCACGGGUCCUGGACCCCUGCGCCCCGUCACCAGCGUCUGGCGCCGCCAUGGAUUCGCGCCAAGGAUUCCUUACCUCCGCCCGGUUCCUCUCCCGCCAUCGCCUGCUUCCGCCUGGCGUUGCAGCUGCCGCCGCCCCACCAAGGCUCGUCGCCAGCCUCCCCUGCCGAGUCCCGCGCCGCUUGCCGCUCCCUGCUGACUCCGCCGGAGCCGCGCCUCUCCACGCCUGAGAACGUCGGCCAUCUCCCUCAUCGGAGUCGCGCCCUGCUUUCUUUGCUUCGCCCAUGCCCCUGUUUUGCCUGAGGGGAAUGAGCAACGCAGCCCGUGCUCGAUCCGCUGGCACACGUUGACCACAACCACGCUCCGGGCCACUUCGGCGCUAAGGCCCAACCGUGGCCUCCUCUUUGGCCCAGCUCCCGUUUAGGUCUGCUAGGCCGAUGUGAGCAGCCCCACAUUUUCCCCCCCUGUGCAUGUUGGCCCGUUUACAGAUUCGGUCCGUUUUGUUUUUUCCUUGCUGCUACGAUUUUAGCAAUUAAACCUGAGACUGGAGUUUUUACAAAAAGGUCCCUAAACUUCAUGCAUAUAAUAACUUAAUAACCGUGCAUCGGUUUAAAAUGAUUUAUAUAUGAGACUUGCUUAGAAUUUUGUCUAGUUUAAUAAUUUCCAACUUUCAUCAAUGUUUGAAAUGUUUAAAAUGUUGUUUGUGUAAUUUUGUCCAUAUGCCAUGCUAAAAUGCUUUAAUUCAUAACUAAAUAACCGUAGCUCCAAAUUUAAUAAACUUUAUAUGUAAAUGGGGUAGAAAAAUGCCUAGUUUAUCAUGGUGGUUUUACUUUGCAUGUUUAACAACUCUAAAAUUUUGGUUAGGGCAGAACAGGACCGAACCUAAUAUAUGCACAUGAGGAGUUUUCCAGACUUGUUGCGUGUUGUUCCGGCCUCAUUUAAACUUGCCUAGAUAGGUAGUUUUCAUUUGCUUCACCCCUUGCCAUGUUAAUCAACAUUUAAUAUUGUUGCGUACAUAAAUGAGAUCGAACUAAAUAACUUGAAUGUGGUGUUCUGUCAAUAUGCAACGAAGAGCUCCACUUAACUUGUAGUGUUGUUUGUGCACUUUGCCUUGCCAUGCUUCAUUAAACCGGACAUGCAUCAUACUUGUUUGCGCAUCGUGCCAUGUUUAUGUGGUGGUUGUUUACUAUGUUGUUUGCUUCUUUCUGGUGUUGCUUCUUCAGGCUAGUUCUGAUAAUGUCGUGUUGUAAGGAUUCGCUCGACUUCGUCCGUUUGUCUUCUUCAUGGACUCGUUCUUCUUCCUUGCAGGAUUUCAGGCAAGAUGACCAUACCCUCGAAAUCACUUCUAUCUUUGCUUGCUAGAUGCUCGCUCUUUUGCUAUGCCUAUGUUGCGAUACCUACCACUUGCUAUAUCAUGCCCCCCAUGUUGCUAAGCCAAGCCUCUAACCCACCUUGUCCUUGCAAACCGUUGUUUGGCUAUGUUACCGCUUUGCUCAGCCCCUCUUAUAGCGUUGUUAGUUGCAGGUGAAGAUUGGAGCUUGUUCCAUGUUUGGAACAUGGUUAUUUUGUUGGGAUAUCACAAUAUCUCUUAUUUAAUUAAUGCAUCUAUAUACUUGUUAAAGGGUGGAAGGCUCGGCCUUAUGCCUGGUGUUUUGUUCCACUCUUGCCGCCCUAGUUUCCGUCAUAUCGGUGUUAUGUUCCCGGAUUUUGCGUUCCUUACACGGUUGGGUUAUAAUGGGAACCCCUUGACAAUUCGCCUUGAAUAAAACUCCUCCAGCAAUGCCCAACAUUGGUUUUACCAUUCGCCACCUAGCCUUUUCUUUACCUUGGGUCGGCCGGCUCAAGGGUCAUCUUUAUUAAACCCCCGGGCCAGUGCUCCUCUGAGUGUUGGUCCACCUUGUUAGCCGCCGGUGGCCACCAGGGGCAACUCUGGGCUGGCCUACCGGAAGUUUGGACAAUCCGGUGUGCCCUGAGAACGAGAUAUGUGCAGCUCCUAUCGGGAUUUGUCGGCACAUUCAGGUGGUGUUGUUGGACUUGUUUUAUCAUUGUCGAGGAUGUCUUGUAACCGGGAUGCCGAGUCUGAUCGGAUUGUCUUGGGAGAAGGAAUAUCCUUCGUUGACCGUGAGAGCUUGUGAUGGGCUAAGUUGGGACACCCCUGCAGGGAUUUCAACUUUUGAAAGUCGUGCCCAUGGUUAUGGGCAGAUGGGAAUUUGUUAAUGUCCGGUUGUAGAAAACCUAACGUUUAUCUUAAUUAAAAUGCAUCAACCACGUGUGUAACCGUGAUGGUCUCUUUCCGGCGGAGUCCGGGAAGUGAACACGGUGUUGGAGUAAUGCUUGACGUAGGUUGUUCUAGGAUCACUUCUUGAUCAUAGAUUCUCGACCGUGCUUUUGCCUUCUCUUCUCGCUCUCAUUUGCGUAUGUUAACCACCAAAUACGCUAGUCGUUUGCUGUAGCUCAACCUCAUACCUUCUACCCUACCUAUAAGCUUAAAUAGUCUUUCGCGAGGGUGUGAGAUUGCUGAGUCCCCGUGACUCACAGAUACUUCCAAAACCAGUUUGCAGGUGCCGAUGUUAUCGAGCAGGUGGCGCAACCAAGCUCAAGGAGGAGCUCGAUGAAGAUCUUGUCCUUUGUGUUGUUUCGUUCUAGUUGAUCAGUAGUGGAGCCCAGUUGGGGUCGAUCGGGGAUCUGUGUAGCAUUUGGGGUUGUCUUCUUUUAUUUUGGUACCGUAGUCGGACCUUGAUUGUAUCUGGAUGAUGUAAUGUUUUAUUCAUGUAUUGUGUGAAGUGGCGAUUGUAAGCCAACUAUGUAUCUCUUUCCCUUAUGUAUUACAUGGGUUGUGUGAAGAUUACCUCACUUGCGACAUUGCUUACAAUGCGGUUAUGCCUCUAAGUCGUGCUUCGACACAUGGGAGAUAUAGCCGCAUCAUGGGCAUUACAAGUUGGUAAUCAGAGCCUUCCCCGACCUUAGGAGCCCCUAGCUUGAUCGAAUCGCUGGCAUGUUGAGUCUAGAAAAAUGUUUUGAGUCUUAUAGGAUUAUAUAUAUAUCGGAGAGUAGGAUUCUUUUUACUCCUCAGUCCCUUCGUUGCUCUGGUGAGGCAUCCUGACGUAGAGUUUUGACUCUUCUCUUCUCAAAUUUCACUAAAAAAUAUAUUUUAGGAUCACGCGGGUAUCUUGGAAUUGUUUCGAUGGUUUUGUGACGAGAACAUUGUUCUUGGUGCCUCCUGACACUUAGGGGUUGUGGCAGUGUCCCGGGGAGUUGAGCUCCGAGGUGUUGUCGUCACAAUUUUAUCGUUGCAGUUCUGGAAUACCUGAGUUUCGCCGACAUCAAAAAUCUCUUUUAUGCAGUUGUUGGUGAGAUAACCUCGACGCCACCUAGUACUGGGGUGGGAGUUCGGGAGUAUUGCCAUAACUUGUAUAACGGAUGCUUUUCGAAGGUUGAGGUAAACGAUUUCCGAAGGUUUCUUGGUUAUGUGUUGAAGGAUGGAUAUAGCUGGAUGUAGGAUUUGCUAGUUUUGGGUGAGAUAUUAUGCUUCCCCUGUAUCCCCAACACCUGAUUGCAUAACCGGAAAAUUUCGGGAGUUUAUAAGUGGGAAUCCAAGUAGCUCUUAGGAUAUCUUUCCGACAGAUGUAUGAUAUGAAAUUGGGGUUCGACGUCUAGUGGUCCGCCUAUCCACGGUUGGUUUUACAGUGGUCUCAUUGUGUCUUAAAGAGUCCUUGGUUAUGCUGACUCGGGGAUGCUUCGUAUGUCAUGUGCACUGCCUUGUACAUGAUGGUGUUGUACGAUCGAGCCCGUGUAGGCCCCACCAUGAAAACUUCGGACGAAAUCUCCAUCAUAUGUUUGUUCCGGCUUAUUUUUCAAGCCAAUCCUUUGUUUUUUUGUUUUGAUUGUGGUAUUCGAGUUGCUUCGAAGUCAAGUGUUUAUUCCAUACCUUCGUAAGCGGUGUUCCCAUAUUCCUAUGUGAAUAGUAAUCCUUCUCGAUCAUUGAGUUUGUCAUUUCAAUUUCUUCUCAACCGGUGAGCUUCCCUUCAAGUGGAUCCGAUCACUUCAACAUUUGCAAGAUCCAAUCUCAGUUCUUCUCAACGGUGUUCAUUUCAUUCGUCCCAAGCUGCCUUUGUUUUCCCACCCACCCACCCUUUUUCUUCAAGGGCUCGGAUUUCUUAAUCAAGUAUCAUCUUAUGGAUGUGAAGCCUCUCCAUUCUUUUCCGUCAAUAUUCUUACCCGGUGGUUCUCAUGAAGAUGCUCUACUCGUUCAUCAUCCUUCGUUCUUUUCUUCUCCAGUGGUUUAAAAUCAAGCUUUCGGCGUUGAUAUCAUAUCCCUUUUUCCUCGUUUCAAAUACCUUCUCAUACCGGUGCACCUCAUAAUAAUUCACUUCUCGCUAUUCAUUUGUUCGGGAGUGCUGAAGAUAUCUCAGAAGGCUCGUCCUGUCUUUCAAGAUCAGUUCAACCUAUUUCGAGGUUGUUAUCUCAUUCUAGCCAUUUAAAUCUUACUGGUGCAUUCUCUCUUUUAAAUCAUUCUACGGUGUUUCUUUUGAGUGGGCCCUAACCCACAGGUCUUUUCCCAAGAUCUUACCUGACUCUUCUUAUUUUUCCCAGAGCUAUCCUCAAAUUUCAUUUUGAAGUUUGACAUAAGAAUGAAUUAUCAUCAGUCAAAUGUCUUUCUCCAAGAUCUUUAAAAUUCUUUUCAUCGUUGGUUCAACCUUUCUAAUUUUCAUCCCGGAGUAUCUCAACAAUUCAUGGUGGUGUUUCUCAUCGGUAUUCUCAACAUUUGAAGACCGAAGAAGAUUUUGUCUCUCAAUCUUGCUCCAUUCUCUUCAAGGUUCAUGACUCUAGCUUCGUGCCAUCCUCUCAUAAUUGUUUCGAUUGUGAGAAUUUCUUUUCACCCAUCCGGAGCAAUUCAAGAUUCUUUUUGAUUUAAUUCUCCGAAGGCCACCAUUUCGGGUUAUUCAUUGUAACGCCCUCGAUGCGACUAUAGCUCCCACGUGUCGAGGCACGACUUAGAGACAUAAUCGCAUUGAAGGCAUAUGUCGCAAGUUAGGCAAUCUUCACAAACAUCCCAUGUAAUGUAAUAAUAAAAGGGGAGAACAUAGUUGGCUUACACUCGCCACAUCAAUCAAGAACAUAAGAGCCUUUCCGGUUAUGCAAUCAGGUGUUGGGGAUACAGGGGAAGCAUAAUAUCUCACCCAAACUAGCAAAUCCUACAUCCAGCUGUAUCCAUCCUUCAACACAUAACCAAGAAACCUUCGGAAACCAUCUACCUCAACCUUCGAAAAGCAUCCGUUAUACAAGUUAUGGCGAUACUCCCGAACUCCCGCCCCAGUACUGGGUGGCGUCGAGGUUAUCUCACCAACGAACUGCAUAAAAGAGAUUUUCGAUGUCGGCGAACAUAUCUCAAGUAUUCCAGAAUUGCAACGAUAAAAUUAUGAUGACAACACCUCAGAGCUCAACUCCCCGGGACACUUCCACUAAACCCCUGACAGGAGGCACCAAGUCAAUGUUCUCAUCAUAAGCCAUCGGAACGAUUCCAAGAUACUCGUGUGAUCCUAAAAAAAAUUAGUGAAAUUUGAGAAGAGAAGAGUCAAAACUCUACGUCAGGAUGCCUUACCAGAGCGAUGAGGAGACUGAGAAGUAAAAAGAAUUCCUAGACUCUCUGAUAUAUAAUUCCUAAAUGACUCAAAACAUUUUUUCUAGACACAACUCGGCUGCUAAAAACGAUCAAGCAAUGGGGCUCCUAAGGUCGGGGAAGGCUCUGAUACCAACUUGUAAUGCCCUCGAUGCGACUAUAGCUCCCACGUGUCGAGGCACGACUUAGAGACAUAAUCGCAUUGAAGGCAUAUGUCGCAAGUUAGGCAAUCUUCACAAACAUCCCAUGUAAUGUAAUAAUAAAAGGGGAGAACAUAGUUGGCUUACACUCGCCAUGUCAAUCAAGAACAUAAAUAACAUUACAUCAUCCAAAACACUCAUGGCCCGACUACGGUGCCAAAAUAGAAGAAAACCCAACAUACGACAACGGUCCCAAUCACCCCCAACUGGGCACCACUACUGAUCAUCGGGAAAGGAAACGUAGUAACGCUGAGAGUCUUCGUCGAACUCCCACUUGAGCUCGUACUCAUCACCUGGACCUGCAUCUGGAGUUAUAGUAUCUGUGAGCCACAGGGACUCAGCAAUCUCGCACCCUCGCGAUCAAGACUAUUUAAGCUUAUAGGAAGGAAAGGCAAAUAUAUGUGGAGCUGCAGCAAGCGACUAACAUAUAUGGUGGCUAACUUACUCGCAAAAGAGAGCGAGAAGAGGAGGCAAAGCGCGAGCGAGAAUCUAGAGGAACAACCUGCGCAAACAUUACUCCAACACCGUGUCCACUUUCCGGACUCCGCCGAGAAGAGGCCAUCACGGUAACACACUCGGUUGAUUCAUUUUAAUUAAUUUAGGUUCAAGUUAUCUACAACCGGACAUUAACAAAUUCCCAUCUGCCCAUAACCGCGGGCACGGCUUUCGAAAGUUCAAUCCCUGCAGGGGAGUCCCAACUUAGCCCAUGACAAGCUCUCACGGUCAACGAAGGAAUAGACCUCCUCCCAAGACGUUCCGAUCAGACUCGGUAUCUCGGUAACUCAAGACACUUCGACAGGUUAAAACAAGACCAGCAACACCGCCCGAAUGUGCUGACAAAUCCCGAUAGGAGCUGCACAUAUCUCUUUCUUAGGGCACACUCAGAUGAGACAUCCUACGAGUAAAACCAACCCUCAAGUUGCCCCGAGGUGGCCCCGCAGUCUACUCGGUCGGACCAACACUCAAAGGAGCACUGGCCCGGGGGGGUUUAAAAUAAGAUGACCCUCGGGCUCCGAUAACCCAAGGGUAAAGAGGCUAGGUGGCGAAUGGUAAAACCAAUGUUGGGCAUUGCUGGAAAAGGUUUAAUCAAGGCGAACUAUCAAGGGGUUCCCAUUAUAACCCAACCGCGUAAGGAACGCAAAAAUCCGGGAAUAUAACACUGAUAUGAAGGAAACUAGGGCGGCAAGAGUGGAACAAAACACUAGGCGAGAGGCCGAGCCUUGCACCCUUUACCAAGUAUAUAGAUGCAUUAAGAUAACAUAGCAAUAUAAUGAUAUCCCAACAAGUAAUAAAUGUUCCAACAAGGAACGGCCUUCAAUCUUCACCUGCAACUAGCAACGCUAUAAGAGGGGCUGAGCAAAGCGGUAACAUAGCCAAUCAACGGUUUGCUAGGACAAGGUGGGUUAGAGGUUUGACAUGGCAAUUCGGAGGCUGACAAGCAAAUGGUAGGCAUCGUAGCAUUGGCAUACCAAAGAGCGAGCAGACUAGCAUAGCAAAGAUAGUAGUGAUUUCGAGGGUAUGAUCAUCUUGCCUGCACAGUUGUCAGAGUUGACUGGAUCCUCACAAGCAAACUCAACGGGUUCCUCGGUAGUGAACUCGUCUGCCAGCUCUACCCAAACAAGACAAACAAGCAACAAGGAUACAAUCAACCACGUGCAAGCUCAAACAAUAAGAUGCAAUGAUGACAUGCUAUGCGGGAUGCGAAAUGCAAGAUAUGACAGGAAAUGCAUGAACCUGGCCUCAACUUGGAAAACCAAGUGUACCACUAGAAAGAUGAGAUGAAAUCGCUUGAAAACGAUAUAAGGAUCAUCGGAAUCGGAGUUACGGUUUGGAAAUGGCAAGCGUUUUAAAAAUGACACCGGUGUGCAAUUUACAGCAAGUAGGCAUCUAAAUGCAACGAAAUGAACAUGCUACAGCACCCAAACAUCACAACAAAAUACAUGGCGGGGAUGCACACAAGAUGCUUAACAAAAGACUAGCACUGAGCUACGGCCAAUUAAUCCAUUAUGAGGUUCAAACAAGCAUGGCAAAACGCAAAUGCAAAACAGAUUCCAGACUUGGUGAAAUUAACACUUGUCUGAAAUUUCAGAUCACGAAGCCCUCUUCGGAGCAGCAAAACAACAUGAUACAUGACCUGAUUAAGACAAGUAAGAACAUGGCAUGGAGCUACUCAACAAGCUUAACAAAAGAUCCAAAGUGACCUGGGGCCAAAAGGGUUCACAAAAUAUACUAACGGGCACACGAACAUAGCUAAAACACAACCAGUUUUCAGACUUAGUGAAAACUGAGACAUGCUGAAAUAUAACUCACGAAGGCAUGUAAACGAGCUCGAUGCACUCACUACGGUGCAAGUCAUGGCAAGGCAAGCAUGCAUCCAUUAAGAAGGCACAAAAUGCUAGCUAGACAUGGCAAGAACAAUGGCAUAGCAUGCACGGAACAACUACAAUAACAUCGGCAAAAUCGCAAACGAGUUGACGAUCUGCCCAGAUUCACCACGAAGCAAAAGUAGAGCUCGAUUGACUCAAGCUAGGGUGCUCCAUAAUUGCAAACAAAGACAUGGAUGGAUAGAGCAUAACAAGAUUAACAAAACUCCCUUACUGAUCAUCCUCAAAAGAGGCACGGAUCACUAGGAAACAAGCUGAACAUAUGGCAUCAUGAACUAACUAAUCCCAGACUUGGUGAAAACAACUAAGUCUCUAAAAACAGAUUACCGGGUGCCUCACUUUGCAAGCUUGCACAAGUCACCACACACAUCCUAAAAAUGCAUGGGUUGCACCUCUGGAAAGAAGACAAAAUCCUUAACAAAACAUAUGAAGGACUCACAGGCAUAGCAUGCACACAAUAAUCAUGGCAAAAAUGACAAAAGUCUAAGAUGAACUAGCAGAUCUGACAAUUAACUCACGAAACCUCCUUCUAACAGCAUUUUGGGCAUCAAAAUGAGCUCAAAUGAAAAUGAUGCAAUGGAAUGAAAUGAUGUACUCGUCGAGACGAACAUUUUGAUAUACUAUAUGUCCAAAACGGAGUUACGGAUGCAAAGUUACGGCAGGUCAAAGUUUGCUCGAAAUUAGGGUUCGGGAGAGAAAAGUCAACCUUCAAAAUAUCUCAGAUCCAGAUCGGCACUGUUCACCGGCGCGUAUCCCGAGGUUCGUCGACCGGCGAUGGCGGUGGUGGCCGGAGAUGGAGGGGAGAGGCUGGGGCCGAGCCGGAUCCGGCGAGAGGAGGCGCGGGCGGCGGCGAUGGUGGCCCGCGGCGGCGGCGGUGGCGGCGAGGAACGCCGGCGGCUCGGGCGGCCGNNNNNNNNNNNNNNNNNNNNNNNNNNNNNNNNNNNNNNNNNNNNNNNNNNNNNNNNNNNNNNNNNNNNNNNNNNNNNNNNNNNNNNNNNNNNNNNNNNNNNNNNNNNNNNNNNNNNNNNNNNNNNNNNNNNNNNNNNNNNNNNNNNNNNNNNNNNNNNNNNNNNNNNNNNNNNNNNNNNNNNNNNNNNNNNNNNNNNNNNNNNNNNNNNNNNNNNNNNNNNNNNNNNNNNNNNNNNNNNNNNNNNNNNNNNNNNNNNNNNNNNNNNNNNNNNNNNNNNNNNNNNNNNNNNNNNNNNNNNNNNNNNNNNNNNNNNNNNNNNNNNNNNNNNNNNGGCCGAGCGGGCUUCGGCGGCAGCGGCGGGCAGGCGUGCCAUGUGGCAGAGCAGGGUUGGCUGGGCGCGGCGGGGCGGACGCGUCCGGCCUGGCGCAGACACGUCCGGCUGCGGCGGGAUUUUUUUAGGGUUUCGGGGAGAGAGAGAUCCGAAAAUGGAGGGGGGGGCUAUUUAUAGGCAUAAGUGGAGCUAGGAGAGUCCAAAUGAGGCGCGGUUUUCGGCCACGCGAUCGUGAUCAAACGCUCUAGAGCAUGGAGCAGAGUUUGGUGGGUUUUGGGCCAAAUUGGAGGGGUGUUGGGCUGCAACACACACGAGGCCUUUUCGGUCCCUCGGUUAACCGUUGGAGUAUCAAACGAAGUCCAAAUGAUACGAAACUUGACAGGCGGUCUACUGGUAGUAAACCAAGGCCGCUUGGCAAGUCUCGGUCCAAUCCGGAAAUGUUUAAUCCCCACACACGAAAGAAAGCUAGAAAUGACCACCGGAGGAGAACGAAGCACCGGAAUGCAAAACGGACAACGGGGAAAAAGCUCGAAUGCAAAAGACGAACACGUAUGCAAAUGCAAUGCACAUGAUGACAUGAUAUGAGAUGCAUGACAAAGGCAACAACACACAGAGACAAAGACCCGAACCCGAGAAAUAAAUAUAACUUAACGCCGGAAACGGCAAGAGUUGGAGUACAAAUUGGGAAAGUUACAUCUGGGGCGUUACAUUCAUACUCAGCUUUCAGCUAUUGUUCUCCAAAUCUUACCUGUGAAUCGUUCAAAUAUCCCCUAAUCAGUUCAUGAUCUCUUCGUUCUCAUGUAUCUAAAAUCCCCUCAAGUAUCUUCAUUCGUUUCCCAAAUUCUUCCCGGUGAAUUGUGCCUUUGCUAUUUUCAUUUUCAAUUCUUACGGUGGUUUGCUCAAGAUUCUCUUCCAUGGUUAUCAUAUCAAUUUAUUCGUUGUUUCAACCCUUCCGGUGGUUCGUUAAAGACCUUCCCAAGUUUGACGCUAUACCUAUCUUAACCCUCUCUACGAGAAUAAGUUGUAUUCAAUCCAUUGCUUGUCAUCAAUUUAAUUGGUGAAGGAUAUGCAUAACAUAAUUUGUAUUCUUGUUUCAUCGAGUGAAUUCAAUUCUUUAUUCCGGAGGCUCUUCAAAUUAUCGGUUUCAUUUGUUUCAUCUUCUCUUUUUCCCAGAGUUCUUUUCAAUUUUACCCUUCCUUUUGAUCAUACUUUUGUUGCUGGAGUUCUUUCAUGGAGGCUCUACAUGAUGGUUCAUCAAGGAUGUAAUUCCUUCUCAAAGUUUUCAUCGAGAUUCUUUUAAGGAACUCAAGCAUUCUUCAUCUCGCAUCCGGAGUGCAAUUUUUUCUUCCGUAUCAUUGGAGGGGGUAUUAUGUCAUUCUUGAUAAUUCGAGCUCAUGUUUCAUGAUUCACAUGUUGUCAAGAAUGGGAUAUUUAAACCCAUCAAUCUCUUCUUUGGAGUUAUCUUGGGUUAUAUUUCACCUAAAGCCUUCCCUAAGGAUUGUUGCUAUCUAUGGUGUUCAUAAAUGACCCAAGUUCUUUUAUCCUCCCGGUGAAAUAGUUUGUUGUCUCAUUGUUCAUAUCUAUCCAAUCUAUCAUUUCUGUUAGUGGUAGAAUUUCACCUCAUAGUUUUGAGAUGUUUUCCAUAAGUCCACUACAACCAUGUUCUUUUCUUUGUUGGUUUUUCCAACAACUCCGUUCAACCUUUCUUCUAAAGAUGCCUUUUUCAAGCUCUUUUGUGGCAGAAGUUGGCAUUUUCUUCUCCAGUCUUUUAUUUCAACUAUCUAUCUUCAAUUCUUUCGUUCCGGAGGCAUUGUGUUGUUGCUCUCUCCUCUCAUCAUCUCGAAUGUUGAGGAUCGUGUUUCUUUUCGUGCUUAUCCAUUUAACCGGAGUGUUGUGCCCUUUUGCACAAGUUCUUUUCGCCUUAUCCAACCUUGCAUCUCUUUUCUACCGGAGUGUUGUCUGAAUUUGUUCUUCCUUGUUACUCUUCCCUAUCGGAGUGCUUUCAACUUUGUUCUUCUUUGUUGCAUUCUUUCUUUCAAUCUGUUCAACCUCUUAAGGUUCGUGGUUUCACUCGGUUUUCAAAGAAGCAACUUAGUUUUACCUCUUCUCUUUCUCUUCCGUUGUCCCUCCGGUGUCAUUCUAGAUCUCGGGACGAGAUCCUCUCGUAGUGGUGGAGUGUUGUGACGCCCCGAGACCGUUGCGCCAGGUGUCUUCCAGUUAUUCGCCGACGUUGCCAUGUCUUUUUCUUGCGUGUUGCAUUUCUUCAUGUCAUCAUGUGCAUUGCAUCAUCAUGUUUUCAAAACCUGCAUCCGUCCGGGUUCCCCCAGUUCCGUCUGUUGUCCGUUCUGAGCCCAGACACACUUGCACGCGCCCGCGGCAUGUCCGAAAUAGUAUUUUAUAAGUGGCCGGCAAAUGUUCUCGGAUAGGGUUGAAAGUUGGCGUGUGGUCUUAUUAUAGUGUAGAUAGACCGUCUGUCAAGUUUCAUCGCAUUUGGAGUUCGUUUGUUAGCCCAACCGUUAAACUAUAGCGGCAUUAUAGUCAGGCACACGUUGGACGUUUUCGGUCUCCGGAAACAGUCGCCGGGCCUCCCUCUCUUCUCUUCUCUGAGCUCGAGACCGUCUACACAGCCCACUACCUACCGCCAGAUCCACCCUAAGCUCUCUCGUCAGCCCGCGGCCCUCCUCGCGCGCGCGUCCGAAAAUUGUCCCGGACCCGACCUGGACAGUCGUUACCGUUGUGUCUGGAUCAUCCCCAAACAUCCCUAAAUCAUCAUCGGUUUCUAUUUUGGAGUCCCUAGCUAUUUUAUUUGCGACCGUCCGAUUACGAUCGAAGAGACCUAACCGCCCUAAGCUGAUCUGACUUACUAUUUAUAGUCCACCCUUAAUCAUUUUGGACAACCCUAAAAAUUCUCCACCUUGUCCCAUCCAUCCCAUUCCCCACGCCGCCGCCACUUUCCUUGUAUUCAGCGUCGAUCCAACCAGCAACCCCCACCUCUCCCUCUCAGAUCGACCCCGUGCUCGAUUACAAUUGGAUCGAGAGCCUCCUCCUCCCUCUUCGAUCCAGAGGAGUGGAGAUCCUCCUCGCUCUCCCGAAGCCCCUGCCUCCUCUCUUGUCCACCAGGAACAGUGCCGCCCCUCUCCUUCCCGUGCUUCCUCUCCUCUCGCCCGUCCCUGACCUCUCUCUUCCCCUUCACAGGUGCUCCGCUCACCAUGGCCCAGAGCUCCGCCGCACCAAGCCCGUCUCCAUGUCGUCCCUGCACCGGCGCCGUCUAAGCACGUUGUCCGGCCUCCCUCGUUUUUCCCGUGUCACCGGAGAUCGAGCCAAGUACAGCGCCGCCUCGUCCCUGCGUUGCAGCGAGCCACCGUUUGCGUUGACCCGCUGCUGCUCGUCUUCAUCGAGCCGGCCAAGCCCCAGGAACACCAUGGCCGCCCCUCUUCUCCUCACAGGUCCUGGACCCCUGCGCCCCAUCACCAGCGUCCGGCGCGGCCAUGGAUUCGUGCCAAGGAUUCCUCACCUCCGCCCGGUUCCUCUCCUGUCGUCACCUGCUUCCGCCUGGCCUUGCAUCUCCCGUCGCCCCGCCAAGGCUCGUCGCCGACCUCCCCUGCCGAGUCUCGCGCCCCUUGCCGCUCCCUGCUGACUCCACCGGAGCCGCGCCUCUCCACGCCUGAGAACGCCGGCCAUCUCCCUCGUCAGAGUCACGCCCUACUUCCUCUGCUUCGCCCACGCCCCUGUUUUGCCCGAGGGGAAUGAGCAGCGCAGCCCGUACUCGAUCCGCUGGCACGCGUUGACCACAACCACGCUCCAGGCCACUUCGGUGUUAAGGCCCAACCGUGGUCUGCUAGGCCGAUGUGAGCAGCCCCACAUUUCCCCCCCUGUGCAUGUUGGCCCGUUUACAGAUUCGGUCCGUUUUGUUUUUUCCUUGCUGCUGCGAUUUUAGCAAUUAAACCUGAGACUGGAGUUUUUAUAGAAAGGUCCCUAAACUUCAUGCAUAUAAUAACUUAACAACCGUGCAUCGGUUUAAAAUGAUUUAUAUAUGAGACUUGCUUAGAAUUUUGUCUAGUUUAAUAAUUUCCAACUUUCAUCCAUAUUUGAAAUGUUUAAAAUGUUGUUUCUGUAAUUUUUCCCAUAUGCCAUGCUAAAAUCCUUUAAUUCAUAACUAAAUAACCGUAGCUCCGAAUUUAAUAAACUUUAUAUGUAAAUGGAGUAGAAAAAUGCCUAGUUUAUCAUGGUGGUUUUACUUUGCAUGUUUAACAACUCUAAAAUUGUGGUUAGGGCAGAACAGGACCAAACCUAAUAUAUGCACAUGAGGAGUUUUCCGGACUUGUUGCUUGUUGUUCCGGCCUCAUUUAAACUUGCCUAGAUAGGUAGUUUUCAUUUGCUUCACCCCUUGCCAUGUUAAUCAACAUUUAAUAUUGUUGGGUACAUAAAUGAGAUCGAACUAAAUAACUUGAAUUUGGUGUUUCGUCAAUAUGCAACGAAGAGCUCCACUUAACUUGUAGUGUUGUUUGUGCACUUUGCCUUGCCAUGCUUCAUUAAACCGGACAUGCAUCAUACUUGUUUGUGCAUCAUGCCAUGUUUAUGUGGUGGUUGUUUACUAUGUUGUUUGCUUCUUUCCGGUGUUGCUUCUUCGGGCUAGUUCUGAUAAUGUCGUGUUGUGAGGAUUCGCUCGACUUCGUCCGUUUGUCUUCUUCAUGGACUCGUUCUUCUUCCUUGCGGGAUUUCAGGCAAGAUGACCAUACCCUCGAAAUCACUUCUAUCUUUGCUUGCUAGAUGCUCGCUCUUUUGCUAUGCCUAUGCUGCGAUACCUACCACUUGCUAUAUCAUGCCCCCCAUGUUGCUAAGCCAAGCCUCUAACCCACCUUGUCCUAGCAAACCGUUGUUUGGCUAUGUUACCGCUUUGCUCAGCCCCUCUUAUAGCGUUGUUAGUUGCAGGUGAAGGUUGGAGCUUGUUCCAUGUUUGGAACAUGGUUAUUUUGUUGGGAUAUCACAAUAUCUCUUAUUUAAUUAAUGCAUCUAUAUACUUGGUAAAGGGUGGAAGGCUCGGCCUUAUGCCUGGUGUUUUGUUCCACUCUUGCCGCCCUAGUUUCCGUCAUAUCGGUGUUAUGUUCCCGGAUUUUGCGUUCCUUACACGGUUGGGUUAUAAUGGGAACCCCUUGACAAUUCGCCUUGAAUAAAACUCCUCCAGCAAUGCCCAACAUUGGUUUUACCAUUCGCCACCUAGCCUUUUCUUUACCUUGGGUCGGCCGGCUCAAGGGUCAUCUUUAUUAAACCCCCGGGCCAGUGCUCCUCUGAGUGUUGGUCCACCUUGUCAGCCGCAGGUGGACACCAGGGGAAACUCUGGGCUGGCCUACCGGCAGUUUGGACAAUCCGGUGUGCCCUAAGAACGAGAUAUGUGCAGCUCCUAUCGGGAUUUGUCGGCACAUUCGAGCGGUGUUGCUGGACUUGUUUUAUCAUUGUCGAGGAUGUCUUGUAACCGGGAUGCCGAGUCUGAUCGGAUUGUCUUGGGAGAAGGAAUAUCCUUCGUUGACCGUGAGAGCUUGUGAUGGGCUAAGUUGGGACACCCCUGCAGGGAUUUGAACUUUCGAAAGCCAUGCCCGCGGUUAUGGGCAGAUGGGAAUUUGUUAAUGUCCGGUUGUAGAAAACCUAAAGUUUAUCUUAAUUAAAAUGCAUCAACCACGUGUGUAACCGUGAUGGUUUCUUUCCGGCGGAGUCCGGGAAAUGAACACAGUGUUGGAGUAAUGCUUGACGUAGGUUGAUCUAGGAUCACUUCUUGAUCAUAGAUUCUCGACCGUGCUUUUGCCUUCUCUUCUCGCUCUCAUUUGCGUAUGUUAGCCACCAAAUACGCUAGUCGCUUGCUGCAGCUCCACCUCAUACCUUCUACCCUACCUAUAAGCUUAAAUAGUCUUGAUCGCGAGGGUGUGAGAUUGCUGAGUCCCCGUGACUCACAGAUACUUCCAAAACCAGUUUGCAGGUGCCGAUGUUAUCGAGCAGGUGGCGCAACCAAGCUCAAGGAGGAGCUCGAUGAAGAUCUUGUCCUUUGUGUUGUUUCGUUCUAGUUGAUCAGUAGUGGAGCCCAGUUGGGGUCGAUCGGGGAUCUGUGUAGCAUUUGGGGUUGUCUUCUUUUAUUUUGGUACCGUAGUCGGACCUUGAUUGUAUCUGGAUGAUGUAAUGUUUUAUUCAUGUAUUGUGUGAAGUGGCGAUUGUAAGCCAACUAUGUAUCUCUUUCCCUUAUGUAUUACAUGGGUUGUGUGAAGAUUACCUCACUUGCGACAUUGCUUAAAAUGCGGUUAUGCCUCUAAGUCGUGCUUCGACACGUGAGAGAUAUAGCCGCAUCGUGGGCAUUACACAUGGUCUAAGGAAAUGAUACUUGACAUUAAAAAAGCUCUAGCGAACAAACUACACGAUCUUGUGCUAUGCUUAGGAUUGGGUCUUGUCCAUCACAUCAUUCUCCUAAUGAUGUGAUCCUGUUAUCAAUGACAUCCACUGUCCAUGGUCAGGAAACCACAACCAUCUAUUGAUCAACGAACUAGUCAACUAGAGGCUCACUAGGGACUUGUUGUGGUCUACGUAUUCACACAUGUAUUACGGUUCCCGGUUAAUACAAUUAUAGCAUGAAUAAUAGACAAUUAUCAUGAACAAGGAAAUAUAAUAAUAACCAUUUUAUUAUUGCCUCUAGGGCAUAUUUCCAACAAGGCCAUCACACUCUCCACUUCUGGCAACUGUGUCAUACCGCCGCUGAUGCCGCCGUCCCCUGUCAAGCUGUGACGCCCCCGAUUCAACCGUACACUAAUCACACACGCAAAUGUGUAUGAUCAAGAUCAGGGACUCACGGGAAGAUAUCACAACACAAGUCCAGACACAAAUUAAAAUAAUACAAGCUUCAUAUUACAAGCCAGGGGCCUCGAGGGCUCGAAUACAAGCUCGAUACACAAGCGUCAGCGGAAGCAACAAUAUCUGAGUACAAACAUAAGUUAGACAAGACUGUCUUAAGAAGGCAAACGCAAAAGCAACAACGAUCGAAGAGGCAAGGCCUCCUGCCUGGGACCUCCUAACUACUCCUGGUCGUCGGCGGUCUCCACGUAGUAGUAGGCAUCCUCCGGGUAGUAGUAGUCGUCGACUGGGGUGUUCUGCUGCUAAUCUGAGCGUGUGGUCUGUGUUACCCCUUCAGUGUUCUAUUAAUGGUCAAGCCUUGAUUCGGUUUUGAUCUGCAUUGUGCUUGUGCACCUAUGUAAUGUAAUUUUUUGAUUAUAUAAGCAUAACCCCAGGGGCCCUUAAUCCAAGCAUGACUUGCAACCUACCUACCUGCAAUAGAAAAAUCUAUAAUCUAUACAAAUUGCAGCAUAGAUAUGUGCAAUGUGAUCUAUAAUCCAUUCUGCGGUGUGCCAAUGUAGUUCUAGUAUGCCGGUGUAGUUUAGUUGAUGAUGAUUGCUUACUUAGUUCACUCAUGUUCAAAUUGCAACAAUGUGUGUUCUCAAUAGUCAGCCAUGAGUUAUUGGAAAUGUUUUUGAUGAUUUGCUCCUUGUCAUACACAACAGGUUUCCAUUGUGGUAACUAUAGUGGUAACUAAGUACCUGUAGUCAGCCAUGAGUUAUUGAAUAUGUUGGUUUCUUCUUCCUGACUUACCACGGUGCCCUCUAUAGUGGUAACUAAGUAUCUCUAGUAUGCACAAAAAUUGAGUUGUUCUGUACUUCCUUGAUGCUAACGUGCACUGCAACUUCAAGAUCGAUAAGUUCUGCCUUGUUAAGAAUGCGUUGUUUAUGUUACACUUUGUGCAACUCGUUCUUGUUCUACUUUCACUUGGAGUGUGCUGACCUGUGAUAGUAAAGAAGCCUUAAUUCAGUUUUUGAGACAGCUUAACCCAAGCAUGAGUUCCUGCCAACCUGCAAUAGGAAAAAAUCUAUAGUUUAUUCAAAUAGCGGCAUAGAUAUGCUUUCCAUUCUGUAGUGUGCCAGUGUAGUUCCAGACUUCUAGUUGAUUUCCAUAUUGCAGGCCAUAUUGGUAUGUUGAUCUAACUGGUCUGUGUCUUCCAUCAGUCAGCAUGAGUUCAGCUACAAGGUGGUCUCUAAGUGUCUUUUGAAUAGGCUUAGGCCUCUUCUAGACGACAUUAUUUCUCCUGAGCAGAGUGCUUUUAUUCAAGGAAGGAUGAUCACGGAUAAUGCCUUGAUUGAUUUCGAGUGUAUCCACUACAUUAAGCAGGAAAAAGAUCCCACAAGAAGGUGUUGUGCUUAUAAAUUGGACCUGUCUAAAGCAUAUGAUAUGGUGGAUUGAAGCUUCUUGAGGCAAAUGAUGCAAAAUUUGGGGUUUGCACAUCGAUGGAUUGACUGAAUAAUGACCUGUGUCACAUCAGUGCGAUAUUCUAUUAAAUUAAAUGGGACCCUCUUAGAUUCAUUUGCACCGUCGCGUGGGCUACGGCAAGGUGAUCCUCUCUCUACAUUUUUAUUUUUGUUCGUUACAGACGGUCUCUCUGCACUACUGAGGAAUAGGGUGAAUAUGGGAAAUAUUACACCAGUUAAAAUUUGUCAGAGGGCGCCUGGUAUCUCACAUCUCUUAUUUGCGGAUGAUACCCUUCUGUUCUUCAAGGCCUCUCAUGCACAAGCUCAAGAAGUUAAGUCAUGUUUGAAUAUGUAUGCAUCUGCCAUAGGACAAUUGUUAAACUAUAAUAAAUGUUCAAUCUUAUUUAGGGAUACAUGCCCGUUACUGGUUCAAGAGGAAGUAAGAGAAGUCCUAGCUAUCCCAAUUGCGGGCAUUCAGGAGAAGUACUUGGGUCUACCAACUCCGGAUGGGCAUAUGUCAAAAGGAAAAUUUCAAAAUCUUCAAGCUCGACUUUUGAAAAGGCUAAUCCAAUGGGGAGAUGGUCAUUUGGCUCAACCUGGUAGGGAAGUGUUGAUAAAAUCAGUUGCACAAGCAUUGCCCACUUAUAUUAUGGGGUCUUUAAGCUUCCUUAUUCAGUUUGUGAUGAUCUAACUAGCUUGGUUAGAAACUUUUAUUGGAGAGUGUCUGAAGGCAAAAGGAAGGUCCACCGGAAGGCUUGGUCAAAGCUGCAGCAGCCUAAGUGUAAAGGAGGUGCCGGGUUUCGAGACUACCGUAUUUUUAAUCAAGCACUAUUGGCCUGCCAAGCAUGGAGACUAAUCACAAAGCCGGAGUGUCUGUGUGCUCUGUAGAAGGCUCGCUAUUAUCCAAGUGGGAAGUUGGAAGAUACUGUUUUCACGGGCAACGCUUCUUCUACGUGGACAACUAUUUCUCAUGGUCUAGACCUUCUAGAAAAGGGAUUAAUAUGGAGGAUCGGCAACGGACAGAGUGUCUGUAUCUGGCGUGACAAUUGGAUACCGAGGCCUUUUUCUUACAAGCCAAUUUCUUUGCAGGGGAGAUGCCGUAUGAGAUAUGUAUCACAGCUCCUGAACGCCAAUGGAUCAUGGAAUGGUCAACUUUUACGUUCGAUCUUUUUGCCAUGUGAUGUCUUGGAGAUUUUGAAAAUUCGAGCAUCCCCGAGAUAGAGUGCGGAUGUACUAGCUUGGGGUCCAGGAAAAUUUGGUGUUUUCACAGUUAAAUCUGCAUACGAAAUGGCGUUUGAUGAGUCAUGCCGUGAGCUUGCCCAAGGCUCCAGUUCUGCACCAGAGGGGAGGCGAGCCUGUUGGAAAUUGAUUUGGGGAGGUAUGUCUGCACCAACGGUUAAAAACUUUGCCUGGAGAGUUGCUAUAAAUUCACUUCCAUCCUGGCAGAAUAAAUAUAAGAGAGAACUAGAAACUUCAAAUGUUUGUCCUAUUUGUGGUACUGAACCGGAGGAUAGUUUUCAUGCACUAUGCCGAUGUCCACUAGCAGUCCAGUUGUGGGACUGUAUGAGGGAAGUGUGGCGCUUGCCGAAUCUUAAGGAAGUAAUUAGGGCGACGCUAGGCGCCGGCGCACCGGCCCAACAGUUGGGCCGGUCCAGCCCUGGCCGCCCGAUUCAGCGAUUAAAGACCGUCAGAUCUAUCCCUCGUUUUUUCCUCCUCACGAGUCAUUUUUUUUAAAAAAAAAGCAACAGCCCGAGCGCCGUGGAGACCACGCUAUACCUCGCGAGAAAAAGACCGAGCUUGAAGCACCGCCGCGGCGCCCUCGUCGCCGGUGGGCGCCCUCGCCGGCCUUCCGUGUUUGCCCAAGAACCGCGCUCGCCAUGGAUGUAGCUCCGCCGCCCGCGCUCGCCGGAGAUCUGCGCUCGCCAUGGAUGCAGCUCCGCUGGCCGCGCUCGCCAUGGAUGCAGCUCCGUUGGCCGCGCUCGCCAUGGAUGCAGCUUCGCCGUCCGCGCUCGCCAUGGAUGGAUCCCGCCCGCGCACGCCAUGGAUGCAGCUCCGCCUCGCUGGCGAUUGACUGGUUCCAGCAAAUAUAAUUGGCCGUUGUAGCAUUUUUCGUUGUUGGUCGUAGCAAAAUGGAGACACGGUUGCAACAGAAAGGUCGCCAUUGUCGUGUAGCUCACCGUUGCAGGUAGCAAACAUUUGCAUUCUAAAAAAAUGAACGGAUGUAACAAAACCCGUUGCCAGAUGUAGCAAAUACCUAUGACAGUUGUAACAAAAAGCCGUCGUCGUCGUCGCGGGUCGUAGCUCGGCCGUGAUUGAUGUAGCAAAACAUUAUGUCGGUUGUAGCAAAAAACGAUGCUAGUUGUAGCAAAACCGCCACGCCGGCUGUGUGUUGUAGCAAAACGUGAUGCUAGUUGUAGCAAAAAUGCUAUGCCAAUUGUAGCAAAAAUCUAUGUCGGUUGAAGCAUGUAGCAAAACUGCAGCAUUUUAUCAUCUUCUUCCACCUCCAGCCGUCGCUGGUUGAAGCUUUCUUAUUUUCAUAGUGUCUAGUUGUAGCUUUCUCUCUCAAUGGUUGGAGCUUUUUCCAACAACCGUUGAAGCUUUUCUACGAAAAGUUGUAGCUAUUUUCUUUUUAGCAGCACUUGGUCAAGCCUUUUUGUGUCAUUUCGGUUGAAGCUUUUUUAAUCAAAGGUUGUAGCAUUUCAUGUCAACGGUUGUAGCUUUCCGGCGAUGGCGCUGAUCGCUUAUAGCUUUCUCUACAUCCAGUUGAAGCUUUUCAUCUAGGGGGAUGAAGCUUUUUUUUAAACGGUUGCAACAUGAGGGGGUGCGACGAUUCCGCGGAAGCCUCCGGUGUCGUCCAUCGCCGCCCGGGUCGUCGUCGGCGAGGCAGAAGCACGAGGCACGUGGGAGUUGCAACCAACGGAAAUGGGAUUGGUCAAACGACCUUGCUGCAUCCAAUGGCGAGCGGGGCAGCAAGCGUGGCGGAGUGAGAUCUACAUCCAUGGCCGGCGGGGAAUCGAUCUUCCAUGGCCAACGGCGAGUUACUCACGCGCUGCAGCGACGGAAGCAGGAGAUGCGGGCAUCGGCGCUGCGUGCUGCAACGAUGGAGGCAGGAGACGAGGAUGGGGCGAGAUCCGCGGAGCUGGGAGACGGGGAUGGGGUGGGAUCUGCGGGAAGUUGAAGAAAAGCAACGAUUUGGAUGGCCCCGCGUCCUACGUGUCGCUUGGUGGAUGGCUGAGGCGAAGCGUGCGUGGACGCGACCGGCCGAGUGGUUCGGCCGGUGCCCCGGCUCCAAACGUUUCCCAAGUAAUUAACACUAGUGUAGAAUGGCUACUGGAUGUCUUGUAUCCAUUGGGAGAUGUUCAACGAACCAUGGUUUUGUUUACCUUUUGGAGAAUAUGGCAUAACCGUAAUGAGGUGACACACAACAAGACCCCGCCACCGAUGGAUACAUCCAGACGUUUUUUGUGCAGUUACAUGGACUCCUUGAUCGCAAUGGCCCAAGACUAUGGUUGUGAUCCUGUGAAAGGUAAAGUUGUAUUAUCUUAUGCUCCAGUUGUGAAAUGUACGUAUGAAAUAUCAGAUGGUACACAUCCUACAAAGUGGUCUCCUCCACCCGCUGGUUGGGUCAAACUUAAUACGGACGGAUCAUGGACGGAGGACGGUAAAGCUGGAGCUGGUAUGGUGCUUCGUGAUGAUCGCGACAAUAUCAUAUAUUCAUCCUGCAGGGAACUCUUCUCAUGUCGAGAUGCCUUAGAAGCAGAAAUAAGUGCAUGCAUGGAGGGUUAGCCAUUCAGCGUUCGGAUCUCCCAAUUUGCAUUGAGAUGGAUUCGAUACUAGCGGUGAACAUGUUGAAUGACAGUGGCAUGAACAGGUCUGUUUAUGCGGCGCUGGUGCAGGAGAUCAUGCAUUUGAAGUCUCUUCGUAUGACUUGUAUUACUCAUAUCAAUCAUGAUCAGAACUGUGUAAGUGAUUUUCUAGCUAAAUUUGUUAGAACUGUAGUUUGGUUGGGCUCUAGCCUCUAAGAAGUCAUUGAGUUAUGUAAGAAGGAUUGUACGGUUGAUGCUUGAGUAAUACUCCCUUCAUUCCAAAAUAAGUGUCUCAAGCUUAAUAUAACUUUGUACUAAAGCUACUAUAAAAUUAAGACACUUAUUUUGAGACGGAAGGAGUAUAAGUUUUUACCCGAAAAAAAGCAUGAGUUCAGCUGGCAAGAUCAAGGGGAUCCCAGGUGCUGUCCGCAAUGUCAGCUCCAAGGCGAGGAAGAACCCUAUGAGGAAGUCCUUCCUCAACACGGACGCGAAGCACUCCACUAAAAAAAGCCCACGUACGCGGAGAUGGUUCAGGACCACCGCGCCACCAUUGAGGAACCCCAGGAGGCGGGGCCGGUUGUCGUCAACGCCGGUGGCCAGCAAGGAGGUGACAACAUGGCCCAGGUGGUCGUGAACGCCAGCGUGAACAACAUGGUGCCCGUCCAUGCCGGAGAGGGAGCAGCGGUCGUCAACCACGAGGACGACGAGGCAGAGCCGGUCAUGGCCGACGCGAGGGCCGGCACAUGGUGGUGGUGCACCAUUCUGUGAGUUCGCUUGGUCUCCAUGGUCGAACUCGCGCGGUAGCAAAGGACUUGUAGUUCCUGGACGUGGUAUCUUCAUUUGAGUGCGCUUUGGAUUCUUUCCCUUGCAUUACCGUUACGGUGUAGCAACUUAUGUGACAUGUGAACUCAGUUCAAUCACUAUUUGUGUGGCUCUGUAUGGACAAAACGUCUGAUAUGAUGCGCUUGACCUGACGGCAUGUGCUGGCCACGGCCAUCUUCCGUGCGUUAUUGAUCAUCAGUAUAUUCUAUCACUAUGAAUAUUAGAUAAUACCCCGUGCGUUGCUGCAGGAAUUUUUAGUACUAUAUAGGAGAAUUUAUGGAGUGAGAAAUAGCAAAACUUCUGAAAGGAAAUAUAAAUAUAUGCCUAUUUGAACAUUUGAAUGGUAUAAAGAGUCAUACAAAUUAAUAUAUUGUAGAGUAUCUCUAUACUUGCAUAAUCAAAAGAAUGCGUUGCCAACAUUAAGAGAACUAACAUAUAUUGGGAUGAAAAAUGUCUCAUAACAAUUCAAGAUAAUAUUUGUUAGUAAGCAUGUAGUAGGGCUAUAGGCACCAUACAGUUAAACUAAAUUUCAGAGAGAAUGCAAGCAUGUUAAUAAGAGUACUUCACAUUUCCUUUCAUUUGUCAAUCACACAAUUGUAUCACUCGAGUAAUAGAACAAAACGAACCAUAAAUUCAGAAUGGAAUACCUGAAAAUGAACAAAUUACCUGAAAAUUAUAUGAUAUAUGUUGCGAACUUGUGAUUCUACAAAAGAAUCUGCCGAGGGCAAUAAUAGUACAUGUUAGAAGGGAGAGAGGGAUUGGUGUAAUGUUCGUUCUAUUGCUUGAGCCUCGUGCGCAUAUAUAUAGGAGUACAAUUAUCUACUUGGAGUACAAGACAAUCCAGAACAAAUUCUAGUCUAUCUCGUCUUUCCUAAUAAACAUUAUACUCAACAUCCUCCCGCAGUCACAACGGUAUCGACGCAGACGGUGAGACUGGAUANNNNNNNNNNNNNNNNNNNNNNNNNNNNNNNNNNNNNNNNNNNNNNNNNNNNNNNNNNNNNNNNNNNNNNNNNNNNNNNNNNNNNNNNNNNNNNNNNNNNNNNNNNNNNNNNNNNNNNNNNNNNNNNNNNNNNNNNNNNNNNNNNNNNNNNNNNNNNNNNNNNNNNNNNNNNNNNNNNNNNNNNNNNNNNNNNNNNNNNNNNNNNNNNNNNNNNNNNNNNNNNNNNNNNNNNNNNNNNNNNNNNNNNNNNNNNNNNNNNNNNNNNNNNNNNNNNNACGAGGUUGCUCAAGCAAGGUGGUAGCCCUUUGUGCCGUUUGUCGAUGUAGCCGAGAGCGUGGGUGGUGGAGCCGUGGUCGAGGUAGCCGUGUGACGAAUGCCGUGGUCGAUGUCGAGUCGGGGUGGCCGGUGUCGAGGAAGUCGUCGUGGAGCCGCGGGCGCAAGAGGGCGCCAAGUUAGCAUGGGCGCAGUGGUGUCGAAGUAGGGUUGCACCGGGAAGAAAAUGUUGUUGACAACGCGUCGCAGCGGGUUUGCCAAGACCAGGGACACAUCGUGAACGAAGACACGCACUAGUGUUGUCAGCACCGGGCAUGCGUAGACGGACGAAGACGAAGUUGACGAAGCGCCGACCAGGCUUGCCAGGCCCGGGGACACGUCGCGGAUGAAGGCACGCAUCGGUGUUGCCAGCACCGGGCAUGCGUAGACGAGGGACCUGCACGAGUUGUACGCCAUGUCGGAGAAGUCAGAGGGGCCAGCAGAGAAGAACUCGAUGACGAUUGCGACGUCCAUCGGUGCGGUGCCGAUAUCACCAAUGGUGGUCGGAGUAGACGAAGUGGUCGGGGUAGAUGACGGCGACGCUAGCGACGGGCUGGUGCUGGUGUGAUUGGCAGGUGGCCGGCGAUUGGAGGAAGAGACUCAGCUUGGCUUGCUGUUGUGGCUGCACCGCAGUCGUGCAGACGGCCAAUGCACUAUGGUCGCCGGGGCGGCGGCCCCAGGCAGGAGGGUGGCGGCGGGAAGCGCUCGAUCGACACCACUUCGCGACGACCGCGAAUGGUGAGUUGGACAACAAGAGGUGUUGCGGCGGUUGCCGUGUUGGCCACACGCAUGAUGUUUCUAGAGCAUGACUAUGGCGCGACCGCAUAUGAUAGUCGCAUGAGAACUACCGACGCCCAGGAGGUGGUGCUUCAGAUGAUAGAGACAAGCGGAGAGGAGUCAGGCCCCGGAGGCGGCGGCGGCGAUGGCUUCUUUUCGUUGCAGCUACAAGAUCAUGGAUGGUCCGAUCCUGCUGGUGGCACUGGAAGCGGCGAUGGCCUCCGCACGUCGCAGUGGCACGAACGACGAUGGUCGUAUGCUGUGAGGGCUAGACAUGGUGGUGGUGGAUGCGGCAGUCUCCGUUGGUCAUCACGGCAGCCCUCGACAACCCCUACAAAGAGAUCAAAGGGCGCAACGAUGCGAAUGAAGGCUCUGCGGCUGCAACGCAAUAGGUGGUUGCUGACAAUGUUAAGAGAAUUUUCUUCUAGCGUGAGAGGAGCGGCUAUCACACUAGGAGAUUCAUGGCGCCGACAUCAGUUUCGAACACAGCGAGAAGCGCGCUGGUGGUUAUACGCCGACAUCUAGCACCUGCGUAGCGGCUUUGAUGGUAUGCUGGAUGAUGCAGUAUGACUUGCACCGAUGUGGAGUGGUAGAGGCUAUUUCCGCACCGAGACAUGGAUGGCCACCUGACAGCCAUGGUGGUGUCUAGGUGGAAGCCAUCCCACCAAUUUUCCAGUGCCUUUUUGGCCUGGCAUGGAGUAUCGGCAGAUGUGACUAUCAAUCAAUCGAUGAUCAAGAUACCGACUGAAACAUCACUUCAUCCGAGGUGAAAACUCUUGUACUGGCUUUUAAUGGUCGGGCUCGGCGACGAAGAUCCUACGUCAUUAUCUUGUUGAAGACGUUGUCUACUUAUUGUGGUGCUAGUCUUCAUUGGUCGGUCAGCAAUCAGGAUGAAAAUCCUUAUCCAUCCGUCUUCGGCCAGACGUGGCGACGAUGGCGUGAGGACGAUUAUCCCUUCUUGAAGGUGUUGCUGUGGAAGAAGUUGACUUAGUCUUCGAUGUUUCUUUCAUAUCUUGUAACAGUUUGGUUAUGGUUCAUUUUGUUUCGUACUCCGCUUAAUAAUUAAUAAAUAUGGCUGUAUGCAUCGUAUUGAUGCAGAGGCCGGGGUUUCAACCUCUUUCUCCAAAAAAAAAGUUCAUCCUGGCUAACAAUUAGUAGUACUGACUAUAAUAAUCAACCUUUAUAUUAGAUGAGUUACUCGGUUGUAUGAGUGGCUGCCUUGGCAGCAGUGUUUUAGAAGAAUUUCAGAAGGCGUGAAUGGUUGUCAAGAGUCUUGCGAAAGGUAACAACUUGCAAGCUUCAGUAAACUUCUCUAAAGCAGUAACAUAAAAAACCUGCAAAUUGUUCCAUCAAAUUUUAAGCAUAGCCAACCAGAGCUGACACUAUACAUGGAUGAUGAUCCACUUUCAAAGUAGAACAACCUCAAGAAGUUGGCUAUAGCCAAACAGCAGCGAGAAGAACAACCUAAACCCUAGUACUCCAAUAAGAAGCCCAUUUACGCUCAAGGAACCCCACGAUGUGGCGCCGGUUGUCGUCAACGCCGGUGGCCAGCAAGGAGGCGACAACAUGGUCCAGGUGGUCGUGAACGCCGGAGUGGACAACGUGGUGCCCGUCCACGCCGGAGAGGGAGCAGCGGUCGUCAACCACGACGGCGACGAGGCCGAGCCAGUCAUGGCCGACGCGAGGGCCGGCACAUGGUGGUGCACCAUUCUGUGAGUUUGCUUCGAUUGCGUGGUCGAACUCGCGCGCGCGGUAGUACCAGGAACUAGUAAGUGGACUUAGUUUCAGGACGGAGUAUCUAUCACGUUUUCAUUUGAUUGCCCCUUGGAUUCUUUCGUUGGCAUUAAUUACAGUUACGGUGGACCAACUUAUGUAACCUGUGAACUUGGUUCAAUCACUAUUUCUGUGACUCUGGAUCGGCAAAACAUCCGAUAUGCUGCGCUUGACCUGACGGCCUCCUAUGGUGCUGGCCACGGGCCCACGGCCGUCACCCGUCAGGCCAAAAAAGCGUGUGGCAUAUAUGAUCCUCGCCUCCUUCAUCGCCUUCGUGGCACGCCCCGCCGGACGCUACAUCGCGUACAAGCGCACCCUGGCGCGUCAUCUCCUCCCGGAGAUGGCCUGCCUCCGUGACUGUGGGCUGCAGCCCACCAUCUUGCCGGCGACGCAUCGGGCCACGAAAAGCUCCAGCGCGCGUCAUUUCUCCUCGUGGACGCCCAGCUCCAAGAAGUCUGUGCGGUAGCCGGCGAGCGCCAUAUACACGGGGCGAAAGAGCGCAACGAAGAAGGGAUCGAGCCGCUCCGUCAUGGUGGCACCGAUCGGCGCCGCUGCCGCCGGGGAACCGACCGCGGCGUUGCCGACGAGGCGGACCUCGCGCUCGAACUCCGGGUGGAGGAACCAGCAGCAGAGGCUCUGAUCACCACCACCGCCCGCUCCCCGACCUCCCUCCAGAACGCCUCGUGCAUGGUCGGGUCGCCGCUGCACGCAGAACCAAAGCCGGCAGUAAGAUGAAGCACGUUGUCAGAUUGAAAAUACCUUACGUAAUCACGCACUGCUAUAAAACACAGAACGCGAACACGCACAGCUCGAGGUUAAUGACGGCGUCGGACGGCUCCGGCGGCGCCGCCGACGUACCGCCGUCCAUUAGGACCCUCGCAGCAGACACCUUCUCACGCGACGCGUCACCCAUUUCUUGGGCUGCUGGUGACCGUGACCGGUGGUUUUAUGUCCGGCAGGGCCUGCGACAGCGACUGUCGGCACGAACAUGCAUGUCAUGCGUGCGAGCAGAGCACGCACACACGCGGACGGCGGGAUGAGAAGAGGUGGAUGCCCGGCGGGUGUCCUCAUCUCGACUGCCUCGACGAAGGAACCCUCCGAGCUGGAGGCACGACCGCAUGGCAUUCCUGAUCUCGGUGUCUAUGGCGUGGGUGAGCGCGGAAUUGAUGCUGGCCUUGGCCACCAUGGCGUUCACCGCCGUCAGAAGCAGCAUGGUCCUGCGCGACGCGAUCACCGUCCCGCUCCUCGGCGACGAGGUUCAGUCCCAACGCGAUGUCCCCGGACACGCGCGAGAACAACCCUCUUUUAUUUAGCGGGAAGCGUAGCACGACGGCUUCAUCGGGGGAGCGCGCGACGGAGUCGCCGGAGACGCGGACCUGUUGCUCUCUGGGUUGGGGGGCGGGUGGCGGUGCGCUCGCGCUGCCCGUCGAACUCCACCUCCACAAACGCGUUGCAGGUCGCCGCGCCGUCCUUGGCGAAUAGCUCCUCCGUGUGCGCGACUUCCACGGCCAGCUUCAUCGUGCUGGCGAUCUAGCUCGGCAACCAGCAGCAGCCCGAGGUACGCCGACCUCCUGGAGCCAGCGCAGCCCCACUCCGUCGGCCUCAACCUGCAGCUCUGGCACACGGCGCAUAGCGCGUCGUUGCUGCCGUUCCCGUGCAUUGCAAAAGACCCCCAACGGCGACGGCGCGGCCACUAGGUCGGCGGAGCAGGCUCAUGUCUGGACGGGAGGGAGAGCAGAGGAAGAACUGAUCUGUUGCGGGCUGGUCUGUUGACCAGGCGGAAGGAGCGAGGGGUAGGAGAGGGGAAAUAUCAGGUGCUCCUAUCCUGGGGUGCUACCCAUACUCAAACUUUAAAAAAAUGUUCUAAAAAAUUCUGAAUUUUUUUGUAAAUAUUCACAAGAAAUGUAACUACAUGUCCUAAAAUUUCAGAUCUAAACUCUAAACAAAAAUUAAGAAACGAAAAUGUGAAAUCUAGCAUGAAUAAUGUCAUAAAAAGACAAAAGCAACAUUUGACACUAUUCACAUCUGAAUUUGGUUUUUUGUUUCUCAUUGUACAUUUUGAGUUUGGACCUGAAAUUUUAGGGGUUGUAGUCACAUUCCUUGUGAGCAUUCACAUUUUUUUUCAAUUUUUUUGAAACAUUUAAAAUUGAUUUUUUGAAAUUGGAGCAUGGGGAGCACCCAAGGAUGGGAGCACAUGAAAUUUCCCCGAGGAGGAGAGAGCGAGGGGAUUGCGUCGUUUUUGCAAAAGACCCCCUAGUUCCCUGCGUAUUCAAGCGGCUGAGACGAUGUGGCAGCCAGCGCCCAUGUGGAUCGACUUGAUCACUGCCAAAUCAGCACAUAUUUAGAGCAAAUUGUAUUUUGGACCGUAUGUGAACUCCCAGAGCAAGUUUAAGGAUAGUAUUUCGGGUAUUUUAAAUUACGGGGGCUAAAGUAACCAUCAACGAAGUUAUAAGACCUAGAAUGAAUUUUUCUCAUACAUUUAAUAAGUUAUGAUAAUGACAUCAGAUUCUACAAGGAGAUAAAGACACACAUUUGACAUCUUUUACACUUGAGCAACAUAAGUGCAACAACAGAAGAAAGAAAAAUACAUCAUAGAGAUGGAAGGCCGGACGAUGCUUGCCUUCUUGAUCACAUCCUUCAAAUUGAUGGUAUUUAACCAUGAAGGUCCCUCGUUGUCCAACUCUGCUGAUAAGAAGCAAACAGUCGGAAAUGAGCAACGAAAUAGCAUAUAUCAGUAAAGUGGCACAAAUAUGAUGAAAAUAUUGGAAUGCUUCAGAGAGUAUGCUAUAUGGAACUUCAAAACCAAUACAGUUGGACUUUCUCAAUUUGGAUUUAUAGAGCAAAAGAUAUGUAUUUUCUACAGUUAUCAAAUGUCAAAUUUAGACUUAUAUUAGCAUGGCGCUUAAUUGAAUGAUUGGAGAGAGAUGACGUACAUUACAAGCAACAUAUAAGACGGGACAAUGUAUUUGAUGCUUACACAAUUCAAAUCAACAUUUUUGGAGUCAUAGAACAAAAUAUGUGGAUUUUAGAGUGUAAUGUGACAUUUCUACGGUUUUAGCAAAUCAAUGAAACAGUAUGCCCUUGUCAACAUUAAUGAUCAUAAACAAAGUUUUGUUAUUCAUUUUUAAUUUUUUGCGAGGAAACAAUAAACAAAGUUUUACGGAAAUGGUAAAUCCCGAACUUUCGGGAUCUGACCAUGGCAAAUCGAACGAUUUCGAUGGCAAUUUUAGUGAUGUGGGGAUGACAAAUUUAGUUGACACACACGAUAAUUUUUUGCCAAAAAAUAAACUACACACGGGUUUGCCAUGCUUGACAACUAGAUUUGUCAUCUUGUGUCACUAAAAUUUUCAUCAAUAACGUUUGAUUUACCAUGGUCAAAUCCUGAACGUUCUGGCGUUAUCAGGGUCCAAGUUUUAAUGGGUAUAGAACAAGUUAAACCAUAAAUUUACAUGUAAAGAUAAUUUCUUUGGAGUUUGGAUGAUUUACCUAUGGAUAUUACAAGUUCUAUCAAAUUUGAAGCAUUUUUUUGAUUAAAUAUCUAAGGUGGCUGAGACAAACUAUUUGUACAUAGAAAGAUCUAGCCUUUGACAAUGAAAUAUUGGUCCAGGGCUCAAUUUAUUAUCAGUUAUGCAAACAUGGAUUCAUUUUCCAUUCCUUUUGGGCACUUACAAACCGAAAUCAGGCCAGGAGAGUUACGGGCAUCUCACGGAUCAACAAGGCUAACUAAUCUUCUCCUCCCCCUUUCUAAAAAAAACUAAUCUUCUCCCCCCCCCCUUCAGUGGGGGUGGGGCCCACCUCUCUCCUAAUCUCCAAUCAAAACCAUCCACCUAAUCACAGUCCGUUGAAUCCGUAAAAAUCAUUGUGUGCGUAGCAUUGCUCCUUACAAAGAGGGCCCACAAGACUUAAUUAUCACAUUUUCUGCAGAUCAAAUAAUUGCUGGCAAUCGGGUCCACGGGACAGUUAACCAGCGACCACACGCCGGCGAACGCGUGCUCACGAGACUAUGGUGGCCCCGCACUGGAACCACGUUCCUAGGAGCCUGGAACCACGUUCCUGGGUGCCUGAGCACCGGCCGCUCACACCGAUCGACAGGGCGGGAGGUCGCGAGCGCAACCGCGUUGCCCUGGGGACCGAUUGCCAGAGUCACGGCACAGUCGCUGGCGGCGACGGGCGAUCAGGGAAAACGUGGCAGGACCAGGCCGGGGUCAAAGAGGUCUCCAACUCCGGGGAGUGGUCGGUAAGGCAUGUCGGAGCUCCAGGAGGUCGAUGCGGCCACCAGAAGCUCUUGGGGAUGACAGCCGCAAGGAGCUCCACGCCCAUGCGAUGGUGGCGCUCGGCAGGAGGUGGGUAAGGAGAUGACGCGCGGUCAAUUCCGUCAGCAAGCGUCUACGCCGGCGCUCUGAAAUCUGAAUGCCGGAGAGCACGAGCAAGAUCGGUCCGCGUCGUGAGAAAUCAGGACCCACCCCACCCCCCCGUCGCCACCCGAGGUGGCCGCCGGCAAGCCUGCGCGGUCACCGGUGACGGUGGAGGCAAGGCCCUGCUCGCUCCGUUCCUGGCGGAGGACUCGGGAUCUGGGGCGGAGGCCCUUGGCGCGGCGGCGGCGCCCUCCCGGCUGGCGGCAUCCAUGGGUGGUCCUAGCCGGCGUUCCCGACCACGCGGGCGGUGGGACGGCGGCGGGUGGUGGCUGCGGCGUGGAGAUCCCCCUCGUCGUCAGAUCUGAGGUUCAACUCCCCUCCCCUUCAGCUCCCUCAUCCCCGCCGGUUCCAGCAGCUUCCGUCGCCGAAAUGGUGUGGAUGGGUGCCCGGUGGUGCGGUUUUGGGACCAUGGGAAACCAUUUGUCGGCUGGUCCGGCCCGGCGGCAGCGCCGCCCUUCCUCCUUGGAGGUGCAGCUGAGAUCCCAACCCUAUCCGCCCCCGUUCCCCUCCUGAGUGAAAGCCCAAAAUCCUUCUUGGAUUGGGCGGUGACGGUGCGCUGCGUGUCGUGUCCUCCUUGGAGCCUCCGCCUGGGGAGUGUGCGUUCGGGUGGGGGCGGCAAAGGUGGAGUUUUGGGUGGCUCUGGUUAUCAGGUGGCUGUGGUUGGUCUGGCUCGCAGGGAAGUCUGUCCCCGCUCCCCUCAAGUGCGGUGCUCCUUGGCGGUGGCGUGUUUGGCUCAGCUCCGGCGGUACGGCGUUUGUGAUCCGGCGGUAGGGGAUAGGGUUCCUCUUCCCGGUAGUAGCAGCACGUCCCUGGCCGUGGACGCCCGGUGUUUCUCUUCAGCGGCCAAUGACUCCUGCUCCUCGUCGUUCUGCGGCCUCUCCUGAUGUCCUUGCUGCUUGUUCUUCAGUGGCUCCUCCCGGUGGCUUUCCCGCUGUUUUUCAGGUGUCCUAGGUUGCUUUGGUGUGUGAGAUGAGGUGUGCUCAUGUCCUAGGAGGUUGUGCUCUGUGACUGUUCCAGGACUCGAGGUCGGCAUCUCUCCUGCUCUAGGGUGAGCGUCUCUCAUGUCCGUCGGCGGCGCCUUUCGAUCCAAGGCGAGAGGGAAGGGUCCCUCUACGGCGAGAGCGAAGGAAGAUGCUUGGUUUCCUCCAACCUUGGACUCCGUCAUGUCCACAACUCCACUCUAUUUCUUCAGGUCCUCGUUGUGCUCACGCUGCUCGUAAUUCUUGGUUCUUGUUUGCUGCGGUCGGCGGCGUGUACUAGCUUGGGCUUCCUUCUUUUUGUUUUGAGCUACUAUUCUGCGUUGAGUUGUAAGCUUCCUAGGGUGCUCCCUUGUAUCGUUCGGCCGAUAUGCUUGUUAUUGUGUUGUAAUUCCUGGCCGGUUGAUGGCUUUAUUAAUUCAAAGCCGGACUCAUCACGAGCCUUCGUUCUAAAAAAGAAAAGAUCAGAGAUGAGUACCUGAGGAGAAUGGGCUGGCGAAGGGAGGACUCCUAAUCGGUUGAGUGACCAGGUCGGCAGGCUCACGAUGUCAAAUCAGAGUUUGAAUUCGAACUCGAGUUGCCCACACGGGUUCCGAUCGAACUCUAGCAAGAAUGUCGCCCUCAUAAUAAAUAAUCUCAAAUCCAGAAGCACUACUAUACGUAACAAUACUCCUAAAUUCUAUUUUUGGUACUGCCGGUUUUGUAGGUAUGGAGAAUAAAGUAACCUCCAAUCGCAGCAGGUGCGUUAUUGGUGCUAUGUUAGAGCAUCUUCAACAGCCACGCUAAACUAGCGCCGCGCCGCAAAUUAGACCGUUUUAGCGCGCGCGCAACGCGGCGGGUCACUCCAGCGGGCGCGCAAAAACGGCGCGCGUGCUAUAACGGGUUGGGCGCGCGGUUGAAAACACUUACUCGUGCGGCGUAUUUCGGGCGCCAGCUACAGCGCGCGGCACACUCGAGCGCUCGCGCCGCACUCUCUCCUCUCCUCGUCCUAAGCCCCACGCGCGCCGGCGCCGGCGCCCUGCCACCCACCCAUGGACGCGCACACCGGCGCCCCGCUCACCCCGCUAUACAGUCNNNNNNNNNNNNNNNNNNNNNNNNNNNNNNNNNNNNNNNNNNNNNNNNNNNNNNNNNNNNNNNNNNNNNNNNNNNNNNNNNNNNNNNNNNNNNNNNNNNNNNNNNNNNNNNNNNNNNNNNNNNNNNNNNNNNNNNNNNNNNNNNNNNNNNNNNNNNNNNNNNNNNNNNNNNNNNNNNNNNNNNNNNNNNNNNNNNNNNNNNNNNNNNNNNNNNNNNNNNNNNNNNNNNNNNNNNNNNNNNNNNNNNNNNNNNNNNNNNNNNNNNNNNNNNNNNNNNNNNNNNNNNNNNNNNNNNNNNNNNNNNNNNNNNNNNNNNNNNNNNNNNNNNCAUGGGUGACGGUGGCCUCGGCGCCAUGUGAGGCAUGGGUGGCGGUGUCCUCGGCGCCAUGGGAGGCAUGGGUGGCUUCGGAGCCAUGGGAGGCAUGGGUGCACAUCCGGCCACCAUGGAAGGCAUGGGUGCACCUCCGGCUGCCAUGGGAGGCAUGGGUGACUUUGGAGCACCCUCUGACGCUAUGGCCGUCAUGGGAGGCAUGAGUUUUGCUUCUCCCAUGGGAGGCAUGGGUGCACCUCCGGCCACCAUGGGUGCAAUGUCUUUCGAUGUGCCUUCUCACACACAUUCCCAUAAAGAUGCCGUUGAAGAUCUUGCCAAUACCGUCGGAGCUUCACAUGAUGCGGUGCGUGAUGCGGUGCGUGAUGAGGAGAGGGAGGAAGAUUCAUUUUCGGAGGCGGAAGAGUCGUCUUCGGAAGAUGAGGACCAAGACGAAGACGAGGAAGAUGAAGAUUGAUGUGUCUUUCAUGUCUUGAACUUUAGUUUGCAUUUGAACUUGGCUGGAUGAACUUGUGGGCAUGAUUUUGAACUUAUGGGCAUGAACUUUUAUUCAUCAACUUGUUUGUGUCAAAUUUCACAUGUUCAUUUUUGUCCAAAAUAUCAUAUAUGCAAAAUGCCCGGCAAGUCGUGCGCGCUGUAUUUUUGCGCUCUGCUGGAGCGGCGCGCGCGCUGCAUUAUAGCACGGCUGCUGGAGCUAGCGCAGGCGGGUGCGCAAAACCAGCCGCAACGCGCGCGGUAAACAGAUUUUUUGCGCGCGGCGCUUAGCGCGGCUGUUGAAGAUGCUCUUAUUUUUGGGUAUAUUUAUACUUCGUUUUCCAAUUUCAUGAAGUAGGAGCUAAUAUUUUAAAUCUCAUGUCCCAUAACCUAGGAUCAAGCAAACGAAGAAUCCAAGAAAGAUAUCUUUAUUCCUUAUCAAACAGAAGGUUGGAUCUCUAGUUUAUCAAAAACACAAACUGAUCAGACCAAAGAAGUUGUUUAGGCUGUGUAUUCAUGAUGAGUUUGGCACAAGGGCAUUGAGCAAACCUGCGGUGAUACUUAGAUCGACCACACUACAUCAUGAAAUAAAGCUUCGCACAGCAAGGCGGAACAUCCUAUGGAUUUAUCGUGUGCACAAAGUUCGUACGUGGACAUCUUAUAAGGAAAAUAUUCAGGUGAUCAACAGACUGCACCACAUAUUUGACCAUGCAAUUCGUAGGUACACCGAGCACCGUUUGGAAGCUGGAUUGUUCUAUUUGGUCUCCGAUAUGGAUGAUUUUACGCACACAGUUCGUAGUCACCUCUACGGUGGCACUGGCAGUGAGUUCUUGAGAGAUUUGUGGAGAAAGAAGAGACCGGAGCACAAGAUGAGACAAACUAACAAGGAGGUAUGCAACUGUUCUGCAAGUGCACAGAGAUCCAAUCUGUGUGAUAGAAAACUUUCCAGCAUUGUCGCCAAGACAUUGAAAUUGUGUAGCAUGAGGCACAUAUUUUGCUUGUUACUUGUAAUUUUCUUGGCUUUCCUGAUAGUAUAUAUGUAAAUGAGUGUUAAUAUGGGUUGACUCGAUACUAUUGCUACGCUUUCUAUAGAGCAUGGAUGCAUUCUCUCUUUCUCAUGGAUCUUGUUAAUUUGCUGAUCGCCAAGUAUUUCCAUGCAUCGCUAGAGUUUUGGGCCGCAUUAUCCUUUUUUGGCAGAUUAAAUAAAAAGCGAACGGUGGAGAUAAAGUAACAUCAAUAGGUCUCGCCAGGAUAUUGGAUUGUGCUAGUGGUCCGAAGAAAUUACUGGAUUAGUCCGGACUAAUUAACUAUGCUAGUAGUCGUUGACCCAAGUCCCUCGACAUGGAGAUGUAUUUGCAGCCCAUAAAAUCAAACGUAUAAGUUGUUGAUUAUAGUUGCAUCACGACUAUGAGUGCUUCCUAUUGAAGAGAGAUAAAGAAAAUCCUAGCCACUCUACACCACUAAUAGAACGGUCAGCGCGCCAGGUCCACUGGGGAUGCUGGCGAUCAUGACUAGAGAUGUAUUUGUAGUGGGUGUCGUCAGGUCCGCCGGCUGUGUACCGUAUCGGGUCCGCCGGGCGCGGGUACGACCGACUGCUGGGUACUGUGGCACGCCUCGCCAGGCAUGAUGGAACGGUUAGCGCCGCCCUGCUACAGGGUCGUGCCCCCAGGACACCGCCCGCCCCAGGCGGGAACAUGGGAGCGCGGCUGUCGCGCCCGCCGGGGCCGGCGUAAAGGGAGGGGGCAUUGUUGCCAUGAUUGCUUGUCUCGUGUGUUGACUUCUUGUGGACGGCCGACAUGCGCUAGCCGGCUGGCCAGGUUGCGGCAUCCGGCCGGGUCACACUGGGGAGCCGGCCAGGGGCGAGCCAGAUUGAGGUGCUUUGCCUGCCUUGAUGUUUUUGAAAGAGAUCCAGGUUCCCUUGUCUGCUCGGGGUCCAUCUCCCGACAGAUUGUUUGGUGUUGUGGUUAUGGUGUGCUGCUCUCACGGGUUGGUGUGUCUCCGAAUCCCAUAUUUGCCAUUAAUUUUUUCCACUUAGUGCGAGUGGUACGCAGGCCAUGGUGUCUGCUAGUUUAGAUAUCUCUGGCAGACCCUUUGUAACGCCGCGACCCGCAAAAUAACUGAUAAAAUACGGGUCCGCGUGAAAAUUUUUGCUUGACCAGACUCCGUAAAUGCAUCCGGACCGUAAUUUUUUUUGCAGGGUGCGGCAUAAUUCCCGUCCCAACCCGUGAAAAUGCGGGUUCCCCCCUCGGCCCGUCGGCGCCCUGUAUAUAGCGAGAGCGGUUGGUGGGGGGGGGGGUGGAUUUCAGCCCGCGCUUUUCCCCACCCCCGCGGCCGGGCUGCCACCUACAAUUCCGGCCAAACUAGCCGGCAGGAUCACGCCGGAGGGCCGCCACAUGCCCGAGCUUGCCCUCCGCCACUUCCUCUUGCAUCGGCAGGCCGGAAAGUUGCAGAUCGGCGGUUGUUUGACACGGCCGGAUUUGGCGUUUUCGGCCACCGGUGGCUGCGCCAAGUCAUGGAUUGGUCGGAGAGCAGCCAGCGCAACCCCGACAAAGCCCCAACGCCGCAUGCAGGUACGGGUUCGUCCUGUAGCUGCCACCGCCAUCGGUUUGCCGGCAAGGAUUCGGCGGCCGUUCGCCGGGCUCGGUGCUCGGCGCUCGCGCAAUGGCUCGCUGGCUCGCCGAUGCCACUAAUACAGUGCGACGACUGCACGCGGACAAUGGUGCGGCUAACUUCUGGCACGCCGAAGCACCCCGGAUGGGUGUUCUUCAAAUGUGAAAACGAUGGGGUACGUGUUGUUUCCAUUCGGCUUUGUCAUUGUAUUCUUCGGUUCAAUUGUGAUGUCUCAUUUUGAACAUCGUCAUGUGUGUAGGAAGAUCGAUGCUCAUUUUGAUUGUGGGAAGGAGAAUACAUUGAUUUAUUGAUGGAAAGAGACUUAAUAGAUGUUUGUGCACUCCUUAGUAGAAUUGAGGCUAAUGAUGCGGCUGCAUGUGCAAUUAGAGAAGAAAGUAGAGGGGAAGCAACGUCUACUAUUUAGAACCAAAGAAGAAGAAUAAAGAAUGCAAGAUCAAGAAUCCGCAAAUCAACAACGAAUGCAUGGAGAAGAUAUUGCUCCAACUAGUGGGAGCAAUUAUAGGAGUUGGAUAUCUUGUAAAAUGCAUAAUUGUAAUUCUUGCCUUUUUGUCUUACUAUUCUAGCAAAUAUUUGGUGAAUUACUAUGUAUCCAAUGUCGUUGAAUAGAAUAAAAAAAAGUAAAGAAGUGUAUUUUCAUGUGUGAAAUUGAAAUGCAAAUUUCGGAUUUGCGGGUCGGCGGGGGUGGCGCCCGAGCAGACCCUGCAAAACCGACCCGUAAAAAAGCAUAUUCCACGAAUAUGUUUAUCUACGGAUCCGUUUUGCGAGGUCUGACUCUGCCGCCGCCCGCGCCGGCCCGCAAAGUCAUUUUUUCACAAACUGUAAAUGCGUUUUGCGGAUCGGCGUUAUACGGGGUCUGCUAGAGAUGCUCUUAAGCCCUGUACCAGCCUAAAUGGGCCGGACGUGCGACAGACAAUAAGUAGCACGGGCUAUGACCCAGCCGUUUACCAAACACAAGCGAGUUCACGUACGAAGAAACACAUGAGACGGAUGAAAAUUAAUGCGAUAAAAAAUACUUCUCCCUUUUAUAGCACGGUAGGUAUAGAUAACAUUAUAUGGAUUGUUACAAUGCACUCUACUAUGAGCAUUCACAAUCUACAUAUUUUUUGAGCCAAUAUAGAUGGGCUUCUAAGUGCUCCUCCAAUGAUUGUAGUGACAUGCUAGCGGACAGUUUUUGAGCUUGUGUCGUCCACCAGCAUGUACGUGGGGUUAGUAAUAGAAUGCAUGCGAGGAAACAUAAUCUCUUUAAUUGAUUUUUAUACCCUAUCUUAGAGAUUACACAAAAUAAUUUUAUCUUGAUGCAGCACACAAUUCAAGAUUAAGGAUUUACUUGCUCUAUAUCAUGGAGGAAGGAAGUUGUAUGUGGGUAGUUGGACGAAGGCGUGAUGGGAAGAAAACCGAACAACCAACAAGGAGGGUGGAAUGAAGCGAGUCAGUUUUAAGGAGGGCGGGGGAGUAAAAAACUAGGUCGAAUGGGUUGAUGGGAGGUGGAGGCCAUAGACCGAACUCUCUUUUAAUAGUAGAGAUCGUAGCCAAAGAUCACACAUACUCGGGGAAAUCAAAAGAUCAUGUACCGAGUAAGGGGUCAUGUGCUCGUGGUUGAAGAUGGAGUCGAGUGGCAAAGCCAAACUUUCCCUAACUCGGCAAAGACGGCAACUACCAUGAUGGAAGAAGAAGAAGGUCCCCUGUUGGCAUAGAGUUAUCGACAAAUAUUAGACCACAGUGAAGCGCCUUCGUCCUCAAUGUCGAUGGGCAUUUUAGUUUCCAGAUGCACGCGAGAUAAUUCAGGAGAUCCGCCGCGAGCACCAACUCCUAGCCAAAGAGGAGGGUGAUUCAUCGUGUUUGCCCAUAACUGACGUGGCCCUCCUCGAAGAGCGCGAAGCCAUGACGGCUGCAUGGGCAGGCGCGGUGACCCUCGCCCUGAGGUGCAAGAGAUUGCCGCUGCCAGUGCAUCACUGGACUAAAAAGGAACAAUUACACCUGCAAAUUCACAAGGAAAAAAAAUAUGAUUCACGCCUGAUGGCAAAUGUAGUAGAAGUCAACAAGGAAACAACGAUCUUUCAUAGAUAUACAAUUGCCAAAGCUAAGGAGAUCACAAGCACCAAGUAAAACAAAUAUCACAUGCCACACAAUCUCAAUGUUCUGACGGCUAUGAAAGAAAUAUUUCUGUACUCUGAUACGUAAGAUUCGGAAACACGUAAACAUGGGCGGGGCAAGCACCCCAAGAAAGCACUAUUUUAAUAUGAAUUGUUUAUUCUGGAAUAUCAGGGGUAUCACUACCCCAGGAAAGAAAACAUGUAUCAUUGAUACCCUAACUAAGACAAAUGCUAGUAUAGUUGCUUUCCAGGAAACCAAGAAAGAAGAGCUUACUACUGCCUUUCUUAAGUCCAUUAGUGGAAGCAAGAAUUUUCUUUGGCAUCAUCUCCCUGUUGUAGGCACUGCUGGAGGUGUUUUGGUUGGUGUAGAUGCAGAUAUCUUUGAGGUUCUGCAAUGGAGCUCACUGAAUUACUCUGUGUCUUGCAACCUGAAAGUUAAAUCUAGUGAGACCUGUUUUAGAGUUAUAGCUGUUUAUGGGUCCCCAUAUGAGGAGGGUAAAGAUGCUUUUAUCUCUGAACUCCAUAGCCUCUUUGUAGAUGACCAAACGCCCACUCUUAUAGGGGGAGAUUUUAAUCUAGUUAGAUACCAACAAGAUAAAAGCAAUGGUAAUAUUAACCAUCAAUGGGCUGAUAAUUUAAUGCCUGGGUGGAGAUAUGGAGUCUUCUAGAAAUUAGGAUGUCAGGUAGGAAAUUCACUUGGGCUAAUAACCAAGAGAAUAACAUCAUGACUACCAUAGAUAGGAUUUUUUGUGCACCACUGAGCUGGAGGCUAUGUUCCCCCUAUGCACCUCCCAAGCUCUCCCUAGAACUGGGAGUGAUCAUACUCCCCUUCUAUGGGAUUCAGGGUUGGGGAGCAGUCCCAGGGGCUCUAGUUACAAAUUUGAAAAAUGGUGGUUGCUACAUAAAGAUUUUAAAGAAUUGGCCAUCAAAAAUUGGACAGCUCCAAUCAAGAAAGGCAAACCAAUAGAUGUCUGGCAAGAGAAAGUUAGAAGAUUCAGGAAAUUCUCCAAAGGAUGGAGUAAGAAUGUAGAAGCAGAAAUUAGGAAGAGGAAAACUGUCCUCACAAGAGUAUGAUGAGUUGGAUAUCAAAUCUGAAACAACUUGUCUCUCUGAUGUAGAGAAUGUUAAGAUGAAGAAUAUUCUAAAAGAGCUUAGAUAUAUCUGGAUUAAAGAGGAAACCAAAGCUGGACAAAGAUCUAGGGAUAGAGAAUACUAGAGGGAGACAGGAAAACCAAAUACUUCAAUGUUGUAGCCAACCAAAGGAGGAGGAAAACCCUUAUUCAUUCCCUUGUUGGUCCUACCUCAGACACAAGGGAAAUGCUUAAAAUAGCCUCUGAUUUCUAUAAAGAUCUCUUUAAGAAGGAAGAUAGAGGAGGUUUCAAUUUAAGUCAAGAUUUUUUCUCUGAUGAGGAAAAAAUCUCUGAGGAUAAUAAUGAAACACUCCAAGCUCCUUUUUCUGAAAAAGAGGUGAGGGAUGUCAUCUUUGGUUCAUACUCUGAAGGAGCACCUGGACCAGAUGGCCUAUACUUUCUUUUCCUUCAAGAAUUCUGGGAAGUUAUCAAGCAGGAUAUCAUGGCCCUGUUUGAUGACUUCCAUGCAGGAAAUCUUGACAUUUAUAGGUUAAACUUUGCUAUGAUUACUCUCAUCCCUAAAGAGGAAGAUGCUACUGAAAUGAGGAAGUUCAGACCUAUUAGUUUGCUAAAUUGUAUUUUUAAGGUUUUUACUAAGGUGCUAACUAAUAGGCUGGCUACUCUUAUGAAUUUCCUAACCUCUAGCAACCAGUCAGCUUUCAUAAAAGGGAGAUUCAUCCUUGAAAGUGUAGUGACAGCUCAUGAAGUUUUGCAUUCUACUUAUCAUUCUGAUAAUUCAGGUCUUGUUCUUAAAUUAGAUUAUGAGAAAGCAUUUGAUAAGGUCAACCUAGAUUUCUUGAUGGAGAUUCUCCAAAAAAGAAACUUUGGUCCUGUUUGGACCAAAUGGAUUUAUCAAAUUACUCACAUGGGGCUCUGUGGGAGUCAAAGUCAAUGGGGUUGAUAGUGACUUCUUUGUAACCAACAAAGGACUAAGGCAAGGAGACCCUAUAUCUCCUUUACUUUUUAAUAUUGUUGUAGAUGUGCUAACUAGAAUGCUCAUUAAAGCAGCUUCUCAUAACCUGAUAAAAGGGCUUUGUUCUGAUCUUAUCCCUGGUGUUGUGAUAUGUCUGCAAUAUGCAGAUGACACUAUCCUCUUCAUGGACAAAGAUGAACCUAAAGCUGCUAACCUGAAAAUGAUCUUGACUUGUUUUGAGAGAGUAUCAGGUAUGAGAAUUAACUAUGCUAAGAGUGAACUCAUUCCUUUAGGGGUUGAGUGGGAAGAUUUAACCAACUUUGUGAAUACCUUUGGAUGUACUGUUGGUACAUUUCCAAUAAAAUACCUAGGGAUUCCUCUACACUAUGAUAAACUGAGGAGGGAAGAUAUCCAACCUCUUAUUGAUAAGAUUUUAAAGAGGUUGGCUGGCUGGAGAGGAAAGCUACUGUCCUACUCUGCUAGACUAACUCUCAUUAAAGCUUGUUUAGCUAGUAUUCCUAUAUAUUUGUUGUCCUUCUUUAAGUUUCCUAAAUGGGGCCUAGAUUUGAUUAACAGUCAGCUAGCUCAUUGUCUUUGGAGUGACUUUAAGGGGAACAGGAAGCUUCAUCUAGCCAAUUGGCACCUAGUUUGUAUGAAGAAAGAACAUGGAGGACUUGGGAUCCCUAACAACAAAGAUCUUAACCUGUGUUUACUGGGUAGCUGGGUCAAGAGAUAUGCCCAAGAUGAGGGCAAAAUUUGGAAAACCAUUGUAGACAACAAGUAUAUUAGGAAAGCUCCAAAUAUAUUUGCAUGUAGGCCACAGGCCUCCUCCAAUUUUUGGCAAGGGGUUAUGUGGGCUACCAAAGCUCUUAAGUUUGGCUAUAGAUGGGUAGUAGGAAAUGGUAGGAAGAUUAGAUUUUGGGAGGAUAUCUGGUUUGGAACCUCCCCACUCUCUGUUCAGUUUUGGCCUUUAUACUCCAUAUGUCACCAGCAAUGUGUGACAGUUUCUGAAGUUUGGGAUGGGAGUAACAUUAAACUUACUUUUAGGAGGAUAUUUACCCCUACCAUGAUGGAAGAGUGGUACUGCCUUGAACAAAUCAUAAAAGAGACUGUGCUCAAAACAGAUGAUGAUGCAAUGGUCUGGCAGUAUGAAUCCAAGGGGGUCUACUCUUCUAGGUCUCUGUAUGCUAUAAUUAAUUUUAGAGGGGUGAAACCUUUCUACAUCCCUUCUGUUUGGUCCAUUGUUGUGCCUCCCAGAAUCCAGGUUUUUCUCUGGCUCCUGGCGCAUAAUAAACUUAUGACUAAGAACAAUUUUCUUAAAAGGGGGAUAGAUAGGAACCCUGACUGUCUUUUCUGCUCUGAACAGGAAACUGUAAAUCACUUGUUUUUUGACUGUGUGGUUGCAAAAAACGUCUGGGGUGCAGUCUCCUCGUUUCUUUCCACAGAAGUAGGAUCUAGCUACUUUUCCAUUGCCAAAUUUUGGCCUGCUAACAAGAAACAUGAAAUACUCAAUGUUUUUUGUGCUUGUGUCUUGUGGAGCUUGUGGAAAACUAGAAAUAAACAUGUUUUUGACAACGCAAUCUGGUCUGAUGUUAAACAGAUCUGGUGGCUGGUCUGGAGGACCCUCAAGAGGUGGAUGAUUCUGUACACCAAGGACUCGCUCGAGAAAAUGCAGGGGAUACUUCACUGGAUAUCCUGCAUGCUCAAAAGCCCACUCCAAUUGACUUUGGAGUGAAAAGGAACUUGAUGAGCACUGGAGGUGCCACUCAUGCCUCUUCCUACUCCAAGCUUAAUUUUGGGGCUUGCAAAGAGGGGUUCCAGAGUCCAGACUCUUCAAGGCCGAGUGAUCCACCAUCAAAAAAUGUGGUCCAGGUGAUUUCGAGUCUUGCGUCGCCCCUCGACUGGCCUGGCACACCAACUCAACCUCUCAAGAAGAUGAAGGGGGGCUUAUAGAGCAUAUCAAGGAGGUCUGCAAGAUGCUUGAUGCAGAAGACGGGAGGAUGCUGGCGGAUGCAUGUGGAAUGCGGAUCUCACUUCUGUAGUGUUCAUCAGUUUUAGUGUUUUCAGGGUUUGGGGAGUUGGAUUUCUGAACCUGUAAUAGGCUGCAGGCCUUUUGUUCUUUACCUUGUUUAUUUUUUGCUCUUUCAGAACAUGCGUUUUUGAGUCAUGCAUGGUUGUUGGGACUGGCUUGGUUUCAUUUAUUUUGAAUGGAACCGAGGGGCGACAAACCCCCGUGAUGAUCUAAAAAUAAUAAUUCGAAAACACGUGUAGAACACUCGUGUAACUCCGGUUUUUUCUCUUUCAUGCUGCGCUCGAGUCUCUUUUUUGUCCACAGAACUUUUAAGAACUCACCAUCUCCAUAGAGGUAACUGCUAACUAUGAAUGUCAAAUGUUGUCUGUCCGGGACCAAAUAAAAUAAUCCGAUUUCAAAGCGGCGCUCUCUGUACUUUGCAAUUGCAUGAUUUACGAUGCAUGACAGUUUUUCAAUGGUUCCGUAAUUUUCUAUAAAAUCCGGCCAUGAAUUGAUCGACCACACCUCAAUCCACGCAAAAAUCCUCCAUCUCUCAUUACAUAGCUCCAAUUCGUGGAACAGUGCCGUUGAUUUAAGUACAGCUGCAGGUUUAGCCAAUGCCCUCAUGCCAUACUCGUCACGAACACAUAGCCUGAACGUCUUCUUCGGCCUGAUAACCUUGUGGUCUUUUCCAAAAACUAGAGAUCCGACCUUCUGUUUCAAAAUAAAUAAGAACGCCUUCAUCGAAAUCUUUGGUUGGCGUUUGAUCCUGGGUAUGACAUGAGCAUCCUAAAUUAAUGCAUCACAUGAUUUCUCAAAGAAAACAAAACCCUUAGGAGCUAGUAGUAUAUGCAAGUAAGCAAAAAAAGUGUACUAGAGUAUACAUGCAUGAACAGCUAAAAGAAAUAUAGAAACACAAAUAAACAGCCCUCGUUCGCAUGUGCCUGCAGCUGCCAUCGACGGUAGUAGUCUUCAUAUGCAUCAUGCAAAGAACCCGACGAAUUGAUGGAGGACUAACUAGGAAGCCCUCGUCUACUAAUACUCCUACGCGUGGUAGGUUAGUUUCUUUCUUUUUCUUUUUAGGGGAGGUUAGUUUCUUUCUUUUUCUUUUUAGGGGAGGUUAGUUUCUUUGUUUUUCUUUUUAUUUUUGACGGGGAAAUAUUUGGAGCUUUUAUUCAACAAUCGAAGCCCCUGCAGAAUCUGCAAGGAGGCUAGUUACAAUGAUGCCAGGGGCAGAGUCAAACCAACAUUCUGUUACAUCCAGUAUGCUUGCAUGUCUAGCACAUAGGUGAGCAGGGUAGUUGGCUGUUCUUGAAAUAUAUUGAAUACAGAAAGACAAAACUAGAAGAAUGCUCCAAAAUUUCGGACAGGAUGGGCGCCACAACAGUCCUAUCACCAGGACGCGAGUUCCAGAGAUUAACGACCUCCAGGCAGUCGGAUUCUAUCACGACUUUCUCAUAACCCCUGAGCUUAGCAAAUAUGACACCGUCCCGGAUUGCUAGGGUUUCAGAGAUAAGGGGGUCGGUAAUCCCCUGAUAAGGUUUACACCAUGCAGCUCUGAAAGUGGAAUGGGAUCGAGCAACUCCUCCCACCCCUCCUCUUCGAGCUUCCAAUGCAACACUUUCAUUAGUGUUUAUCUUGACCUCCCCCUCCUCAGGUAGCCUCCAUCCAUGGCCCGGAAGCAGCCGGGCCUGAGCCUUUGGUAGAUCAAGCAAAGCUAAAGUAUCUCUGGUCAUUUUCAUGGACUGUAUUGGGUCGAGGCCACCUUUAUCAUGAGUUAUAUUAUUUCUAGACGUCCAAAUAGCCCACAUGAUCGUCACCAGUUUGGCUCGAUCGGACUCAGAGAAUUUGGGAUCACAAAUGCUAUCCUUUGACCAUGUUAGAGGGUGUAGGUCAGGUCGGUUUACCCCAAGCCAAACCGGAGCUUGAGUCCAAAACCCUCUCGCGUGGGAACAAUUCAACAAUGCAUGCAUCAUGUCUUCAUCUUCAUGUUGACAAAUUUUGCACUGGCUCACUGUUGCUAUAUGUCGAUAUUUGAGUGUGGAUUCUACUGGCAGAAUACCUCGUAAAACCCUCCACCAAAAUACUCUCACUUUUGGCAGAACCUUCAGUUUCCAUAAUGUGGUCCAUAAUUGUUUCUCUGUCGUUGAUGUUUCGACUAUCGUCCCUUCCUCUAGAGCCAAAUGCUCGUUCUGAGUCACGAGAACGCGGUAAGCUGACUUGACAGUGUAUGAACCAGAUCUCUCCAAAGCCCAUGCCAAAAUAUCAUCACCACCGCCAAUCCUUAGGGGGAUGUUCAGAAUGGCGUCUGCAUCUGAUGGUAUGAAGUUCUCUCUGAUUACCUGAUCUUUCCAGAGCCAAGUUUCAGGGUCGAUAAGAUCAGACACUUGUUGUAGCUGCGCAUUACCAAUGUGAGCAACCGGAGUCAUAGUUCUGGUAUCAGGGAUCCAUUUGUCCUCCCAGAUAGAAACGGUCGUGCCGCUUCCAAUGCGCUUAAGCAAGCCCGAUUUCAACGCUUCCCUGCCUGCGAUUAUAGCCCUCCACACAGCAGAAGAAAACUUAGGUGCAGUAGCUUGCAAGAAAUCACAGGAGUGGAAAUAUCUUCCUUUCAAGACCCGCGAACACAAAGAGUUGGGAUUCGUCAUCAAGCGCCACCCAUGCUUGUCGAGUAGUGCUAAAUUAAAGAGUUCCAAGUCUUUGAAUCCCAUCCCUCCUUUAACUUUUGGUGCAGCCAAAGAAUCCCAAGAUAACCAAUGUAAAGACUGGCGAUCAAGGUUACUGCUCCACCAGUAUUUGGCCAUAAGCGAGGCCAACUUCUUACACACUUUUCUCGUUAGCUGGAAGCAAGACAUACUAUAUGUGGGAAUUGAUUGGGCGACUGCUUUAAUCCUGACUUCCCUUCCAGCGCAUGAAAUAAGUCUCUCUACUCCACCUUGGAGUUUUGACCGAAUCCUCUCCCCGAUGUGGUCAAAAGUUCCUCCAGUAAUUCGACCGACAGCCAUUGGAAGGCCAAGGUAGCGUUCACCAAAAGCUUCCACUGAAAUAUGCAGUGUUUGCUUUAGUAAAAAUCUUGUAGGAGCAGGAGUGUUUGGGCUAAAAAAUAUUGCACUUUUUUCUUUAUUCACUGCUUGACCAGAACACUCCUCAUAGAUGCGAAGAAUCUCAUUCAAUCGAUGAGCACUCUGCACCUUAGCUUGCAGGAAGAUCAGGCUAUCGUCCGCAAAAAGUAAAUGAUUGAUCCAAGGACAUCGAUAGCUAACCCGUAUGCCUCUGUCAAUAUAAGCCCCUCCAUAGAAAUUCAGCAGUGAAGUGAGGCCCUCGGCACAAAGCAAAAACAAGUAAGGUGAUACGGGGUCACCCUGACGGAACCCCCUGGAGGGAGAGAAGAAAGGAAGAAGCUCGCCAUUUACUCGAACAGCAAACCGCACUGAAGUUACGCACUUCAUAAUGAGACGAACAAAUUCCAAUCUAAACCCCAUCUUUAGCAUAAUCGCUUCGAGGUAGUGCCACUCGACGCGAUCAUAGGCUUUCAUCAUAUCUAACUUAAUAGCACAAGCAACAUUUCCUCCCUUCUUCCUUCGCUUCAUGGCAUGCACGCUUUCAUACGCGAUUAAGACAUUGUCUAUUAUCAGGCGACCCGGGAUGAAUGCGCUCUGCUCCGGUCCAAUAAUAUCAUCCAAAAACUCUCUCAGCCGAUUAGUGAUCACUUUGGCAGCAACUUUAUACAGGACGGAGCAAAGAGAGAUCGGGCGAUAUUGGGAAAUCUUUUAUGGAAAACGUACCUUGGGUAUUAGGGUAAUGGAUGUGUCAUUCAUACCCGCUGGCAGUUCCCCACCAUUCAAGAAAUCAAGCACCGCUGGAAUUAUGUCAUCCUUUAGGAGAUUCCAGUGUCGCUGAAAAAACCCCGCGAUGAAACCACCGACUCCUGGGGCUUUUGACGGUGCCAUUUGAAACAGAGCUUUUUUAACUUCUUCCGCCGUGUAUGGCUUUUGCAGCUCGUAAUUCAUCCGAUCCGUAACUCUACUGGGCACAAACUCGAGCAGAUCUUCUAUCUGCCGAAAACCUUGAGACGUAUAUAAAUUUUCGAAAAAACUUUGGACCUCUUCCCGAUCCUCCUCAGGAGUGGUGCACAUAGUACCAUCCGAGUGUUCAAGUUUCUCGAUCCGGUUCAUGCGCUUACGCUGAGACAUUUGGGCAUGGAAAUAUCCCGUGUUCCUGUCUCCUUCACGCAGCCAUGGUACUCUAGACCGCUGCCGGGCCCAAAUCUCUUCUUGGUGCAUGGCAAGUCUCAACUUCUUCACAAUCGCCUUCUCCUCCUCGGACGGCCCACUGCCCACAGAUCGACUCCGCAGCUGUGUUAGCUGUUCACGUAACUUACGUAUUUUGCGAGCAAGACAACCAAACUCCCUUUUACCCCAUGCAGAUAACUGUGUCUGUAAGUUGUUCAGGGCCUCAACCACGCCACCUAGGCUGUGCCGACCCGACCCCUUCUGCCAAGAGUCUAGGAUGAGCUGGUCAUAAUCCGCAUGUGUCUGCCACAUGUCCUCAUAUCGAAAGGGUUUGGGCCCUCGAUGUACACUGGAAGUUAGAUUUUCCCUUAGAUCUGCUAAGACAAAACAGUGAUCUGACUCCGCAGCAACAAUGUGCCGAACUUUGACAUUUACAAAUAAAUCAGUAAGAGCUGUGUUGCCAAAGGCUCUGUCCAGCCGGGCUUUAACAUUUGAUCGACCCGACUGCCUAUUAUCCCAUGUAUAUUCCAUGCCUGACCAGCCCAAGUCAACCAUUGCACACUCAUCCAUUACUUCCUGAAACGCUUUCAUCUGCCACUCGGGUCUUGGUGAGAGAGAAAAGUGUUCGGAGCCGAAUAACGUUUCGUUAAAAUCCCCAAUGCACAUCCAUGCUUCAUGCCGGAUAGCAAACAAAGUUCUCAUGAAUCUCUAGCUGUGGCAUCUAUCUUCCACGCGCGGAGCUCCAUAGAAGCCUGUGACACGCCAUUUUUUGGAUGUAUCAUUUUUCCUCUACACCAUAACAUCGAUAUGGGCAGAACUAUAAUUUUUGAGCUCAACAUCUAGCUCAGCAGACCAGAACAAACCUAGUCCCCCACUGAGUCCAACGCUGCUUACCGUAAAACAUCCCGCAAAACCAAGAGAGUUCUGUAGAUUCUUCACUCUCUUGGCUGAAAUUUUGGUCUCCAUAAGAAAUAAGAGACCGGGCCCUUCCUACUUCACAAUGCUGCGAAGCUCCCGAACUGCCUCGGGGUUCCCAAGCCCCUGGCAGUUCCAGCUGAGGCAACUCAUCAUUCCCGGCGGGGCUGCUCUGCAGCCGCCGCCGAACAUCCUGAGUUUUGAGAGUUAGUGGGAGUCGGUUUUUUCUUUUUGGUUUCUGGCUCCCUCCCUGACUCCUUCUCAUCACCAUCCGAACGUACCUCGCCCGCUUUAAACACCACCACAGCAUUUGUGGUUUCAUUCAUUUGUGGUUUCUGCGGUUGAUCAGUCGGAGGCAAAGUGAUCUGUCGAUAAACUUGCUUCGUUCCAUGAGGCCCCCCUUUCUCUUAUUCCUCUGAUCAUGCUUCUUUUUAGGUGAGUUAACCUCUAGACUGGGAUCAGCUCUAGCGUUUGUAGCACGAGCAUCUUUAGUGCUACUUUGGCUAGACUGUUGCUCCUUGGACGAGCUAUCAUUAGACACACCUUUUUUCUUCUCCUCUGGCGCUCUCAGGCUUGUUUUAAAAGGUAGCUCACCCUUUUCAUUAUGCGUACCAGGAGUCGGACAAUGAAGGUCAGAAUGUCCCAGUCGCCCGCAUGAGAAAUAGAAAUUUGGUACUUGCUCAUAUUGAAUAUCAUACCAGUCCCUCCCACCCCUUGCUGCAGAAUCAAUUAAGAUCCACCUGCGAAGAGGCUUUCUUACAUCAAUGGUAACCCUAGCUCGCAGGUACCCACCAACUGGGUCGAAUUGCACAGAUGAUGCAUUCUUAUCGAUUUGUUUGGCCACUGCUUUUCCCAUCACAUCAUUCCGCAAAGAACCCGGCGAAUCGAUGGAGGACUAAUUAGAUAGUGAUUAGAUAACCCUCGUCUACUAAUACACCUACGCGUGGUAGGUUAGUUUCUUUGUUUUUCUUUUCUUUUUUUGUAGGUUAGUUUCUUUGUUUUUCUUUUUAGGGGAGGUUAGUUUUACUAUUGGAGUAGUAUAAUCAUUGGACGCGUACGCACAGGAAAACCAACGUACACACGCACGCCCGUGGCGCAUCCAAACCAACGCACAUGUACGGCGUGGCCGAUCCCAAUAGGACCACCGGAACAGCACAGCGCACGUCGAUAUUUUUUUAAUCUAUAUAUCUAUAUCUAUACUUACCAAAAGUUCUGAAAACUAAAAAAAUGAAAUAAAAUGUUUAAUAAUUUUAAAUGCUUGUGCAUUCAAAAAAUGUUUGCGGUUUUUAAAAAAUGUUUGCAUAUUCAAAAGAUGAUUGCGAUUUUGAAAAAAAAUCUUCGGAAAAUCAAAAAAUGAUCAUGAUUUUUAUAAAAUUCGUGUAUUAAAAAUGUUAGUGAAAUUGAAAAAUAAUUCGUCACUUCAAAAAGUUCAUGAAUUGUAAAACAUUCUAAAAAUUCAAAAACAAUUCGUGACCUACAAAAUAGUUUAUUGAUUUAUAAAAUUUUCGCUGAUUCAGAAAAAAAAUCAUGCAUUUCAAAAAGAUUCGUUAAAUCAAAAAAUGGUUGUGAAUUUCAAAAAUUGUUCCACCAAUUUCCAAAAAAUGUUCGUUUAUUCUAAAAAUGUUCGCUGGUUAACUAAAACGUUUAAUUCUUUUCACAAUUUUAAAAAAUGUUUGCAAAUAGUAUAAAAUGUUCAAGAUUUUAGAUUUUUUUUUUCAAAAUCUGUAAAAAUGUUCAUUAAUUUGAAAAAUGUUCAUGUUUUAACAUAUGUCCAUGGGUUCAAAAAAAUGUUCAUGAUUUUCAAAUCUGUUCACGAUUUCAUGAAAAUGUGAGUGAUAGUGUAUCUGGGUGAUGCAACAAAAUGUGGUCAUGGUCAUUGAAGAUUAUAAAAAAAAUUCGUACCGUUGCAACGCACAGGCCGUUUUGCUAGUCUAUAUCUAUAUUUAUACCUACCUACUAAUAAAGUACAGAGCGUUUCUGCCCGUCCAAUGUUAUAUGUUUUAUAAAAAAGCCCUUGAUUUUUUUAAGUAACCCGUGGUCCAACAUUAAGUGUCCUUUCUCUAUUGGGUUUUGGCCCAACAGCGACAACCGCUAUCUCGUAUGGUUUAAAAAAACCUGGUUUUCUUUAAGUACCCCGCGGUCCAACAUUAAGUGCUCUUUCUCGGUUGGGUUUCGGCCCAACUACGACAACAACUAUCUCGCGUGCAUGACGCCAAUUAGUAUUCCAUGUUGUAGGCCCAGUUUGCUCUGUUUUCAGCCUGUUAGGUCCCUGCCUUUUAUUAUUUACAAAGAAUAUGUAAAACAUGAUUAUGCUAUAACUUUGCAACCGUAAGUCGGAUUAAAAUAAUUUGUGUAUGUAAUAUGAUUCAGAAAAAUGCGAGGUUUCCAACCGUCCUGUUAUUUGUUUCCGUUAACCACUUUGAAAUUCUGUUCAGAACAUAAACUUAAUUAACCUAAUUAAUUACUACAAUGUAUUUAGGGAAAUGCUAACACACAAUAUAACUUUUAUAAAAUCUUUAUAUAUAUGAAAUAUGUUACAAGGGCCUAUAUGGAUCGAAGAGAGUAUGAAUGAUCGAUUUCAAUGGGCAUAUAGGAGUAAUAAAGAAAGAAGAGAAUAAAGGAUGUGAUCAGUAGGGAUAAAAAGAAUGGGAGAUUCAAAAGAAAAUAUGAACGAGAGAAUAACACAAAGGAAUUGGUAUGAAUACCAAGGACGUGACAUGCAUGCAAUGCAAUAAUAAAAAGGAUUAAGCCGAAUGAUGUGGGAGGGACACACAUAAUUUCCGCUAGACCUUAGUGGGUGCCUCUUUGUCAUGCCCGGGCAUAAUUCGGAUGUUGUUCGGCCGUGCUAACGGAUAUUUUAGUGGAUACAUCAAUUAUCUCUCCCGUUAUAACCCACAGAUAUAUGUGCUAGUACCGAACGCUCUGCCCGUCCGUCGUCAUACGUUAAGGCAUUGAUUUUUUUUUCUUUAAGUAACCCACGGUCCAACAUUAAAUGCCAUUUCUUUGUUGGACUUCGGCAGAACUGCGGCAGCCGCUAUCUUGCGCGUCGGAGCGCCGGUUAUUAUUCCAUUCAGCUGCAGUAGGCCCAGUAAUAUCUAUUUUCAGCCCGUUAAGUCCAUGGCUUUUAUUAUUCACAAAGAAUAUGUUAAACAUGAUUAUGCUAUAACUUUGCAACAUAGAAUGGAUUAAAAUAAUUUGUAUAUGUUAUUUAAUAAGAAAAAUGCGUAGUUUCCAGCUGUGCUACUAUUUGUUUGUUAACUACUUUAAAAGUUUUUCAGGGCAUAAACUUAAUUAACCUAAUUAAUUGCUAUGGUGUAUUUUGGAAAAUGCUGAUACCCAAUAUAACUUUUUUAUAAUCUUUCUAUAUGAAUGAAAUAUGUUACAACUGCCUAUAUGGAUUGAAGGAAGUGUGAAUGAUCGAUUUCAAUGGGCAUAUAGGAGUAAUAAAGAAAGGAGAGAAUGAAUGGCAUGUCCAAUAGGGAUAGAAAAGAACCGAAGAUUCAAAAAAUAUGAAGGAAAUAAUAACACAAAGGAAUUUAUAUUAAUACCAAGGGCAUGGCAUGUAUGCAAUGCAAUAAUAAAAAGAAAUUAAUACCAAGGGACAUGGGAUGGGCAACAUAUAUGCGCUGCUGCAUAGUGUGCGACCAUUAUGUGCAACAGAAAUAAGAGCGUCGACUAGUAUGCAACGAACUGGGGCCGUGUCGCUUAGACGUGCAUACAUUUUUUUUUAUUAAUUUUCAAGCAUAUGCAGAGAUGGCCUAAACACAUUUAAUAGAAUCCUUUUAUUGAGAUGAGAAUCAUCAUACAGAAACCGUACCAAAACUAUUGUAUGUGUAGCAUGCUUAUUAACGUACUAUUGAUAUGAAUUCCUGCUUGACCUCAGUGUGCGCCUCUAUGCCGCUAUCGGACACAAUUCAGAUACUGUUGGGCCGUACUGACGGAUAUUUCAGUGGACACGUCAAUUAUCUUUCCCGUUGCAAUGCACGGGCUGCUAGUACAGUAUAAAAAUCAAAAUCGCUCAUGUACACGAGCAUACACUCACCCUAUGAACGCACGUACGCACACCCUACUCAUAUGAGCACCUCCGAGAAUUAAGCCGGCAUAACAUCUUGAGAUUGACUAAGUAACUACGGGCGCCUCGUAGUUGACGGAACGUCUCAUCCCCCUAAACGAACAUUGCCGACAAGUCCGAAAUAAAUUCAGAAAAAUGCAAACACCAAUGUUAAGUCUAGAACCCAUGAUGGGCUAAGGAUAUCACUGUUCUCCUAACUAUCCAACCACAUGUUGCGCAGGUUGAUAUCAACGCCAACACACAGGCGCGGAAACUCUUUUUUUUCGAAAAGCGAAAUACCCCAGCCUCUGCACCUCGCGUGAUGCACACAACCAUAAGGGUGCUAGUUCAGGGUGCGAGAACUCUCAGGUGUGCACACAUCUGUUGAGCCAUGCCGGCUGCCUGAUUGCCUCACGAGAGUACAUCAAUUUUUAUGGCAUAGUUAUUAUGGAUGUUUUUCACACGGCGAUUUUUUGCAUGAAAUGUUGUAAAUGAACCCUUGGAAAUUUGCCCAUGACAUUUCAACAAAAUUUGCCCAUGGCAUUUGUUUGUUUUGUAGUGCUCACAUGUUAUGGCAAAAAUUUGUAACCCCCAUGGCAUAUUAUGUCUAUUAUACCAUGUCAGAUUUCUCUUUUUUUUGCAAACAAUGUUUUAAAGAGCACUAUUUUUUGUACUUUGCAAAAUGAUGUUUAAUGUAGUUUCUCAUACUAGCAGGGGCACUUUUAUUCGUUAAACUGGCCCUUUAAUUUUAAAGAGCAUGGAGUUUUUUCAUAAGUGCAUGACAUUUUUAUUUGUGUAUAUCAAUGGCAAAAAAGUAGCUAAUCUAAGUCAGGUCGAAAAUACCAUAUUUAGGCUAAAGUGGACCUUUUUUGGCCCAACCGGGAAGGUAGGAGAGCAGCGUACGAGAGGGAGCGUGUUCGAUCCUCAAAAAAAAAAAGAGGGGGCGUGUUCGCUCAAGGGGUUCUUUUCAAGCGAACGAAAUAGUUCGCUCGAUCGAACCCCUCGGGGAACGUUUACUUUGCUGGUGGCUUCUUCCCUUGGGAACGAUCGUCGGUUAUUGGCAUCCAUUUUUAUAGGUUAGUUUCUGAAACUUACGAUUUUUUGUCACAAUUACGAAGUAGAGGUUGGACUCAAUGAAAUUUUAAAACUCAUCAAAAAGUAUUCAAAAAUAGUUCUCAUUGAAAAGUUCCGUACAGAGAGGAGUUUUUGUCUUGUCCCCCAAGGUGGUGAUACGCUCUGGAUCGUCGGUGGACAUCGAGUUGUAGGCUUGGGCCACCCAAUUGUCAUUGGUCCUCUUCUAUUUGUCGUUAUACCCCGGGAUCAUGGCAUCGUUACAUAACAUUCCAACAAAGUAAAUUAAUUGCUUCUUCUGACAUUUGGAAACUAAACAAACCCAGUACAGGGCAAAGUGCUAAAACAUUAAGCACUACAUCUUCUAAAGCAACAAAUUAUACUUCUACUCCUAAAGCACAGUGGCAUAAGUCACUCAAGCACACAUAGCAUUUGCACUAAUAACAUAGAAACAAAGGGAUCCUAGGAGUAAUCUAGAGCACAUCAGGCAGUUGCCGGCUGCGCAGCAUUUUCAUGGUCUAGAGCAUCUUCUCCUUGAUGGUUGAUGAUGAAUUUCUCCAUGAUAACCUCAUGGUUGUCAUCGAGCUUGAACUAGGCUUGCAGCGUGGCAAUGAUGUCAGCAGUAAGCUAGUCCUUGAAUUGUUGAGCAAAGGAACCCAAUGUGGCCUCAGUCAGAGGCGGACCACGAAAAAAAAUUAAGGUGGGGCGAAGUCUCACUAGAAUUUUUUUAUGCGAAUCAAAGGACUCAAUACACACUAACAAUGCUCACUACAAACCAAUAACCAAAUACAAUGAAAAUGGAGACAUGUUUUAAUAGGAAAACAACCUAAAACAUACCGAUAAUGAAGCUUUUAAUGACGUCUAGAAGAUCCAGGCAAUGGCAGUGCCCUACCCUCCUUCUGAAAAUCUUCCUUAAUUUUACCAAGAUCAAUACUUUUAAAGAUCUCUCGCUCAAUGUAACACACCAUCAAGUCAUUAAGCCAGCCAUCAGACAACUUGCUGCAUAACUCAGUCCGUCGCCGCCGUCGGCUGCCCUGCCUGGGCUCCUGCCUCCUGAUGACCUGGCCAGCCGCCGCCGCCGCUCGCUAGGGUUGCUGCGUAGUAUCGCGUCGAGAGGUCGAGGGUCGAGGAGAGAGGAAAGCCUCCGUUCGAGAGGCCAGCCGUGACUCGUCGUUUCAUGGGUGGCUGGUUGUCUCGGCCCAUCAAGCCACUGGCCGUGUUGGCCCAUAAGAACGACGACGCGGCCUUUUCUAUUAGCGAUCGAUGGACAGCGCAGCCUCUGUAUCGAUGCAUAUGUAUAAAAAAUUAUUUCCUCAAAAUUAAGGUAUGGCAGGCGCCAUACCCUGCCCACUGGGGAGCUCCGCCAGUGGCCUUAGUGACGUCUUAACCAUCUUUGACAAUGUGGAGGCUGCGACAAACAAGCUUCUCUGCUGCCUUGGCGACUGGCGCAACCUUUCCGUGGCUACUGGGAUGGAGCCGCUCAUUGGAUUGGCAGAGAGAUAAGUUGUCAUUUUGGUAGAUGCGUACCGUUGCAAGUAUUUGCGUUGCGUACUGGUGGCCUGGGAGGUGACGACGCCGGUGAAGCCAGCACGGCCUCCUGGCAUGUUUGGAAUGUAGGCUUGAUUUGGGCAGACAACAUGUCUAGGAGGUAGGCCCUAGAGGCAUGUUGGAUCCAGAUGUGGCUUGAGGGGUGAUUCGAAGCCCGGAGGUGCACCGACGAUAGGCAGGAUGAGAGUCGCCAGCGAGCAGAGAUAACUUCUACCAAUACUCUCCCACCCCCUCUCCCUCUCCGCGAGAGGAAAAGGAGCAGGAAGGGUUACAUGCAUUGGUGAAUUCUCUAUUAAUCCCUGCCUGCAGCGAUUCAUCAAAAACUAAGAAAAUUAUGAUAGACUCUUUAAACUGUAUAAGGGAGAUGGUAUGUUUCCAUCCCCACCAUACAAGCCCCCACAUUUAGCGACCUAGUAAAAUCCACAUGGCUGGGUGGACCUCUAGCUCUAUAAACCCGGAUUGGAUGCUAGCAAAUCAACGAGGAAAACAAUAUGUGAUCAUGCCUUAUUGCAAAUGCCGUAGCAACUCGACCAAGAUGCAAUGAUCUUUCAUAGAUAUACAAUCAUCAAAGAUAAGGAGAACAGAAGCAACAAGUAAAACACAUGUCUCACGCCACACAAUCUCAAAGUCUUGACAGCUACGGAGGAAAGGUUCCUAUUUUCGUAUAACUGUUGUUUUCUCUCUCUCAUGGUACGCUCUAGUGUUUUUUUUCUCC
This 232236-nucleotide long non-coding RNA is filed under the name Triticum aestivum (bread wheat). RNAcentral's name for it is "long non-coding RNA (TAES_LNC021087)". The stretch from base 47527 to 47661 matches the Rfam family "MIR1120/MIR1122 microRNA precursor family". The record is from RNAcentral. Lineage: Eukaryota; Viridiplantae; Streptophyta; Magnoliopsida; Poales; Poaceae.